RNAcentral lists this long non-coding RNA (332895 nucleotides) under Hordeum vulgare. RNAcentral describes it as "long non-coding RNA (HVUL_LNC007666)". Lineage: Eukaryota; Viridiplantae; Streptophyta; Magnoliopsida; Poales; Poaceae. The record is from RNAcentral.
GUACAGCAGCUCCAUGACGGGCAGGUAGGCAGCAAAGAGCCCCGCCGCGCCCAGGGUCACCGCGAAGCCUAUGAAGUACCUAGCCCGGCUCCCCCCGUCAGGAUGCUCGCCCGAGUCCGAGUCGGACGAUCGCAGCGCCAGCAGCACGGAGCUGAGGGUGAGGAGCACAACGGCAUUGAGGUUGGAGAAGGUCAAGGGGUGGCGCACGAUGAUGGCGGCGAGCACGAGGGUGAACGCGAGCUGCGUGGACAGCAGCAGCGACGAGGUGGACACGGGCAGGUACGACGAGCUGUACGAGAAGAGCAGGUUGUUCACCCCCAUGAGCACCCCGAUGACCACGCACGCCAUGAGCAGCCGCCUUGUGAACCACGCGAACGGCUGGGGCUCCCCGGCGGACCGGCCGGCGUAGACGGGCACAAGCAGCACCGGGAACCCGACCGACUGCACCAGCGUUGCCACCCACCGAUCGCGACCGCCGUGCGCGAAGUAGUAGCGGGACAGCAGGCUGGACGCCACGGAGCCGCCGAGCAGGGCCACGUAGUUGGCGCACAACAGCAGACGACUCCGCCUUGCCGCGCGCUCGCCAUUGCUGGCAACGUCGGAGGCCAGCAUGUCAAGGAUCGUGGGCGGGGAGGAGGACGUGGUGAUGGACAUUGGCGAGCGAGUGAGAUGGACUUGACUUGGGGCUGCGUUGGGUUGGGUUGAGGAGGGAAAGGGGUGGUGGUGGGGGACCAUUUAAGCGAGAUUACGCUCUCCUUUUCCUUUUCUAAGAGUGGGGAGGAGAUUUACAAACCUUUUCGUGAGGAGGGAAGCCGAAUAAAUAGACACCGGCAGACCGGAUGUUUGUUAAUUUGUUUGGAUUGGAUUUGUUAUUCUCAACACAAAUUCGAAUAUAUGUCCUUGCCCUUGUUAAUGCACACUAGAUCAAUGACAGAUCAUUUUGUUCAACUUGAAGGUAGAGCUUUUCUACCUUAUAUAUUCCACAUUUAUACUCCCUCCAUUCCUAAAUACAAGACUUUUCAGAGGUUUUACUAAAAAACUACAUACGAAUGUAUAUAGACAUAAUUUAGAGUAUAAAUUCACUCAUUUUGUUUUGUAUGUCGCCUUUUAGUAAAAUCUCUAAAAAGACUUAUAUUUAAGAACAGAGGUAGUAGUUAACAUACGACUAAUUUUCAGAUCAAUCGAUUUUGAUGUGUGGUGGAGAGUCUCCUUCCCGACGAGGGCCUUGCCAUGACUACACCGGAUAGGGGCACUGCGGCCGCGUCAUCGUCGAGGGUUGACAGGUUCGGUGGAGGGGGAAUGGGCAAAUCGUUGAAGAUGGUUCUAAACUUAGGCCAAAACAAACUGACGCGGAUAAUUUUUUUAUUAAGUGACUGCUUAGAUCAUAAGUUUCAACUUUUGUAUCUCACUAUGAUUCGUAUAAAGCUGGAGCUCGAGAUGGGGACGUGACGGCCAAUAAAGGCUCGUCGGGACCUCGCCGGAGGCAUGACAAAACUAGAGGCUAGAGACUAGAGAGGUGAGGGGACGAAACGUUUGGGCCGUUUGCCGUGCAAAAUGCUGACUGACAAGCUGGCCCAGCCCUGCACCCCUGUACUAACUUGUUCUUUCUUUCGUAUACCAGCAAAACCAGAUGGCAUCUCGUUUUGAGGUGAUCCAUUGCUACCGUGUUCCCGCAUCAGCGGAACGGGAGGCGAAAGAAACAACUGCGGCGAGCUGAGCGGAGGGCGAAACGGAAACGGUCGCGCGCCCUCUAAGGAAGUAAGGAUCACCUCGGAGCUGAAACUUUCGCCUGAGUUGGCUUGUUGGCGCUGAGCCUGAGACACGGUCAUCUCGUUUCAUGUCAGCCGGUUAUUACUACAAGCUUCAGUCGUGGGAAGCCAGCAGGAUCUCGUAUAGCGGAGGGGUAUUUCUCGUGGCUGCUCAUUCGGUUCGUUCGGAUGCGUGGUGUCGUGGCCGCGGAAGAAGGGGACCUGUAGCCCACAGCUCUACGGAAGGAAAACAUGCAUACAGACUAUGAUUAGCCCGAAGGGUGCUCGUUCUCCCUUGCGCGGGUGUGUUUGCUUUGAGGAUAUACUUGCACGAGACGGAUUGAUUCCGUCCGCAAUCCACCAUUUCAGUGUUUAGUUGAUGAUGAAACCGAAACCGGGUGAUUCUCAGAAAAGGAAUAUUCCCUAUAUAUUCUUCAUCAAGCGAUUCCAUCAAAUCGAAGGAAUCACGUGGUUAUUCUUCUCUUAUUGAUAGAAGAAAAAAAAAACAUCCUUGAUAACUGUUAAAACUAAAAAUACAAUGGAAAUGUUGCUGGAUUUUAUAUAAUAUUUUGAUAAAAGAAAAAAAAAGACCCCACAAGGUGAGUUGAGUCAUAUUCUUCUCAUUUCAUAUCACCAACCAAACACAAGAAUGGAACGAACCCAUGAUAUUUUUUAUCUUCAACCGAACAUAAGAAUGAAACCAAUACAUUCCUUCAAAACGAGACCAUGACAUGCCAUGUUUUUUGGUUGUCAAACCAAACAUUCAGACUUGAGAGUGGAUAUGCACGAACUUAAUAUACACACUCUACACCAGUACACCUACAGCACCUCCGUAGCAGCUAGCUAGUCCCAUGCCUCUGACUGCAUGACAUGGCAUGUCGCGCUUACACGCCAACAUGUCUACUAAUUGCAAUCGCAGCUUACUACUCAGACGACAGCCAGCCAGGCCAGCCAGCAAUCGCACCUUACUACUCAGACGACAAUCGCAAGUACUUCAAAUCAAUCAAUGUUCUUUUUUUGCGGGAAAAUCAAUCAAUGUUCUGACGGUGCUACUAACCCUAGACGACAGCCAGCCAGGCCAGCAGCGUACGAUUUCACUGUUUCAACCCUUUUACAAGUUUAGUCCGGUCUAACAAUGGUUGUGAUUUUUUUUGGAUCUGACAUUUUGUCUACCGUCAAGCAUACACACCGUACCACCACGUACUGUGACGGUAAGGUUCGGGCCAACACAGACGGCGUCGUCUAACUCUGUUGAUGUAGAUAAGUGAUGGUAGAAUGUGUAUGUCUACCGCCACAGCGGAUGACGACACGGUGUUUUCACAUUUAAUUUCAAAAUUAACUAACAAUACCAAAAGAGAUUUUACGGUACAUUAUAAUACACCAGAGCACGUGUAUUAUAUGGGCCAUCUAACGAAUGAGACUAACUGGGCCUUUUCGAGCCCAAGGGUAUUUUUGACCUAAUUCUUUUUAUACCUUUAUUUGGCCCAAUUAGGUUCAGGGGUAUUCCCGUCCUAAAUUUUUUGAUUAAAUUAAAUGCAUUAACAAAUCACUUCAUUAUAACACCAAUCAUCGUGUGUACUCUUUUGAAUUUCUGUUCGAGCGGUUCGUCCUCUCUCCUCCUCUCGAGCCCUAACCUCGGGCGCCCUCGAUCGCGGUCGAUCGCCUCCGGCGCCCUCGAUCGUCGCCGAUCGCACUUGAUCGCACUCGACGUGUCACUCCUUCCUCCUGCUCCUACUCCCCUCCCCCCUCCAUCGCAAGUCACACCCCCUCCCCCCGGGUCACGGCGCCAGAUCUUCCGACGAGCCGCUAAUCCCCACCUUCCCCGACCCGAGAGGUCACAUCAUCCUCAUCGACGUGCAUCAACUUUUUCACGCCGGAUCUUCGCUGUAAGUGCCUAGCCAUCUCAAAUCUUUUCUGUUCCCUUCUGCAUAUAGUACCAAUAUGGGUCGGAUUUGACUAGGGUUUAGGAUAUGACAUGUGAGGUUGAGGGUUUAUGGUUUCAGAAAGUUGUGACGAGAUUUCAAUUGAAAGGAAGUGUAAGUCGGAUUUAGCUAGGACAUAUUGAUGGAGUUAGUUAGGGUUUAUGGUUUCAGAAAGUUGUGACGAGAUUUUGAUUGAAAGGAAGUGCAAGUCGGGUUUAGCUAGGACAUAUUGAUGGAGUUAGGGUUUAUGGUUUCAGAAAGUCGUGACGAGAUUUCGAUUGAAAGGAAGUGUAAGUCCGAUUUAGCUAGGACAUAUUGAAGGACUUAGUUAGUGUUAUGUGGCAUGAGAAAGUUGUCAGCAGAUUUGGAUUCAAAGAAAGUUAUUUUGGAUUUAGUUAGGAGAUACUUUUGAAUUGAGUUUCGAGAUAUUUUGGAUUUGGUUAGGAGAUAAUUACUUUUGUAUGGAGUUUGGAGUUAUUUUGGAUUUAGUUAGGAGAUAAUUUGGAUUUAGUUAGGUCAUAAUUUUGGAUUUAGUUAGGAGACAAUUUUGAAUGGAGUUUGGAGAUAAUUGAUCUAUCAGGAUGGAUCUAUCACGGGACUUGAAGGAUUCAUGGACUUUGGAUUUAGUUAGGAGAUCAUCAGUUAGAGCAAGUACAAUCAAUUAAAUAUUUCCGGAUUUAAUGAGGGCAUAUUUUAUACUUACUUACAGAUUUUGAAGGACUGAGUUAGGUACAUGAAUUUGAUAUGAAAACUUAAAUCAGUUAUUUAAGAAGAGUAGUGCAGAAUUAUUACGUAUGUUAUCCAUCUGUUACAUUUACUAUCUGUUUUCGUUGGCAGCAUAAGGACAUGGAUGAUAAAGGCAACGAUCGCGAAAACUUGGGUGGUAUAGGCAAGGAUGACAAGGACAUGGGUGAUAGAGGAAACGAAAGCAAAGGCAUGGAUGAUAAGGAUAAUGAUUUCGUAGCCAUGGACCCUAAAGGAAUGGAUGGUAUGUGCACGGAUGAUAAUGAUGAGGAUGCAGACAAGGAUGGCAUAGACAUGGAUGAUGUACACAUGCAAGGUAAAGGAACUGAUAAUAAAGGCAUGGCUCGUUCAGACCUGAAUGAGUAUAUGGAAUACUUAGAGAUUUUGAAGAAGACUUUCAGGACUGAGGAAGAAGCCUACAUGUUCUACGUAGGCUAUGCGAGAAAAAAAGGGUUUGGUGUUAGAAAGGAUGAUCUGAAGUACGUGGGUCUGGGUCCGAAAAAAUGCAUACAGAAGGACAUACAAGUGCUGCAAGGAAGGAUGGCGGGCCUUAAGCACUUUAACAGAGCUGGAAGAAAAAGAACACCAAGGGGUCUUCCUCGGUGUGGGUGUCCCGCUCUUUUUCACGUUGAGCUACAAGAUAGCAGUGGCCUCUGGUUCGUCAAGAAUUUUGUGGACAAGCAUAACCAUUUGUUUGUCCCUGGUGACACGAGUCCCUACUUAUCACCUCAUUGUAGAAUGACAGACGCACAAAAGGCUGAUGUCAUGGAGUAUGCUGUCGGUGGACUUCGAACACAUCAUAUUAUGAAUGUAAUGGAGAAGAAUGUCGGAGGUCCCGACAAGCUUGGAUUUAUAGAUCGAGGCCUAUACAACCAUGUUUCAAUCCAGAAGAAGCGCAAGAUAGAAGGCAGUGACGCUAGAUAUUUCCUCACCUAUAUGAUUGCACACAAAAAAGCAGAUCCGGAAUUCUUUUUUAAAUACACAAAAGACAGCGAAGUCCAUUUGAGGAACAUAUUCUGGGCUGAUUCACAAGCCCGGAUUGACUAUGUUGCCUUUAGUGGUGUCAUGGUGUUAGAUAGUACAUAUCGGUCUAACAAGUACAAGCUUCCAUUUGUUCCAUUUGUUGGUCUGAACCAUCACUGCAACACAGUUUUGUUUGGGGUCGGUCUAGUGUCAGACGAGACAGUUGCAUCAUACCAGUGGCUUAUUCAUGUAUUUUUGGAGGCAAUGUCCCAGAAGCCACCCAUUUCAGCAAUCACCGAUGGGGAUGGUGCAAUGGCUAAAGCAAUAGCUACUAUUUGGACCGGAACAGAUCAUCGUUUGUGCAAGUGGCAUAUCGAGGAGAAUAUGGUGAUGCACCUCCGCAAGAAAAAACUUGAGGGAUUUAGGGAAUUCAUUUACCGUCAUUGGGAUGUUGAUGAGUUUGGUAAAAGACGGGAGGCUUAUAAGGUUCAGUUCAAACAAAACCAACGGGGCAAGAGGUCGUCAUGGGUUAACAGUAUGUACGAGCUGCGACACAAAUGGGCUGUUGCGUACACAAAGGGUAGAUAUUUCCUAGGCAUGGUGAGUAAUUAGAGGAGUGAGUCUCUCAACUCAAGGCUUCAUGUGCACCUGAACAAGAAGAUGCAACUUGUUGAUUUGUUGCAGCAUGUUCAGCACUGUGGAUCCGUAAUGCGUAAGAAUGAAGCAGCAUUAGACGCAGUAGCGACACAUACGAUACCCUUCACUAAGCUGAAUGCACACCCUCUGGAGAUUGAUGCCUCUUAUAUUUAUACAACGGUGAUGUUUCCACGCGUAAAGCGUCAGAUUGUCGAAGGAACAAAUUGGCAGGUUGCAGACCCGGUAGCAUGUGAUGCUUUGGUCGUGUUUGGAGUUUUGCGCAAAGUCCCAUAUGAUAAAGUCCCAUAUAUUAGGGAUGCUGGAGAAUUGCAAGCUAAGGAUGGUAAGGACUCGGAUUCUAAGGUUCCUACAGACUUGGAAGGUAAGGUGGUGAGGACUUGCAUGCAAAAAACUUGGAUGCUGAGGAUCCCAAUGACUUGGAAGGCAAGGAUGGUGUGGACUUGGAUGCGAAAAAACCUGGAUGCUAAGUAUCCCAAUGACUUGGAGGGUAAGGACAGUGAGGAGUUGGAUGUAAAAAAAGUUGGAUGCACAAGGCGUGGAUGCUAACUCUGUGGAUGUUUGAUAUCACGUGUCUUGUUUGUUUACAUGAGGAAGACUGGAUGUUGCAGCAUGUAAAUGUAAAAAGUUGGAAAGUGAGGAUUACCCAUGCACACAUAUAUUCUGCGUUCUGGAUCAUCUUGGUGUACGCACAUUUCCAAAAAAAUAGUGAAGAAAAGAUGGACAAUGCAUGCCAAGCUAGCGUUCCCUUCUUCGAGGACUGCGAAUAAGUAUCAUCAACUACGCAACAUGGCUAGUGACGCUUUAUUCACAGACGAAGCUAGCGAUUCACAGUCAGAACAGGUGAUGGAGCUCCUUCGGAGUAUAUUAGUUGAUGGAGAAAAAACCGAUUUGGAUGAAGGCAAGAAAUCGUUUGUUCCUUUGUCGGCAUACUUCUCUGCUGCUCGCGAAUGCUGCACUGAUGAGGUGGAAAAUCCAAUCAAAAUAGUUCCAAAAGGGAGACCAACUACAGAAGAAUCGAACAAGAGCAUUAAAUUCAGGCGCGAGACUAUGAGAGGGGAAAAAGUAAUGAAGUUAGUGCACAUGUUUAUCUCAUUGUUCAUUUCGAGUCUUCACAUGUUUUUUGUUCAAUUUACGCAAAAAAAAAUCAGAGAAUUCAAAGGUCACAAGGAGGAAGAAGCGAAAAGAGAAGACUCGAAGACAGAAGAAGAGGAAGAUACAAAAAAAGCAACAAAGUUAGUGGACAUGUUUAUCUCAUUGUUCAUUUCCAUACAUGCUUACAGUGUUAACAUGUUCUCCCGGAGAUUGUUCACAUGUUUUUCUUCAAUUUACCCAGGAAAAAAUAGGGAAAUCAAAGGUCACAAGGAGGAAGAAGCAAAAAGAGAAAGACCUAGAGACAGAAGAAGAGAUAGAGGCAAAAACAAAUUGUGCAUACUUAAACAUGUUUCCGAAUGGUGGCUGCAUAGUCAUCUAUUUCAUUUUUUGCAGGAAACGUAAGUGCGCUCCAAGUGUCAAAGCUGGGAGGAAAAAAUAUCCAAGAUGACAAAGAAGUGUCUGCUAGGAAUGUUGCAGCAAAGGGUGCGCGAAGAAACCCAGUGAAGUUAGUGUGUGUACUUACAUGUCCGCUCUACAAGUCAGGUCUUUGCUAGUACUGUGUUGACGUUUCUUAACUUUUCUAGGAAAGACUCUAGGAAGGGUGGUAAAGAACAGGACAAAUGGGUGAUGAAGUCAAAAAGGCAUGCUAGGAAUGUACCAAAAGCUGUGGGAAUAAGAGCUGUGAAGUUAACUUCUGCAGCUAUGAAGAGUGUUUUUUGUGUUCACGUGUAAUGCACAUGCUCAAAUCUUGUUUGCUACCCUAUUAACAAACGUUGUUUCAUGCAACAAAGCUAAAGUGAAGUCGAGACAAUAUGUUUAGAUGCACACGGUCAGGCAGAGAAACACAAGGAUUUCUCGGUUCGAAAAAUUGAGAACAAACUGAAUUAGAUAGUUUUCCAUGUCGUGAUCCACCUUGUUUCAGAUGUAUUUGACAUAUUUGAUGGACUGCCACUAUUUUUCUAAAUUUCUCGUUUGAUUGGUACCCUAAUUUUAUUAUGGAUAGGUCGAGAUGGUUGGCUACUUAUGAUUUAUCAACAUCGAUCAAACAAUGCAUUUUUAGUGAAGUUGGUUUAUGUAUUUUUUUCAUUUUUUACAUAAAAUAUUGCUGAAAUUUGUUAAAAGUGUAGUCAAAUUUCAUAUUUGAAAUAUAAAAUAGAAACCAAAAAAUCAUAUAUGUACAAAAAUAGAACGUUGGAUUUCCUGAGAAACCUAUUAUUAUGAGCACAAAAUUACAAAUUUGUAUCAAAAUAGAGACCUCGUUUUCAAAUAGCCUUGAAAAAUGUUUAUUUUGAAAUAGAAAAUAAGCAUAUUGAUAUUUUAAAAAUAGCAUGAAUAUGCGGAUUUAGAAAUAGCAUGCUGCUUUGGAUGUGUUGUUUUUAAAAUACCAUGCUAUUUUAAAAAUAGCAUGCUAAUUUUCAAAAUAUAAUGCUGCUUUCAAUAUGCUAUUUUAAAAUUACCAUGCUAUUUUUAAAAUAGCAUGUUGUUUUAAAUAUGCUAUUUUUAGAAUAAGCAUGCUGAUUUUAAAAAUAGCAUGCUCUUUUAAAAAUAUAAUGCUCUUUUCAUUAUGCUAUUUUUAAAAUAUAUGCUGAUUUCAAAAAUAGCAUGCUGAUUUUAAAAAUAGCAUGCUGAUUUUGAAUAUGUUGUUUUUAAAAAUAGCAUAUUGAUUUCAAAAUAGCAUGCUGAUUUCAAAAUAACUUCCUGGUUUUAAAAAUAUAACGGUGUUUUCAAUAUGUUGUUUCAAAAUUAACAUGCUGAUUUAAAAAAUUGCAUGCUUUUUUAAAUAUGUUGUUUUCAAUGUAGCAUGGUGAUUUUGGAAAUAGCAUUUUUUAUUACGCUGUUUUAAAAAUAGCAUGUUUUUUAGUAUACUGUUUUAGAAAAAUUAAAAUAACAUGUUGGUUUGCUCUAUUUUUUGAAAUAGCAUGCCAUUUCGAAAAUAACACAAACAUCAAUUUUUAAAUAUGAAAGCUUCGACCAGCAAGUUUUUGUUUUUGCAUUGCAUUUUUUGUGUAAUACAUGCAAAUUUCAUUUUCAAAAUGACUAGUACUAGCCAACACAAAAUCCUCGUUCUAAAUAUGAAAGUAGCAUCUAAUCCAUAUGAAACCUCGUUAGAUUUGAUUUUAAAAAUAUUAGCAUCACUUUAAAACUAUGGCAAAAAAAGGAAAUAUCAUUGCAGUCCAUAAAGCUAAUGAUAUCAAGCAGGGUACCGCGAUGCGUUAUAUAUAUAGACUUGCAUACCAAGUACAUUAAGCCACAUAAGUUCAUACUGUCACCAACCAGUUAUUGCGAAGUUCCACUUAUUGGUUGAUCUUCAUAUCUAGCCGGACCCAAACGUUAUACAACCAAAGUACACUAGUAGAAAAAGGGCCUUUUGUCCCGGUUCGUAAGGGCUUUCUGUCCCGGUUUCGGAACCGUGACUAAAAGGUCGUUACUAAUGCCCUUGGCCUUUAGUCCCGGUUCUUACACGAACCGAGACAAAUGGGCCUCCACGUGGCCGGUGCGGCGAGCCCGGGCAGGCGGGCCUUUAGUCCCGGUUGGUGNNNNNNNNNNNNNNNNNNNNNNNNNNNNNNNNNNNNNNNNNNNNNNNNNNNNNNNNNNNNNNNNNNNNNNNNNNNNNNNNNNNNNNNNNNNNNNNNNNNNNNNNNNNNNNNNNNNNNNNNNNNNNNNNNNNNNNNNNNNNNNNNNNNNNNNNNNNNNNNNNNNNNNNNNNNNNNNNNNNNNNNNNNNNNNNNNNNNNNNNNNNNNNNNNNNNNNNNNNNNNNNNNNNNNNNNNNNNNNNNNNNNNNNNNNNNNNNNNNNNNNNNNNNNNNNNNNNNNNNNNNNNNNNNNNNNNNNNNNNNNNNNNNNNNNNNNNNNNNNNNNNNNNNNNNNNNNNNNNNNNNNNNNNNNNNNNNNNNNNNNNNNNNNNNNNNNNNNNNNNNNNNNNNNNNNNNNNNNNNNNNNNNNNNNNNNNNNNNNNNNNNNNNNNNNNNNNNNNNNNNNNNNNNNNNNNNNNNNNNNNNNNNNNNNNNNNNNNNNNNNNNNNNNNNNNNNNNNNNNNNNNNNNNNNNNNNNNNNNNNNNNNNNNNNNNNNNNNNNNNNNNNNNNNNNNNNNNNNNNNNNNNNNNNNNNNNNNNNNNNNNNNNNNNNNNNNNNNNNNNNNNNNNNNNNNNNNNNNNNNNNNNNNNNNNNNNNNNNNNNNNNNNNNNNNNNNNNNNNNNNNNNNNNNNNNNNNNNNNNNNNNNNNNNNNNNNNNNNNNNNNNNNNNNNNNNNNNNNNNNNNNNNNNNNNNNNNNNNNNNNNNNNNNNNNNNNNNNNNNNNNNNNNNNNNNNNNNNNNNNNNNNNNNNNNNNNNNNNUAACACCUUCGGAGAUACCUGUAGAGCAUAUUUAUAGUCACCCAGUUACGUUGCGACGUUUGAUACACACAAAGCAUUCCUCCAGUGUCAGUGAGUUAUAUGAUCUCAUGGUCAUAGGAAUAAAUACUUGACACGCAGAAAACAGUAACAACAAAAUGACACGAUCNNNNNNNNNNNNNNNNNNNNNNNNNNNNNNNNNNNNNNNNNNNNNNNNNNNNNNNNNNNNNNNNNNNNNNNNNNNNNNNNNNNNNNNNNNNNNNNNNNNNNNNNNNNNNNNNNNNNNNNNNNNNNNNNNNNNNNNNNNNNNNNNNNNNNNNNNNNNNNNNNNNNNNNNNNNNNNNNNNNNNNNNNNNNNNNNNNNNNNNNNNNNNNNNNNNNNNNNNNNNNNNNNNNNNNNNNNNNNNNNNNNNNNNNNNNNNNNNNNNNNNNNNNNNNNNNNNNNNNNNNNNNNNNNNNNNNNNNNNNNNNNNNNNNNNNNNNNNNNNNNNNNNNNNNNNNNNNNNNNNNNNNNNNNNNNNNNNNNNNNNNNNNNNNNNNNNNNNNNNNNNNNNNNNNNNNNNNNNNNNNNNNNNNNNNNNNNNNNNNNNNNNNNNNNNNNNGCCUCUAGGGCAUAAUUCGAACAGUCUCCCACUUGCACUAGAGUCAAUAAUCCAGCCCUCACAUCACCAUGUGAAUUACAUUGUAAUAAAUCUAACACCCAUACAGUUCUGGUGUCGAUCAUGUUUUGGCCGUGGAAGAGGUUUAGUCAGCGGGUCUGCUACAUUCAGAUCCGUGUGCACUUUGCAUAUAUUUACGUCCUCUUCCUCGACGUAGUCGCGGAUGAGGUUGAAGCGUCGUUUGAUGUGUCUGGUCUUCUUGUGAAACCGUGGUUCCUUUGCUAAGGCAAUGGCACCAGUGUUGUCACAGAACAAGGUUAUUGGAUUCAGUGCGCUUGGCACCACUCCAAGAUCCGUCAUGAACUGCUUCAUCCAGACACCCUCCUUAGCCGCCUCCGAGGCAGCCAUGUACUCCGCUUCACAUGUAGAAUCUGCUACGACGCUUUGCUUGGAACUGCACCAGCUUACUGCACCCCCAUUAAGAAUAAAUACGUAUCCGGUUUGCGACUUAGAGUCGUCCGGAUCUGUGUCAAAGCUUGCAUCGACGUAACCUUUUACGGCGAGCUCUUCGUCACCUCCAUACACGAGAAACAUCUCCUUAGUCCUUUUCAGGUACUUCAGGAUAUUCUUGACCGUUGUCCAGUGAUCCACUCCUGGAUUACUCUGGAACCUACCUGCCAUACUUAUGGCCAGGCUAACAUCCGGUCUAGUGCACAACAUCGCAUACAUGAUAGAGCCUAUGGCUGAAGCAUAGGGGACGGAGCGCAUAUGCUCUCUAUCUUCAUCAGUUGCUGGGCACUGAGUCUUACUCAAUCUCGUACCUUGUAAAACUGGCAAGAACCCUUUCUUGGACUGUUCCAUUUUGAACCUCUUCAAAACUUUAUCAAGGUAUGUGCUUUGUGAAAGUCCUAUCAGGCGUUUUGAUCUAUCCGUAUAGAUCUUAAUGCCUAGAAUGUAAGCAGCUUCUCCUAGGUCCUUCAUAGAGAAACUUUUAUUCAAGCAACCUUUUAUGUUCUCCAAAAGCUCUAGGUUGUUUCCAAUCAGUAAUAUGUCAUCCACAUAUAAUAUUAGAAACGCCACAGAGCUCCCACUCACUUUCUUGUAAAUACAAGAUUCUCCAACCACUUGUAUAAACCCAAAUGCUUUGAUCACCUCAUCAAAGCGUUUGUUCCAAUUCCGAGAUGCUUGCACCAGUCCAUAAAUGGAUCGCUGGAGCUUGCACACCUUGUCAGCAUUUUUAGGAUCGACAAAACCUUCGGGUUGCAUCAUAUACAACUCUUCCUUAAGGAAACCGUUAAGGAACACCGUUUUGACAUCCAUCUGCCAGAUUUCAUAAUUGAAAAAUGCAGCUAUUGCUAACAUGAUUCUGACGGACUUAAGCAUCGCUACGGGUGAGAAAGUCUCAUCGUAGUCAACUCCUGGAACUUGUGAAAAACCCUUUGCCACAAGUCGAGCUUUAUAAACAGUCACAUUACCGUCAGCGUCCGUCUUCUUCUUAAAGAUCCAUUUGUUCUGAAUAGCCUUGCGGCCCUCAGGUAGUAUCUCCAAAGUCGACACUUUGUUCUCAUACAUGGAUCCUAUCUCGGAUUUCAUGGCUUCUAGGCAUUUGUUGGAAUCUGGGCCCACCAUUGCUUCUUCAUAAUUUGCAGGUUCAUUGUUGUCUAACAACAUGAUUGAUAAGACGGGAUUACCGUACCAGUCUGGAGCAGCGCGUGAUCUCGUCGACCUGCGUGGUUCAACAGAAACUUGAACUGGAGUUUCAUGAUCAUCAUCAUUAACAUCCUCCUCAACCGGCGUCGCAACGACAGAGGUUUCCCCUUGCCCUGCGCCACCAUCCAGAGGGAUGAGAGGUUCGACAACCUCGUCAAGUUCUAUCUUCCUCCCACUCAAUUCUCUCGAGAGAAACUCCUUCUCGAGAAAAGCUCCAUUUUUAGCAACAAACACUUUGCCCUCGGAUUUGAGAUAGAAGGUGUACCCAACUGUCUCUUUUGGGUAACCUAUGAAGACGCACUUUUCCGCUUUGGGUUCCAGCUUUUCAGGCUGAAGCUUUUUGACAUAAGCAUCACAUCCCCAAACUUUAAGAAACGACAACUUUGGCUUUUUUCCAUACCACAGUUCGUAUGGUGUCGUCUCAACGGAUUUUGAUGGUGCCCUAUUUAAAGUGAAUGCAGCUGUUUCUAAUGCAUGACCCCAAAAUGAUAACGGCAAAUCAGUAAGAGACAUCAUAGAUCGCACCAUCUCUAACAAAGUACGAUUACGACGUUCGGACACACCAUUACGCUGUGGUGUUCCAGGCGGUGUUAACUGUGAAACAAUUCCACAUUGUCUUAAGUGAGCACCAAACUCGAAACUCAGAUAUUCACCCCCACGAUCAGACCGUAGGAACUUGAUCUUCUUGUUACGAUGAUUUUCCACCUCACUCUGAAAUUGCUUGAACUUUUCAAAUGUUUCAGACUUGUGCUUCAUCAAGUAGACAUAACCAUAUCUACUUAAAUCGUCAGUGAAGGUGAGAAAAUAACGAUAUCCGCCGCGUGCCUCCACGCUCAUUGGACCACACACAUCGGUAUGUAUGAUUUCCAACAAGUCACUUGCACGCUCCAUUGUUCCGGAGAACGGAGUCUUAGUCAUCUUGCCCAUGAGGCAUGGUUCGCACGUGUCAAGUGAAUCAAAGUCAAGUGACUCCAAAAGUCCAUCAGCAUGGAGUUUCUUCAUGCGCUUUACACCAAUAUGACCUAAGCGGCAGUGCCACAAAAAUAUGGCGCUAUCAUUGUUUACUCUAACUCUUUUGGUCUCAAUGUUAUGUAUAUGCGUAUCGCUAUCAAGAUUCAAUAUGAACAAUCCUCUCACAUUCGGUGCAUGACCAUAAAAGAUGUUACUCAUAGAAAUAGAACAACCAUUAUUCUCAGACUUAAAAGAGUAACCGUCUCGCAAUAAACAAGAUCCAGAUAUAAUGUUCAUGCUCAACGCAGGCACUAAAUAACAAUGAUUUAAGUUCAUCACUAAUCCCGAUGGUAGCUGAAGUGACACUGUGCCGACGGCGAUUGCAUCAACCUUGGAACCGUUUCCUACGCGCAUCGUCACUUCGUCUUUCGCCAGCCUUCGUCUAUUCCGCAGUUACUGCUUCGAGUUGCAAAUAUGAGCAACAGAACCGGUAUCGAAUACCCAGGCACUACUACGAGAGCCGGUUAAGUACACAUCAAUAACAUGUAUAUCAAAUAUACCUGAUUUUUCUUUGCUCGCCUUCUUAUCUGCCAGAUACUUGGGGCAAUUGCGCUUCUAGUGACCCAUACCCUUGCAAUAGAAGCACUCUGUUUCAGGCUUAGGUCCAGCCUUGGGUUUCUUCGGCGGAUUGGCAACAGGCUUGCCGCUCUUCUUUGAAUUGCCCUUCUUGCCUUUGCCGUUUCUCUUGAAACUAGUGGUCUUGCUCACCAUCAACACUUGAUGCUCUUUACGGAGUUCAGACUCUGCGACUUUCAGCAUCGCAAACAACUCGCCGGGAGACUUGUUCAUCCCUUGCAUGUUGUAGUUCAACACAAAGCCUUUAUAGCUUGGCGGCAGUGAUUGAAGGAUUCUGUCAGUGAUAGCUUCUUGCGGGAGUUCAAUCCCCAGCUCAGAUAGACGGUUUGAGUACCCAGACAUUUUGAGCACAUGUUCACUGAUAGACGAGUUUUCCUCCAUCUUGCAAGCAUAGAAUUUAUCGGAGGUCUCAUACCUCUCGAUCCGGGCGUUCUUCUGAAAGAUAAACUCCAACUCCUGGAACAUCUCAAAUGCUCCAUGACGCUCAAAGCGACGUUGAAGUCCCGGUUCUAAGCCAUACAAGACUGCACAUUGAACUAUUGAGUAGUCCUCCUUACGUGCUAACCAAGCGUUCUUAACAUCCUGAUCAGCCGUAGCGGGUGGUUCAUCUCCUAGCGCAGCAUUAAGGACAUAAUCCUUCUUCCCAGCUUGUAAGAUUAGCUUAAGAUUACGAGCCCAGUCUACAAAGUUGCUUCCAUCAUCUUUCAACUUAGCUUUCUCUAGGAACGUAUUAAAAUUCAGGAUGACUGACGCGUGAGCCAUGAUCUACAACACAAAUAUAUUCAAAGUGGACUUAGACUAUGUUCAAGAUAAUUAGAGUUCAACUUAAUCAAAUUAUAUGCUAAACUCCCACUCAAAAAGUACAUCUCUCUAGUCAUUUGAGUGGUUCAUGAUCCACUUACACUAUCCCAAGUCCGAUCAUCACGUGAGUUGAGUAUAGUUUCAGUGGUAAGCAUCCCUAUGCUAAUCAUAUCAACUAUAUGAUUCAUGAUCGACCUUUCGGUCUCAUGUGUUCCGAGGCCAUGUCUGCACAUGCUAGGCUUGUCAAGCUUAACCCGAGUGUUCCACGUGCGCAACUGUUUUGCACCCGUUGUAUGUGAACGUUGAGUCUAUCACACCCGAUCAUCACGUGGUGUCUCGAAACGACGAUCUGUAGCAACGGUGCACACUCGGGGAGAACACAAUUUCGUCUUGAAAUUUUAGUGAGAGAUCACCUCAUAAUGCUACCGUCGUUCUAAGCAAAAUAAGGUGCAUAAAAGGAUUAACAUCACAUGCAAUUCAUAAGUGACAUGAUAUGGCCAUCAUCACGUGCUUCUUGAUCUCCAUCACCAAAGCACCGGCACGAUCUUCUUGUCACCGGCGCCACACCAUGAUCAUCCAUCAACGUGUUGCCAUCGGGGUUGUCGUGCUACUUAUGCUAUUACUACUAAAGCUACAUCCUAGCAAAAUAGUAAACGCAUCUGCAAGCACAAACGUUAGUAUAAAGACAACCCUAUGGCUCCUGCCGGUUGCCGUACCAUCGACGUGCAAGUCGAUAUUUCUAUUACAACAUGAUCAUCUCAUACAUCCAAUAUAUCACAUCACAUCGUUGGCCACAUCACAUCACAAUCAUACCCUGCAAAAACAAGUUAGACGUCCUCUAAUUUUGUUGUUGCAUGUUUUACAUGGUGACCAAGGGUAUCUAGUAGGAUCGCAUCUUACUUACGCAAACACCACAACGGAGAUAUAUGAGUUGCUAUUUAACCUCAUCCAAGGACCUCCUCGGUCAAAUCCGAUUCAACUAAAGUUGGAGAAACCGUCACUUGCCAGUCAUCUUUGAGCAAAGGGGGUUACUCGUAACGAUGAAACCAGUCUCUCGUAAGCGUACGAGUAAUGUCGGUCCAAGCCGCUUCAAUCCAACAAUACAGCGGAAUCAAGAAAAGACUAAGGAGGGCAGCAAAACGCACAUCACUGCCCACAAAAACUUUUGUGUUCUACUCGAGAAGACAUCUACGCAUGAACCUAGCUCAUGAUGCCACUCUUGGGGAACGUCGCAUGGGAAACAAAAAAUUUCCUACGCGCACGAAGACCUAUCAUGGUGAUGUCCAUCUACGAGAGGGGAUGAGUGAUCUACGUACCCUUGUAGACCAUACAGCAGAAGCGUUAGANNNNNNNNNNNNNNNNNNNNNNNNNNNNNNNNNNNNNNNNNNNNNNNNNNNNNNNNNNNNNNNNNNNNNNNNNNNNNNNNNNNNNNNNNNNNNNNNNNNNAGAAGAGAAAGAGAAGAAUAAGUAAAAGAAGGAGGAGGAGGAGGAGGAGGAGAAGGAGAAGGUAGAGGAGAAGAAGAAGAAAAGAAGAAGGAGAAGGAGAAGGAGGAAGAAGACGGAGAAGGAGGAGCUCCUUCCCCUUCUUCUCCUCCUUCUUAUCCUCCUCCUUCUCCUUCUUCUUCUUCUCUUCUUCUUCUUCUUCCUUCCUUUCAUUUUUCCUCUUUCUUCUCNNNNNNNNNNNNNNNNNNNNNNNNNNNNNNNNNNNNNNNNNNNNNNNNNNNNNNNNNNNNNNNNNNNNNNNNNNNNNNNNNNNNNNNNNNNNNNNNNNNNNNNNNNNNNNNNNNNNNNNNNNNNNNNNNNNNNNNNNNNNNNNNNNNNNNNNNNNNNNNNNNNNNNNNNNNNNNNNNNNNNNNNNNNNNNNNNNNNNNNNNNNNNNNNNNNNNNNNNNNNNNNNNNNNNNNNNNNNNNNNNNNNNNNNNNNNNNNNNNNNNNNNNNNNNNNNNNNNNNNNNNNNNNNNNNNNNNNNNNNNNNNNUUAUGUCAUUUCGAGGAUGAUUAGCUAAGUAUAGGUCAUCUUUUAUGAAAUAGACCAUUUAGGAGCUAACUAAGCUAAUUAUGUCAUUUAGGUGGAACCCUAGCUAACUAUAGGUCGUUUCGGAGCUAACUUGGGUUAAAUAGGUCAUUCCGGAGCAAACUAUGCUUAUUAAGCCAUUUUGGAUAUAGCUAGGCUAAUUAUAAGCCAUUUAAUACCUAAGUUAGGGGGAAUAGGUCAUCUUGCAGCUACGUAAGCCUUAUUAUGUCAUUUAGGAGAGAAAUUAGCUAAGUAUAGGUCAUUUUUAUCAAAUAGGUCAUUUUGGAGCUAACUAAGCUAAUUAUGUCAUUUCGUAGGAUAAUUAGCCAAUUUAGCCAUUCUUGGAUGAGUCUAAGCUACGUAGAAGAAGAGAAAGAGAAUUAGAAGUAAAAGAAGGAGGAGGAGGAGGAUGAGAAGGAGAAGGAAGAGGAGAAGAAGAAGAAAAUAAGAAGGAGAAGGAGAAGGAGGAAGAAGGUGUGGAAAAAGAAGGAGAAGGAGGAGCUCCUUCUCCUUCUUCUCCUCCUUCUUCUCCUUCUUCUUAUCCUCCUACUUCUCUUCUUCUUCUUCCUUCCUUUCAUUUUCCUCUUUCUUCUCCNNNNNNNNNNNNNNNNNNNNNNNNNNNNNNNNNNNNNNNNNNNNNNNNNNNNNNNNNNNNNNNNNNNNNNNNNNNNNNNNNNNNNNNNNNNNNNNNNNNNNNNNNNNNNNNNNNNNNNNNNNNNNNNNNNNNNNNNNNNNNNNNNNNNNNNNNNNNNNNNNNNNNNNNNNNNNNNNNNNNNNNNNNNNNNNNNNNNNNNNNNNNNNNNNNNNNNNNNNNNNNNNNNNNNNNNNNNNNNNNNNNNNNNNNNNNNNNNNNNNNNNNNNNNNNNNNNNNNNNNNNNNNNNNNNNNNNNNNNNNNNNNNNNNNNNNNNNNNNNNNNNNNNUGCCUUUUUGGAGCUAAUAUGUCAUUUUGAGGAUAAUUAGCUAAGUAUAGGUCAUGUUUUAUUAAAUAGACCAUUUAGGAGCUAAGUGAGCUAAUUAUGUCAUUUAGGUGGAACCCUAGCUAACUAUAGGUCAUUUUGGAGCUAACUUGGGUAAAAUAGGUCAUUCCGGAGCAAACUAUGCUUAUUAAGCCAUUUUGGAUCUAGCUAGUCUAAUUAUAGGCCAUUUANNNNNNNNNNNNNNNNNNNNNNNNNNNNNNNNNNNNNNNNNNNNNNNNNNNNNNNNNNNNNNNNNNNNNNNNNNNNNNNNNNNNNNNNNNNNNNNNNNNNAAUCCUUGGCACUGAGGUUCAAACGAUAAGAUCUUCGUAGAAUAUGUAGGAUCCAAUAUGGGCAUCCAGGUCCCGCUAUUGGAUAUUGACCGAGGAGUCUCUCGGGUCAUGUCUACAUAGUUCUCGAACCCGCAGGGUCUGCACACUUAAGGUUCGACGUUGUUUUAUGCGUAUUUGAGUUAUAUGGUUGGUUACCGAAUGUUGUUCGNNNNNNNNNNNNNNNNNNNNNNNNNNNNNNNNNNNNNNNNNNNNNNNNNNNNNNNNNNNNNNNNNNNNNNNNNNNNNNNNNNNNNNNNNNNNNNNNNNNNNNNNNNNNNNNNNNNNNNNNNNNNNNNNNNNNNNNNNNNNNNNNNNNNNNNNNNNNNNNNNNNNNNNNNNNNNNNNNNNNNNNNNNNNNNNNNNNNNNNNNNNNNNNNNNNNNNNNNNNNNNNNNNNNNNNNNNNNNNNNNNNNNNNNNNNNNNNNNNNNNNNNNNNNNNNNNNNNNNNNNNNNNNNNNNNNNNNNNNNNNNNNNNNNNNNNNNNNNNNNNNNNNNNNNNNNNNNNNNNNNNNNNNNNNNNAAGGUUUUCGGAGUUACCGGGAAUGUACCGGGAAUGACGAAUGGGUUCCGGGAGUUCACCGGGGGGGCAACCCACCCCGGGGAAGCCGAUAGGCCUUGAGGGAGACACACCAGCCCUUAGUGGGCUGGUGGGACAGCCCACAAGUGGUCUAUGCGCCAAGAGAAGAAAAAUCAAGAGGAAAAGAAAAAAAAAGGGAGGAGGUGGGAAGGGAGGAGGACUCCCUCCCACCAAACCUAGUCCAACUCGGUUUGGGGGGGGAGAGUCCUCCCCCUUGGCUCGGCCGACCCCCUUGAGGGUCCUUGGACCCCAAGGCAAGGCCCCCUCCCUCCCACCUAUAUAUACGGAGGUUUUAGGGCUGAUUUGAGACGACUUUUCCACGGCAGCCCGACCACAUACCUCCACGGUUUUUCCUCUAGAUCGCGUUUCUGCGGAGNNNNNNNNNNNNNNNNNNNNNNNNNNNNNNNNNNNNNNNNNNNNNNNNNNNNNNNNNNNNNNNNNNNNNNNNNNNNNNNNNNNNNNNNNNNNNNNNNNNNNNNNNNNNNNNNNNNNNNNNNNNNNNNNNNNNNNNNNNNNNNNNNNNNNNNNNNNNNNNNNNNNNNNNNNNNNNNNNNNNNNNNNNNNNNNNNNNNNNNNNNNNNNNNNNNNNNNNNNNNNNNNNNNNNNNNNNNNNNNNNNNNNNNNNNNNNNNNNNNNNNNNNNNNNNNNNNNNNNNNNNNNNNNNNNNNNNNNNNNNNNNNNNNNNNNNNNNNNNNNNNNNNNNNNNNNNNNNNNNNNNNNNNNNNNNNNNNNNNNNNNNNNNNNNNNNNNNUGAACGCGGAGGUGCCGUCCGUUCGGUACUAGAUCGUGGGACUGAUCGCGGGAUUGUUCGCGGGGCGGAUCGAGGGACGUGAGGACGUUCCACUACAUCAACCGCGUUCUCUAACGCUUCUGCUGUANNNNNNNNNNNNNNNNNNNNNNNNNNNNNNNNNNNNNNNNNNNNNNNNNNNNNNNNNNNNNNNNNNNNNNNNNNNNNNNNNNNNNNNNNNNNNNNNNNNNGGGGGGGGGUUAGGGGGUUUUGGGGGGUUAAUUUAGGUGUUUCAUAUAUUGUGUUAGCUAGAUAAUGAAUAGAGAGAAGUGUCCUCUCUUAUCUCCGUGCAUCGUUGACGCUGCAUGCUAUACGUAUAGAGAGGACUUGACACGCUAGCUAGUAAGAAAAUGAAGGAAACAGAAGAUCGUCAUGAACAUAUGCAUACAAAGAGAAGUGAUAUCGACCACCUCUCCUUCUCUGAGAGAUUGGUUGAACAACAAGUUCUCGUAUAUCUAUCCGACGCUACAGGCUACAUAUAUACAAUAUAAUUAUCUCUUACAAUAUAAUCUCCUAAUUAAAAUUCAACUGAUUAGGGUUCACAUGGUAUUCUCCGUCUUUAGCGNNNNNNNNNNNNNNNNNNNNNNNNNNNNNNNNNNNNNNNNNNNNNNNNNNNNNNNNNNNNNNNNNNNNNNNNNNNNNNNNNNNNNNNNNNNNNNNNNNNNNNNNNNNNNNNNNNNNNNNNNNNNNNNNNNNNNNNNNNNNNNNNNNNNNNNNNNNNNNNNNNNNNNNNNNNNNNNNNNNNNNNNNNNNNNNNNNNNGUCGCAUGGGAAACAAAAUUUUUCCUACGCGCACGAANNNNNUAUUCUCCGUCUUUAGCGAUCACGUGGCCAGGAAAGAAUGCCGCCAAUUCCUCUUGAAUUCCUCGCAUACGAUCUGCUGGUAGGAGUUCAUUCCGCAUCUGAUAUAUCUAAUUUGAAGAAGGGGGUCAAUACAUAUAUAUGAAUAAAUGAAACUGAACACAAAUGAUGAUAAUAAAAUAAGAUUGUGAAUAUUAUUAUUUACGCACGUCAUAUUGUUUGUCAGAGUAGCCCCGCUCACAGGUCGUGUGGCGGAUGGACUCGGAAAUGUAGUAUCCACAGUAAUCAUUCCCUGGUUCCUGCCACAACCACUUUACAAGAAAUAGAGGUCAAUCAAACUGAUAGUUAACAAGCAUGCUAAAUGGUAUUGAUGAAACUAGCGCUUGAAUCACUAGGAGAUGCGUGGAACAUGCUACUAUAGUACUCUUGGGGAACGUCGCNNNNNNNNNNNNNNNNNNNNNNNNNNNNNNNNNNNNNNNNNNNNNNNNNNNNNNNNNNNNNNNNNNNNNNNNNNNNNNNNNNNNNNNNNNNNNNNNNNNNCAUUGUGCAAUGAUGAUAAAGCAUAGCUAGACUAUAUGCUUUUGUAGGGAUAACUUUCUUUUGGCCUUGUUAUUUUGAAAAUUCAUGAUUACCUUGCUAGUUUGCUUGAAUUAUUAUUGUUUCCACGUCAAUAGGAAACUAUUGUUUUGAAUCUAAUGGAUCUGAACAUUCACGUCACAUAAGAGGAAUUACAAAGGACACAUAUGCUAGGUAGCAUGAAAACAUCAAAAAUUCGUUCUUAUCACUUCCCUACUCGAGGACGAGCAGGAGUUAAGCUUGGGGAUGCUUGAUACGCCUCAAACGUAUCUAUAAUUUUUGAUGGUUUCACGCUGUUAUCUUGCCUUCUUUGUAUGUUUUAUGUAUCUUUUUAUAUCUUUUUGGGACUAACUUAUUAAUUCAGUGCCAAGUGCCAGUUCCUGUUUUUUCCGUGUUUUUGACUCUUUUCAGAUCUAAUUUUGGAAUGGAGUCCAAACGGAAGAAAAACCCGAAAUGAUUUUUUCCCCAAUGGAAGAAGUCCAGGGGGCUUUUGGGCCAAGCCAGGUGGGCUCCCACUCCGCCACCAGGGGGAGGCGGCGGUGGGCAGGCUUGUGUCCUCCCUGGCCGCCCCCUGACCUAGGUCUUUGGCCUAUAAAUUCCCAAAUAUUCCACAAAAAAUCAGGGGAGCCUCGAAAAUACUUUUCCGCCGCCGCAAGCUUCCGUUUCUGCAAGAUAUCAUCUGGAGACCCUUCCCGGCACCCUGUCGAAGGGAACUUUGGAGUUGGAGGGCUUCUUCAUCAUCAUCAUCGCCCCUCCAAUGACUCAUGAGUAGUUCACUUCAGACCUACGGGUCCGUAGUUAGUAGCUAGAUGGCUUCUUCUCUCUCUUCGAUCUUCAAUACAAAGUUCUCCAUGACCUUCAUGGAGAUCUAUCCGAUGUAAUCUUCUUUGGCAGUGUGUUUGUCGAGAUCCGAUGAAUUGUGGAAUUUUGAUCAGAUUAUCUAUGAUAUAUAUUUCAGUCUUUGCUGAUUUCUUCUAUGCAUGAUUUGAUAUCCUUGUAAGUGUCUCUGAGUCUUGGGUUUUGUUUGGCCAACUAGAUCUAUGAUUCUUGCAAUGAGAGAAGUGCUUGGUUUUGGGUUCUGCCAAGUGGUGACCUUUCCUAGUGACAGGAGGGGCAGCAAGGCACACAUCAAGCAGUUGCCAUCAUGGGUAAAAAGAUGGGGUUUUUAUCAUUUGUUUGAGAUUAUCCCUCUACAUCAUGUCAUCUUGCUUAAGGUGUUACUCUGUUCUUAUGGACUUAAUACACUAGAUGCAUGCUGGAUAGCGGUCGACGUAUGGAGUAAUAGUAGUAGAUGCAGAAAGUAUCGGUCUACUUGUUUCGGACGUGAUGCCUAUAGAAAUAAUCAUUNCUAGAGGAAGGCAUUGGGGAGUAGUAAGUAGAUGAUGGGUUGCUGGAGUGACAGAAGUUGAAACUCCAGUCUAUGCGUUGCUUCGUAAGGGACUCAUUUGGAUCCACUAGUUUAAUGCUAUGUUUAGACGUUGUCUUAAUUCUUCUUUCGUAGUUGCAGACGCUUGCGAGAGGGGUUAAUCGUAAGUGGAUGAUUGUCCAAGUAAGGGCAGUACCCAAGCGCCGGUCCACCCACAUAUCAAACUAUCAAAGUAGCGAACGUGAAUCAUAUGAAGAUGAUGAAACUGGCAUGACAGAAAUUCACGUGUGUCCUCGGGAGCGUUUUUCCUCCUAUAAGACUUUGUUCAGGCUUGUCCCUUGCAACAAAAGGGAUUAGGCCACUGGCUGCACGAUCGCUACUACUUGUUACUUGUUACUUUUCGCUUGCUACGUUUCACCUCACUACACCAUCACUUGUUACCGCUACUUUUAGUGCUUGAAGUUAUUACCUUGCUGAAAACCAUUUAUCAGGGCCUUCUGCUCCUCGUUGGGUUCGACACUCUUACUUAUCGAAUGGACUACGAUUGAUCCCCUAUACUUGUGGGUCAUCGGGCCACCACCAUAGACGAGCCUGCGAUCUGGAGCCGAGCCACAGACUCGCCUAGGACGCCCAGGCGGGCCCUCAGGCCCACCCCGAUCUCCUCCACGCUCCAGUCGGAGCUAGCGUCUACCUCCUGCCCGGCCGUGCGGCGCUCCUCGUGGCUCACCUCGACGGCCGUGUCGGCCCCGUCCCGUGUCUCAGGGAGGAGGCCUGAGAUAGGGGAGGGGGCCCCAAGACGAAUAAGAAGAGGAGACGACAAAGAAAAUUCAAGACAAAACAAAAGAAGACUCACGAUCGAAGUCGUUAUCAGUCUCAUGGGCGCUCUCGAGGGCCUCGAGCUCCCGCUCCUUACUCGCUUGAGUAAGGCGGGCUACUUCGUCCUAGAGGGCCGCCACCGCGUCCAGGGCCUUGGCCAGCAACGCCUACUUCUAGAUUGGGGAGUCCUCCUUCUCCUUCAAGGCAGCAUCCUUGAGCUUCAUCUCCCCGAGAAGAAGCGUCUCAAGACGCUCCAGGUCGGCAGUAUGGGAGGCGUCCUUCUCCUGCAGAGAGGCGCGCAGCUGCUCCAGCUCGGCCCGGCUAGCCACCUCAAGCUCCUUCUUCUCCGUCUGGAGAAGAGCUAGCUGCUGCUGGAGCCGUCCGUCUGCAUCGCGCAGGGCGUCCCGCUCCACGACAACCUCGCCUAGCCGGGCUUGAAGCUCGGCAACCUGACCAUCAGCCGCCUGGUUUUGAGGCCGCAGCGUGUUGUAGGUUUGCACCUGGGCAUCAUAAAGAUCCUACAAAGCAAGGAUAAAGCAGAAGUAAGAUUCGGCCUGGUUAAGUCAUAACCAGCCUGAUUCUUGAGGGCUACACCCAGUGAGUGCGUUAGCGCUCCCCUACUAAAGAAGCAAAGCAAGAAAAGAAGCUCAAAGAGAUUCAGCCCGGCCGAUGCUCGGCCGGCCCGACUCUCGAGGGCUACACCGAGUGGGUGCGCUGGCAUGCCCCCACUGAUUCAAGAAAAGAAAAAAUUAAAGACAAAGGCGAGGCACUUACCCUGGUGCGCUCCUCCAAGCGCUCUAGAUCACCGCUCACCACGUGGGCCACCUGGUCCACCUUGAACCGGAUGUUGGUAAACAUCAACACCAGCUCCGGGACGUCGCGGGGCACAGUGCCUGCGGGGAGCUUCGAGCGCUCCAGGUUAGCUGCUCGCUAGGCCUUCAUGGGCCGGCUCCCGACUCUGGGACCGGUUCCUGGAGCAGUCGGACCGCGGUUGGAGACGACGAUGGUGUCGUCUCCAGGUGGUGGCAUGGCGGCCGGCUCCGCCGAUGUCCCAACCGGCGCCACCUCCUUAGCAGGAGUUGGAUAGGCCACGUCCGACGCAUCCAUGUUCUCCCCUGGCGCAUCCAGGGCCACGUCUGGCGUGUCCAGGAUCAGUUCCAGCGCGUCGGGCGCCGCCUCGGCCCCAGGUGAAUCUGGAGUCACCUCAAGAUCCACCGGCGCAAAGCCGUCCGGCUCGGAGGGACAGGCCUCCUCGAUCCUCGAGCGCGCCUCGGGGCCGCCUCACUAGCUGGCUCCUCCAUGCGAGCACGCGUGGAGGGGUCAUGUUUAGCCUCCGUACGCUUCUCCGCCGGCUUCUUGGCCCGGCUAGGGCGAGACUAGCCCUCGGCCGUCUUCCCCGCGGCCGCAUCCCACCGACGGGUGGACUGCUCCUCGAGCUCCUUCUUGGUAGCGUCAGCCGCUGUCCAGCCGGCUCGUCCGGCUGCGGAGGCGGUGUCUUCCUCCACGUCUUCCGCCUCCCUGCCAGGCGACGUUUUGAGGAACAAAGCUUCACACAAGACAAAAUAAAAAGAAGGGAGAGGAACCCUUACCCUUCGACGAUGGGCACCUGCCUCCUAGUGCCACCAGCACGACGCUUCUUAGCACCGCCUGCUCGUGUUCCGGCUGUAGGACCCGUCGUCGGGCGCUUAGGAGCCGGCCUGGAAGCUGUGGCACCCUUCCCUUCUUCCGGGCACCUCGUCAAGUCCAUCCGCCUCGGCCCUAUGACGUCGUCCGCGCGUCAGAGGCGGGCUGGUGACCUCCCCCACCCCGUCAGAAUCUUCCUCGAAGGCUGCAUCAGAUAGGGAGGAGGGAGUCUCGUCAUCGUCUGUCCAAUCUACAAUGGAGGGCCGCGGAUUCUCACCAGACGGCUCCGUCCCCUCCGACUCUAGCGCAUUCUUCGAGCCUUCGGAGAAGGCUGAAUGGGAUUCAAUCAUGCCCUCGUCCUCGAUCUCCGAGGCGUCAAACAUCGCCACGUUGGGGGCAGGCGGGUUGAGUGCGUGCAGCUUCUCAAACACCUGCGCGAAGGAGUUGACGGCCGGCUUAACGAGACGGCCAACCACGAGACAAACAGCAAGAACAUAGCAACAGAGUAUUCUUACCAGCGGAGGCGGACGGGACCUGCUGUAAGGGAUAAUCCCGCACGCCCAGUUCCCACUGUCGUCCAUGCGGGCGACGGAGAUCUGGUGCACCCACCGCGCCACCGCGCUGGGGGUGAAUCGCUUGGUGGAGGUCCGGUAGGGGUCGUGCCGGCUGCUCAUCUGGCAGACCAGAUGGGGCCGCCUCUGUAGCGGCAGAAUCUUACGGGUAACCAUGGUGGUAAGAAGGUCGCGGCCAAGGAGGACGCGAUCCCGCAGGAUGUCGAUAUGGGCGCCAAUCUGAGCCACCUCGGGGAUCGGCUUCUGGAACUUCACCCCCCACUUCAACUUGGUCGGAGGAUUGACGUUGAACGGGGGCAUGUUGAGGGCGUCGUGUGCAUGGUCGGCAUUCUUCACAUAGAAGAAGCCCCUCUGCCACUUCUUGAGGGACUCCUGCAGCGGCAUCUGUGGGAAGCAGGACUUCGAGCGAUGAUGAACCAGUGCGGCUCCGCACGGCGUCAUCGGGCGUGGCCCGGCGAGCUUCUCCAGCUCGGCCUUGUCCAUCACAAUGGACUACUGGUUGAAGAAAAAAAGCUUCGCCAGAGAUUGAGGCAGGGCUCGAUCCCAAGGAAGCCCUCGCACAGGUCAACGAAGGCCGACAGCUACAAGAUGGCGUUUGGAGCCAGGGGGUGCGGCUGCAGGCCAAAGAAGUUGAGCCAGUCGGAGAAGAAGGGGAUCACCGGGAGCCCAAAGCCCUUGUAGAAGUGCUCAUCAAACACGACGAUCUCUCCCUCUUCUAGUAUGGGAGCUGUCUCGGUGCCAGGGAUCCGCACCAACACCUGGGAGGCCGGGGCAACAUCCGGUGAUGGCGGAGCGCCUCGAUGUGGCCUUCGCAGAUCUCACUACCAAGCCAGGCUCUCUGCGACGAAGUCUUCUUCGAGGAGGAGCCGCCGGCCAUGACAGUGGGUGGCGGAUGCUCGGGAAGGCUGGUGGCGCAAUGACGAUGGAGAAGAAAAUGGCGAAGAUGGACGGGCUCUUUCUCUGUGGGCUCGGGGAGGAAGAGGGCGUCGAUGCGGGGCGAGAGGGGGGCGAGUGGCCUCCUGGGAACCCCCGCAUCCCAUUUAAACCCCACGAAGCAUCGUGGUGAGGGGAUCCGGUGCGCCCGGAGCCCCACUAACCCCGUGUAUUACUGGCGGUAACGCUUCCCGAAACCCAACUGUCGCGGAGUAAAUACACAGAGGAUCUUCCGCGCGGAGGCCGAGGGGGCAUCUUGGCGGGACCCGGGGCCCAGGCGCGGUCCCACCACUAGUAAUAACCAUCAUUACGUAAGUCCAGGCCUGACAUGUGGCGCGUUCUGUGCAGCCUACGACGAAGGCGAGGCGUCGCUUCGAAGCCAACCGGCUUCGGAGCUGGCGUUCCUUGCCACAGAUGGCGGCAGGAGUACAAAGACAAAAAAUGAAGCCGGUGAGGCCACCCGUUCGCAGGCGGCGGGCCUCUCCAGCUUCGGGGACUACUGUCGGGGGGAUAACCCCGGGGUAGGCUGAUCAAGCUUGCUCCUGUAUAACCCAAAGGAAUGACCAGAAACCAUUCUGGAAGGCCCAAGUCCUCUGGCCGGCUAGGCCACACCUACCGACUAGGGGGCGAGACAGCUAACUCUCUGGUCGGCCAGGCAACUCCUGCCGGCUAGAGGAGAGACGGCUACCUUUUCCUGACCGCCUCGGCCAAGCCAACCAUCUAGGGACGAGGCGGACGUGCCCAAGCCGGCUAGCCAAGCGGACUAGCCGGCCGGGGAUCUCAAGUCACAUCAGAUCGUAGGUCAUGAUGAGACCCUACGAUUAAAGGUGGAUACGCGUCAGCAAAGGUACUGGAUUGGAGUGCCCAACAGGUACCAGCAUCGGUGGCCACGCCGCUGACCUACCCCGACUCUAACCCAUCACCCAGCAUAGUGUCAGACCGUCAAACUCCCACUCCAUUACUGCACUCGGCGUCGGAACAGUGGAGGCGGCCGUACCGUCUGCCCAUGACGAAUCUCGUUGGACGACGCCGGAUGUACCGCGCGUGCCCUGCAUCAACCUUACGCGACAACUCCAUUGGCUAGCCGGCGGGUCCCAUAGCCAGACGGGACCUCGCAGCCGGCGGGCCCCUCAAGCGACCAGACAAGACCCUCGUGGGCCCCUUGGCCAGCCGGCGAGGCUGCCAGCCGGGUCCCACUCUUGUACCCAUUAUCCAUAUCGUAGGCCGGUGGGUUCGUCUAUAAAACCCCCCGUCCCCCCUCGAUGCAGAGGGUCGGUCAACAGAUUACACACACCUUCACCAACCACAUAGGAGAGGCAGAGACAAGCCGGAUUCUCCCUCUUCCUCCUCCACAAUACAGCUCCAGGAGCCACCUUGUAAUCCCAUCCAUAUACAUCAUACACUCAGACGGGACUAGGGGUAUUAUCUCUACGGAGAGCCCUGAACCUGGGUACAUCGUGAGUUCAAUGCUUGUCCCAACCUCGUCCCCAACGCCCUCCGUUGCCACUCUGGUUCUCACUGACUUUAGCCUACCUAUGGCAUAUGUUGUGAGUAUUCACCGACAACGUUCCUUGCCAAAAGACAGUAUCAUAAGUUAGAGUAGUAAAAAUCAUACAUGUAAUAUGUCCGAGUUUGUCUCAAACAGAUGAAUGAAAUGUUGUUUCCUUUGCGUCUGAUCCUUCUCUUUGCAUGAUACACCCUUUGCAUUUUCAGGCACUAGUGCUUUGAGGAACGGGUCCUUAGCAGUUCGUCGGAGGGGUCGUUACCGGCAAGGCUCCUUGCCGCACGCAGUGCAACCGUUAGAUCGUCGAGCCCGGCUCGAGAUAAAAUAAGGUGUUGCGUAACCGCUUGGUCUGCUGAACAGGUUCGAAACAAUGUGAAGGCGCUCUCUGGUGAUUCAAGUCAUUGAACGAGUUCGAAACAGAGCCAAGGUGCACUGAUCCUAACAAGGUUCCAUCUACGCGCAAGUUUCUCAAACAAAGUUUGGGAUCUCCAGAAAGGAAACAACCUAUCUACUCUAAAAUUUCAUCUAGAGUAUCUAUCACUUAUCUACUGUGUCGCGACACUUCUUCCCACGGUGUUUGGGUCCUUUGCCAGGGCCUCAGAUCCCCGGCAAGCAGUAGGUUACACUCUCCCGACAACUUGCCCUCCGGCAAGGUUCUCGCUGAUGGUCCUUGACUAUUGUAUGGAAACGGGGUUGCCGGAGUAUAACUUAUUUUCCUCUUUUGCGAGGCUAUGCUCGCGGAGCCCCCGAGCGCAUCUUCGGCGGCGACGAGACGCUUCCAUGGGGGAAAGUGUUUCCGCUGGAUUGCAUGCCUGGGCUUUGGGGCCCGUUGGCGCAUCCUCGAAGGCUAUGCAUCACUCCGCGGAGGUGCGUCGGCCGGAGUAUGCGCUGGAGGUCUUGCCGAAGCCCCCAGGCACACCCUGGACAGCAGCGCACUCUCCUGGAGCAACGCAUCAACCUGACGCCCUUGAGCUUGGGGUCUCUGCCACCUUGGCCCGCUCUCGCGCAGGCGUUAGGAGGUCAUGGCGAAGUAGAGCGACCACCGUUGCGCCAUGCUUCGGGGAACCGCAGUGGCGCGCUCAACCUCACAAGAUCUGGUGCGGAGCUUGCUCGAAUCCGUGAAAAAGCUCACAACCACCUCCCCCUACCUGGCGCGCCAAAUAUGUCGGGUAAACUGACACCUAUGGGAAGCUCGAAGGGUCCCUUGACCGUUCGGCGGAGGGAGAGAGGUGGCACCGAGAGCAGAUCUAGCGGAGGGAGAGAGGUCGUUUACCCAGGUUUGGGCCGCUCGGCGCGUAAAACCCAACUCCUUCUUAGUUUGUAUUGAGGGCUUACUGUAGGAUAAUUUGCUACAGUAAUUUAGCUGGUGAUUUGGGAGUCUCAAAUCCCAACAGGUCUAAACUCUAGAGAAUGAGCCUUGGGCCUCCUUUUAUAGGCAAGGGGUCACCAACAGUGUGCUCACGGGUUGUAUAGUGAACAAGGUUCACCGCUCAUCUUUCUACUGUGGUGUCAGGGGCAGUAAAUGCCUUGUCUAGCCCUUGACCUGCGGCAAGGUGGCUUCAACACAUACCCAGGUGGGUCGACACCUUGGUCUUGCACUGGUGCAUGAGGGAUGCGAUGGAGCGGUGGGACUGUGGUAGAAACGGGGGAGGACACGUGGCGAGCGAAAGGAGCUUGCUUGUCUGGUGUCCGUGUCGGAUGACUUAUGUGAUCUUCCUGGCAAGGAGGGCUUGACGGGAUCUUGAACGUCUUCCCGACAAGGGGGCUUGCAGGGGACUUGCGAGACUUUGAGAGUCUUCCCGGCAAGGAGGAUUGUCGGCGUGUGAUACUUCUCCGUCCUAUCUACUUUUCCAAACUCUUUUGUCCUUGUUUUGGACUCUAAUUUGCAUAAUUUGAAUGGAACUAACCCGGACUAACGUUGUUUUCAGCAGAAUUGCCAUGGGGUUGUUUUUGUGCAGAAAUAAAAGUUCUCGGAACGUCCUGAAAAUUUACGGAGAUUUUUUCUGGAAUAAAAGAAAAAUACCUGCACAAAGAUCCACGAGAGGGGGCGUGCCAGUGGGCCACAAGCCCACAGGCCGCGGCCACCCCUAUGGCCGCGCUGUGAGGGCUUGUGGGGCCCACGUGGCACCACCGCCCCCAAUCUCAGCUCUAUAUCUUCCGUUUCGCCUGGAAAAAUCAGAGAGAAGGUUUCAUCGCGUUUUGCGAUACGGAGGCGCCGCAAUAUCUAGUUCUUCAUCUCGAGGGCAGAUCUCGAGUCCAUUUCGGGCUCCGGAGAAGGGAAAUCGUUGCCAUCAUCAUCAUCAACCUUUCUCCAUCGACAAUUCCAUGAUGCUCUGCAUCGUUUGUGAGUAAUCUCAUCGUAGGCUUGCUGGACGGUGAUGAGUUGGAUGAGAUCUAUCAUGUAAUCGAGUUAGUUCUUGACGGGGAUUAAUCCAUAGUAUCCACUAUGUUCUAGAUUGAUGUUGCUACUACUUGGCUAUGCUUAAUGCUUGUGACUAGGGCUCGAGUGCCAUGAUUUCAGAUAUGAGCCUAUUAUGUUAUCGCCAAUAUAUGUGUCUUUUAGAUCCUAUCUUGCAAGUUGUAGUCGCCUACUAUGUGUUAUGACCCGGCAACCCCGGAGUGACAAUAGCCGGAACCACUCCCGGAGUGACAAUAGCCGGAACCACUCCCGAAGAUGACCAUAGUAUGAGGAGUUCAUGUAUUCUCCACGUGUUAAUGCGUUGAUCUGGUUCUUUAUUAAAAAAGAGAACCUUAAUAUCCCGUAGUUUCCAUUAGGACCCCGCUGCCACGGGAGGGAUGGACAAUAGAUGUCAUGCAAAUUCUUUUCCCUAAGCACGUAUGACUACAUACAGAAUACAUGCCUCUCUCCGUGUUAUAACUGUUACAUGAUGAAUCACAUCCAUCAUACUCGUCCAUCACCGAUCCACUGCCUACAAGUCUUUUACUACUGGUCCUCGCUACGUUACUUUUCCUAGGCUUCUCCCUUGCUACAAGAGGGAUUGGGCCACUUUGCUGCUGUCACUACUGCUGUUACUUGUUACUUUGCUGCUGCUGUCACUAUUGUUGUUACUAGCUACUCCGCUGUUACUUGUUGAAAGACUUUGUUGGCGUUAACAUCCCGUCAACAAGGCUUUUUCUGGCGCCGUUGCCGUGGAUUGUCAAAGCUUUUUAUGGCACCGUUGCUAUCGUACUACCUUGCUACCGAUACUUUGUUUGCAGACACUAAUCUUUCAGGUGUGGUUGAAUUGACAACUCAGCUGCUAAUACUUGAGAAUAUUCUUUACCUUCCCCUUGUGAGCGAAUCAAUAAAUUUGGGUUGAAUACUCUACCCUCGAAAACUGCUGCGAUCCCAUACGCUUGUGGGACAUCAAGGCUUUUUCUGGCGCCGUUGCCGGGGAAGCACACCUAUAUUCUCUCAGUCACUUGGGAUUGAUGUCUGUUGUUCACUAUGAGGAAUCCGAAAGAUCCAAGAACUAAAAUCCUGCCUUCCACUACGAGGAGAGGUAAGGAACUGCCAUCUAGCUCUGCACUUGAUUCACCUUUAGUUUGGAGUAAGUUUGCGACUUUGCCUCCUGCUAGAAAUCUUGAUAUGUCGCCUAUGCCUGAUGAUGCUAUGCUUGAUACUAUGCCUGAUGAUGCUAUGCUUGAUAGUAUGCCUGAUGAUGCUAUGCCUGAUACUGCUUUUCCACUAGGUGCAUUCCUUGAUGCACAACUUGCUAGAGUUGCUGCUAGAUGUGAUUAUACUUCUGAAACUGCUGAUACUAUUGAAGUAGAACCUGGUACUAUGCCUGAAUUGCCUGUUAUGCCUGAUACGCGCAAUGUUAUGGAGGGAGAGAUAGCUGAGGACUUUCCUGUGUGUAAGGAUAGCUUUGAUGUUGAGAAACUUCUGCGCAAGUGAAAAGAAAAAUCUCUGAACGCUAGGAUGAAAUACGACCCGAAGUUUGCCACUUCGCCUAUCUUUGUGACCGAUAAGGAUUAUGAAUUCUCUGUCGACCCUGAGUUAAUCACUCUGGUCGGAUCUGUUCCUUUUCACGGUUAUGAAUCUAAAACGGUUGUAGCCCAUCUUACCAAACUGCACGCUAUAGCCACCCUAUUCACUAGUGAGGAAAAGAUCUGCCACUACUAUAUACUCAAGUUGUUUCCUUUCUCGCUAAAGGAUGAUGCUAAGACUUGGUUCACUUCUCUUGCUCCUGGUUGUGUGCGUAGCCCCCAGGAUAUGGUCUACUACUUCUCUGAAAAAUAUUUCCCUGCCCAUAAGAAGCAAGCUGCCUUGCAGGAAAUAUACAACUUUGCUCAAGCUGAGGAAGAGAGUCUCCCACAAGCUUGGGGGAGGCUCAUCCAGCUACUGAAUGCUUUGCCUGAUCACCCUCUUGAGAAGAAUGAAAUACUUGAUAUCUUCUAUAAUGGACUUACCGAUGCUUCUAAAGACCACCUAGAUAGCUGUGCCGGUAGUGUUUUUAGGGAACGAACCGUAGAACAAGCUGAGAUUCUACUGAACAACAUCUUGUGCAAUGAGAAUGCUUGGGCUAUUGCCGAACCACCUCCUAAGCCAACUCCAAAGAAAAGAGGUAUUCUAUUCCUCAGUCCUGAAGAUAUGCAAGAAGCCAAGAAAUCUAUGCGAGAGAAAGGCAUUAAAUCUGAAGAUGACAAAAAUCUACGACCUAUCGAAGAGAUCCAUGGUCUCGAUAACCCGAUACAAGUAGUAGAAGUAAAUUCUCUGCGUAGGUUUGACGGGAGUGAUAUUCAUUUUGAUAAACCUGCUAGCUUAUGCAUGGAUGAAUUUGAUAACUUCGUUGCCAAACAACAAAGUUUCAAUGAUUAUGUUAGCAGACAAUUGGAAAAGAAUGCUCGUAUGCUUAGUCAUUUAAGUGCUUGUGUGGACAGAAACGUCAAUGAUCUUAAGCUUCUGAGCAAACAUGCCUCUAUGGUUACUACUCAGGUAGAACAAGUACUAAAAGCUCAGAAUCACUAGCUCAACGAGUUGAAUGACAAUGUCGUCAGAGUCUUCACUAGAGGCGGUGGAAUGACCCAGGAACCUUUGUAUCCUGAGGGUCAUCCGAAGAGAGUUGAACAAGAGUCUCAAGGAGUUAGCACUGAUGCACCUAGUCAUCCUAGAAAGAAGAAGAAAGAUGAUAGGAACCUGUACGCUAGCAACCCUGUUGCUGCUACCCCUGAGAGUCCAAACGGUGCCUCUGUCUCUGAUGCUGAAACACAAUCUGGUGAUGAACAUGAGCCUAAUGAUAAUAUCAAUAGUGAUGUUCAUGAAGAUGCUCAGCCUAGCAAUGAAAAGGAUGUGGAGAUUGAACCUAGUGUUGAUCUUGAUAACCCACAGGCUAAGAAUAGAAGAUACGAUAAGAAUGACUUCGCUGCUAGGAAGCAUGGUAAAGAAAGGGAACCAUGGGUUCAGAAACCUAUGCCCUUUCCUCCCAAACCAUCCAAGAAAAAGGAUGAUGAGGAUUUUGAGCGAUUUGUUGAGAUGAUCAGACCUGUCUUUGUGCAAAUGUGUUUGACAGAUAUGCUCAAAAUGUCUCCGUAAGCUAACUACAUGAAAGAUAUUGUGACUAAUAAGAGAAGGAUACCUGAUCUUGAGAUCUCCCCCAUGCUUGCCAAUUACACUUUCAAGGGUGGAACUCCUAAAAAAACUAGGUGAUCCCGGUGUACCCACUAUACCUUGCUCCAUUAAAGGCAACACCGUUAUAACUGCGUUAUGCGACCUUGGAGUCGGUGUUAGUGUUAUGCCUCUCUCUCUUUAUCGUAGACUUGAACUAGAUAAGUUGACACCCACUGAAAUCUCUCUGCAAAUGGCCGACAAAUAUCUGCAUGGCGCAAGAAAUGGGCACGUUGACGACACAAGGAAUCCUUGUUAGAGCAUAUAUCUNUCCUCUAUGUGAGGGGAACCCCCUGGAUCUAGAUCUUGGAGUUCGUUGCGAGCUCCUUGUUCUUCCUCUCAUAUUUCUCCACAGCUUUUGUUGUUGUGGAGGGAUUUGAGUGUGAGGGACUUGACCACUUAGUGUGUUCUUGCCAUUGCAUUAGUUGCAUCGGUUUGAGUUCUCCACGGUGAUACGUGGAAGUGAGAAGUUGAGAAGCUUACCACCUUUGGUACUUAGUACCCUAGAUAUUGUUCUUCGUGGAUGCUUUGGCAUCCUAGAAGCUUGGUGGUGUCUCGGAGCUCAAUCAUUGUGGUGUGAAGCUCCGGGCAAGCGUCGGGGCCUCCAAUUAGGUUGUGGAGAUAGCCCCGAGCAAUUUGUACGGGUACCGGUAACCGCCCCCAAGGGUUGCCACGUGUACGGGUUCGCUGACAGCCCCCAAGGUUUGCCAUUUGUAUGGGUUCGGUGACCGCCCUCAAGGGUCCUUUAGAGGAAUCACGGCAUCUUGCAUUGUGCGAGGGCGUGAGGAGAUUACGGUGGCCUUAGUGGCAUCUUGGGGAGCAUUGUGCCUCCACAACGCUCUGACGGAGAUUAGCAUCCGCAAGGGUUUGAACUUCGGGAUACAUCAUCGUCUCCCCGUGCCUCGGUUAUCUCUUACCCGAACCCUUUACUUAUGCACUUUACUUUGUGAUAGACAUAUUGUUUAUUGUAAUAUAUCUUGCUAUCACUCAGUUGUUUAUCUUGCUUAGCAUAAGUUGUUGGUGCACAUAGGUGAGCCUAGUUGUUUGUAGGUUUUGUUCUUGACCUAUUAAACGUUAGUUUUAUUCCACAUUUGUUCAAGCCUAAACCUUAAUUAUUUUAAAGCGCCUAUUCACCCCCCCUCUAGGCGAUAUCCACGUCCUUUCAAAUGCUAUAGAAAAAACUUCAUCGAUUCUUGUCGGGAGCUUUGAAUGCCCUAUUCCUCGUGUCAAGAUGAAGUAUGAUUUGCUUGUUCGGGAGAUACACAUCCCCAUUGAGGUGACUUAGUGACUAUUCAGAAAUUCUCCGUACUCUUUUGCGAUUCGAGAAAGUUUUGUCGAGGGGAUUUGAUCAACCCCAUUGACGGAUUUCUUUCGAUGACCAUGAGAUGGAUGAAUCAAGGAGUCACAAACCUCCGUUCCAAGCUUUCACCUUUUGUUGCUUAGAAGAAAAAUGAUAGAUCUAGUUUAGUUUUCCCUGUUUUCUUUCUUAGCGUCCCGUAGAAAAGUACCCCGAAAAUAAAAGUUCUGCGAACGCUGUGAAAAUAUAGUAUGAUUUUUUCUGGAAUAUUUGAAAAAAUACUGGGGCAAAGAGUCUGUCUGGGGGCCACACCAGUGGGACACAAGCCCUAGGGGCGCGGGCACCCCCCUGGCCGCGCCACCCAGGCUUGUGGGGCCCACAUGCACCCCCUCCACUCAUUCUUGUUCCCAUCCUCUUCUCCUACCUCCAGAAAAAAUCGUUUCGCAGCUCAAACCCGUGUUCUUGCUCCUCUUGCUGGGAUUUUUGAUCUCUUUGCUCAAAUCACCGUUCUCCGAACUGUUUUGGGGAAAUUACUACUUGGUAAGUGACUCCUCCAUUGGUCCAAUUAGUUUUUGCUCUAGUGCCUUAUACUCCGCGUAUUUUUCCUACCUUGGUGACCAUUUUCUUGAGCUUUGUAUGCUGAUUCUAGCUGGUCCCAAGUAGUUUUGAUGCGUGAUAUGGUCUCUAGGCACUUGUGGGAGUAGUUGCUACGAGUUUCGUUGGGCCUUAUUCACUUUUCCUUAGAAUCACUAAAAAUUUCAGAAAUUUUCGGAGAUAGAAAAAGGAAAAGAUGAGGAGGUUCUUCUGAGGCUCGUCAAGCCGUGACCCCAAGGAUGAUGGGAGUGAUAAGAAGCCCAAGUAUCCGGUCCUUCGAGUCGCGGAAGUUCGAGCGUGCAAGUGGCCAAGCGACGUGUUCUUACGCGCCCCUAAAAUUUAUGAGGACUUUUAUCACUUGGUGGAGAACGCAGUCCUUACCGCCUUCAUUGAAGAUAAGUGUUCGCAAUACCUCCUCCUCACUAAUAUCUCCGUACAAAGCUUUCACUUCUAUCCGAGGAAGAAUCCUUCUAUGGUUGAGUUUAAACUUUAUGAUGUCCCCCAGCGCAUGUCACUCCAGGAUUUUUGCAAUGUUUGCAAAUUACCUUACAUAGGGGAUAUUCAUGAACCUCGUCCACGGGACUUGGAAACUUUUAUCGGUACAAUUGCUGUAGGAGAGGAGAGAGGAGUGUCUUGCGCUAGAGCUGCUAGCAUUCAUUUUCCCGUGCUUCGGUACUUCUCACUAUUUGUGGGAAAAUGUUUGAUUGGUCGUGGGAAAGCUGGGUCACUUAGUUUCCCAGAUCUUGCGGUCUUGCGCGAAGCCCUUUAUAAUGAUAAAACUUAUAGCUUGGGCGCUAUAGUAGGUCAACGGUUAAACCUAAACUGUUCUAAAGGUGUUGUCUAUGGAGGUACCUUUGCUACCCGUCUUGCCAGACACUUUGAGAUACCCAUUAGACUGGAGGAGGAAAAAGAGAUGCUUCUUCCCGAGAGAUAUCUAGAUUACGAUAGCAUGGUUCGCCAUGACUUUCUUGAUAGAGAUAUAGGUGGAAGGAUGAUUUAUAACUUGGUAUUUAGUCAGGGUACUCGUGAGACUAUUACUUUGCCUGCUCCUUCUUUGUUCAAUCUUCCUGCAGGAAGGUACACUAUUAUUCCCUCAGACAUCUACACAUAUUGGGGCUUGGCCCAACCACAGGUGCCCGUGCCCGAGCCACCAGUCGAGUACCAGACGCCAGUUUAUCAAUGGGAGCUGGAGGAGCUCACACAGCACUGGCAUCCUCAGUCCACUCCGGAGCAUCCCGGAGCUGGUUAUUUCCCUCCUUGGGAGUAGACCAAGUUAGGACAAAAGCCUAAGCUUGGGGGAGUACGUGUUCUCACCGACUUGUUAGCCGGUGUUCACACUUUGCCACUGUAUCAUCCAUGCUAGUUUUACUUUCUUUUUCUCGUUUUGUUUUCGUGUGUCUGUCUAGUUUGAGAAAAACCCAAAAAUAUUUUCUUUUUCUUGUUUUGCUUGUUGGGAGCUUUCCCGUAUAAAUAGUUUUUCUUUUCUUUGGGUCAAGGUAGAAGAUAUUGGUUACAAUGUUUAGUGUCUCUUGCAUGCAUACCUGUUUAACUUUCAAAGAGCCAUAUUACUUUGUCUUCUCCUUUGUGUUUGCCCAAUCUCAGCUCUAUAUCUUCCGUUUCGCCAUGAAAAAAUCAGAGAGAAGGUUUCAUCGCGUUUUGCGAUACGGAGGCGCCGCCACAUCUAGUUCUUCAUCUGGAGGGCAGAUCUGGAGUCCAUUUCGGGCUCCGGAGAAGGGAAAUCGUUGCCAUCAUCAUCAUCAACCUUUCUCCAUCGACAAUUCCAUGAUGCUCUGCAUCGUUCGUGAGUAAUCUCAUCGUAGGCUUGCUGGACGGUGAUGAGUUGGAUGAGAUCUAUCAUGUAAUCGAGUUAGUUCUUGACGGGGAUUGAUCCCUAGUAUCCACUAUGUUCUAGAUUGAUGUUGCUACUACUUGGCUAUGCUUAAUGCUUGUCACUAGGGCUUGAGUGCCAUGAUUUCAGAUCUGAGCCUAUUAUGUUGUCGCCAAUAUAUGUGUGUUUUAGAUCCUAUCUUGCAAGUUGUAGUCACCUAUUAUGUGUUAUGACCCGGCCAUCCCGGAGUGACAAUAGCCGGAACCACUCCCGGAGAUGACCAUAGUAUGAGGAGUUCAUCUAUUCACCACGUGUUAAUGCGUUGGUCCGGUUCUUUAUUAAAAGGAGAACCUUAAUAUCACGUAGUUCCCAUGAGGACCCCGCUGCCACAGGAGGGAUGGACAAUAGAUGUCAUGCAAGUUCUUUUCCCUAAGCACGUAUGACUACAUACGGAAUACAUGCCUACAUUAGAUUGAUGAACGGGAGCUAGCCACAUAUCUCUCAGUGUUAUAGCUGUUACAUGAUGAAUCACAUCCGUCAUACUCAUCCAUCACCGAUCCACUGCCUACGAGUCUUUUACUACUGGUCCUCGCAAUGUUACUUUGCCUAGGCUUGUCCCUUGCUACAAGAGGGAUUGGGCCACUUUGCUACUGUCACUACUAUUGUUACUUGUUAGGUCGCUGCUGCUGUCACAACUGUUGUUACUUGCUACUCCGAUGUUACUUGUUGAAAGACUUUGUUGGCGUUAACAUCCCGUCAACAAGGCUUUUACUGGCGCCGUUGCCGGGGAUUGUCAAAGCUUUUUCUGGCACCGUUGCUAUCGUACUACCUUGCUACUGAUACUUUUCUUGCAGACACUAAUCUUUCAGGUGUGGUUGAAUUGACAACCCAGCUGCUAAUACUUGAGAAUAUUCUUUACCUUCCCCUUGUGAGCGAAUCAAUAAAUUUGGGUUGAAUACUCUACCCUCGAAAACUGCUGCGAUCCCAUACGCUUGUGGGACAUCAGGGCCUUGCGAAUCUUCCUGACAAGGAGGGCUUGUCGGGGCCUUGCGAGACCUUGCGAGCCUUCCCAGCAAGGAGGGCUUGCCGAGCCCUUGUGUCUAGAACUUUUGUACUCUACGCCCUCAGCGAGGGGGCGUGGCCUCGGUGUGUCUUGGUUUGUCUUCCUGCCAGUUGUCCUUGUGUGCAGCCGCCAGGGGCGUCGCCGGUGCCCGUGCACAAGUCUGGGGCACAAGGGACCCUAGUCUCUAGUGUACCAACAGGGAGCGACUGGAGGAUUCUGUCAAAGGUCGCGUCAUCCGGAAGUUCAACUCCGAGCUGAGUCAAGCGAUUGUGCAACCGAGACAUUCUGAGUAUUUGCUCACUGACAGAACUAUUCUCCUCCAUCUUACAAGUAAAGAACUUGUUGGAUACUUCAUAUCUCUCGACCCGGACAUGGGCUUGAAAAACUAGUUUAAGCUCUUCGAGCAUCUUAUAUGCUCCAUGUUCCUCAAAACGCCUUUGGAACCUCGGUUCUAAACUAUAAAGCAUGUCACACUGAACCAGAGAGUAGUCAUCAGUCCACGAUCGCCAGGUGUUCUUAACGUCCUGGGUUGCCGCGGGAACAAGAGGUCCACCUAGCGACGCAUUAAGGACAAAUGCCUUCUUGAAAGCAGUGAGUAUGAGCUUUAAGUUAAGAGCCCAAUCCGCAUAGUUGCUCUCAUCGUCUUUCAGCUUGGUUUUCUCUACAAAGACGUUGAAGUUGAAUGGGACAUUUGCGUUGGCCAUUGGAUCUACAAUAGUUGUAAAAACAAUUUUAGACUAAGUUAAUGAUAAUUAAGUUAAUCUACUCAAAUUAUAUAAUGAGCUCCCACUCAGAUCGUCAUCCCUCUAGUCAUCCAAGUGAUACAUGAUCCACGUCGACUAGCCCGUGUCCGAUCAUCACGUGAGACGAACUAGUCAUCAAUCGUGAGCAUCUCCAUGAUGGUCGUAUCAUCCAUAUGACUCAUGUUCGACCUUUCGGUCUCUUGUGUUCCGAGGCCAUGUCUGUACAUGCUAGGCUCGUCAAGUCAACCUAAGUGUUUUGCGUGUGUAAAUCUGGCUUACAUCCGUUUUAUGCGAACGUUAGAAUCUAUCACACCCGAUCAUCACGUGGUGCUUCGAGACAACGAUCCUUCGUAACGGUGCACACUUAGGGGAAUACUUAUCUCGAAAUUUUAAUGAGGGAUCAUCUUAUCUUUGCUACCGUCGUUCAAAGUAAUAAGAUGAAAACCAUGAUAAACAUCACAUGCAAUCAUAUAGUGACAUGAUAUGGCCAAUAUCAUCUUGCUCCUUUGAUCUCCAUCUUCGGGGCACCAUGAUGAUCAUUGUCACCUGCAUGACACCAUGAUCUCCAUCAUCGUGAUCUCCAUCAUUGUGUCUUCGUGAGAGUCGUCUCGCGAACUAUUUCUUUUACUACUAUAGCUAACGAUUUAGCAAUGAAGUAAAAUAAUCACAUGGCGUUGCAUCUCAUACAAUAAAUUAAGACAACUCCUACGGCUCCUGCCGGUAUUCAUAAUCGUCGACAUGCAAGUUGUGAAUCCUAUUACAAGAACAUGAUCAAUCUCAUACAUCACAUAUGUGACAUCACAUCCUUUUGGCCAUAUCACAUCACAUGCCAUACCCUGCAAAAACAAGUUAGACAUCCUCUAAUUUUUGUUGCAAGUUUUACGUGUCUGAUUUUGGUUUCUAGAAAGAACGCUUCUUACCUACGCCAAUGCUUUUAUACUUCAUAAGGAUCCUCUUCAUCGAAUCCGAUCCGACUCAAGUUGGAGAGACGCACACCCGCUAGCCACCUUAUGCAACAAGUGCAUGUUGGUCGGUGGAACCAGUCUCACGUAAGAGUACGUGUAAAGUCGGUACACGCCGCUUCAUCCCAUGAUGUCGCCGAAUCAAGAUAAGACUAGUAACGGCAAGCAAUUGACAAAAUCAUCGCCCACAACUUUUGUGUUCUACUCGUGCUUAGAAUCUACGUAUAGAACCUGGCUCGAAUGCCACCUUCGGGGAACGUAGUAAUUUUAAAAAACAUCCUACGCUUCACAAGGAUCUAUCUAGGAAAAACCAGGAACGAGCAAAGGAGUAGAGCAUCUUCAUACCUUUGAAGAUCGCUAAGUGGAAGGGUUGCUAGAACGCGGUUGACGGAGUCGUACUCGUAGCGAUUCAAAUCGCGAUGGAUUCCGAUCUAAGCGCCGAACAACGGCGCCUCCAUGUUCAACACACGUGCAACCCUGUGACGUCUCCUACGCCUUGAUCCAGCAAGGAGAGAGGAGAGGUUGAGGGAGAGUUCCGGCAGCAUGACGGCGUGUUGACGGUGGAGCUGCGUGGUACUCCUCGAGGGCCUUGCCAAGCGCUACGGAGGACGAGGAGGAGGAGGGGUAGGGCUGCUCCUUGGAGGUGGAAGAACUUGUGUCUAGCAACCCCAAACCCUUGGGUUUAUAUAGGAGGAGAGGGAGGAGGCUGAACCACCCCUAGGGUUUCCACCCUAGGUGGUGCGGCAGCCCUUGAUGGGGUGGCCGGCGGCCAAGUGGAGGAGGAGGCGGCGUCCUAGGGUGGCUUGCCAUCAAAGGCAUGCCCCGUGCCUAGGGUUAGCCCACCCUUCCCUCUUUUGCGCCUUGGGCUGAAGGUGGCUGGCGCACCAGCCCACCUAGGGGCUGGUUCCCAUCCACUUUUGGCCCACUUAGCCUUUUGGGGCUGGUGGGCCUUCCCGGUGGACCCCCGGAACCCUUCCGGUGGUCCCAGUACAAUACUAACGAUCUCCGGAACUCUUCCAAAGAUCAAAACUCCACUUUCUAUAUAUGAAUCUUUACCUCCGGACCAUUCCAAAACUCCUCGUGACAUCCGAGAUCUCAUCCGGGACUCCGAACACUCUUCGGUAACCACGUAUACUAUUCCCAUUAUAACCCUAGCGUCAUCGAACCUUAAGUGUGUAGACCCUACGGGUUCGGGAACCAUGCACACAUGACCGAGACACCUCUCCAGUCAAUAACAAACAACGGGGUUUGGAUAUCCAUGUUGUCUCCCACAUGUUCCAUGAUGAUCUUAUCGGAUGAACCACGAUGUCGGGGAUUCAAUCAAUCUCGUAUGCAAUUCCCUUUGUCUACCGGUAUGAUACUUGCCCGAGAUUCGAUCAUCUGUAUCCCUAUACCUUGUUCAACCUCGUUACCGACAAGUGUCUUUACUCAUUCUGUAACACAUCAUCCCGUGGCUAACUCCUCAGUUACAUUGAGCUCAUUAUGAUGAUGCAUUACCGAGUGGGCCCAGAGAUAUCUCUCCGUCACACGGAGUGACAAAUCCUAGUCUUUAUCCGUACAACCCAACAGACACUUUCGGAGAUACAUGUAGUGCACCUUUAUAAUCACCGAGUUACGUUGUGACAUUUGAUACACCCAAAUCACUCCUACGGUAUCCGGGAGUUGCACAAUCUCAUAGUCUAAGGAAACGAUACUUGACAUUAGAAAAGCUUUAGCAGACGAAUGAUACGAUCUAGUGGUAUGCUUAGGAUUGGGUCUUGUCCAUCACAUCAUUCUCCCAAUGAUGUGAUCAUGUUUUCAGUGACAUCCAAUGUCCAUGAUCAGGAAACCAUGAUCAUCUAUUGAUCAACGAGCUAGCCAACUAGAGGCUCAAUAGGGACACAUUAUGAUCUAUAUAUUCACACAUGUAUUACGGUUUCCAGUUAAUACAAUUAUAACAUGAAUAAUAGACAAUUAUCAUGAACCUGGAAAUAUAAAAAUAGCCACUUUAUUAUUGCCUCUAGGGCAUAUUUCCAUCAGAACAUCUCCAUGUUGAUCGUAUCAUCCAUACGACUCAUGUUCGACCUUUCAGUCUCUCGUGUCCCGAGGUCAUGUCUGUAGAUGAUAGGAUCGUCGAGUCAACCUAAGUGUUUUGCGUGUGUAAAUCUGGCUUACACCCGUUUUAUGCGAACGUUAGAAUCUGUCACACCCAAUCAUCAUGUAGUGCUUCGAGACAACGAUCCUUCACAACGGUGCACACUUAGGGGAAUACUUAUCUCGAAAUUUAAUGAGGGAUUAUAUUAUCUUUGCUACCGUCGUUCUAAGCAAUAAGAUGAAAAACGUCAUAAACAUCACGUGCAAAUCAUAUACUGACAUGAUGUGGCUAUUAUCAUCUUGCACCUUUGAUCUCCAUCUUCGGGCGCGGCAUGAUCACCACCAUCACCGGCACGACACCAUGAUCUACAUCAUCAUGAUCUCCGUCAUGGUGUCUCCAUGAAGUUGUCUCGCCAACUAUUACUUCUACUACUAUAGCUAACAGUUAGCAAUAAAGUAAAGUAAUCGUAUGGCGAUAUUAAGAUUGACACGCAGGUCAUACAAAUAUUGAAGACAACUCCUAUGGCUCUUGCCGGUUGUCGUGAUUCCUAUUACAAGAACAUGNNNNNNNNNNNNNNNNNNNNNNNNNNNNNNNNNNNNNNNNNNNNNNNNNNNNNNNNNNNNNNNNNNNNNNNNNNNNNNNNNNNNNNNNNNNNNNNNNNNNNNNNNNNNNNNNNNNNNNNNNNNNNNNNNNNNNNNNNNNNNNNNNNNNNNNNNNNNNNNNNNNNNNNNNNNNNNNNNNNNNNNNNNNNNNNNNNNNNNNNNNNNNNNNNNNNNNNNNNNNNNNNNNNNNNNNNNNNNNNNNNNNNNNNNNNNNNNNNNNNNNNNNNNNNNNNNNNNNNNNNNNNNNNNNNNNNNNNNNNNNNNNNNNNNNNNNNNNNNNNNNNNNNNNNNNNNNNNNNNNNNNNNNNNNNNNNNNNNNNNNNNNNNNNNNNNNNNNNNNNNNNNNNNNNNNNNNNNNNNNNNNNNNNNNNNNNNNNNNNNNNNNNNNNNNNNNNNNNNNNNNNNNNNNNNNNNNNNNNNNNNNNNNNNNNNNNNNNNNNNNNNNNNNNNNNNNNNNNNNNNNNNNNNNNNNNNNNNNNNNNNNNNNNNNNNNNNNNNNNNNNNNNNNNNNNNNNNNNNNNNNNNNNNNNNNNNNNNNNNNNNNNNNNNNNNNNNNNNNNNNNNNNNNNNNNNNNNNNNNNNNNNNNNNNNNNNNNNNNNNNNNNNNNNNNNNNNNNNNNNNNNNNNNNNNNNNNNNNNNNNNNNNNNNNNNNNNNNNNNNNNNNNNNNNNNNNNNNNNNNNNNNNNNNNNNNNNNNNNNNNNNNNNNNNNNNNNNNNNNNNNNNNNNNNNNNNNNNNNNNNNNNNNNNNNNNNNNNNNNNNNNNNNNNNNNNNNNNNNNNNNNNNNNNNNNNNNNNNNNNNNNNNNNNNNNNNNNNNNNNNNNNNNNNNNNNNNNNNNNNNNNNNNNNNNNNNNNNNNNNNNNNNNNNNNNNNNNNNNNNNNNNNNNNNNNNNNNNNNNNNNNNNNNNNNNNNNNNNNNNNNNNNNNNNNNNNNNNNNNNNNNNNNNNNNNNNNNNNNNNNNNNNNNNNNNNNNNNNNNNNNNNNNNNNNNNNNNNNNNNNNNNNNNNNNNNNNNNNNNNNNNNNNNNNNNNNNNNNNNNNNNNNNNNNNNNNNNNNNNNNNNNNNNNNNNNNNNNNNNNNNNNNNNNNNNNNNNNNNNNNNNNNNNNNNNNNNNNNNNNNNNNNNNNNNNNNNNNNNNNNNNNNNNNNNNNNNNNNNNNNNNNNNNNNNNNNNNNNNNNNNNNNNNNNNNNNNNNNNNNNNNNNNNNNNNNNNNNNNNNNNNNNNNNNNNNNNNNNNNNNNNNNNNNNNNNNNNNNNNNNNNNNNNNNUAUAUUUAUAUGUGAACCUCACUUUCUUUAUUACUUCCUAUUAAUUGCAGAAAUGAUCAAGGUCUAUGUUUGUCCACCCACAACAAGUUUCAAUCAACAUUCUUUUUAUAUGUGGAGCCAUCACUUCCCAUAAGAUCAUUACAUGAUCUUUCAUGCUGUUGUUCUUUUAUCAUUUUUUUCUUUUGAUCAUGGCAUGAAGCAAGUCCCUUAACUAAAACAAUCUUUAUUAAAAGACUCACAAACUCGAACACAUCGGGGGUGACACAAAGAAAACUCAAACCUAAAACAUUAAGAACUUAAUUCUACUAGAGAAAGAUAAAACCAAAAAGGAUCGAACUAAGAAAAGGUAAAGGCAAAAGACGUGUUGGUGAUACGAUACCGGGGCAACUCCCCCAAGCUUGGCACAAGCCAAGGGGAUUGCCCAUACCCGUGCAAAGUUGUCUUCCUUUGGAGGUGAUGGUGGUGGAGUUGUUGUAGAGUUCUUGAGCUUGUUUAAUUUCCUCUUGAGCACAAAAUUCUGCUCCUUCAGAUCGUUAAUUUCCUCUUCAAGCCUCAACACCCUUUGGCAUAAUUCUUGCUUACUUUCCUGCAAAAAGAUGAGAAGGGAUAAACAAAAUCUUAGGCUUCUUCCUUGAGUUGGGGAGGCUCGAUUUCUUGAACUCCACAUGUGUGUUUCGAGAUUGGAGUAGAGGAACUUCCUCUUCAUCAGAGCUUGUUCCUUCCUUCCCCUUGGGAUCAUAAUCUGCUUCCUCAUCAGUGGUCCAACCAUAAGGAUCCAAGUCCCCAUAGACCUAGGGGUUAGCAAGGUAGUCGACCACAUAGCUUUCCCCCUCUGAAUCUUGAUAAGACAUCUUGCCCUAAAUCUGGGGUAGAAACAGGCUCGAAACGAAAAUACAGGAAAUUUGCACGAUAGUGAUCCCGCUUCCAGGAGCUUUAGUAUUUCUUUUCAUACUACUUCUUUCAUCUUAGGAUUUCAUCUCCUUUGAUGAUCAGCAACUGGUUUGAAAUCAGGAUCAGUUUUGAUCUUGUGCUGGCAUAGAGCGGGACUAAUGCCCUUAAGAUCAUCAAGAGUAUAUCCUAUAGCAGCACGGUGCUUCCUCAGAGUUUUUAGCAACUUCUUUUCUUCAUGUUCUGAAAGGCUAAUACUAAUUAUAAUAGGAUAUAUCUCUUUUUCAUCAAGAUAAGCAUACUUAAGAGUAUCAGGCAACUGUUUAAGCUCGAACAUAGGAUCACCCUUUGGUGGGGGUGGAUCUCCAAGCAGUUCAACAGGCAAAUUAUUCUUAAGGAUAUGAUAGUGUUCAAAGAUAACUCUAUCUAUCUCAUUCCUUUCAUCCAUAUGCAUAUCAUUUCCAUGCUCAAGCAAGUAUUGCUCUAAAGGAUCAGUAGGAGGCACAACAAUAGAAGCUAGGGCAAUAAUUUCAUAUUUACUAGACAACUCGUUUUCAUGAGGUUGUCUACCAAACUUGGAGAAAUUGAACUCAUGUGAAGCUCCCUCAAAGCCAACAGUAACAGUUUGCUUCUCACAGUCAAUAUGAGCAUUGAUAGUAUUGAGGAAAGGUCUGCCAAAUAUGAUGGGACAAAAGCUAUCUUGUGUGGUAGCAAGAACGAGAAAAUCAGCACGAUACUUCGUUUUACCACACAAGACUUCAACAUCCGUAAAAUUCCCAAAGGGGAGAUAGUAUCUCUAUUGGCAACCUGAAUAGUGACAUCAAUAGGUUCCAUCUCGACAGGUGCAAUCUCGUCUUUAAUUUCAUCAUAUAGAGAUUGAGGUAUUGCACUAACACUAGCACCCACGUCACAUAAACCAUGAUAACAAUGAUCUCCUAUCUUAACAGAAACAACAGGCGUGCCAACAACAGGCCUAUGUUUGUCUCUAGCAUGAGGUUUAGCAAUUCUAGCAGCAUCUUCACAGAAGUGAAUAUCAUGUCCCUCAACAUUGUCGGACAGGAGAUCUUUGAUAAUAGUAAUGGUAGGUUCAACUCUAAUUUGCUCAGGGGGUGUAGGUGUUCUAAUGUAGCCCCUAUGUAUCACCGUUGAAGAUUUAGAAUGAUCCUUUAUUCUAAUAGGGAAUGGUGGUUUCUCAAUGUAAGCACUAGGAACAAUAGGAUCAUUAUAAGUGAUGACUUUCUCUUCAACUGGAUUGGGUUUAACUACAUUCACUUCUAAGGGAGGAUGAUAUUUAAACCACAUCUCUUUAGGGAGAUCAAUAUGAGCAGCAAAUGAUUCACACAACGAAGCUACUAUCUCAGAGUCAAGUCCAUAUUUAGCGCUAAAAUCACAAAAAGUAUUUGUUUCAACAAAGGAUUUAACGCAAUCAAACUUAAGAUUCAUACCUGGCUCCUUACUGAUACGUCUCCAACGUAUCUAUAAUUUUUUAUGGUUCCAUGCUAUUAUCUUGUCAAACUUAGGAUGUUUUGUAUGCCUUUUAUAUCUUUUUUGGGACUAACUUAUUAACUCAGUGCCAAGUGCCAGUUCCAGUUUUUUCUGUGUUAUGACCUUUUUUAGAGGAGAAUAUCAAACAGAGUCCAAACGGAAUAAAACCUGUGAAAAUAUUUUUUCUAGAAAAGAAGAUACGCAGGAAGCUUGAGAACCAAGGCAGAGGGCACCAGGGAAGGCCACAAGCCCCCUAGCCGCAGCCUAGGGGGGCGCGCCUAGCAGCGUUGUGGGCCCCCUGUGGCUCCUCUGCCCUACUUAUUCCGCCUAUAAAUCCCCAAAAAAUCCAAAACCACGGGAGAGAGCCACGAAAAUACUUUUCCGCCGCCGCAAGCUUCUGUCUCCGCAAGAUCCCAUCUAGGGCACGUUCUGGUGCCCUGCCGGAGGGGGGAUUCAGACACGGAGGGCUUCUUCAUCAACACCAUUGCCUCUCCGAUGAUGCGUGAUUAGUUCACCAUAGACCUUCGGGUCCAUAGUUAGUAGCUAGAUGGCUUCUUCUCUCUCUUGGAUCUUCAAUACAAAGUUCUCCAUGAUCUUCAUGGAGAUAGAUCCGAUGUAAUCUUCUUUUGCGGUGUGUUUGUCGAGAUCCGAUGAAUUGUGGAUUUAUGAUCAGAUUAUCUAUGAAUCUUAUUUGAGUUUCUUCUGAUCUCUUAUAUGCAUGAUUUCAUAUCCUUGUAAUUCUCUUCGAGUUGUGGGUUUUGUUUGGCCAACUUGAUCUAUGAUUCUUGCAAUGGGAGAAGUGCUUGGUUUUGGGUUCAUACCGUGCGGUGACCUCACCCAGUGACAGAAGGGGUAGCAAGGCACGCACCGUGUUGUUUCCAUCAAGGGUAAAAAGAUGGGGUUUAUAUUUAUUGCUUGAAUUUAUCCCUCUACAUCAUGUCAUCUUGCUUAAGGCGUUACUCUGUUUGUCAUGAACUCAAUACACUAGAUGAGUGCUGGAUAGCGGUGGAUGUGUGCAGUAAUAGUAGUAGAUGCUGAAAGUGUCGGUCUACUUGUCUCGGACGUGAUGCCUAUAUGUAUGAUCAUUGCCUUAGAUAUCGUCAUGACUUUGCGCGGUUCUAUCAAUUGCUUGACAGUAAUUCGUUCACCCACCGUAAUAUUUGUUAUCAGGAGAGAAGCCUCUAGUGAACCCUAUGGCCCCCGGAUCUUCUUCACACCAUAUUUUCAGCCCUACAGUUUUACUUUGCUGCACUUUCCGCCUUCAGAUCUCACCUUGCAAUCAAUCGUGAAGGGAUUGACAACCCCUUUGUAGCGUUGAGUGCAAGUUUUCUGUUUUUGCGCAGGUACUUUGGAGAGUUGGCUUGAUAAUCCUACUGGAUUGAUACCUUGGUUCGCAAACUGAAAGAAAUACUUACUGCUACUGUGCUGCAUCACGCUUUCCUCUUCAAGGGAAAAAACCAACGCAAGCUCAAGAGGUAGCAAGAAGAAUUUCUGGCGCCGUUGCCGGGAAGCAUCAAGUGAAGCUUAUCCAAGUAACCAUCGCAAACUCAUCUCUUGCAUUAACUUUUUUGCCUCUCGUUUUCGUCUCCCCAACUUCUGAAAAACAAAAAUUUACAAAAAUAUUUACCUUUUUCGUUCGCCCUUUUCUUUCGCUUGCUUUCUGCCUGCUUGUGUGGGAUAGUCUACCUGUCCCCAUGGCUAGACCUACCGCUUCGAACGUUACUCCCGAGAGGGAAGUUCUCAAUUUCAAACAAAAUGAGGAAGAAAACUUAAANNNNNNNNNNNNNNNNNNNNNNNNNNNNNNNNNNNNNNNNNNNNNNNNNNNNNNNNNNNNNNNNNNNNNNNNNNNNNNNNNNNNNNNNNNNNNNNNNNNNUGUCGCCUAGAGGGGGGGGGGAAUAGGCGCUUUAAAAUAAUUAAGGUUUAGGCUUGAACAAAUGCGGAAUAAAACUAACGUUUAAUAGGCAAGCACAAAACCUACAAACAACUAGGCUCACCUAUGUGCACCAACAAGUUAUGCUAAGCAAGAUAAACAACUAAGUGAUAGCAAGAUAUAUUACAAUAAACAAUAUGUCUAUCACAAAGUAAAGUGCAUAAGUAUAGGGUUCGGGAAGGAGAUAACCGAGGAACGGGGAGACGAUGAUGUAUCCCGAAGUUCACACCCUUGCGGAUGCUAAUCUCCGUUAUAGCGGUGUGGAGGCACAAUGCUCCCCAAGAUGCCACUAAGACCACCGUAAUCUCCUCACGCCCUCGCACAAUGCAAGAUGCCGUGAUUCCUCUAAGGGACCCUUGAGGGCGGUCACCGAACCCGUACAAAUGGCAAACCUUGGGGGCGGUCACCGAACCCGUACACGUGGCNNNNNNNNNNNNNNNNNNNNNNNNNNNNNNNNNNNNNNNNNNNNNNNNNNNNNNNNNNNNNNNNNNNNNNNNNNNNNNNNNNNNNNNNNNNNNNNNNNNNNNNNNNNNNNNNNNNNNNNNNNNNNNNNNNNNNNNNNNNNNNNNNNNNNNNNNNNNNNNNNNNNNNNNNNNNNNNNNNNNNNNNNNNNNNNNNNNNNNNNNNNNNNNNNNNNNNNNNNNNNNNNNNNNNNNNNNNNNNNNNNNNNNNNNNNNNNNNNNNNNNNNNNNNNNNNNNNNNNNNNNNNNNNNNNNNNNNNNNNNNNNNNNNNNNNNNNNNGGAGGCCCCGACGCUUGCGUGGAGCUUCACACCACAAUGAUUGAGUUCCGAGACACCACCAAGCUUCUAGGAUGCCAAAGGAUCCACGAAGAACAAUAUCUAGGGUACUAACUACCAAAGGUAGUAAGCUUGUCAACUUCUCACUUCCACGUAUCACCGUGGAGAACUCAAACCGAUGCAACUAAUGCAAUGGCAAGAACACACGAAGUGGUCAAGUCCCUCACACUCAAAUCCCUCCACAACAACAAAAGCCAUGGAGAAAUAUGAGAGGAAGAACAAGGAGCUCACAAAGAACUCCAAGAUCUAGAUCCAAGGGGUUCCCCUCACAUAGAGGAGAAAGUGAUUGGUGGAGAUGUGGAUCUAGAUCUCCUCUCUCUUUUCCCUCAAGAAAAAUCAAGAAUCAUUGGAGGGAUCGAGAGUUAGCAAGCUCUAAGAAUGUCAACAAUGGAGGUAGAACAAGAGCUCAACGGAUAUAUAAGGCAAGGGGGAAGAACCCCCCUUUAUAUAGUGGGGGAAGGAAUCAGACCGUUACCCCCACUUACAGCCCGAGCCCAGCGGUAUUACCGCUGGCUCUAGCGGUACUACCGCUGACCCUCUAGCGGUACUACCGCUGGCUGCAGCAGUACUACCGUUGGCUCUGCAGCGGUACUACCGCUGAGCCCAUGGUACCGCAAAGUUACUACCGGGCCAACCACCGCCAAGAAAGUCUUCGCAAAAAUGUCCGGUGGAGUACAACCGCAAAGAUGACGGUACUAAAAACUUGGAGGGGUACUACCACUGGCCAGGGGCGGUACUACCGCUGGGAGAGCGGUACUACCGCCAGCUCUAGCGGUACUACCGCUAGGGCCAGCGGUACUACCGCCAACUCUAGCGGUACUACCGCUAGGUCCAGCGGUACUACCGCUCGCCACUGAAACAACCAUAACUUUCGCAUACGAGCUCCGAAUCGAGCAAACGCAAGCUUGUUGGAAAUCUUAAGACCAUAAGCUCUAAAACACACAAAGAGAAACACCAAACAAGAACCAAGAAGUAUGAUGCAAGGAUGCAAAUGGUUUGAGCUCUCAAUGAACGAUACGGUCAAGCUACUCACUUGAGAGCCCCCUUGAUAGUACAACAAUCUAUCCUAAACAGAAAACCUAUCNAGAUAUAUGCUCUAACAAUCUCCCCCAUUUUGGUAAUUGAUGACAACUACUACAAGAGAGUUUAUAUAAGUAAAUAAGCAUAACCAACCGCACACAUAGAAAACAAUAAUGCAUGCGUGCAAGAUGUAAAUGCUUACGCAAUAAAAGCAAACCCCUCUAAACAUAUCCAAAGUAAACUCUCUAAACUUCUCCCCCAUUGGCAUCGAUUGCCAAAAUGGACGAAAAGUUUAGAAAGCCAAUAUAUUUGGUGGUCCUCCAAAAAGUGUGUACUUCUCAGCAAAUAGGUGGAAAGAAAUACACAAAUACAAUGAUAAGUAGUUGGAGGAAAACAAACUAUAUUGAGGACCCAAAGAUUGCAAAUAAAAGAAUCGUAUGCCACAAGGACAUACCAAAAUAGAGGCAAGCAAUCAAAAGAUACGGGAUGGAACAAACAAUCAUAUGGUCCUUCGAACCACAUGAAUAAAAGAUAUUAUGAUAAAAGCAACAGAGUGUUUUAUCAAAACUAGAGAAGCUCCCCAUGAUUUGUGCACUAAUAAGAGAUUUUUGUAUAUGAUACAAGUGCACAAAAUAGGAUCGUUGCUCCCCCAAAAUUAAUAAAAACACACAACGGGUGCAAGAAGAAAGAUGAGACAAUAAGCAAAUCUCUUGCACAAAACAAGUGGUUGAGCAACAUGUAAAAGAAGCAACUUAAGAUUAGGCUCAACCAAAAUUAUGUGUGUGAGUCAUGGCAAGGCCCUUGAGAAGACUAAGAUAAGGAUGAACAUUACUCAUCAACAUAGUCUUGAUGAAAUGAGACACAAAGUGCAAGACAUAUCAUUCCCACACACACAUACUAGAAAAUGGGUUCACAAGCUUACUAAUAAACAAAAUAAGAACCAACGCUUGUGACAACCCAUGGUGAAGAUAGGAAAUAAUAACCUUGUCAAGAGAGGAGGGAUACCAAUCGAAAUGGAAAAACCCUCAUCAAUACAGGCAUGAGGAAAAAUAAUCUUCACGGCCAAAGAGUGCAUCAAGGUGUAGGAAAAUCAGAUACGCACUCAAGACAAAUCCUUUCAUGAAGCCACAAAAAACUGAAAAAAGGAAAUGCAAUGGUGGACGUAAAAGAAAAGAGGAUAUCAAUUAGAGAUGUAACUUCUCUCAUGUGUAAAAGAUUCUAAGUAGAAGACAAUCAUGAUGAUAUAUAUCCACGAAGAAGAAUGUACACACGAAAUGGUUACAAGAAGGAACAAACUAGAUAUACAAAGGAAGUCAUAAAUAUAUCAAUAAGAUCUUUUGCUUGGAAGCAUAGCACAUGGCCUAAUAUUUUCUUAUUGUACAAUAUGAACUUCCAACAUACGAACAUCAAAGACAUCCCAACUAGUCAUAAGACAUCAUCGUUAGGAUGUUUUGAGAAAGGAAACAAGUACUACAAGAACGAAUCAAGAGAUUCAUGCCAUGAUGCACCCUGCAAAGAAAAGACAGGGGCCUUUGCAAGAAAAGAAUGCAUGAAGUAGAUAGUUGUUACCGAGACAACAUUGGAUUGAUGUAGUAGAUAGUUGUUCUUUGAUCAUCCUAACUUGGCUCCAAUAAUCACAUGGUCUCAACCCCUUCCUUAUAGUUGAGCCGAGCAUCCAAUGCAUCUCCAAUUGUUCCUGGAACAACAGAACAAACAAAAUGGUGCUCAAACUCAUUGGGACCAAAGAGUUAGAAAACGAGCAAUACAUAGGACAAACUCCACAUACAUAUGUGCAUAUAGAUAUGAAUUUGAAUUUCAUGCACACGUUAGCCAUUUUAUGACAAGGUGGAGUUUCCCCUAUAUAUUGGGUCAAAGAAAGAAAGCAUGCCAAAGGAAAUACCUAUAGUAAAUAUGCAUGCUCAAGGCUUUCAAGAAUCCAAUCAACAUAUAGUUGAUAAGAUACCAAAAGACAAGGUAUCAAGUGAUAAUAAGAUAGCAAAUGAAAAACUAUGACUUGAGGGAUAUCAAUUAAAAUAUACAACAAGGAAUGAGAUAUCCAUUGACACAUGCCAAAUAAAAAGGAAACAAGAUACCAAUUGAAGGAAAACAGACACGAGGUAUCUAGUUUCCAACAGAGAGCUAGGUUCCAACAAACCAAACCCUCGACAAAUUUUCAUGAUGGCACAAAGCAUCAUAAAGAGCAAGACUUGCCUCCCAUCAAUAUACACUUGAUGGGGAUCAAAAGAUUUUAUGAGGGGCAAAUAAAGAGAGUGUUCUAAACAAAAUAGGAUAGCUCCCCCAAGGGUUGUGCAUUAUAUAGAAUUUGCAUUUAAAUAAAAAAUGCACAAGAUGGGAUCAUCACUUUCUCUAUAUCUAUAAAAACACUAGACAAGUUAAAAUAGGUCCACAAGAGGCAAGGAAGACAAACAAAACACAAAAUCCAAUGUAAAGACGAUUAGCAAUUCCUACCACAUGAUGGGAAUACCAAUUGUCAAGGACAAGAAGUAUUUUGGAAAUGAUACUCAUUGAUAGAUCGCAAAUAAUCCAAGAUCAUCUUUACCCAUAAAACGCAAGCAAAUGGCACUUGUAGAGCAAACAUGCCACCUAGGAACAAGAUAAUUUACAAUAUCAACACUAAGUGGCAAUACCUCAAAUGUACACAUUCUCUAGUCUUCUAAUAUGCACAUAGCAUAUUACUCCCCCAUAAUGUGAUAACCUAACAAUAUUAACAAGUGGCAAACAAAAAACCGACAAGAGAUAAUUAAUGGACCAUUUUGAAUUUGAAUUUCUCAUGAGUAAGACAUACCACAUAGAAGCUAGAUAAUCUUGAAAUAUCAAUACUAAGUGGUAUUCCCCAUGUAUACACUUUUAUAGGAUCUUGAGGUGUGCAAAGCACAUCACUCCCCCAUAAUGAAAUAAUCCAUUAAUCUCUCACAAGAGCCAAUCAAAGAUAGAAACAAGAUGCAAUAAGGCUCAAUACAAGACUCACAUGUACAAGAUAUGCAAACCAACAUACACAUAUUCGCUUACUCAAGAUAAGCAAGUUGGAAGCACAACAUAUACAAACACAUGCAAGGUACAAAACCACAACAUGCAAAAGGGGCAAGCAACUAACAAUGUAAAUAGUUUAAGUACAAGUUACCGUAAGGAGGCACAUUGGAUAUAAGAUAGAAACUCGAUAAUCCAAAUGACUUGGCUUGAGAUAAUAUGAAUGAUGAAGACCCCUUAAUUCUUCAUUAUGUAUCCAAGUCUCUAAUGUCCUCCAUAUUCACCUAUUGAUCAAGUUUGAGCUUGUUGGCCCCCAACCACGUUGGGUCCUAAGAGGUUAGUCACAAUAGGCUUGGCAACCCAAAUGGUACUUUUCUUGACACCACUUUGAGUACCAACAAAUUUGGCAACCACAUUGCCAACCUUAUCCUUCCUAAGAGAAUAGAUAUCAUCUAUAAUGAUUGGGUUGGAUAAAUUACCUCCCGUGCAAGAAGAAGCGAAGUGACCCUUCUCACGACAUAAGUAGCAACAUCUACCCUUUAAUUUCUUCCCUAUUGAUUUCUCAACAUGAGGAGUGUUGGUUUGGGUCUUCUUGGGAAGGGGCCUUUCUUCAACUUGUAGUUGAGUAUGUGAGUGCACUUGUGGCCUCUUCCCUUGUUGCUUGUCACUUUGGGGCUUCUUCUUUAGUGGGCAAGAUCUAACAUGGUGCCCUUGAAUUUUGCACUUGAAGCAAAUAAUCUUGCCCAAAUUCUUGACUUGUUCUUGGCCCUUCUUCUUGAAGCUUUUGGACUUCUUCUUCUUGUUGGAGUUGAAUCCAAGUCCAUUUUUAUCAUUCGGGGAUUUUUGUCCACACAAGACAUUGUUGAGUGUGGACAUCCCUUCAUGACUCUUUUCCAAGUCUUUCUUCAAGGAAGUGACUUGGGCCUUGAGCUCUUUGAUUUCCUCUACAUGGUUAGUAUCAACACAAGUACUAGAGGAAGUAUAACCUUCAUUGUUAGAGCAACAAUGUAUGGAAAGUAAUUCAACACAAGAUGUAGCAAUAUUAUGAGUAGAUGAAUUACAAGGACUAGCACAUGGCAAUAUAGCUUUUUGACUAGAAGUAGUGCUAAUGUCCACAUGAGGCUCACUCGAUGUUACCUUGGUAGUAAUAGCCUCAUGAGCUAAUUUUAGCACAUUAUGGGAUGCUAGAAGAUCAUCAUGAGAGCUUGUGAGCAUCACAUGACUUUCUUCCAAUUUCCCAUAAUUGCUAGAUAGCAACUCAAGUUGAGCCCUUAGCUCAACAUUCUCCUUUAAAAUGGAUGCUCACAAGAAGUAGAGUUAGUAGCACAAGCAUCUUCAUUAGAAAUAAGAGGAGAAGGCACCUUGGCAAGCUCUUUAGCAUAUGAAGCUUCAAGUUGAGCAUGAGACUCGGUGAAUUCGAUGAGCGAGCUCUUAAUGGCCCGUGAGCCAUUUUCGAGGUGCUCAUAGUCCUCAAGGAGUUUGGCAUGUGCAACUUCAAGCUCAUCAUUUUUAGUUCUAAAAUCAUUAGCCACCUCGAGAGCUCUAUCAUAGGAUCCCUUUAAUCUAGAUAAUUCUAGAGCAAAGGUUUCCUCAAGAGAUUCCUUGGUGGUUUGUUCAUUAUCAAGAACUUGAGAUAGCUCUGCGAUCUCAUUAGCGUAAUCACGCUCAUGACCUUCCAUUGUCUCAAUGGUGGCCUCAUGCUCCUCAAGAUGAGCUUCCAACUCCUCAAUGUAUUUCUUGCCCUCAGUGGCAAUAGACAUGAUUUCCAAAAAGUUGGAACAAGCAAUUUUAUUCUUAUAAAGAUAUUUAAAAAUCAUUUCACCCUUAAUUUUUAAGGAUGCAAUAUUAUCACUCUCUUUAUUAUUAUCCUCAUCCCCAUUAUCAUCAACAUCAUCAUCAUGAGAUAUAUUGGAAUUCAAAGUAGGAGAUACCUUUGAAGCCUUAGCCAUAAGGCAAAAGUGAGUCACAAUAGAUGAUCAUGUAGGAUCCCUUGAAGCAUCAUUCAAGGCCACAUCUUGUUCCAUGGAGUGAUGAAUUUCCUCUACAUUGUUAGCACAACAACUCGGGGAAAUAUAUACAUUUUUAUCAUGGCAACAAGAUAUAGGAGGCAUAUCAUCAUGAGAUUUAGACAGGCAGUUUUUACAUGAUAUGUACGGACUAUCAACACAAGCAUGUGAAACAUUUAGAGUGCUCGAAGUGUUAACGCCCAAAGAUAAAGCAUCGCAAUAAUAUAGUGAUGAAGGAUCAUUAACAAUAAACCCACUUUCAUUAUUGCAAUGGUCACCACUACUCACCAUAUCAUUACCUUGUGGCAAUCCACAUGUAGGUGAAGUAGAUGAAGUUGAGAACACCACACGACCGGAGGUGGAGGGAGAACAAUCAUCCCUGCAAAUCUGGGACACACCAUAUUUAUCUUGAAGCUUUGUCCACAACUCAUGAGCAUCCCGGAAUGGCAUGAGUUGAAAUAUAACUACAUUGCUCAAAGCAUCAAAAAGCACAUUAGAAGCUUGAGCAUUGAGAUAAGAGUUUUUCUCAUCCUCUAAAGAUAUACUUUGAGAAUCCUUUGGAGGAGAAAAACCCAUAUCUACAAUUCGCUCUAAAUUUGGGUCCACGACCCUAAAGUGAUUAAGCAUGCGAAUUACCCAAACAUCAAAAUUUGUGCCAUCGAAACUAAGAGUGUCAGUGAAUCCUAAACCCCUAGUCGACAUCCUUACUCUCUAGGUGGUUAAACCUAAUAAAGAGAGACCUAGCUCUGAUACCAAUUGAAAGGACGUGGAUGUCGCCUAGAGGGGGGGNNNNNNNNNNNNNNNNNNNNNNNNNNNNNNNNNNNNNNNNNNNNNNNNNNNNNNNNNNNNNNNNNNNNNNNNNNNNNNNNNNNNNNNNNNNNNNNNNNNNNNNNNNNNNNNNNNNNNNNNNNNNNNNNNNNNNNNNNNNNNNNNNNNNNNNNNNNNNNNNNNNNNNNNNNNNNNNNNNNNNNNNNNNNNNNNNNNNNNNNNNNNNNNNNNNNNNNNNNNNNNNNNNNNNNNNNNNNNNNNNNNNNNNNNNNNNNNNNNNNNNNNNNNNNNNNNNNNNNNNNNNNNNNNNNNNNNNNNNNNNNNNNNNNNNNNNNNNNNNNNNNNNNNNNNNNNNNNNNNNNNNNNNNNNNNNNNNNNNNNNNNNNNNNNNNNNNNNNNNNNNNNNNNNNNNNNNNNNNNNNNNNNNNNNNNNNNNNNNNNNNNNNNNNNNNNNNNNNNNNNNNNNNNNNNNNNNNNNNNNNNNNNNNNNNNNNNNNNNNNNNNNNNNNNNNNNNNNNNNNNNNNNNNNNNNNNNNNNNNNNNNNNNNNNNNNNNNNNNNNNNNNNNNNNNNNNNNNNNNNNNNNNNNNNNNNNNNNNNNNNNNNNNNNNNNNNNNNNNNNNNNNNNNNNNNNNNNNNNNNNNNNNNNNNNNNNNNNNNNNNNNNNNNNNNNNNNNNNNNNNNNNNNNNNNNNNNNNNNNNNNNNNNNNNNNNNNNNNNNNNNNNNNNNNNNNNNNNNNNNNNNNNNNNNNNNNNNNNNNNNNNNNNNNNNNNNNNNNNNNNNNNNNNNNNNNNNNNNNNNNNNNNNNNNNNNNNNNNNNNNUGAUGAUCUUGGCUUCCUCAAGAUGGACCACCUUUCUCGAUUGCGUUGGCUUGAUGAAGACUAGUUGAUUGCUCCCCCAUACUCACUAUGGGUCAGCCACUCUUCAGCAUAUCUUCACAAGCCCAUUGCCACCACAAUGGACGGCAAGCUUCAAGCAUGAUAUCUUCGUGUUGAUCCACUUGAACUUGCACAUCGCAAUCUUGAUGACGAUCACAACUUGACGUCAUGCUUCAUGGGUUAUAUGAGAUCUUCCCUUUGACGCAAGCCCAUGGAAACACACCUAACCCCCACAUAGAACUCUCACGAAGACCAUGGGUUAGUACACAAACACUUAAUGGACAAUGCUUACCAUACCAUGGGAUCACUUGAUCCCUCUCGGUACAUCUUGUACGCUUUGUGUGUUGAUCAUCUUGAUUUACUCUUUGUCUGAGAUCUUGAUCAACCAUGUGUCUCUAUGACCAUACUUUGGAUAAUACCUUGAAUACCAUCUUGGUCAUCAUAUAAACUCCUUGAACCNNNNNNNNNNNNNNNNNNNNNNNNNNNNNNNNNNNNNNNNNNNNNNNNNNNNNNNNNNNNNNNNNNNNNNNNNNNNNNNNNNNNNNNNNNNNNNNNNNNNNNNNNNNNNNNNNNNNNNNNNNNNNNNNNNNNNNNNNNNNNNNNNNNNNNNNNNNNNNNNNNNNNNNNNNNNNNNNNNNNNNNNNNNNNNNNNNNNNNNNNNNNNNNNNNNNNNNNNNNNNNNNNNNNNNCAUUAGUCCAUAGGAAUUGUCAUCAAUUACCAAAACCACAUAUGGAGAUAUAUGCGCUAACAAGGAUUCCUUGUGUCGUCAACGUGCCCAUUUCUUGCGCCACUGGACGGUCUUUUGUGCAGUAGCAUAACAGACAUCAGAAGCAUUUCUUGCACCGUUGUCGGGGAGGAGAAAUCAAGAUCUAUACAAGUAGGUCUCACAAACUCUUCUCUUGCAUUUACUUUUGUUGCCAGUUGCCUCUCGUUUUCCUCUCCCCCACUUCACAUUUGCCGUUUUCAUUCGCCUUUCUCCUUCGCCGUCUUCUUUUGCUUUUUUGGUUCGCCCUUUUCUCUCGCUUGCUUUCUGUUCGCUUGUGUGCCAUGUGCCCUCAAUAUGCUUGCAUCUUCGCUUGCUGAAAAUCUAGUGAUAUGGAUCCUCAUCCACUUGCUAGUCUCUUUAAGAUACCCACUCGUGUGGAACAAAUUGCUAGUGAGUUGAGGGCAAUUGACUAUUUCUUUGGAGUUUUGUGUAAGAUGCGUGAAUCUGAAAAUUGUGAGGAAGAAAUUCAUGAAGUGAUUCACGAGGGCUCCUUGGAUGAAAAGCAUGAUUGCAAUGGUUUAACUAUAAAUUUUAUUAGUGAUAAUCAUGCUAAAAUUAUGCAAAACCCUAAGCUUGGGGAUGCUAGUUUUGCUUUGUCCACUACUUGUUGCAAUAAUCAUGAUUGGGGUGAUGAUCUUUCUUAUGAUCUUGAAAAUUUGUUCAAACCCCAUGAUGAAUAUGAUAUUUGCAAUAAUGUUGGAAGUGGAUUUGGAGAGGUCAUGACUUUGGUUGAUGAUAAUCCCACUAUUUUUGAAGAGCGUCAACUUUGCAUGCAUGUGGAUCAUGAAAAGAAUAUCCUAUGGGAUAGCUAUAUUGUUGAAUUUGAAUAUGAUCCCACAUGUAGUUGCUAUGAGAGAGGGAAAUAUUUUGGUAGAAACUUCCAUGUUACCGAAUCAUCUCUCGUGAUGUUGAGAUUGCUCUUGUCUCUUUCUUCUUCCUUGCAUAUGGAAACUAUUGGUUGUCUUGACAAUCUGUUUUCCUAUAAAGUGCCUAUGCAUAAGAAGUAUGUUAGACUUAAAUGUGAUUUUCACAUGGUUUAGCAUGCUCUCGUUGUGCUUCAAUUCUUGUCUUUUGUGAGAGCAUCAUUCAACGCCUAGCUAAGGGCAUUAAACAAAAGCGCUUGUUGGGAGGCAACCCAACGAAUUUAUCCUUUUUCUUUCUGUUUUGUGUUUUCCACACUUUCAUAAUUUUGUUAUGAUUGUGUUUUUGUGUUUCUUUUUUGCGUUUGUGCCAAGCAAAACCGUUAUGAUUAGUCUUGGGAAUGAUCGUUUGGUCAUGCNNNNNNNNNNNNNNNNNNNNNNNNNNNNNNNNNNNNNNNNNNNNNNNNNNNNNNNNNNNNNNNNNNNNNNNNNNNNNNNNNNNNNNNNNNNNNNNNNNNNAACGAAUAUCAAAUUCACGUGACUAUUAUCAGCAUGACUUAUCCCAUGUCCUCAGGAACAAAAGUAACUACUCACAAAGCAUAAUCAUAAUCAUGAUCAGAGGUGUAAUGAAUAGCAUCAAGGAUCUGAAGAUAAACUCUUCCACCAAAUAAUCCAACUAGCAUCAACUACAAAGAGAAAUCAACACUAUUAGGAACCUUACAAGUACCAAUCGAAGUCGUGAGACGGAGAUUGGUUACAAGAGAUGAACUAGGGAUUGGAGGGGAGAUGGUGCUGAUGAAGAUGUUGAUGAAGAUGCCUCCCCUCCGACGAGAGGAGUGUUGGUGAUGACGAUGGCGACGAUUUCCCCCUCCGGGAAGGAAGUUUCCCCAGCAGGAUCGUCCUGCCGGAGCUCUAGAUUGGAUCUGCUCAAGUUCCGCCUCAUGGCGGCGGCGAAACCACGAAAAAGCUCCCGAUUGACUUUUUUCUGGAACGAAACCCUUCAUAUAGCAAAAUAGGGGGGGGCAGUGGGUGAUGUCCGUUACGCUACUGCACAAAAGACCUUCCAAUGGCGCCAAAAAUGGGCACGUUGACGGCACAAGGAAUCCUUCCGCGUUGGUGUUCCCUCGAAGUGGAGAAGAUGAUGUAGCACAGCGGAGGUAAGUAUUUCCGUGAGUUUGAGAACCAAGGUAUCAAUCCGGCGGAGGAGUAUCUCAAGAUCUUGCACAAACAGAAAAACUUGCACCCAAUGCUAUGAAGUGGUUGUCAAUCCCUUAUAGGUUGUUUGCCAAGUGAGAACUGAAAGCAACAAAGUAACAAAGCAAAGUAAAAGCAGAGUUGUAAACGAUGGAUGUGAAUAGACCCGGGGGCCGUAGUGUUUACUAGUGGCUUCUCUCAUGAAAGCAAGUAGACAGAGGGUGAACAAAUUACUGUNNNNNNNNNNNNNNNNNNNNNNNNNNNNNNNNNNNNNNNNNNNNNNNNNNNNNNNNNNNNNNNNNNNNNNNNNNNNNNNNNNNNNNNNNNNNNNNNNNNNNNNNNNNNNNNNNNNNNNNNNNNNNNNNNNNNNNNNNNNNNNNNNNNNNNNNNNNNNNNNNNNNNNNNNNNNNNNNNNNNNNNNNNNNNNNNNNNNNNNNNNNNNNNNNNNNNNNNNNNNNNNNNNNNNNNNNNNNNNNNNNNNNNNNNNNNNNNNNNNNNNNNNNNNNNNNNNNNNNNNNNNNNNNNNNNNNNNNNNNNNNNNNNNNNNNNNNNNNNNNNNNNNNNNNNNNNNNNNNNNNNNNNNNNNNNNNNNNNNNNNNNNNNNNNNNNNNNNNNNNNNNNNNNNNNNNNNNNNNNNNNNNNNNNNNNNNNNNNNNNNNNNNNNNNNNNNNNNNNNNNNNNNNNNNNNNNNNNNNNNNNNNNNNNNNNNNNNNNNNNNNNNNNNNNNNNNNNNNNNNNNNNNNNNNNNNNNNNNNNNNNNNNNNNNNNNNNNNNNNNNNNNNNNNNNNNNNNNNNNNNNNNNNNNNNNNNNNNNNNNNNNNNNNNNNNNNNNNNNNNNNNNNNNNNNNNNNNNNNNNNNNNNNNNNNNNNNNNNNNNNNNNNNNNNNNNNNNNNNNNNNNNNNNNNNNNNNNNNNNNNNNNNNNNNNNNNNNNNNNNNNNNNNNNNNNNNNNNNNNNNNNNNNNNNNNNNNNNNNNNNNNNNNNNNNNNNNNNNNNNNNNNNNNNNNNNNNNNNNNNNNNNNNNNNNNNNNNNNNNNNNNNNNNNNNNNNNNNNNNNNNNNNNNNNNNNNNNNNNNNNNNNNNNNNNNNNNNNNNNNNNNNNNNNNNNNNNNNNNNNNNNNNNNNNNNNNNNNNNNNNNNNNNNNNNNNNNNNNNNNNNNNNNNNNNNNNNNNNNNNNNNNNNNNNNNNNNNNNNNNNNNNNNNNNNNNNNNNNNNNNNNNNNNNNNNNNNNNNNNNNNNNNNNNNNNNNNNNNNNNNNNNNNNNNNNNNNNNNNNNNNNNNNNNNNNNNNNNNNNNNNNNNNNNNNNNNNNNNNNNNNNNNNNNNNNNNNNNNNNNNNNNNNNNNNNNNNNNNNNNNNNNNNNNNNNNNNNNNNNNNNNNNNNNNNNNNNNNNNNNNNNNNNNNNNNNNNNNNNNNNNNNNNNNNNNNNNNNNNNNNNNNNNNNNNNNNNNNNNNNNNNNNNNNNNNNNNNNNNNNNNNNNNNNNNNNNNNNNNNNNNNNNNNNNNNNNNNNNNNNNNNNNNNNNNNNNNNNNNNNNNNNNNNNNNNNNNNNNNNNNNNNNNNNNNNNNNNNNNNNNNNNNNNNNNNNNNNNNNNNNNNNNNNNNNNNNNNNNNNNNNNNNNNNNNNNNNNNNNNNNNNNNNNNNNNNNNNNNNNNNNNNNNNNNNNNNNNNNNNNNNNNNNNNNNNNNNNNNNNNNNNNNNNNNNNNNNNNNNNNNNNNNNNNNNNNNNNNNNNNNNNNNNNNNNNNNNNNNNNNNNNNNNNNNNNNNNNNNNNNNNNNNNNNNNNNNNNNNNNNNNNNNNNNNNNNNNNNNNNNNNNNNNNNNNNNNNNNNNNNNNNNNNNNNNNNNNNNNNNNNNNNNNNNNNNNNNNNNNNNNNNNNNNNNNNNNNNNNNNNNNNNNNNNNNNNNNNNNNNNNNNNNNNNNNNNNNNNNNNNNNNNNNNNNNNNNNNNNNNNNNNNNNNNNNNNNNNNNNNNNNNNNNNNNNNNNNNNNNNNNNNNNNNNNNNNNNNNNNNNNNNNNNNNNNNNNNNNNNNNNNNNNNNNNNNNNNNNNNNNNNNNNNNNNNNNNNNNNNNNNNNNNNNNNNNNNNNNNNNNNNNNNNNNNNNNNNNNNNNNNNNNNNNNNNNNNNNNNNNNNNNNNNNNNNNNNNNNNNNNNNNNNNNNNNNNNNNNNNNNNNNNNNNNNNNNNNNNNNNNNNNNNNNNNNNNNNNNNNNNNNNNNNNNNNNNNNNNNNNNNNNNNNNNNNNNNNNNNNNNNNNNNNNNNNNNNNNNNNNNNNNNNNNNNNNNNNNNNNNNNNNNNNNNNNNNNNNNNNNNNNNNNNNNNNNNNNNNNNNNNNNNNNNNNNNNNNNNNNNNNNNNNNNNNNNNNNNNNNNNNNNNNNNNNNNNNNNNNNNNNNNNNNNNNNNNNNNNNNNNNNNNNNNNNNNNNNNNNNNNNNNNNNNNNNNNNNNNNNNNNNNNNNNNNNNNNNNNNNNNNNNNNNNNNNNNNNNNNNNNNNNNNNNNNNNNNNNNNNNNNNNNNNNNNNNNNNNNNNNNNNNNNNNNNNNNNNNNNNNNNNNNNNNNNNNNNNNNNNNNNNNNNNNNNNNNNNNNNNNNNNNNNNNNNNNNNNNNNNNNNNNNNNNNNNNNNNNNNNNNNNNNNNNNNNNNNNNNNNNNNNNNNNNNNNNNNNNNNNNNNNNNNNNNNNNNNNNNNNNNNNNNNNNNNNNNNNNNNNNNNNNNNNNNNNNNNNNNNNNNNNNNNNNNNNNNNNNNNNNNNNNNNNNNNNNNNNNNNNNNNNNNNNNNNNNNNNNNNNNNNNNNNNNNNNNNNNNNNNNNNNNNNNNNNNNNNNNNNNNNNNNNNNNNNNNNNNNNNNNNNNNNNNNNNNNNNNNNNNNNNNNNNNNNNNNNNNNNNNNNNNNNNNNNNNNNNNNNNNNNNNNNNNNNNNNNNNNNNNNNNNNNNNNNNNNNNNNNNNNNNNNNNNNNNNNNNNNNNNNNNNNNNNNNNNNNNNNNNNNNNNNNNNNNNNNNNNNNNNNNNNNNNNNNNNNNNNNNNNNNNNNNNNNNNNNNNNNNNNNNNNNNNNNNNNNNNNNNNNNNNNNNNNNNNNNNNNNNNNNNNNNNNNNNNNNNNNNNNNNNNNNNNNNNNNNNNNNNNNNNNNNNNNNNNNNNNNNNNNNNNNNNNNNNNNNNNNNNNNNNNNNNNNNNNNNNNNNNNNNNNNNNNNNNNNNNNNNNNNNNNNNNNNNNNNNNNNNNNNNNNNNNNNNNNNNNNNNNNNNNNNNNNNNNNNNNNNNNNNNNNNNNNNNNNNNNNNNNNNNNNNNNNNNNNNNNNNNNNNNNNNNNNNNNNNNNNNNNNNNNNNNNNNNNNNNNNNNNNNNNNNNNNNNNNNNNNNNNNNNNNNNNNNNNNNNNNNNNNNNNNNNNNNNNNNNNNNNNNNNNNNNNNNNNNNNNNNNNNNNNNNNNNNNNNNNNNNNNNNNNNNNNNNNNNNNNNNNNNNNNNNNNNNNNNNNNNNNNNNNNNNNNNNNNNNNNNNNNNNNNNNNNNNNNNNNNNNNNNNNNNNNNNNNNNNNNNNNNNNNNNNNNNNNNNNNNNNNNNNNNNNNNNNNNNNNNNNNNNNNNNNNNNNNNNNNNNNNNNNNNNNNNNNNNNNNNNNNNNNNNNNNNNNNNNNNNNNNNNNNNNNNNNNNNNNNNNNNNNNNNNNNNNNNNNNNNNNNNNNNNNNNNNNNNNNNNNNNNNNNNNNNNNNNNNNNNNNNNNNNNNNNNNNNNNNNNNNNNNNNNNNNNNNNNNNNNNNNNNNNNNNNNNNNNNNNNNNNNNNNNNNNNNNNNNNNNNNNNNNNNNNNNNNNNNNNNNNNNNNNNNNNNNNNNNNNNNNNNNNNNNNNNNNNNNNNNNNNNNNNNNNNNNNNNNNNNNNNNNNNNNNNNNNNNNNNNNNNNNNNNNNNNNNNNNNNNNNNNNNNNNNNNNNNNNNNNNNNNNNNNNNNNNNNNNNNNNNNNNNNNNNNNNNNNNNNNNNNNNNNNNNNNNNNNNNNNNNNNNNNNNNNNNNNNNNNNNNNNNNNNNNNNNNNNNNNNNNNNNNNNNNNNNNNNNNNNNNNNNNNNNNNNNNNNNNNNNNNNNNNNNNNNNNNNNNNNNNNNNNNNNNNNNNNNNNNNNNNNNNNNNNNNNNNNNNNNNNNNNNNNNNNNNNNNNNNNNNNNNNNNNNNNNNNNNNNNNNNNNNNNNNNNNNNNNNNNNNNNNNNNNNNNNNNNNNNNNNNNNNNNNNNNNNNNNNNNNNNNNNNNNNNNNNNNNNNNNNNNNNNNNNNNNNNNNNNNNNNNNNNNNNNNNNNNNNNNNNNNNNNNNNNNNNNNNNNNNNNNNNNNNNNNNNNNNNNNNNNNNNNNNNNNNNNNNNNNNNNNNNNNNNNNNNNNNNNNNUGCAUCUACUAUGAUGUUCUCGAUGUUAGAGUUUUUGCCGGUUCUUCAUUCAUAGAGGACUCACAUCUCUAUAUCAUUGGCAUUUUCAUAUCUGCAUGGUCUUAAGAUUUCCAACAAGCUUGGGUUUGCUCGAUUCGGAGCUCGUAUGCGAAAGUUAUGGCAGUUUCAGUGGCGAGCGGUAGUACCGCUAGAGUUGGUGGUAGUACCGCUGGCCCUAGCGGUAGUACCACUAGAGCUGGCGUAGUACCGCUCUCCCAGCGGUAGUACCGCCCCUGGCCAGCGGUAGUACCGCUCCAAGUUUUUAGUACCGUCAUCUUUGCGGUUGUACUGCGUCGGACAUUUUUGCGAAGACUUUCUUGGCGGUGGUUGGCCCGUUAGUAUCUUUGUGCUACCAUGGGCUCAACGGUAGUACCGCUGCAACCAGCGGUAGUACCGCUGCAGAGCCAGCGGUAGUACCGCUGCAGCCAGCGGUAGUACCGUUGAGGGGUCAGCGGUAGUACCGCUGCAGCCAGCGGAAGUACCGCCGGAGGGUCAGCGAUGGUACCGCUGGAGCCAGCGGUAAUACCGCUGGGCUCGGGGUGUAAGUGGGGGUAACGGUCUGAUUCCUUCCCCCACUAUAUAAAGGGGGUCUUCUUCCACCUUGGCCUUAUCUAUCCGUUGAGCUCUUGUUCUACCUCCAUUGUUGACAUUCUUAGAGCUUGCUAACUCUCAAUCCCUCCAAUGAUUCUUGCUUGUUCUUCGGGGAAAAGAGAGAGGAGAUCUAGAUCCACAUCUCCACCAAUCACUUUCUCCUCUAUGUGAGGGGAANNNNNNNNNNNNNNNNNNNNNNNNNNNNNNNNNNNNNNNNNNNNNNNNNNNNNNNNNNNNNNNNNNNNNNNNNNNNNNNNNNNNNNNNNNNNNNNNNNNNCUUUCAACUCAAAACUUAGAGCAACUAUGACUCUAUAUGGAAUGCCUUCGGUAGUGUACCGUGGCAAUGAUCUAGCAUGGCAUAGACAUCAAUGGAAACAUCAUGCUAGCUAUCUUACGGUAAUGCAAAGGCAAGUAGACGUGGUGGCACGUGUCAUAGUGGUAGUUGCAUGGCAAUAUAUCUCGGAAUGACUUUGAAAAAGCCAUAGUAGGUAGGUAUGGUAGCUGUUUUGAGGGAGGCUAAUGGUGUGUUUUGUGCACCGGCGAAAGUUGCACGGAACUAAGAAGAUGGUGAUGGUGAAAGGUGAAAGUGCAUCUAAACCAUGGACUCAACAUUAGUCAUGAAGAACUCAUAUACUUGUUGCAAAAGUUUUAUUAGUAAUCGAAACAAAGCAUUCAACGCGUACUCCUAGGGGAAGGGUUGGUAGGUAUAAACCAUCGCGCGAUCCCGACCGCCACACAAAGGAUGACAAUCAAAACACUAAUCAUGCUCAGCCUUCAUCACAUAGCGGUUCACCAUACGUGCAUGCUAUGGUAAUCACUAACUUCAACACAAGUAUUUCUAGAUCCACAACACCUUACUAGCAUGACUUCAAUAUUACCAAAACCAUAUCCCAAAACUAAUUGAGAGGAAUAAAACUUCUCUAACUAUUCAAUGCACAUGAAGGUGGAAGUUUUCGUAUCCCUUUGGAUAACUACCCCUUUUGAGACUACUUUCAAAGCAUAGAUCAACUACCAAGCCACGCACCACUGUGCUCUAAAAGAUAUAAGUGAAGCACAAAGAGCAAAAGUAUCUAGCNNNNNNNNNNNNNNNNNNNNNNNNNNNNNNNNNNNNNNNNNNNNNNNNNNNNNNNNNNNNNNNNNNNNNNNNNNNNNNNNNNNNNNNNNNNNNNNNNNNNGGUGAGUGCAUGUCUCUCUCUAGGUGUGAAGAAAGGAUGAUUUUGACACAACAAAAAUAAAAGACUCCUACGAUACAAUACGCUCCAAGAAAAAACACAUAACAUGUGGUGAAUAAAAAUAUAGCCCCAAGUAACGUUACCGAUGGAUUGAAGACGAAAGAGGGGAUGCCUUCCCGGGGCAUCCCCAAUCUUAGGCUUUUACGGCAUCCUUGAAUCUCUUGGGGUCCCUUGGGCAUCCCCAAGCUUGAGAUCUUGCCACUCUUUAUCUUUUUCUCCAUAAGAACUUCACCCAAAACUUGAAAACUUCACAACACGAAACUUAAACAGAAACUCGUGAUAACAUUAGUAUGAGAAAGCAAAUCACCACUUCCUUAGGUACUGUAGCAAACUUAAAUUCUACUUAUGCUGAUGUUGGGCUGCUGUAUUUUCAAUCUUCCAUGGCUGAUACCCCCCGAUACUAUCCAUAGUUUCAUCAAAAUAAGCAACCAACACAACAAAAACAUAAUCUGUUAACAGCAGACCAGUCUGUGGCAAUCUAUAUGUUUCAUAUACCUCUGAUACUUCACAAAUUAUUAACAAUUACGACAGUCUGAAGAAUUUGCGUAGCAAUCAACAGCAAAAAGAAUCAACUCAAAAGCUUUUACAGAAAAAAAGAAAAUUAUUUUCAUGAGCAGAAAGUUUCUGUNNNNNNNNNNNNNNNNNNNNNNNNNNNNNNNNNNNNNNNNNNNNNNNNNNNNNNNNNNNNNNNNNNNNNNNNNNNNNNNNNNNNNNNNNNNNNNNNNNNNUUGAGAUCAGGGGGCAAGCGACCCUGGUGCCUCCGCUGAUGGAUGGCGUCAGAUGCGCGCUGGUGCCUUUCUAGCCGCCAGUUGUCAGUAUUUAAGCGAGCUAUCUCGGCGGUAAUUUGAACUUGCCGGGUCUCAAUCCUGGUGGACUCCACAUCGGCAUCCCGCUGAGCCUUUGCCACCCCUUCUCUUAGCUUCGUUAAUUCUGUGUUCACCGCCUCCUGGUUCUCCGGUGUGAUGGGGGGCGCCAUGAGCCUUGUUAUUUCCGCUGCUAGCUCCACCAAAAUCGCGGCUAGGCUUCUAGACGUCAAACCAGUUCCAACUCCGCGUGCCGGAUUUGGCGAGGGUUGAGUCACCCCUGCCAUGUAAAUGGCGAUCUGACGGCGAGUCCUGUCAAGAACUUCGGCGUCAAUGGCCAGUGAUAAGCCCCCAAGGCAGCCCCCAUGCAAAGAUUGGAUUGAAUCUGAAUUGCCCAUAGAUGAUUCGUCGUCGGUGUUGACCGGCGUGGUUUCCUGGGUCGCUGAGUGUUCAGGCUCCUCAGAUCCCUGCGUGAACCCAACAAAGACCGGGCGGGUUAGGUUUGGCGUCACGACCGGGCAGACGUACCUGGCCGGCUCGACGAUGUCGGAGGAGGCGUCCGCCCGGCCAGUUACGUCCGCCCGGUCGUGACGCCAANGCCAAACCUAACCCGCCCGGUCUUUGUUGGGUUCACGCAGGGAUCUGAGGAGCCUGAACACUCAGCGACCCAGGAAACCAGACCGGUCAACACUGACGAUGAAUCAUCUAUGGGCGAUUCAGAUUCAAUCCAAUCUUUGCAUGGGGGCUGCCUUGGGGGCUUAUCACUGGCCAUGGACCCCGAAGUUCUUGACAGGACUCGCCGUCAGAUCGCCGUUUACAUGGCAGGGGCAACUCAACCCUCGCCAAAUCCGGCACGCGGAGUUGGAACUGGUGAGACGUCUAGAAGCCUAGCCACGAUUUUGGUGGAGCUAGCAGCGGAAAUAACAAGGCUCAUGGUGACCCCCAUCACACCGGAGAACCAGGAGGCGGUGAACACAGAAUUAACGAAGCUAAGAGAAGGGUUGGCAAAGGCUCAGCGGGAUACCGAGGUGGAGUCCGCCAGGAUUGAGACCCGGCAAGCUCAAAUUACCGCCGAGAUAGCUCGCUUAAAUACUGACAACUGGCGGCUAGAAAGGCAUCAGCGCGCAUCUGACGCCGUCCAUCAGCGGAGGCACCAGGGUCGCUUGCCUCCUGAUCUCAACCCGACCCGCCUGUUCGACACUCGGCGAACUCCCGGGACGGGAGCCGCCCCGGGGGGAGGGCCGGGCCAGCCACCUAACCAGCCGCUCCAGCCAAUUGUGGAUCGCGUCCCCNNNNNNNNNNNNNNNNNNNNNNNNNNNNNNNNNNNNNNNNNNNNNNNNNNNNNNNNNNNNNNNNNNNNNNNNNNNNNNNNNNNNNNNNNNNNNNNNNNNNAAUUAUCCCAUGUCCUCACGAACAAAAGUAACUACUCACAAAGCAUAAUCAUAAUCGUGAUCAGAGGUGUAAUGAAUAGCAUCAAGGAUCUGAACAUAAACUCUACCAAGUAAUCCAACUAGCAUCACCUACAAAGAGUAAUCAAUACUACUAGCAACCUUACAAGUACCAAUCGGAGUCGCGAGACGGAGAUUGGUUACAAGAGCUGAACUAGGGUUUGGAGAGGAGAUGGUGCUGAUGAAGAUGUUGAUGGAGAUGACUCCCCUCCGACGACAGGAGUGUUGGUGUUGACGAUGGCGACGUUUCCCCCUCCGAGAGGGAAGUUUCCCCGGCAGGAUCGUCCUGCCAGAGCUCUAGAUUGGAUCUGCUCAAGUUCCGCCUCGUGGCGGCGGAGAAUCCACGAAAAAGCUCCACCUUUAUUUUUUCCUGGACGAAACCCUUCAUAUAACAAAAGAGGGGGGCCAGUGGGUCGCCAUGGUGCCGCCAAGCCCUGUAGCCGCCACCGGGUGGGGCCCUGGUACUUCCCCUAUGGUACUUCUUUCACCCAGUAUUUUUUAUAUAAUCCCAAAAAAUUCCACGUUGAUUUUCACGGCAUUUGGAGUUGCGUAGAAUAGAGGACUCAGACUUGCUCCUUUUCUAGUCCAGAAUUCCAGCUGCCGGUAUUCUCCCUCUUCAAAUAAUCCUUGCAAAAUAAGAGAGAAAAGGCAUAAGUAUGGUGCCACAAAGUAAUAUAACAGUCCAUAAAGUAAUAAAUAUCAACAUGAAAGCAUGAUGCAAAAUGGACGUAUCACGCCACAAGUCCUUAUUGGGGUAGUGGAGUCAGCCCAAGAGGGAUAUGGCGCUACAUAAGAAAAUACCAAAAGAAAAGAAAAAGAAAAAGGAAAGAGGGAGGUGGGAAGGAAGGAGUGGACUCCUUCCCCACCAAACCGAAUUGGGGAUGGAGUCCAACUCCUCCCCCUUGGACGGCGCACCUUGAGGCCUUGUGCCUCAAGGCUAGCCCCUCCCCCUUCCUCCUAUAUAUAGUGGUGGUUUAGGGAUUUUUGAGACACAACUUUGCCACGUGCAACUCUAGCCUAAACCACACAGUUUCACCUCUAGAUCGGAUUUCUGCGGAGCACGGGCGGAGCCCUGCAGGAAUAGUUCAUCACCAACACCGGCGCGCCGUCACGCUGCCGGAGAACUCAUCUACUUCUUCGUCUCUCUUGCUAGAUGAAGAAGGCCGAGAUCGUCAUCGAGUUGUACGUGUGGUGAACGUGGAGGUGCCUUCCGUUCGGCACUAGAUCGGAACGGGUCAUCGGACGGAUCACAGGACGGUCUAUGGGACAGAUCGCAGGAUGGUUCGUGGGACGGUUCGAGGGACGUGAAGACGUUCCACUACAUCAACCGCGUUUCUUAACGCUUCCUGCUGUGCGAUCUACAAGGGUACGUAGAUCCAAAUCUCCACUCGUAGAUGGACAUCACCAUGAUAGGUCUUCGUGUGCGUAGGAAAUUUUUUGUUUCCCAUUCAACGUUCCCCAACAAAACACUUAUUUAAAUAGGACUUUAUGUUUUCCAAAAGUUUUGUAUCAUUUCCCAUCAACAAUAAUUCAUCUACAUAUAAUAUGAGAAAUGCUACAGAGCUCCCACUCACUUUCUUGUAAAUACAAGCUUCUCCAUAAGUCUGUAGAAACCCAAACGCUUUGAUCACCUCUUCAAAGCGAAUGUUCCAACUCCCAGAUGCUUGCACCAGUCAAUUGAUGGAGCGCUGGAGCUUGCAUACCUGUUUAGCAUUUUUAGGAUCGACAAAACCUUUCGGUUGAAUCAUAUAUAACUCUUCCUUAAGAAAGCUGUUAAGGAAUGCCGUUUUGACGUCCAUUUGCCAGAUCUCAUAGUCAUAAAAUGCGGCAACUGCUAACAUGAUUCAAAUCGACUUCAGCUUCGCUACGGGUGAGAAAGUCUCAUCGUAGUCAAUUCCAUGAACUUGUCGAUUCCCUUAGCGACAAGUCGAGCCUUAUAGAUGGUCACAUUACCAUCAGCGUUAGUCUUCUUCUUAAAUAUCCAUUUAUUUUCAAUGGCUCCCCGAUCAUCGAACAAGUCCACCAAAGUCCAUACUUUGUUCUCACACAUGGAUCCUAUCUCGAAUUUCAUCGCUUCAAGCCAUUUGUUCGAGUCUGGGCCCGCCAUUGCUUCUUCAUAGUUCGAAGGUUCACUGUUGUCCAACAACAUGAUUUCCAUGACAGGGUUGCCGUACCACUCAGGUGUGGAAUGUGUCCUCAUGGACCUACGAAGUUCAGUAGCAACUUGAUCUGAAGUUUCAUGAUCAUCAUCAUUAACUUCCUCCCUACCCAUUGGAGGCACCCCACAAACAUUUUCCUAUGCUACGCUACUCUCUGGUUUGAGAGGGGGUACAAUUACCUCAUCAAGUUCUACUUUCCACCCACUCACUUCUUCCGAGAGAAACUCUUUCUCCAGAAAGGAUCCAUUCUUGGCAACAAAUAUCUUUCCUUCGGAUCUGAAAUGAAAGUAUACCCAAUAGUUUCCUUAGGGUAUGUUAUGAAGAGGCAUUUUUCCGCUUUGGGUUCAAGCUUAUCAGGUUGAAGUUUUUUCACAUAAGCAUCACAACCCCAAACUUUCAGAAACGACAACUUAAGUUUCUUUCCAAACCAUAAUUCAUUCGGUGUCGUCUCAACGGAUUUAGAGGGUGCUCUUUUUAAAUGCAUAUCCCCAAAAUGAUAGCGGUAAAUCAGUAAUAGACAUCAUAGAUUGCACCAUAUCCUAUAGAGGGCGAUUACGACAUUCGGACACACCAUUAUGCUGAGGUGUGCCAGGCAGCGUGAGUUGUGAAACAAUUCCACAUUUCUUAAGUGCGUGCCAAACUCGUGACUCAAAUAUUCUCCUCCACAAACAGAUCGUAGGAACUUUAUUUUCUUGUCACGUUGAUUCUCUACCUCACUCUAAAAUUCCUUGAACCUUUCAAAGGUUUCAGACUUGUGCUUCAUUAAAUAGACAUACCCAGAUCGUCUUAAGUCAUCAGUGAGGGUGAGAACAUAAUGAUAGCCACUGCGAGCCUCAACGCUCAUUGGACCGCAUAUAUCAGUAUGUAUUAUUUCCAACAAGUUGGUUGCGCGCUGCAUUGUUCCAGAGAACGGAAUCUUAGUCAUCUUGCCCAUGAGGCCCGGUUUGCACAUCUCAAAUGAUUCAAAAUCAAGAGACUCCAAAAGUCCAUCUGUAUGGAGUUUCUUCAUUCGUUUGACACCGAUACGACCAAGGCGGCAGUGCCACAAGAAUGUGGUACUAUCAUUAUGAAGCUUACAUCUUUUGGUACUCACACUAUGAACAUCUGUAACAUCACGUUCGAGAUUCAUCAAGAAUAAACCAUUGACCAGCGGGGCAUGUCCAUAAAACAUAUCACUCAUAUAAACAGAACAACCAUUAUUCUCAGAUUUAAAUGAGUAGCCAUAUUGCAUUACAUGAGAUCCAGAUACAAUGUUCAUGAUCAAAGCUGGUACUAAAUAAAAAUUAUUGAGGUUUAAAACUAAUCCCAAAGGUAGAUGUAGAGGUAGCGUACCGACGACGAUCACAUCGACCUCGGAACCAUUCUCAACGAGCAUCGCUACCUCGUCCUUCGCGAGUCUCCGCUUAUUCCGUAGUUCCUGUUUUGAGUUGCAAAUGUGAGCAACAGCACCGGUAUCAAAUGCCCAGGAGCUACUACGAGCGCUGUUAAGGUACACAUUAAUAAAAUGUAUAUCAUAUAUACCUUUGACGUUGCCGGCCGGCUUAUCCGCUAAGUACUUGGGGCAGUUUCGCUUCCAGUGACCGGUUCCCUUGCAGUAAUAGCACUCAGUCUCAGGCUUGGGUCCAUUCUUGCGCUUCUUUCCGCCAACUGGUUUACCGAGCGUGUCAACUGCUUUGCCGUACUUCUUGAAGGUCUUUUUACCCUUGCCUUUCUUGAAACUGGUGGUCUUAUUCACCAUCAACACUUGAUGUUCCUUCUUGAUUUCCACCUCUGCUAAUCUCGGCAUUGAACAUAACUCAGGAAUGGUGUUUUCCAUCCAUUGCAUCUUAUAAUUCAUUCCGAAGCUCUUGUAGCUAGGUGGAAGCGACUGGAGGAUUCUGUCAAUAACCGAGUCAUCCAGAAGAGUAACUUCCAGCUGAGACAGACGGCUGUGCAACCCAGACAUUCUGAGUUCGUGCUCACUGACAGAACUAUUUUCCUCCAUCUUACAGCUCCUCGAACAUCUCAUAUGCUCCAUGAUGAUCAAAACACUUUUGGAGCCCUGGUUCUAAACAGUAAAGCAUGUUGCACUGAACCAGAGAUUAGUCAUCACUUCGCGACUAGAAAUCAUUCAGAACGUCCUCGGCUGCCACGAGAACGGGAGGGUCACCUAGCGGAGCAUCAAGGACAUAUGCCUUCUUGGAAGCCAUGAGGAUGAGCUUUAAAUUACGAGCCCAGUCCGCAUAGUUGCUACCAUCGUCUUUCAGCUUGGUUUUCUCUAGGAACGCGUUGAAAUUGAGGUUGACAUGAGCGCUAGCCAUUGGAUCCACAAUAUUGUAAAAACAUUUUUAGACUAAUUUCAUGAUAAUUAAGUUCAUUUAAUCGAAUUAUAUGAUGAACACCCACUUAGAUUGAUAUCCCUCCAGUCAUCUAAGUGAUACAUGAUCCAUGUCGACUAGCCCGUGUCCGAUCAUCAUGUGAGACGGACUAGUCAUCAAUGGUGAACAUGUUGGGGAACGUAGUAAUUUCAAAAAAUACCUACGGUUGACAAGGAUCUAUCUAGGAGAAACCAACAACGAGCAAAGGAGUACAACAUCUUCAUACCUUAGAAGAUCGCUAAGCAGAAGUGUUGCUAGAAUGCGGUUGAUGGAGUCAUACUCGUAGCGACUCAGAUCAUGGUAGAUUCAGAUCUAAGCGCCAAACAACAGCACCUCCAUGUUCAACACACAUGCAGCCCGGUGACGUCUCCUACGCCUUGAUCCAGCAAGGAGAGAUGAGAGGUUGAGGGAGAGCUCCAGUAGCAGGAUGGCGUGGUGACGGUGGAGUUGCAUGGUACUCCGGCAGGGCUUUGUCAAGUGCUACGGAAGACGGGGAGGAGGAUAGGUAGGGUUGUGCCUCGGAGGUGGAAGAACUUGUGUCUAGCAGCCCCAAUCCCUUGGGUUUAUAUAGGAGGAGAGGGAGGAGGGUACGCCACAUCUAGGGUUUCCACCAUAGGUGGUGUGGCAACCCGAGAUGGGGUAGGCUCGCGGCCAACUGGAGGAAGAGGCGGCAUCCUAGGGUGGCUUCCACCCUUCCCUCUUGUGCGCCUUGGGCUGAAGGUGGGUGGCACACCAUCCCAGCUAGGGGCUGGUUCCCAUCCACUUUUGGCCCACUUAGCCUUUCAGGGUUGGGACCCCGGGAACCCUUCCGGUGGUCCCAGUACAUUAUCGACGAUCUCCAAAACUCUUCCAGCAAUCAAAACUCCACUCCGGACACCAAACCAUUCCGGAACUCCUCGUGACCUCCGGGAUCACAUCCGGGACUCCGAACAACCUUCGGUAACCAGGUAUACUAUUACAAUAAUAACCCUAGCAUCAUCGAAUCUUAAGUGUGUAGACCCUACGGGUUCGGGAACCAUGCACACAUGACCGAGACACCUCUUCGGUUAAUAACCAACAACGGGGUCUAGAUAUCCAUGUUGGCUCCCACAUGUUCCACGAUGAUCUCAUCGGAUGAACCACGAUGUCGGGGAUUCAAUCAAUCCCGUAUGCAAUUCUCUUUGUCUACCGGUAUGAUACUUUCCCGAGAUUCGAUCGUCGGUAUCCCUAUACCUUGUUCAAUCUCGUUACUAGCAAGUCUCUUUGCUCGUUCUGUAACACAUCAUCCCGAGGCUAACUCCUUAGUAACAUUGAGCUCAUUAUGAUGAUGUAUUACCGAGUGGGCCCAAAAAUACCUCUCCGUCACAUUGAGUGAAAAAUCCCAGUCUUAAUUCGUACAACCCAACAGACACUUUCGGAGAUACCUGUAGUGUACAUUUAUAAUCACCAGUGAGGGUGAGAACAUAACGAUAGCCACCACGAGCCUGAACGCUCAUUGGACCGCAUACAUCGGUAUGUAUUAUUUCGAAAAAGUUGGUUGUUCACUCCAUUGUUCCGGAGAACGGAGUCUUGGUCAUCUUGCCCAUGAGGCACGGUUCGCAUGUGUCAAAGGAUUCAAAAUCAAGACUCCAAAAGUCCAUCUGUAUAAAGUUUCUUCAUGCGCUUGACACUGAUAUGACCAAGGCGGCAGUGCCACAAGUAUGUGGGACUAUCAUAAUCAACCUUACAUCUUUUGGUACUCACACUAUUAAUAUAUGUAACAUCACGUUCGAGAUUCAUUAAGAACAAACCAUUGACCAGCCGGGCAUGACCAUAAAACAUACCACUCAUAUAAAUAGAACAACCAUUAUUCUCAGAUUUAAAUGAGUAGCCAUCUCAAAUCAGGCAAGAUUCCGACACAAUGUUCAUGCUCAAAGUUGGUACUAAAUAACAAUUAUUAAGGUUUAAAACUAACCCCGAAGGUAGAUGUAGAGGUAACUUGCCGACAGCGAUCACAUCGACCUUGGAACCAUUCCGGACGCGCAUCGUCACCUCGUCCUUAGCGAGCCUCCACUUAUUCCUGAGUUGCUGUUUUGAGUUGCAAAUGUGAGCAACAACACCGGUAUCAAAUAUCCAGGAGCUACUACGAGCGCUGGUAAGGUACACAUCAAUAACAAGUAUAUCAUAUAUACCUUUGACGUUGCCGACCUUUUUGUCCGCUAAGUACUUAGGGCAAUCCCGCUUCCAUUGACCGGUUCCCUUGAAAUAAUAGCACUCAGUCUCAGGCUUGGGUCAUUUCUUUUGCUUCUUCCCGGCAAUUGGGUUAGCCGGCGCGGAACUUGCUUUGUUGUCCUUCUUGAAGUUCUUUUUACCCUUACCUUUCUUGAAACUAGUGGUCUUAUUCACCAUCAACACUUGAUGUUCUUUCUUGAUUUCUACCUCUGCUGAUUUCAGCAUUGAAUACAACUCCGAAAUGGUUUUCUCCAUCCCAUGCAGGUUGUAGUUCAUCACAAAGCUUUUAUAGCUAGGUGGGAGUGUCGGGGAAAUCGAGACCUAUUGGAAACUCGAAGGGUCCCUUGACCGUUCGGCGGAGGGAGAGAGGUGGCGCCGAGAGCGGAGCUAGUGAUCAACACUGGCAAGGUCGUUUACCCAGGUUCGGCCCGCUUGGCGCGUAAAACCCUACUCCUGCUUAGUUUGUAUUGAGGACUUACUGUAGGAUAAUUUCCUACAGUAAUUGAGCUUGUGAUUAGGGAUUCUCAAAUCUCAAAAGGUCUAACCUCCAGAGAAUGAGCCUUGGGCCUCCUUUUAUAGGCAAGGGGUCACCAACAGUGUGCUCACGGGUUGUAUAGUCAACAGGGUUCACCGCUCAUCUUUCUACUGUGGUGUCAGGGGCAGUAAAUGCCUUGUCUGGCCCCUGAACUACAACAAGGUCGCUUCGACACGUACCCAGGUGGUCGACACCUGGAUCUUGCGCUGGCGCAUGAGGGAUGCACUGGAGCGGUGGGACUGUGGUAGAAACGGGGGAGGACACCUGGCGAGCAAAAGGAGCUUGCUAGUCUCGUGUCCCCGUGAGAGGACUUAUGUUAUCUUUCCGGCAAGGAGGGUUUGUCGGUGUCUUGAACGUCUUUCCGGCAAGGGCGCUUGCCAGGACCUUGCGAGACUUUGGGAGUCUUCCCGGCAAGGAGGGCUUGCGGGGGCCUUAAGAAUCCUCCCGGAAAGGAGGGCUUGUCGUGGCCAUGCGAGACCUUGCGAUCCUUCACGGCAAGGAGGUCUUGUCAGGCCCUUGUGUGUGGAACUUCUGUACUCUACGCCCUCGGGGAGGGGCGUGGCCUCGGUGGGUCUUGGUUUGUCUUCCUAACAGUCUUCCUCGUGUGUUGCCGUCAGGGGAGUCGCCGGCGCCUGUGCACAAGUGUGGGGCACAAGGGACCCCAGUCUCUAGUGCAUCGACAGGAGCCCCAGGGCCUGGGCCACACACGCGCGCGAGGCGUUGCUGGGCCAGGCCCAAAGUGGUGCACGGGCUUCCAUGACAGGGUACUCUGUAGCUUUGGAGCCAUUGUGAGCGACACUUCCCCACGUCGCGCAUCGAGCGCGCGAGUAGGAGAAGUGUGCGCACAGUGGCCUCCCCACCUCCCGAAGUAUUACUGCUACAUGUGAGGCAUGCGCAGUAACGGUCAGGAAAGUGACAUUCGUGGCCUUUAAGGCCACAGUUGUGGCAGGGCCCGCCCCCACAUGCAUAGGUGAUACAUGGCGCUUCCCUGUUCACCCGUGAUCAUGGGUGAUUGGGUGAGAGGGGCGGCGAUUUCUAGAGUGAGGAGAGCUAGGCCCCGUGCCUCUCCCUCUAAAUUAGGAAUUUUGCGAGGGGGUUUUGCUCAUCCAUCCAACUCCCGAAACAUUCAGCAUCCCCCGCUUGCGUGUGCGGAGUCUUCUUUAGUUCUAGGUGGCGCCCGCCCCUAACCAUGGCUAGGGGACGAGGGCGGCCACCAUCGGCCGCCAGGGCGGCAAGAGGAUACCAUUCGGAUCAUGCAUAGCUUCAGGGGCCGCAGCCGCGGAGGGCGGCCCGAGCGCCCGAGGUGGCAGAGGGGCGAGGGGCCGCGGUCGCCGUGGAUGCCCUGGCCUGGCAAGGCGGAGUGCUACUCCAGCACAUCCGACUUCUCCCCCAGCACCAGCUUCUCCUUUGUGGGGCGGGCACUCGGACGGGAUGCCACUGGAGUUGGUCAUGGAACUGCACGGUGUCCCUCGGGGCCAUCUGCACCUCCCUUGCCCUUUUGCUAGGGCGAUGAAGGCUGCCAAGCUUCCCGUCUUGUGGUUGCGGGCGUACGGUUGCUUCCACGGCGCUAUGCAGGUACACGUGGAGUACCCGAAAUGCCGCUCCAUGUUGCUCAAGCGGGGCUGGAAAGCCUUCGGCCGCGCCCACAACCUCGAGGAUCGGCAUGUCUUCCGCUUCAAGCUAGCGGAGGAUAAAAUGCUAUCCGUCAAGUUUUAUGGGCGGUCAGGUGUGUGUUUCGGCUACUGCGAAGAGAGCUCGAGCUGCGCCGAAUGUCCCUCCUCGAGCAAUAGCGACGAGGAGGACAACGGCGGCAGUGGCGCUCUUGGCAGGUCAGGAUCUCGGGGGGGUCAAGUCGGAGUACGGACUCCCCGACCACCGGCCAUGCUGCCGAGGCCCGCUCAUGCCUCUCCCCCGCCCGGUGGGGUUACCUUGCCGGGGCCGGCAUUGACGCCUUGUCCUAUAGGAGGCGCGAUUGCGGUUUCCGACUUCUUCAUCCCUUCUGGUCGCCCUGUCCUCCGCCCCCGUUCUCCUCUACGCACUGCUAGUUGAGGAGAAACCAUCCUGGGUUGUGUCGGGGGCCGUCCUGUUUUUUUGUCUUCCUGAACUUUUGUCCAGCAAGCACGUUUGUCGGGGGGAUAACCCCUUGGUAGGCUCAUCGAGUCUGCUCCUUUAUCUCCGGCCCCAAAGGAAUGACCAGAAACUAUACUGCAAGGCCCAAGUCCUGUGGCCGGCUAGGCCAAACCUACCGGCUAGGGGGCGAGACGGCUAACUCUCUGGCCGGCCAGGCAACACCUGCCGGCUAGAGGAGAGACGGCUACCUUUUCCUAACCGCCUAGGUCAAGCCAGCCGGCUAGGGACGAGGCGGCCGUGCCCAAGCCGGCUAGCCAAGCGGGCUAGCCGGCCGGGGAUCUCAAGUUCAGAUCGUAGGUCAUGACGAGACCCUACAAUUAAAGGUGUCUACGCGUCAGCAAAGGUACUAGAUUGGAGUGCCCGACAGGUACGAGCGUCAGCGGCCAUGCCGCUGACCUACCCCAGCUCUGAUCCAUCACCCAGCAUAGUGUCGGACCGUCAAACUCCCACUCCAUCACUGCACUCAGCAUGGGAACAGUGGAGGUGUCUGUACCGUCUACCCAUGAAGAAUCUCGCUGGAUGACGCUAGACGUACCGCGCGUGCCCUGCGUCAACCUUACGCGAGAGCUCCAUUGGCUAGCCAGCGGAUCCCACGGCCAGACGGGACCUCAUAGCUGGCGGGCCCCUCAAGCGACAAGACCCUCAUGGGCCCCCCUAACCAGCCAAAGAGGCUGCCAGCUGGGUCCCACUCUUGUACCCAUUAUCCAUAUUGUAGGCUGGUGGGUGCGUCUAUAAAACCCCCGGGUCCCCCUCCAUGCAGAGGGUCGGUCAAAAGAUUACGCACACCUUCACCAACCACAUAGGAGAGGCAGAGACGAGCCGGCUGCUCCCCUCUUCCUCCUCCACAAUACAGCUCCAGGAGCAACCUUGUAAUCCCAUUCAUAUACAUCAUACACUCCGGCAGGACUAGGGGUAUUAUCUCUACGGAGAGCCCUGAACCUGGGUACAUUAUGCGUUCCAUGCUUGUACCAACCUCGUCCCCAGCGCUCUCCAUUGCCACUUCGGUUCUCACUGACUUUAGCCUACCUAUGUUGUGAGUAUUCAUCGAUAUGUUGUGAGUAUUCACCGAUAUUUGGCGCCCACCAUGGGGCCGAUCGCGGUAUCGGCUGGCUUUACGCGCUGGGCGGGGCCCCGCACCUACACCACCGGAUGCAUCGCGUCUGGAUCGAUCUGCAUGCCCGUGGAGCCCACCUUCGAUGAGGCAGUGCCGAUGAUGAUCGACGUCCCGGUCCGCCAUGCGGAUUCGGACGAAGAUCCCGAUGACGAGGCGCCUCUUAGCGUCGUCGUCGCUGCUACGGAGAACCUCAACAUUAUCUUUAGAGACCUGCAUCUCAACGAUGGUCCUCGCUACUUCGGCGAGGUCUACGAUGUCGACGCGCUGUGCGCCAGCUUCAGUAGGCUCUCUAUCGCUGAGAUGCCUGCACAUGACGUGUACCCCAGCAACGUACUCGUCUUUGACGGCCCUCUGCAGUCGUUGGGGUUCUUCACCCGAUACCAUGUCGCCACCGUCUCCAACGUCGUGGAGGUAAUGGUCAUCAUCGCUGGAACCAGCACGGCUCAUGGCAAGGCGUCAGCAGACGCUGGCGAGCCUGCUGCUGUCACCGCUGACACUCUUCAGGAUGCGCUUGCCGGCCUGAAGACGCCCAUCGUCGCCUCCACGAACCCUAACGACGCCCGAGCCUCGCUGGAGGAUGCUCGCUUGCAGAUCUUGAAGGAGGGCAUUGCCGUCGCCUUGUCAAAGCACCGGAUGGAGGCCAUGCAGCGCGAGUAUAACUCCGCAUACGGCCUCACUCCGGUUUGCGAGGACCCUAGCCGGCUUGGGUCGGUCCGCGACAGCGGCCGGUUCAUUGCCAAGAUCCUAGGCGGUAAGAAGCCCAUCUACGAGACCUCUGCAGCCAACUUGCGGGCGGCACAGGAGGCCAUGGAAGAAAUGUCGAGCUUGGAGGGUCAGGAGCGCGCCUUCCAGGAGAAGCGUGUCAAGGAACUCCAUGACGCCGCCAACGAGCAGCAGACCCGGCUUGACCCCGGUCAGGCCCAGUCAGAGUCUCCGGGACCCAACCCGGAGCGCGCCGCAACCCUAGCGGUCAUCACCAUGAGGAGGCAUCUUCCACGCAUCGCACCUGUGGCCGGAGGGGCGAGGGAAGUCAAGAGAGGCGGUCCCAGCGCUAGAGCGAGCAUACUUCGAGCAGGCGUCACGGAGGCGACGAGAGGGACUCGGUGUAUGAGGUUCCUUGUCCGGGGAGGACCCAUGCCACCGGUUCGCAAGGUGCACUUUCGAUCGCAUCUCGGAUCGACGCUCGCAUUCCCUAGGGCGACCAGGAUGCCCCUCGGCGUCUCAACGCCCUGGCCCAGUCAGCCCUCCUGGAGGAGGACGACCCCAUCGGUUUGGCCUGCUUCGGCCCCCAGAUAUGAGGGGAGCCGUUUCCCCGAGGCUUCACCUUGCCUCGUUACACUCCCAAGUACAACGGCACCGCCAAGCCAGAGGACUGGCUGAUCGACUACACCACCUCCGUUGGCAUUGCCAGGGGAAACAAGCGCGUAGCAGUCCGCUACGUGCCACUCAUGUUGGCCGGCUCGGCUCGGACUUGGCUCAACAGCCUUCUAGCCGGCAGCGUCAACUCAUGGGUGGGUUUCGAGGAGGCGUUAGUCCGCAACUUCACCGGUACCUACAAGCGCCCUGGCCGGCCUCGCGAGCUGGCCAUGUGUGUCUAGAGGCCCGACGAACCCCUUCGCGACUACGUCUCUCGCUGGACGAAGCUUCGCAACUCCUGCGAGGGGGUGCAUGAGGUACAGGUCAUCCAAUACUUCAUCGACGGUUGCCGAGACGGAACCCUCCUCAAGCACAAGCUCAUGUGCUCCGAGCCCACUUCUCUUGCGGUGCUCAUGGACAAGGCAGACAAAUACGCCACGGCCGACUCCAUGAUGCGGUUCAAGGUAACCGCCUCGGACAAGGUUGUCCCUACGCCGGGUACUCCUAAGCUGGCUGGAGACAGUCGAGGUGGCCAGAAGAACAACAACCGCAAGGCGGGUUAGCUAGAUUCGCGCUCCAAAAACAAGUUGGUAGCCAGCGUGGAGGGUGAGGCAUCGGCUUCUCAAGCCGGCUCUCAACGGAAGCGGCCCAACAGGGGCAAUACAAACUGGUUGCCCAAGCAGACUUUCGAGUAGCUGCUUGACGCCCCCUGCAAGAUACAUUCUGGGGCGCAGCCUUCUACCCACACCCUUCGAUAGUGCUGUUUCGCACGAAGGCUGUCGCAAGGGGAGGGCCUGCCGGCUGUCCUAGUUUCACAGGCUGCGCCUCAAGCCUCGGCUCCUGGUCCUGCACUGGCUCCACCGACGCCGCCUCGCGAAGACGGCCGCAUCCACGACGACUACCCCCAUCAAGAUGGAGCAUUCGUCGUCUUCACCAGUGAAGGCGAUGACAAGCAUAGCCUGCACCAGGGAUGGUGUGAGGUGAAUGCCACGGUCCCCCCGGUCCCCCAAUAGAUGAUCAUCCCGCGGUGAUGCCCAACCCGGACUCAUACGCGCUCGUUCUCGACCCCACCUUCGCCUCCAAGAGGCUCACCUGCCGGUUCUCCGGGGUGCUGGUCGAUGGCGGCAGUAGCAUCAACAUCCUCUACCUCGACACUCUGUGUAAGCUCGGGCUCAAGGAGACGGACGUCCUGCCGACGAGCACUGUCUUCCACGGCAUCGUGCCUAGGCAGUCCUGCUCGCCUAUCGAGAAAAUCCAGCUAUACGUCCUCUUCGGUGACAAGGCUCACUUCCGCCGCGAGUCCAUAUGGUUUGAGGUAGUGGACCUCAGUAGCCCGUAUCACGCGCUGCUGGGCAGACCGGCUCUGGCCAAGUUCAUGGCUAUCCCGCACUACGCUCACCUGAAGAUGCAGAUGCCAGGUCCGAAGGGCAUCAUCACCAUUGCUGGCGACUACAAGAAGUCGCUCGAGUGCGCACAAGACAACAGCCGCCUCGCCGACCUCAUGGUGAUUGCUGAGGAGAAGAGACAGGUCGACCGGCUCGUGGCUCAGGCUACCAAGCAGCCGGCGAUGCCUUCUCCUCCGUCCCAGUCAGCCGGCGAAAGCUCCUUCAAGCCGGCCAAAGAGACCAAGCAGGUGCCACUCGACCCUGCAAACCCCAAGCAGUGCGUCACCAUCGGGGCUGGCCUCAGCCCCAAAUAGGAAGGCAAGCUCGUCGACUUCCUCCGUGAGAAUCGGGACAUCUUUGCAUGGUCCCCCAAAGACAUGCCAGGUGUUUCGAGGAAGUACACCGAGCACAAACUUUACGUGCGACCGGAUGCAAAGCCGGUAAAACAACCUUUGUGCCGCUUCGUCGAGGGGAAGGGGCACACAAUUGGAGAAGAGAUUACCCGGCUCCUUGCGGCCGGCUUCAUCAUGGAGGUUUUCCACCCGGACUGGUUGGCCAAUCCAGUCCUGGUGCUGAAGAAGAACAAUACCUGGCGAAUGUGUAUCGACUACACUAGCUUGAAUAAGGCAUGUACGAAAUACCCUUUCGCGUUGCCUAGGAUAGAUCAAGUGAUCGACUCCACUGCAGGCUGCGAAAUGCUAUCAUUUCUGGAUGCUUAUUCAGGCUACCAUCAAAUGAAGCUGGAUCCAGCUGAUCGCCUGAAGACCUCCUUCAUCACGCCCUUCGGGUCCUACUGCUACAGCACCAUGACGUUUGGUUUGAAGAACGCUGGUGCGACGUUCCAACGCUGCAUGCAGCAGUGCCUACUGCCACGGAUCGGCAGAAACAUCCACGUCUAUGUGGAUGACAUCGCCGUCAAAACGAAGUAGCACUUCAGGCCUCCUCGACGACUUGCGGGAGACGUUCGCGAACCUGCGCGAAUACAAGAUCCGGCUCAACCCGGAGAAGUGCGUCCUUGGGGUUCCAGGCAGCAAGCUCUUGGGGUUCUUCGUGCCAGCUCGUGGCAUCGAGGUGAACCCCGAGAAGAUCGGCACCAUCGAGCGGAUGGUGAGGCCGGCUCGGAUCCUAGACGUCCAGAAGUUCGCCGGCUGCCUGGCGUCCCUUAGUAAGUCCGUCAGCCGGCUCGACGAGAAGGCCCUUCCACUCUACCAGCUCAUGAAGAAGAAAACGAAGUUCGAGUGGAACGACCAGGCGGACGAAGCCUUCCGCGACCUCAAGCGGGUCAUCUCGAGCCUGCCAAUCUUGGCAGACCCGGCUGAAAGGGAACCCAUACUCAUAUACAUUGCAGCGACCACUCGCGUGGUUAGUGUAGUGCUGGUAGUUCAGCGCAAGAAGGAGGGCAAAGUACUGUUAGUGCAGUGCCCUGUCUACUACCUGAGUGAGGUCUUGUCUGCCUCCAAGCAGAACAAUCCCCACUACCGAAAAAUGUGUUAUGGUGUUUACCUUGCUGCAAAGAAGUUGAAGCAAUACUUCCAAGAGCAUGCUAUUACCGUGGUGAGCACUGCUCCGCUUUCAGAAAUCAUGGGAAACCGUGAUACAACUGGCAGGGUCGCCAAGUGGUCCAUCGCCAUGGCGGACCACGAUAUCCUCUACAAGCCUCGCACCGCCAUGAAAUCUCAGGUGGUGGCUGACUUCUUGGUCGACUCGGCCGAAACCCAGUUCGAGCCACCACCUCCAGACUCUACGCAUUGGUGGAUGCAAUUCGACGGCUCAAAGAUGUGGACUGGUCUGGGAGCCGGCAUCGUCUUGACGUCUCCGAAAGCAGACCAGCUCAAGUAUGCUCUCCAGAUCCACUUCGCCGCCUCCAACAACAUCGCCGAGUACGAAGUGCUCGCUCAUGGCCUCCGGCUCGCCAAGGAGAUUGGCAUCCGGCGGCUCAUAUGCUUUGGCGACUCAGACCUGGUGGUGCAGCAAGUUUCUGGUGAAUGGGACGCCAGUGACACCAACAUGGCAAGCUACCGCUUCCUCAUCCAGCAGCUCAGCGGCCCCUUCGAGGUUUGCGAGUUCCACCAUGUUCCCAGGGCAGACAACAAGGCGGCUGAUACAUUGGCCAAGAUUAGCUCCAUGAGACAGGCUAUCCCAGUCGGCGUCUCCCUCGAGCAGCUCCAUAAGCCGUCUAUGAGGCCGUCUCCAGAGUGGACAUCGAUCUUCGUAAUGGCUGAUUCUUCGGUGCAAGCACCGUCGGCUCCACCAGCUACACCGGCUACAGCUCAUGUGCCAGCUAAGCUAGCUCUGCCGACUCCAAUUGCGGCACCGGCUCAUUCUUCGGUGCAAGCACUAUCGGCUCCACCAGCUACACCGGCUACAGCUCCAGCGCCGACUAAGCUGGCUCUGCCGACUCCAAUUACAGCACCGGCUACAACAACAACUCCGGCUCUGCCCUGCCUCGAAUCCUGUCGUCUCGACACCCAUUGGGUGGAUUUCAUGGACGUAGACGGCAAGCCAGCUGCUACGACAGCAUCAGAGACACCUUGUCUCGAGCCCACGACUACUGCUUCAUCAAGCGCGGGGGCUGCAGAAGCCCCUAACAGUCAGGUUGAGACGGAGCCAACCCUUGUGUCUGCUCCGUCAUGGGCUCAACCCAUCCUGGCCUUCCUCCUUCACGGCGAGCUUCCUCAAGACGAGGCGGAGGAGAGGAAGAUCCAGCGCACGUCUGCAGCCUACGCCAUCAUCAAUCGCGAGCUGGUUCGGCGUAGUGUGACUGGCGUGUUCCAGCGCUGCGUCGAAUCAGAAAAGGGACAGGAUAUCCUCAGAGACAUUCACCAGGGGGAGUGCGGGCAUCAUGCCGCCUGGAUUCCUCUGGCCCAUAGCCCUUGAGGAGGCCGUGGACUUGGUCAACAAAUGCGAGGGCUGCCAAUUCUUUGGCACAUAGAGCCACAUGCCGCCUUCGGCUCUCAAAACCAUCCCCUUGUCAUGGUCUUUCGCCGUCUGGGGGAUGGACACGGUGGGGCCUUUCAAGACGGCUCGUGGUGGCAUGACUCACCUCUUGGUGGCCAUCGACAAAUUCACCAAGUGGAUCGAGGCUAGGCCCAACAAGAUGCUUGAUGGCCCCAGGACUGUCAAGUUCAUCACGGACAUCUCUGUUCGAUAUGGCGUCCUCCACAACAACAUCACCGACAAUGGCACAAACUUCGCCAAGGGCGCUCUCAUGCUCUACUGCUCCAAGGUAGGCAUCCAGCUCGACUAGGCGUCAGUGGUACAUCCCCAGUCCAAUGUCCAGUUGGAGAGGGCCAACGUCCUGAUCCUGGCCGUCAUCAAGCCAAGACUGGUGGCACCACUUGUCAGGUCAGCCGGCUGCUGGAUCGAAGAACUUCCGGCUGUACUGUGGAGUCUCCGUACCAUGCCCAACCGGUCAACCAGCUUCACUCCAUUCUUUCUUGUAUACGGGUCCGAGGCCAUCAUCCCUAUGGAUAUCGAGUUCGACUCGCCUCGGGUCACCUUGUACACGGAAAUGGAGGCAAAGGAGGCAAGAGAAGACGGUGUUGAUCUCCUCGAGGAAGCAAGGGACUUGGCCUUGAGCCGGACGGCCAUCUAUCAACAGAAGCUGAGAUACUACCACAGCAAGAAGAUCAAGCCGCUCUCUUUCAGAGAGGGAGACUUGGUGCUCAGAAGAAUCCAGCGCACCGCCGGCCAGCACAAGCUCUCAUACCCAUGGGAGGGGCCCUUCAUCAUCAGUAGGGCAUUGCACAACAACGCAUACUACUUGAUCGAUGCCCAGAAGCCAAGGAAGCGCAAGAGGGACGACUCCAACCAGGAGACGGAACUUCCAUGGAACGCGGUGUUGCUUCGCCCGUUCUAUUGCUAGAAGGCAAGUAUCAAACAUGGAAAGAGCAUGCACAUAUGUAUCUUUCUCCCUCUUCAUGGAUUUCUAAUGAAUGCAAUGGAAAGAGCAUGCACAUAUGCUUCUUUUUAAAUUCAUAUCUAGAGUGCUCACUUCCUGAAGCCCCUUGCUGGCUCUAACAAGCUCGGGGGCUCGCUAGCUACCCGGACGACUUCCUUAUGUUGUAGAAAAACACAUAGCGUACGCCGGACUGAUCCCUGGUCACCUCGUAACAGCUACAGACCGGCUCCCGGCUGUCCGGCUAACGAGGCGACGCCAGGUAAGGCUGGAUGCGUGUAAAGUUUGACUACAAAAAGGUUGCCUGCUCGGCUUGGCUUGAUCUAUUUUACGAUCUCAUUCUAUCCGGCCUUUGCUCGUUUAUGUCUGAAUCUUUAAGUCUUGAUGGCUUCGAAAAAUCUAAGUCUUAUAUUCUCGAAGUCAGAAACCUCGACCGAGUCACACACCGGCUCCCGGCUGUCGGGCUGGCGGGGUGGAAACUUGGGGGGUACACGAGUUGGAGAAAAAGAGGUCAAAUAGGAAUCAAAAUAUAAAGAUAUAAAACAACACGCAUGGCAAUACGAAUAUAAUGUUGAAUCCAUACAUUCAAAAUGCAUUGGCCCACGACCGAAGUUCAUUACAUCCCCCAGUGGGUGGAACUGUUGGACUGACAAGAUAAUUUCAGACAACAAAAAGAAAAAGCAGGAUCGACUAAGGGGCUCCGGCCUCGUCGGUUGCCCCGGCUGCUGCUCCUGAAGUGGUGGCUUCACCAUCGCCGGCUGCUCGAGAGGUUGUGGCGCUGUCGCCUCCGCGAGGGAUCCCGGCUCUAUCCGCGUCGGAGUCGGCAUACGCCCCACCGCUGGAGGCGGCAACAUUCUCCACCUCAUGGGCCGCCUCGUCGGAGCUGCCAUCGGCGUCAUAGGGUGAAGGCCAUGCAUAUCCUCAGGGAUCACACUGCCGCCUUCGCCCCGCUCCAAGUUGAGACCAUCCCAGGUGGCAUACGAGGCGAUGUCGCUGGCCCACACGCGCAACUCCUCCUCCACGGCCUGCAGCUCCACCUUCGAGCCGUCGCGCUGAGUGACAAGCUUGCCCAAGUCCAGGUUUCAGAACCAGGACUUGGGCAAGCGCAGGGCCAUGUAGGCUUCAGCGCGCGCGACUGAAGCGCGCCAAGCGUCAAGACGGUCCUCACCAGCCGCAAGCCAGCGGGAGAGCCGGCUCAUCGACGCUGGCUCCACGCCUUCAGGCCACAGGGCCGUGAUACGUCCAUUUUGCAUCAUGCUUUCAUGUUGAUAUUUAUUGCUUUAUGGGCUGUUAUAUUACUUUGUGGUACCAUAUUUAGGCCUCUAAAGAGGGAGAAUUCAGGCAGCUGGAAUUCUGGACUGGAAAAGGAGCAAAUCUUAGUCCACUAUUCUCCACAUCUCCAAAUGCCCUGAAAAGUUACGUCGAAUUUUUUGGGAUUAUAUAAAAAAUACUAGGCAAAAGAAGUACCAAAGGGGGGCUACCAGGGCGCCACAAACCCUGCCACCGCCACCCCCUGGUUGUGGAGGGCAAGCUUGUGGGAUCCCUGACGGCCCACUGAUACGUCUCAAACGUAUCUAUAAUUUUUGAUGGUUUCACACUGUUAUCUUGUCUUCUUUGUAUGUUUUAUGUACCUUUUAUAUCUUUUUGGGACUAUCUUAUUAAUUCAGUGCCAAGAGCCAGUUCCUGUUUUUUCCGUGUUUCUGACUCUUUUCAGAUGUGAUUUUGGAACGGAGUAAAAACGGAAGAAAAACCCCGAAAUGAUUUUUUCCCGAACAGAAGAAGUCCAGGGGGCUUUUGGGCCAAGCCAGGUGGGCUCCAGGGGGCCCACAAGCCCCCACUCGGCCAACAGGGUGGAGGCGGCGGUGGGCAGGCUUGUGGCCUCCCUGGCCGCCCCCUAACCUAGGUCUUUGGCCUAUAAAUUCCCAAAUAUUCCGCAAAAAAUCAGGGGAGCCUCGAAAAUACUUUUCAGCCGCCGCAAGCUUCCGUUUCCGUGAGAUCUCAUCUGGAGACCCUUCCCGGCGCCCUACCGGAGGGGACUUUGGAGUUGGAGGGCUUCUUCAUCAUCAUCAUCGCCCCUCCAAUGAAUCGUGAGUAGUUCACUUCAGACCUACGGGUCCGUAGUUAGUAGCUAGAUGGCUUCUUCUCUCUCUUGGAUCUUCAAUACAAAGUUCUCCAUGACCUUCAUGGAGAUCUAUCCGAUGUAAUCUUCUUUGGCGGUGUGUUUGUCGAGAUCCGAUGAAUUGUGGACUUGUGAUCAGAUUAUCUAUGAUAUAUAUUUGAGUCUUUGCUGAUUUCUCAUAUGCAUGAUUUUAUAUCCUUGUAAGUCUCUCCGAGUCUUGGGUUUUGUUUGCCAACUAGAUCUAUGAUUCUUGCAAUGAGAGAAGUGCUUGGUUUUGGGUUAUGCCAUGUGGUGACCUUUCCAAGUGACAGUAGGGGCAGCAAUAUUAUCACUCUCUUUAUUAUUAUCACUCUCUUUAUUAUUAUCCUCAUCCCCAUUAUCAUCAACAUCAUCAUCAUGAGAUAUAUUGGAAUUCAAACUAGGAGAUACCUUUGAAGCCUUAGACAUAAGGCAAAAGUGAGUCACAAUAGAUGAUCAUGUAGGAUCCCUUGAAGNNNNNNNNNNNNNNNNNNNNNNNNNNNNNNNNNNNNNNNNNNNNNNNNNNNNNNNNNNNNNNNNNNNNNNNNNNNNNNNNNNNNNNNNNNNNNNNNNNNNUCAUCUUUGACAUCGUCUAUGAUUGUGAACACUCAUUGAACUAUUACAUGCUUAGAAGUAGAUGUUGGACAAGGAAGACAACAUAAUGAAUUUUGUUUGCUUGGUUCCGAACAAUGUUUUAUGACUAGAGAUCCCUUAGCAUGUGACGAUUGCUUCCACCUCAUAUCAGCCAAAACUUUUGCACUAAGUAGAGAUAUGAGUUGUGCAUCCAUAAACCUUCAACCCAGUUUUGCCAUGAGAGUCCACCAUACCUACCUAUGGAUUGAAUAAGAUGCCUUAAGUAAGUUGUCGUCGGUGCAAGCAAUAAAAAUUUCUCCCUAAAUAUGUAUGAUCUAUUAGUGUGUGGAAAAUAAGCUUUGUACGAACCUGUGAUGAGGAAGACAUAAAAGCGACAGACUGCAUAAUAAAGUUCUUUAUCACAGGAGGCAAUAUAAAGUGACGUUCCUUCACACUAAGAGGUCACACAUCCCAACCUCAAAAGCGCAUGACAACCUCUGCUUCCCUCUGCAAAGGGCCUAUCUUGUACCUUUAGUUUUUGCCCUUGAAAGAGUCAUGGUGAUCUACACAAAUCCCUCAUUUCGUCUCUAACUUGGCUAACGUCAUAUGCUAGGGAAAGAUCUAUAUUCAUAUGUCAACUUGGAAGUAAGUAUUCACGAAUUAUUAUUGUUGACAUCACCCUUGAGGUAAAUAGUUGGGAGGCAAAACUAUAAGCCCCUAUUUUUCUCUAUUUCUGACUGAAUGAUCUCAUGAGUACCACGUGAGUUGUAGCAAUUGUAGAAGACAAAAGGAUGAUUGAGUAUGUGGAUUUGCUUUACUAGCUCUUACUUGACUCUUUCCGAUGUUACGAUAAAUUGCAAUUGCUUCAAUGACUAAAGGCUAUUGGUUGUUAAUUCUCAAUAAGGUUCUUGAUCCAUACUUUACUUUGUGAAGGAACUGUCACUUUAGCAUGAGAGAUUAUAUGAUGAUAUUGUUGUUCUAAUUAUGAUCAUGAUGCCUGCAUGUCCAUAUCUUGUUUUGUCGACACCUCUCUCUCUAAACAUGUGGGCAUAUUUAUUGAUCUUGAUUUCCGCUUGCGGACAAGAAAAGUCUAAGCUUGGGGGAGUUGAUACGUCCAUUUUGCAUCAUGCUUUUAUGUUGAUAUUUAUCGCUUUAUGGGCUGUUAUUACACUUCACGGUACAAUACUUAUGCCUUUUAUCUCUUAUUUUGCAAGGUUUACAUGAAGAGGGAGAAUGCCGGCUGCUGGAAUUCUAGCCUGAAAAGGGAGAAAGUUUGAGAUACCUAUUCUGCGCAACUCCUAAAGCCCUGAAAAUCAACGAGGAAUUAUUUUGGAAUUUAUAAAAAAUACUAGGCGGAAGAAGUAACAGAGGGGAGCCACCAAGAGGCCACAAGCCUGCUAGGCGCGGCCUACCCCCUGGCCGUGCCUAGGGGGCUUGUGGGCUCCCCUUUGGCCCUCUGGCUCCCCUCUUUUGCUAUAAGGAGGGUUUCGUUUCAGAAAAAAUCAAGAGGAGGCAUUCGGGAGGAUUCGCCGCCGCCACGAGGCGGAACUUGAGCAGAACCAAUCUAGAGCUCCGGCAGGGUCGUCCUGUCGGGGAAACUUCCCUCCCGGAGGGGGAAAUCGUCACCAUCGUCAUCACCAACACUCCUCUCAUCCGAGGGGGACCCAUCACCAUCAACAUAUUCAUCAACACCAUCUCAUCUCCAAACCCUAGUUCAUCUCUUGUAACCAANUGUAAGGUUGCUAGUAGUGUUAAUUACUCUUUGUAGUUGAUGCUAGUUGGAUUACUCGAUGGAAGAUUAUAUGUUCAGAUCCUUGAUGCUAGUAGUGUUAAUUAAUCUUUGUAGUCUCAUGAACAUAAUUAUGCUUUGUGAGUAGUCACUUUUGUUCCUCAGGACAUGGGAUAAGUCAUGCUAUAAGUAGUCAUGUGAAUUUGGUAUUCGUUCGAUAUUUUGAUGCGUUGUAUGUUGUUUUUCCUCUAGUGGUGUUAAGUGAACGUCGACUACAUAACACUUCACCAUUAUUUAGUCCUAGAGGAAGGCAUUGGGAAGUAAUAAGUAGAUGAUGGGUUGCUAGAGUGACAGAAGCUUAAACCCUAGUUUAUGCGUUGCUUCGUAACGGGCUGAUUCGGAUCCACUAGUUUAAUGUUAUGGUUAGACUUUGUCUUAAUUCUUCUUUCGUACUUGCGGAUGCUUGCGAGAGGGGUUAAUAAUAAGUGGGAGGUUUGUCCAAGUAAGGGCAGCACCGAAGCACCUAUCCACCCACAUAUCAAACUAUCAAAGUAGCGAACGCGAAUCAUAUGAACAUGAUGAAAACUAGCUUGACAGAAAUUCCCAGGUGUCCUCGGGAGCGCUUUACCUUCUAUAAGAGUUCGUCCAAUUUUGACCCUUGUUACAAAAGGGAUUGGGCCACUUUGCUGCACCUUUGUUACUAUUGCUACUUGUUACUUGCUACUUGCUACGAAUCAUCUUAUCACACAACUAUCUGUUACCGAUAAUUUCAGUGCCUACAGAGAAUACCUUGCUGGAAACCACUUGUCAGAUCCUUCUGCUGCUCGUUGGGUUCGACACUUUUACUUAUCGAAAGGAAUACAAUAGAUCCCCUACACUUGUGGGUCAUCACUUGGUGAAGCCCUGCCGCGGUACCACACAGCUCCACCGUCACCACACCAUCGUGCUGCCGGAGUUCUCCCUCAACCUCUCCUCCCUCCUUGCUGGAUCAAGCCGUCGGAGACGUCACCGGGCUACACGUGUGUUGAACGCGGAGGCACCAUUGUUUGGUGUAUAGAUCGGAAUCCACCGCAAUCUGAAUCGCUGCGAGUACGACUCCAUCAACCGCGUUCUAGCAACGCUUCCACUUAGCGAUCUUCAAAGGUAUGAAGAUGCUCUACCCCUUCGCUCGUUGCUGGCUUCUCCAUAGAUAAAUCCUUGCAUGACGUAGGACAUUUUUUGAAAUUACUACGUUCCCCAACAGCUCUACCCCUUGCUUGUUGGUAGCAUCUCCUAGAUUGAUCUUUCUGUGACAUAGGAUUUUUUUUGAAAUUCUCCCUUGAGCCCCAACAGUGGCAUCAUGACCUAGGUCUAUGCAUAGAUCCUAUGCACGAGUAGAACACAAAAGUUGUGGGCGAUGAUUUUGUCAAUUGCUUGCCAUCACUAGUCCAAUUUAUUUUUGGCGAUAUUGUGGGAUGAAGCGGCUGGACUGACUUUACAUGUACGCUUACGUGAGACUGGUUCCACCGCCUCACAUGCACUUGUUGCAUAAGGUGGCUAGCGGGUGUCUGUCUCUCCCACUUUAGUUGAGUUGGAUUCGAUGAAAAGGGUCCUUAUGAAGGGUAAAUAGCAUUAGCAUAUCAACAUUGUAGUUGCCACGUAGGUAAGAAGCGUUCUUGCUAGAAACCCAAAUCAGCCACGUAAAACUUGCAACAACAAUUAGAGGACGUCUAACUUCUUUUUGCAGGGUAUGCUAUGUGAUGUGAUAUGGACAAAAGGAGGUGAUGAAAUAUAUGUGAUGUAUGAGAUCGAUNNNNNNNNNNNNNNNNNNNNNNNNNNNNNNNNNNNNNNNNNNNNNNNNNNNNNNNNNNNNNNNNNNNNNNNNNNNNNNNNNNNNNNNNNNNNNNNNNNNNGACUCGCCCCUGGAAUAUUGCCCACUUGCGGCCUUAUUACACUUGAGCUCUUAAGCUCUACAUUUUGUAAGUUUUUCAUUUCUUAUAAAGAAAUAAAAUUAAACGCCUCCCGACUUGGGGGCUUCCUCUCACUGAGAUCAUCUUUAUUACCCAUUUGGCCUGCGAAAAAUUACUGCGUUACAAGUGGUUAUACUCGACUGUGUGUUGGCCGAAUCGCCAUAUGGACCCAUGAACUCUUGGCGAGUUAUUCCGCUAAUGGACCCUGAACUUGCUUUGGUUAAAACAUGUCUGGUACCGGAAAUCGCCUCACAUGGAAAAUAGAUAAACCAUUGGUUCAUUGAACCCGCUUCACUGAAGCUUGACUUGUGUCUGAUCAGCUGGUCUAAAUACCUGGGCUUUUGAUACAAAAGUCUCCUUUGGGUGGCGCUUGAGCUUGUUUAACUCGCCAUAUCCUGUCGCGACCUUAUGAGCCGACGAAAUUGUUAUUUUUUUACCUCCCUUGGCUGGUGCUUGAGCUUGUUUAACUCGCCCUAUCCUGUCGNNACCUUAUGAGCCGACGAUAUUAUUAUUUUGGGUGGCGCUUGAGCUUGUUUGACUCGCCCUAUCCUGUCGCGACCUUAUGAGCCGAUGAAAUUGCUAUUUUUUACCUCCCUGGCAUUGCCACAAGGUUUUUUAGACUUUUUUUUCCUGACUCGCCUCAAAAUAUCUUGGGGCGAUUGCUAUUUGUUAUCACCUAUUACUCACUGAGAUGGUUUGAUAUAUGUUUUCAAGUUUAGAACAGGUUGAUGAUCAUAAUCACUCUAGCCAUGGCGGAUCAAGCAUCAUAACAACGCCUCAAUGGAGGAUCAAGUAUUAUGAUAAAAGCCUCAAACGGCAGAUCAAGUAUUUCAAAACNNNNNNNNNNNNNNNNNNNNNNNNNNNNNNNNNNNNNNNNNNNNNNNNNNNNNNNNNNNNNNNNNNNNNNNNNNNNNNNNNNNNNNNNNNNNNNNNNNNNNNNNNNNNNNNNNNNNNNNNNNNNNNNNNNNNNNNNNNNNNNNNNNNNNNNNNNNNNNNNNNNNNNNNNNNNNNNNNNNNNNNNNNNNNNNNNNNNNNNNNNNNNNNNNNNNNNNNNNNNNNNNNNNNNNNNNNNNNNNNNNNNNNNNNNNNNNAGGGUUUUUAAGAUAUCACAGAAGCAGUUUUCAUUCCUAAAGAGACCUAUUACAUGCCUCUCAUGGCCAAAUCAAUGAGGUGUUAUUCUGCUGAUGCCCUUGGCUCAGCUUGCUGCGAGCUUUGGCCAACUUCAAUUUGCAACUCGCCCAGUACCCAGUUACAUUUGGAUAAUGCGGCGAACUCAUCUUCAUCGCUCAGAACUGAUGAGAGAUCUGCGUCCAAGUCAAAAGGAUUCUUGGGUCGAUGCGGAGUUAAGCUGGUCAUCACAAAGGUUGGCGGGUUAACCUUCUUGUUUUUGUUGUCGUAGGCGGCUUGGUAUUUUGAUAAAUCUAGGCUAGCAGCAAGCUGAGUCGCCGCCAAACGGGAGUCCUUGACAACACGUUGAUAGUCCUCUUCAGCGAAUUCUGACCCAUCAUCCUUGAGUUGAGGAAAGUCCGCCGCUACUUCUUCUGGGUNNNNNNNNNNNNNNNNNNNNNNNNNNNNNNNNNNNNNNNNNNNNNNNNNNNNNNNNNNNNNNNNNNNNNNNNNNNNNNNNNNNNNNNNNNNNNNNNNNNNUUUACUCGUUCCGUAAUACAACAUCCCGUGACUCCUCUUCUAGAGCUCGUUUACUUCAUAUGAGAGAUGUUUAUUUGACUUUGUCCACCAGGUCCAUGAAUUUUAGACCUGACAGUUUCAUCAGUGAUAUUUACUUCAUAUAAGAGAUUUUCAUUUUUCAGAAGCACGGGGUUCUUAAAUUUGCCUUCCUCUUCUAGAUCUCGUUGCUUCCAUUGGUUCACCAAGGAAACAACAUGCUAACUGUCGUAGCAUGGAAUGUACUGCAAAAAAAUUAAAAUGCUUCAGUCAGUAAGAAGGAAUUCUUCAAUCAGUUAAAAUGUAGGGUUUUCCUCACUCCUAAAAAAUGCUUUACGCGGUAGUCUAGCAUUUGGUAAAAGGUGUGCUUUUUAAAAAAACAAUCAUUUUGUGGAUUAUGCACAUCUAGUUCUUCUGUGAGAAACGUAACAUGGUAGUAAUUUAUAUGCAUGUCGUGCCAAAACUUUUCUACUUAAAGUGCAUGUCUCGUAACAAGCGACACGUGAAGUGCUAUUAUAGUACAUCGAACGCCUGUUUCUAUUCCAGCGCAGUUGAUGUUCGUACAGGUUCAGCAACUCGUAAUUCUACUGCAAAAAAUAUACAGAUAAUGUACAAGAAGUUACAUGUGAACUUUGAUAUGCACAAAAUUAUCAACACAAGCAUGUUCGAGUAAAGAUAUGUUUACAUGCAAAGUCGUGAAAAAGCCAUGUGCAACUUGAUUUAUGACAACUCAGGUCGUGCAACAAUUAUAAUAGGAAACUAGUGUUUACUUUGUUGCCAAUGCAAAAAUGUAUGCCCAGCUACUUAUGGAAGUACCAUUGCGAAAUAUAUUUUUCCUGAAAACUUAUCUAAGUAAUUAUGUAUGGUAUUAGCUAGUUGCAUUGUAUUACACAAAUCUAUAUCUAAUAAUACGACAGUUUUGCGUCGAGAGGCUCGAAUCUCCUUUCUAAUUAUGGCACGUUCCGCAACCGACGAUCUACAAGUAUCAUCCACGCCCCCAGAGCCGCUCUCACCACACCAUUGUCACUAAGGGAUACAGCGCAACGCCACCUCCACUUUCCCCGUUAACCUCCUCUCACACCGUUUUUAGCCAUAGAGCAACUGGAUUUUCUCUAACAUUCACCUUUAACCUCCGCCCCCACACUGGUGGAGUCUAUUUGUCUCCUACAUCUGCGAUGUCGUACCUCACUUUCGGUUGUAGAGCUUGCUCCUACUUGAAGGAGGUCGUUGAUGUCGGAAAUUGACGGUGUGGAAAGCUUCGUCCUGGCAUCUAGCGGAUCUGUACGAGAUCACCGCAAAAUUUUAAUCGUAAUAGCAUAGAUCUAUCAAUUUGCAACACGAAGAAACAAAAAUCUCCAAGAUAGAACAACCCAUACAAAAAAAUGUUGCGGAAAUGGAGAGAUAACGUACGAAUCGUAGAGUGAGUUUGAGGACCGAAAGAGAAGAGAGGGCAAGAGAGGAAUAGUGAGUGUUGUACACNNNNNNNNNNNNNNNNNNNNNNNNNNNNNNNNNNNNNNNNNNNNNNNNNNNNNNNNNNNNNNNNNNNNNNNNNNNNNNNNNNNNNNNNNNNNNNNNNNNNNNNNNNNNNNNNNNNNNNNNNNNNNNNNNNNNNNNNNNNNNNNNNNNNNNNNNNNNNNNNNNNNNNNNNNNNNNNNNNNNNNNNNNNNNNNNNNNNNNNNNNNNNNNNNNNNNNNNNNNNNNNNNNNNNNNNNNNNNNNNNNNNNNNNNNNNNNNNNNNNNNNNNNNNNUACUUGGGGCCACCAAAGAGAAUGUUGACGUUUUAGAUUUCCACGUGCAAAGCUUCCGUUGCCUCAGGAAUCACGGUCGUGCCUUUUUGCUUCAAAAUAUUUUGGUUGAACGUUCACUUAAUCAGUCACGGUUUUACAAUCCAAGGGGGAACGUCAGUUGCAAAUGUUUUAAUUGACUGGUUGAGUAUGAGACGGUCCGUUAACACCCUAGUUGAGGCACGAGGCUACAUGAAGCACAUGCAAGAUGUUCCGUUUGUUUCCUUCAAUGUUUCCCUUGACGACGGAUUCAGUGACAGAGACAGGGGCAAAGAUCAGACUCUGGGUAAAACACGUUCGUGCACCUGGGAAUGAGAUAUAUUGUAUAACGACAAGUUCAAUGGGACGAGGCAUGGACUACAGAUGCACGGUAUUGUGUCUCUGUUCACUCUAUCCUUUCACUCUAGUUUGAGUGUCGUAGGCAUAGGCUUGAAGCCACGAGAGAUGUGGAGGCACGAAACAACACCAUAUUCCCCACAUGCGGCAGUGCAUCAAAAUUGGAUGCUAAAUCAUCGAUAUUUAGCAUGCUCAACCCUUUUUUCUGAAGCCAUCGAUGGUUACACAAACAUGUAGUGAACAUCACAAGACAAACCUCAAUAUUGAUGUCAUAAUUAUUGCUGCUACUAAACACAUCAUAGUCUGACAAGUUUUACACAAGACCUCUAUGCUUUACACAGUAAUUAGAAGAUGACAACUACAUCUCCCUCCAUCUUCCAGGCCCUGAUUUCAGUAUUCGCAAAUGAACGGAUUUGACAAUUCCAAACACUCGACGUGUGUGUUUGCUAAAUCCAGAUGCACAUGCUCACAACUUGUUGUUAGUGCAAGACUAGCACACUUAGAAGCCCUUUUAUGCAUCUCACGCACCUUUACUUGCUGCUUGUAGAAUUUAACCGUGAAAUCUUUGUGCAAGCGGGACUCGAGCUUGAUAGUUUGUAGUAUGCUUGCAUUCUGAAUAAAGAAUGUUAGAAACUCAACGUUUCCCAUUGUGUAUUCAUAUUCUUCAAGCGUUAUUGUCUUCAAGUAAAUACCAUGACUCUUCAGAAACACCUGGUGCUUUUGGCGCCAUUCAUUUGUUAAACCUCUCUGAUCCCAUCAUGUUGCCUAGAUAUACACGGAGACUCAAAAACAGUUAAUGUCUGGAAAGCACCUAAAAUACCGCCCAGAAUGUUCACUUCCUGUUCAAACACAAAAUAAAAAAUAUAUAUAAAGAGAAACUAAAACAGUUAUUGCAUUACUGCUGUGUAUCGGGAAGCCCAUGGGAUACCAUGCAUGUGAAAGCCAUAGAAUACUAUGUUGUCAUCGUCUCUUAGAUGAUCACCUCGAUAAAUAGGUUCUUCACGCAUCUAAAGCAUUGCAACAAUCCAACAAAAUCAUCUAGUUUAAAACAUGUCUGCGAGAUACAUAAGGUCUUGAUGGAAUCCAUCACUCCUGGUAUGUUGUGUAUGGACAGACCCUUCAUUUGAUCAUAGUAGAUUACAUUAUUACUUUGUGUUCAUGAAAGUCAAUGCAGCACAAUGUAAUGUGGAAUACCAGUAACUGAAUAACUGUAGAACCAAAGACGAUCUUCGAUUCAUCAGAUAGAUCUGAAUUUUUUCCCAAGGUAUCCAAUUUAGGCGUAGAAAAAUAGUUAUUUGCAACCGUGUAUCUACAGAAUCGUGGAGCAAUCUUUGAUGUGAAUGUCCAUCCUCGGUGUUGAGCUUUCCUUUUUCACAAUGAAUGGCGAUGCUGAUAAGAUUAGGGGAGUUUAUUCGCACGCAGCAGAAUUCCUUGUUGAAAACAAGUAGCAGGUAUUGCACGGCAGGGCAAUAGUAGUGGAUCAUGUUGUAUAUUUAGACCUCCUAUAUGUAAACUUCCAGCAACGAAAGUCUCUUGAGUACUAGGAGGCAAAUCGUUUCUACUAGAUUAUCUGCUAGUUUGCACAGGGUGAAUGUGAGCGUGUGGAGGGAGGAGUAGAACCUCGAGNNNNNNNNNNNNNNNNNNNNNNNNNNNNNNNNNNNNNNNNNNNNNNNNNNNNNNNNNNNNNNNNNNNNNNNNNNNNNNNNNNNNNNNNNNNNNNNNNNNNNNNNNNNNNNNNNNNNNNNNNNNNNNNNNNNNNNNNNNNNNNNNNNNNNNNNNNNNNNNNNNNNNNNNNNNNNNNNNNNNNNNNNNNNNNNNNNNNNNNNNNNNNNNNNNNNNNNNNNNNNNNNNNNNNNNNNNNNNNNNNNNNNNNNNNNNNNNNNNNNNNNNNNNNNNNNNNNNNNNNNNNNNNNNNNNNNNNNNNNNNNNNNNNNNNNNNNNNNNNNNNNNNNNNNNNNNNNNNNNNNNNNNNNNNNNNNNNNNNNNNNNNNNNNNNNNNNNNNNNNNNNNNNNNNNNNNNNNNNNNNNNNNNNNNNNNNNNNNNNNNNNNNNNNNNNNNNNNNNNNNNNNNNNNNNNNNNNNNNNNNNNNNGGGAGUGAGACGGCGAUUUACCCAGGUUCGGCCCCUCGUGAGGAGGUAAAGGCCUACGUCCUGCUUUGUGUUGUAUUGAUGGAGUUUCGAUUACGAGGAGGGCGUAGCUCGCCAGACCUAGCACUCGAUGAUUUCUAACCUAUCCUCUUCUUCCCUGGGACUCGCCUUUAUAUACAGGUCGAGUCCCUAGGGUUUACAAGGGUCCUUUCCUUUCUCCAAACCAUGACUCUUACGAUCUCUNNNNNNNNNNNNNNNNNNNNNNNNNNNNNNNNNNNNNNNNNNNNNNNNNNNNNNNNNNNNNNNNNNNNNNNNNNNNNNNNNNNNNNNNNNNNNNNNNNNNACACAUUAACCCGUCCCGACGACUUAAAGGGAGGAUACGCCAUUCGACCCAGCAACGGAUCAAGUCAACUCCAGUAAGGCCGUUGUAUGUCAAAGAUCUUAACUCGGACAUUACUGGGAUAAAGUCUGACUCCUCCUCUUAGGUGAGCUUGUUUGGGAGUUUGAAAUUUGUUGGAAGGCGAUCUUCCCUAUAACCCAGAAGUUUGUUCUCGCCCUCAGGCGAAGUCACCUGGCAAUAGAACCAAGACUCGCCCCAGCCUUUGGGGUGGCUUGGCAUGGCGAGUGACGGAAAUGGGCUAUCCCUGCGGCGCUGAACAUUAACACCACCAAGCUCGAGGUUGGGGCCAUUGUGAAAUUCUGUUUGGCGAUUUAAGUGGAAGAAGUACCAGAAUAAGGGAACUGAGGGCUCCAUCCGCAAGUAAGCCUCACAAAACACCUGGAACUGGCAUAGAUUACUUAUCGAGUUGGGCCCUNNNNNNNNNNNNNNNNNNNNNNNNNNNNNNNNNNNNNNNNNNNNNNNNNNNNNNNNNNNNNNNNNNNNNNNNNNNNNNNNNNNNNNNNNNNNNNNNNNNNNNNNNNNNNNNNNNNNNNNNNNNNNNNNNNNNNNNNNNNNNNNNNNNNNNNNNNNNNNNNNNNNNNNNNNNNNNNNNNNNNNNNNNNNNNNNNNNNNNNNNNNNNNNNNNNNNNNNNNNNNNNNNNNNNNNNNNNNNNNNNNNNNNNNNNNNNNNNNNNNNNNNNNNNNNNNNNNNNNNNNNNNNNNNNNNNNNNNNNNNNNNNNNNNNNNNNNNNNNNNNNNNNNNNNNNNNNNNNNNNNNNNNNNNNNNNNNNNNNNNNNNNNNNNNNNNNNNNNNNNNNNNNNNNNNNNNNNNNNNNNNNNNNNNNNNNNNNNNNNNNNNNNNNNNNNNNNNNNNNNNNNNNNNNNNNNNNNNNNNNNAUCUAGUAUAGCGUCAUUUACCUUGGUGUGGAGCCAGUCGCUUUUGAAAACGGCGCCCAUGCUACAAAGGGAUAAAAUUACGGGUGAAUUGACACGCCAAACAUCUACUGAAAAAGGAGAAACAAUUUCAUUUGACUCGCCAAAUAAUUUGCCUGAUGGCUAAGGAAAUUUUUUGAUCUGUCAACGAAGGUCCGGGUCAGGUUGCCCGGGUGACUUACGAAACUUUUGCUACUUAAGGCAGCGGUGUUUCAAAGCAUGAGUGGUAUUUCUCAAAAUGGUGAAGUAUGAGACUACAAACAGUUUUCACUUGACAAGCGGUAGAUUAUGGAUCUACCGGGCAGACGGAAAUGAACACGGAAAAUGACUGGAUACAGUAACCUGCGAGUAAGGUGGGACAAUACUAUUGAUUUGGUGAAGCCCUGCUCUAAGUAUGCAAGUAGAGGCUGAACCAAUAAAGGUAUGAAAGACAUCGAUUUUCUCGUUAUCAUCGCCGCCAACUAAUCGGGAACAAGUAAAGCUAUUCGGAAAGCACCAAGAACGCGGCAGUGAUGCACUUUGAAAAGGAACUUGGAUCUGCUCUUGAAUGACAGAAACCUAACCUGGUGGAUUCGGCUGGAGAUGGUCGACGGCGAUGAAGGUCUCGGACGGGCACGAAAACCUCGGGCGGCGACAAAGUGUUCGGAGGCGGCGAGGUGCUCGACGACGGCGAGACGGUCGACCGUGGCGAACUGCUCGGCCGCGGCGAAGUGCUUGAUGGCGACGAAGUCCUCGGGCGGCACCGAAGUUUUCGGAUGGCGACGAGGUCCUCGGGUGGCGGCGGAGCUCUCAGAAGACGAUGAGGGUUUUCACUUUGAUAGUGGGGAAGAGAAGGGCGACAAGACUGGUAGGUGGAAUGCGCCCAGUCCCUUCCUCCCGCCUAUUUAUNNNNNNNNNNNNNNNNNNNNNNNNNNNNNNNNNNNNNNNNNNNNNNNNNNNNNNNNNNNNNNNNNNNNNNNNNNNNNNNNNNNNNNNNNNNNNNNNNNNNNNNNNNNNNNNNNNNNNNNNNNNNNNNNNNNNNNNNNNNNNNNNNNNNNNNNNNNNNNNNNNNNNNNNNNNNNNNNNNNNNNNNNNNNNNNNNNNNNNNNNNNNNNNNNNNNNNNNNNNNNNNNNNNNNNNNNNNNNNNUUCCUCCCGCCUAUUUAUUAGCACAGGCGCGAGGAUCGAGGCGCCACGGGCGGGAAUCACCAAAAGAUAAAGAUUCUCCAUGAUGGCACCCCGAAAAUUUUGGGAUAACGAUACCGAAAGAUCCAUUGGGGAUUAUGUCAUUAUCUUUUCCGGGAUUCAAGGGAUAAGGAGGUACCAACAAGAAAUGGUUUGGCGACUCAAGUUUUUCCGCAACAGAUGGCGGGUUAACUUCAUGGCGUAUAAAAGGGGUGAAGAUGAAUCUCCCUUAAUUGAGUAAGGAUAUUGGCGAGAAGGAACUUCAAGUCAAUCUGGGGCCUAAUGUUGGGGAUAUUAUUUGUUGAUAACCCGCCCUAGUUGGGCCGGGUCACCAAAUCUGGCGAUUCAUCUAAAAUAAGGUUCAGGCCUUGGCCUGGUAGGACCGAAGGCUGUAUGGCGGUUUACAACUUCCGGAAGGAGUCCAUGACAGAGAAGGCCUCCAAGCUUUGGAAAGGUGGCGACUUAGAGAUCGUAAGAGUCANNNNNNNNNNNNNNNNNNNNNNNNNNNNNNNNNNNNNNNNNNNNNNNNNNNNNNNNNNNNNNNNNNNNNNNNNNNNNNNNNNNNNNNNNNNNNNNNNNNNAAGGGCAAACCUAUACCUUGCACCUCGUCCUCUUGAGCUAGAUGAUGAUGAUCUUGGCUUCCUCAAGAUGGACCACCUUUCUUGAUUGUAUUAGAUUGAUGAAGACUAGUUGAUUGCUCCCCCAUACUCACUAUGGGUCAGCCACUCUUCAGCAUAUCUUCACAAGCCCAUUGCCACCACAAUGGACGGCAAGCUUCAAGCAUGAUAUCUUCGUGUUGAUCCACUUGAACUUGCACAUCGCAAUCUUGAUGACGAUCACAACUUGACGUCAUGCUUCAUGGGUUAUAUGAGAUCUUCCCUUUGACGCAAGCCCAUGGAAACACACCUAACCCCCACAUAGAACUCUCACGAAGACCAUGGGUUAGUACACAAACACUUAAUGGACAAUGCUUACCAUACCAUGGGAUCACUUGAUCCCUCUCGGUACAUCUUGUACGCUUUGUGUGUUGAUCAUCUUGAUUUACUCUUUGUCUGAGAUCUUGAUCAACCAUGUGUCUCUAUGACCAUACUUUGGAUAAUACCUUGAAUACCAUCUUGGUCAUCAUAUAAACUCCUUGAACCGAACAGAUGGACUUCAAGAAGUGCCUAUGGACAAAUCCUAUAAAUGUAACUUAAGGCAACCAUUAGUCCAUAGGAAUUGUCAUCAAUUACCAAAACCACAUAUGGAGAUAUAUGCNNNNNNNNNNNNNNNNNNNNNNNNNNNNNNNNNNNNNNNNNNNNNNNNNNNNNNNNNNNNNNNNNNNNNNNNNNNNNNNNNNNNNNNNNNNNNNNNNNNNAGAAAAGACUAAGGAGGGAAGCAAAUUGAACAUCAACUCCCACAAAACCUUUCUGUUCUACUCGAGAUAACAUCUAUGCAUGAACCUAGCUCAUGAUGCCACUGUUGGGGAACGUUGCAUGGGAAACAAAAAAUUUCCUAUGCACACGAAGACCUAUCAUGGUGAUGUCCAUCUACGAGUGGAGAUUUGGAUCUACGUACUCUUGUAGAUCGCACAGCAGGAAGCGUUAGGAAACGCGGUUGAUGUAGUGGAACGUCUUGACGUCCCUCGAACCGUCCAACAAACCAUCCCGCAAUCCAUCCCACGGACCGUCCUGCGAUCCGUCCCACGAUCCGUCCUGAUCUAGUGCCGAACGGACGACACCUCCGCGUUCAGCACACGCAACUCGACGACGAUCUCGGCCUUCUUGAUCCAGCAAGAGAGACGGAGAAGUAGAUGGGUUAUUCGGCAGCGUGACGACGCGCCGGUGUUGGUGAUGAACUAUUCCUGCAGGGCUCCGCCUGAGCUCCGCAGAAAUCCGGUCUAGUGGUGAAACUAUGUGGUUUAGGCUAUAGUUGCACGUGGCAAAGUUGUGUCUCAAAAAGUCCUAAACUACCAUUGUAUAUAGGAGGAAGGGGGAGGGGCUAGCGUUGAGGCACAAGGCCUCAAGGUGCGCCGACCAAGGGGGAGGAGUUGGACUCCAACCCCAAUUCAGUUUGGUGGGGAAGGAGUNNNNNNNNNNNNNNNNNNNNNNNNNNNNNNNNNNNNNNNNNNNNNNNNNNNNNNNNNNNNNNNNNNNNNNNNNNNNNNNNNNNNNNNNNNNNNNNNNNNNNNNNNNNNNNNNNNNNNNNNNNNNNNNNNNNNNNNNNNNNNNNNNNNNNNNNNNNNNNNNNNNNNNNNNNNNNNNNNNNNNNNNNNNNNNNNNNNNNNNNNNNNNNNNNNNNNNNNNNNNNNNNNNNNNNNNNNNNNNNNNNNNNNNNNNNNNNNNNNNNNNNNNNNNNNNNNNNNNNNNNNNNNNNNNNNNNNNNNNNNNNNNNNNNNNNNNNNNNNCCAUAUCCCUCUUGGGAUCACUCCACUAGCCCAAUAAGGACUUGUGGCGCCACCCUAGGGCCUUGGGCUCACUCCCGGGUGGGUGUGCCCCUCCCGGUAAACACCCGGAACCCAUUCGUCACUCCCGGUACACUGCCGGAAUUGCCCGAAACUUUCCGAUGACCAAAUGAAACCAUCNNNNNNNNNNNNNNNNNNNNNNNNNNNNNNNNNNNNNNNNNNNNNNNNNNNNNNNNNNNNNNNNNNNNNNNNNNNNNNNNNNNNNNNNNNNNNNNNNNNNGAUUAAAUCACUGAACAACAGUCAAAGUUAUCCUUAGUAACUAAUGGACUAAGGAAUUUUUCUCGAUUAUGGAGGUGGUUAAAGAGUUCAUCGUAAAAGGUUACGUUGAUGCAAGCUUUGACACUAAUCCGAAUAACUAUGAGUAAUAAAACGGAUUUGUAUAGUAGAGUAGAUAUUUGGAGUAUUUCCGAAUAGCACGUAGUAGCAGCAUCUAUGAGAUGACAUAAAGAUUCGUAAAGCACACACGGAUCUGAAAAUUCAGAACCGUUGACUAAAACCUCUCUCAUGAGCAAGACGUGAUCAAACCCCAGAACUAUAUGGGUGUUGGAUUCGUUAAAAUCACAUGGUGAUAUGAACUAGAUUAUUGACUCUAGUGCAAGUGGGAGACUAUUGGAAAUAUGCCCUAGAGGCAAUAAUAAAUUAGUUAUUAUUACAUUUCUUUGUUCAUGAUAAUCGUUUAUUAUCCAUGCUAGAAUUGUAUUGAUUGGAAACUUAGAUACAUGUGUGGAUACAUAGACAAAACACUGUCCCUAGUAAGCCUCUAGUUGACUAGCUCGUUGAUCAAAGAUGGUCAAGGUUUCCUGACCAUAGACAAGUGUUGUCGCUUGAUGACGGGAUCACAUCUUUAAGAGAAUCAUGUGAUGGACUAGACCCAAACUAUGUACGUAGCAUAUUGAUCGUGUCAUUUUAUUGCUAUUGUUUCUGUGUGUCAAGUAUUUAUUCCUAUGACCAUGAGAUCAUAUAACUCACUAGCACCAGAGGAAUACCUUGCAUGUAUCAGACGUCACAACGUAACUGGGUGACUAUAAAGGUACUCUACAGGUAUCUCCGAAGGUUUUCCGUUGAGUUAGUAUGGACCAAGACUGGGAUUUGUCACUCCGUGUGACGGAGAGGUAUCUCGGGGCCCACUUGGUAAUACAACAUCACACACAAGCCUUGCAAGCAAUGUGACUAAGUAUAAGUCACGGGAUCUUGUAUUAUGGAACGAGUAAAGAGACUUGCCGGUAACGAUAUUGAAAUAGGUAUGCGGAUAGUGACGAUCGAAUCUCGGGCAAGUAACAUACCGAAGGACAAAGGGAGUGACAUACGGGAUUAUAUGAAUCCUUGACACUGAGGUUCAACCGAUAAGAUCUUCAGAGAAUAUGUAGGAUCCANNNNNNNNNNNNNNNNNNNNNNNNNNNNNNNNNNNNNNNNNNNNNNNNNNNNNNNNNNNNNNNNNNNNNNNNNNNNNNNNNNNNNNNNNNNNNNNNNNNNGAACUCUCCAAGGCUAAGCUCUCCCAAUAUGAAAAUCUGGAAUUCAAAGUACUUUGCUCUGGCUUUGCAAGUCGCCUAGAGGCGAGUUACGAGAUGGAGAAGAGCCUGCUUUGGAUGCUGAAGAACAAACAUGAGGUACAUUUUGUUGUACACUAUAUUAUCCUCAUUAACCCCCAAGAGUCGGGUCAUAAGUAAAAANNNNNNNNNNNNNNNNNNNNNNNNNNNNNNNNNNNNNNNNNNNNNNNNNNNNNNNNNNNNNNNNNNNNNNNNNNNNNNNNNNNNNNNNNNNNNNNNNNNNNNNNNNNNNNNNNNNNNNNNNNNNNNNNNNNNNNNNNNNNNNNNNNNNNNNNNNNNNNNNNNNNNNNNNNNNNNNNNNNNNNNNNNNNNNNNNNNNNNNNNNNNNNNNNNNNNNNNNNNNNNNNNNNNNNNNNNNNNNNNNNNNNNNNNNNNNNNNNNNNNNNNNNNNNNNNNNNNNNNNNNNNNNNNNNNNNNNNNNNNNNNNNNNNNNNNNNNNNNNNNNNNNNNNNNNNNNNNNNNNNNNNNNNNNNNNNNNNNNNNNNNNNNNNNNNNNNNNNNNNNNNNNNNNNNNNNNNNNNNNNNNNNNNNNNNNNNNNNNNNNNNNNNNNNNNAUUUGAAAAACUUUCGACAUGUAACCCCCAAGGGCCGGGUCGUGAGUAAAAAGAUGAGCCGGGUCUUGAUACUGUAUAAUUUUGUCUAAAAAAAUUAUACAUUAGCCCCCAAGUGUCAGGGAUGUUGCUUGCAAUAAUUCUGAGACUUGCCCCUUAACUAUAUGCUUCAACAGGAAUCACUUAUCCAAACUGAAUCAGCACUUGGCGACUUGAAGAAAAAUUUAUCCGAUCAGCAGGAUGCCUGGGCCAAAUCAUAAGAGAAGUAUCAACUGAUCUUAUCUGAGAUGGAGAAGCUAAAAGCCGACUCAAAAAGGGCUCAAGCUGAUCAAGAUGCUUUAACAAAGUGAGCAGAAAAAGNNNNNNNNNNNNNNNNNNNNNNNNNNNNNNNNNNNNNNNNNNNNNNNNNNNNNNNNNNNNNNNNNNNNNNNNNNNNNNNNNNNNNNNNNNNNNNNNNNNNAUUAAACGUUAGUUUUAUUCCGCAUUUGUUCAAGCCUAAACCUUAAUUAUUUUAAAGCGCCUAUUCCCCCCCCCCUCUAGGCGACAUCCACGUCCUUUCAAUUGGUAUCAGAGCUAGGUCUCUCUUUAUUAGGUUUAACCACCUAGAGAGUAAGGAUGUCGACUAGGGGUUUAGGAUUCACUGACACUCUUAGUUUCGAUGGCACAAAUUUUGAUGUUUGGGUAAUUCGCAUGCUUAAUCACUUUAGGGUCGUGGACCCAAAUUUAGAGCGAAUUGUAGAUAUGGGUUUUUCUCCUCCAAAGGAUUCUCAAAGUAUAUCUUUAGAGGAUGUGAAAAACUCUUAUCUCAAUGCUCAAGCUUCUAAUGUGCUUUUUGAUGCUUUGAGCAAUGUAGUUAUAUUUCAACUCAUGCCAUUCCGGGAUGCUCAUGAGUUGUGGACAAAGCUUCAAGAUAAAUAUGGUGUGUCCCAGAUUUGCAGGGAUGAUUGUUCUUCCUCCACCUCCGGUCGUGUGGUCUUCUCAACUUCAUCUACUUCACCUACAUGUGGAUUGCCACAAGGUAAUGAUAUGGUGAGUAGUGGUGACCAUUGCAAUAAUGAAAGUGGGUUUAUUGUUAAUGAUCCUUCAUCACUAUAUUAUUGCGAUGCUUUAUCUUUGGGCGUUAACACUUCGAGCACUCUAAAUGUUUCACAUGCUUGUGUUGAUAGUCCGUGCAUAUCAUGUAAAAACUGCCUGUCUAAAUCUCAUGAUGAUAUGCCUCCUAUAUCUUGUUGCCAUGAUAAAAAUGUAUAUAUUUCCUCGAUUUGUUGUGCUAAUAAUGUAGAGGAAAUUCAUCACUCCAUGGAACAAGAUGUGGCCUUGAAUGAUGCUUCAAGGGAUCCUACAUNNNNNNNNNNNNNNNNNNNNNNNNNNNNNNNNNNNNNNNNNNNNNNNNNNNNNNNNNNNNNNNNNNNNNNNNNNNNNNNNNNNNNNNNNNNNNNNNNNNNUUCGAUAAAACCGCUGUGGCCGGUUUAGAGAAGCGAGUACCGGUGAUAACCACAGUGUCCGGGUCUUCUGUUGUUGUCAAUGGAAUUGGCGGGUUAGGUGCAUCCAUGUUUUCCUUGGGAGAGCUGGGGAGAUCCACUUGAUCUUCAGGUUUGUCUUGGUCCGGGUCAUCCUGGAUCGGUGCCGACUUUCCGAUAGGCUCCGAAGUUGUAACGGGAGUUGACCCGCCAAUUUUUCUUUUCUUCGCCUGUGCCCUGAAAGGAGAAGGGGGUGCGUUUAAAGGACUAAAAAUUUAUCGCCAUUAGACUAAAAGUAAAAAUUAUCAAAGGUUUACCUAGGGACACGGAUGAUCGGUGGAAGUGCCGACAUUACUGAGUCGCCAGAUGUAGGAGGAGAACUCUGCAAAAAGUUAUACUUCGAAGAUAUGAGUGAGCUACAAAUGCGAUCCAAAAAGACCCGAAGAAGUGUUAGUAAAAUAUACCUCAUUUGGCUUUUUCUUGUUUCUUGGUGGUAAACAGGACACCAGAUCGUCAGAAUGACUUCAAGUAUUCCGAUUUGAGGUUUGUUGUGCUUUCUUCAGAAGAAAAUUUGGAUCCAAACAAGAAUUUGGGUGUGAGAAGGGAACUUUCCCACAAACUCGCCUGGCCGGCUUAGGUGGAGAAGGAGAUGAGUCGGAGGAAACAGAUAUUACCUCUACAGAAUCCUCCUCGCUUUCAUUGUCUUCACUCUACGCAAGAAAUGCAGAGGUGUAAAUACAAAGUUAUCAGUAAUGGAUCGCGAGUUAAAAGAGGAUAGGUUUUUUUUACCUCCGAAGGUNNNNNNNNNNNNNNNNNNNNNNNNNNNNNNNNNNNNNNNNNNNNNNNNNNNNNNNNNNNNNNNNNNNNNNNNNNNNNNNNNNNNNNNNNNNNNNNNNNNNUUUGGCCAACUUCAAUUUUCAAGUCGCCCAGUACCCAGUUACAUUUGGAUAACACGGCGAACUCAUCUUCAUCGGUCAGAACUGAUGAGAGAUCUACUACCAAGUCAAAAGGAUUCUUGGGUCGACGCGGAGUUAAGCUGGUCGUCACAAAGGUUGGCGAGUUAACCUUCUUGUUUUUGUUGUCAUAGGCGGCUUGGUAUUUUGAUAAAUCUAGGCUUGCAGCAAGCUGAGUCGCCGCCAAACGGGAUUCCUUGACGACACGUUGAUAGUCCUCUUCAGCGAAUUCUGACCCAUCAUCCUUGAGUUGAGGAAAGCCCGCCACUACUUCUUCUGGGUUUAUCUCUGGAGCAUAUGCUAAGAACCGACUCAGAGUGGUCAGCGCUCCUUUCGGGGCGGCUGACCGAGUGAACUCGCCAAUUUGGGGAGGAAGAGUGGGUAAGCAUCCAAGCAUCUUCUUUAUUGAUGUUAUAGGUUCCUUGGCGCCCAUCCCUGCUUUCACAGUCAGCACACUCCUGGUAUAUUGCUGCUCCGUCAACGUGUAAAUCGCCUUCAGCAUCAGGACGCAAUCAUCCUGAAGGUUGGCGGCUCUCGGACCUGUAUAAGAGGUAAUGAUAGUCAGUGAUUUAUAUAAAGCUAUUAGUUUACAAAGGUCAAGAGUUGAUUUUUACCGAAGACAGUUUGCGCCAUGUUUGAGAUGUGUCGCUUUAAGUCGGACAGCUCCUGUUGCACAGUGUCCAACUUGGCUUCAACUUUUUCUGCUCACUUUGNNNNNNNNNNNNNNNNNNNNNNNNNNNNNNNNNNNNNNNNNNNNNNNNNNNNNNNNNNNNNNNNNNNNNNNNNNNNNNNNNNNNNNNNNNNNNNNNNNNNUUCCCCUCACAUAGAGGAUAAAGUGAUUGGUGGAGAUGUGGAUCUAGAUCUCCUCUAUCUUUUCCCUCAAGAACAAGCAAGAAUCAUUGGAGGGAUUGAGAGUUAGCAAGCUCUAAGAAUGUCAACAAUGGAGGUAGAACAAGAGCUCAACAGAUAGAUAAGGCCACGGGGAAGAAGACCCCCUUUAUAUAGUGGGGGAAGGAAUCAGACCGUUACCCCCACUUACAGCCCGAGCCCAGCGGUACUACCGCUGGCUCCAGCGGUACUACCGCUGACUGCAGCGGUACUACCGCUGGCUCUGCAACGGUACUACCGCUGGCUGUAGCGGUACUACCGCUGAGCCCAUGGUAGCGCAAAGAUACUACCGGGCCAACCACCGCCAAGAAAGUCUUCGCAAAAAUGUCUGACGCAGUACAUCCGCAAAGAUGACGGUACUAAAAACUUGGAGCGGUACUACCGCUGGCCAGGGGCGGUACUACCGCUGGGACAGCGGUACUACCGCAAGCUCUAGCGGUACUACCGCUAGGGCCAGUGGUACUACCGCCAACUCUAGCGGUACUACCGCUAGGUCCAGCGGUACUACCGCUCGCCACUGAAACAGCCACAACUUUCGCAUACGAGCUCUGAAUCGAGCAAACCCAAGCUUGUUGGAAAUCUUAAGACCAUGCAGAUAUGAAAAUGCCAAUUAUAUAGAGAUGUGAGUCCUCUAUGAAUGAAGAACCGGCAAAAACUCCAACAUCGAAAACAUCAUAGUAGAUGCANNNNNNNNNNNNNNNNNNNNNNNNNNNNNNNNNNNNNNNNNNNNNNNNNNNNNNNNNNNNNNNNNNNNNNNNNNNNNNNNNNNNNNNNNNNNNNNNNNNNGAUCAUCUUGAGCCCUUUUUAUGUCGGCCUUUAGCUUCUCCAUAUCAGAUAAGAUGAGUUGAUACUUCUCUUCUGAUUUGGCCCGGGCAUCCUACUGAUCGGAUAAAUUUUUCUUCGAGUCGCCAAGUGCUGAUUAAGUUUGGAUAAGUGAUUCCUGUUGAAGCAUAUAGUUAAGGGGCAAGUCUCAGAAUUAUUGCAAGCCACAUCUGUGACACUUGGGGGCUAAUGUAUAAUUUUUUUAGACAAAAUUAUACAGUAUCAAGACCCGGCUCAUAUUUUUACUCAUGACCCGGCCCUUGGGGGUUACAGGUCGAAAGUUUUUCAAAUCAUCAAGACCCGGCUCAUCUUUUCACUGAUGACCCGGCCCUUGGGGUACAGGUUGAAAGUUUUUCAAAUCAUCAAGACCCAGCUCAUCUUUUUACUGAUGACCCGGCCCUUGGGGGUUACAGGUCGAAAGUUUUUCAAAUCAUCAACACCCGGCUCAUCUUUUUACCGAUGACCCGGCCCUUGGGGGUUACAGGUCGAAAGUUUUUCAAAUCAUCAAGACCCGGCUCAUCUUUUUACUGAUGACCCGGCUCUUGGGGGUUAAUGAGGAUAAUAUAGUGUACAACAAAAUGUACCUCGUGUUUGUUCUUCAGCAUCCGAAGCAGGCUCUUCUCCAUCUCAUAACGCGCCUCUAGGCGACUUGCAAAGCUAGAGCAAAGUUCUUUGAAUUCCAGAUUUUUCAUAUUGGGAGAUCUUAGCCUUGGAGAGUUCAUGCUCAAGAAUAGAUUGAGUUGAUGAUGAUACAUGCUUCGAUAAAACCGAUGUGGCCGGUUUAGAGAAGCGAGUACUGGUGAUAACCAAAGCGUCCGGGUCUUCUGCUGUUGUCAAUGGACUUGGCGGGUUAGGUGCAUCCAUGUUUUCCUUGGGAGAGCUAGGGAGAUCCACUUGAUCUUCAGGUUUGUCAUGGUCCGGGUCAUCCUGGAUCGGCGCCGACUUUCCGAUAGGCUCCGAAGUUGUAACGGGAGUUGACCCGCCAGUUUUUCUUUUCUUCGCCUGUGCCCUGAAAGGAGAAGGGGGUGCGUUUAAAGGACUGAAAAUUUAUCGCCAUCAGACUAAAAGUAAAAAUUAUCAAAGGUUUACCCAGGGACACGGAUCAUCGGUAGAAGUGCCGACAUUACUGAGUCGCCACAUGUAGGAGGAGAACUCUGCAAAAAGUUAUACUUCGAAGAUAUGAGCGAGUUACAAAUGCGAUCCAAAAAGACCCGAAGAAGUGUUAGUAAAAUAUACCUCAUUUGGCCUUUUCUUGUUUCUUGGUGGUAAACCGGACACCAGAUCGCCAGAAUGACUUCGAGUUUUCCGAUUUGAGGUGUGUUGUUCUUUCUUCAGAAGAAAAUUUGGAUCCAAACAAGCAUUUGGGUGUGAGAAGGGAACUUUCCCACAAAUUCGCCUGGUCGGCUUAGGUGGAGAAGGAGAUGAGUCGGAGGAAACAGAUAUUACCUCUACAGAAUCCUCCUGGCUUUCAUUGUCUUCAUUCUACGCAAGAGAUGCAGAGGUGUAAAUACAAAGUUAUCAGUAAUGGAUGGCGAGUUAAAAGAGGAUAGGUUUUUUACCUCCGAAGGUGCGUCGCCGACUUGGGAUUCAUCGGCCUCAGAUGGUUCGGUAACAACACCUUUGCCCUUGCCCUUGGAUUUCUUCUUUGGAGGCGGCCUAGCUUGCUUCAUGGCUUACUUUUUUGGCCUCUUGGACCAAAAUUAUCACCUUUCUGAAAUGGCAUAUUUUAUAAGAGGUCAUAGUUCGAAUAAGACGUAAGGAGUAAAAGACAAAAGGCGGGUUAAAGUUAUUUACCUUUGGUGCCGGGUUAAUCUUGCAGAAAGGUUUAAGACCUAUUUGGCCGCAUUUCCCCGCGGGCUCGCCGGUCAGCUUCUAGAUGAUGGUUACAAUAUCAUUUUCCGUCAGAGCCGUGUGGAAGUAGCACUGAGGAUGAUCUAGGGUGCCGUCGAAUUCACACAUUAACCCGUCCCGGCGACUUAAAGGGAGGAUACGCCAUUCGACCCAGCAGCGGAUCAAGUCAACUCCAGUAAGGCCGUUGUUUGUCAAAGAUCUUAACUCGGACAAUACUGGGAUAAAGUCUGACUCCUCCUCUUCGGUGAGCUUGUCUGGGAGUUUGAAAUUUGUUGGAAGGCGAUCUUCCCUAUAACCCAGAAGUUUGUUCUCGCCAUCAGACGAAGUCUCCUGGCAAUAGAACCAAGAAUAGCCCUAGCCUUUGGGGUGGCUUGGCAUGGCGAGUGAACAUUAACACAACCAAGCUCCAGGCUGGGGCCAUUGUGAAAUUCUGUUUGGCGAUUUAAGUGGAAGAAGUACCAGAAUAAGGGCUCCAUCCGCAAGUAAGCCUCACAAAACACGUGGAACUGGCAUAGAUUGCUUAUCGAGUUGGGCCCUAGAUCUUGGAGGCGGACAUUCAUAAAAGCCAUGGCGUCUCUGAGGAAUUUUGAUCCACUCAAGGUGUUGAACAAAAACAACUAUUUCGCCUUCCUUGGGAUUGGGGAUUUCUUCUCCUAACCCGGUGCGCCAACCGAUAAUCUCCUGAGGGUCCAAAUUUCCCGUUUUCACAUAAUCAUCUAGUAUAGCGUCAUUAACCUUGGUGGGGAGCCAGUCGCUUUUGAAAACGGCGCCCAUGCUACAAAGGGAUUAAAUUACGGGUGAAUUGACACGCCAAACAUCUAUUGAAAAAGGUGAAACAAUUUCAUUUGACUCGCCAAAUAAUUUGCCCGAUUGUUGAGGAAAUUUUUUGAUCCGCCAACGAAGGUCCGGGUUAGGUUGCUCGGGCGACUUACGAAACUUUCGCUACUUAAGGGAGCGGUGUUUCAAAGCUUUAGUGGUAUUUGUCAAAAUGGUGAAGUAGGAGACUACAAACAGUUUUCACUUGAAAAGCGGUAGAUUAUGGAUCUACCGGGCAGACAGAAAUGAAUGCGGAAAAUGACUGGAUACAGUAACCUGCGACUAAGGUGGGACAAUACUGUUGAUUUGGUGAAGCCCUCCUCUAAGUAUGCAAGUAGAGGUCGAACAAAUAAAGGUAUGAAAGACAUCGAUUUUCUCAUUAUCAUCGCCGCCAACUAAUCGGGAACAAGUAAAGCUAUUCGGGAAGCACCAAGAAUGCGGCGGUGAUGAACUUCGAAAAGGAACUUGGAUCUGCUCUUGAAUGACAGAAACCUAACCUGGUGGAUUCGGCUGGAGACGGUCGAUGGCGAUGAAGGUCUCGGACGGGCGCGAAAACCUCGGGCGGCAACGAAGUGUUCGGCGGCGGCGAGGUGCUCGACGACGGCGAGACGGUCGACGACGAGACGGUCGACGGCGGCGAACUGCUCGGCCACGGUGAAGUGCUUGACGGCGACGAAGUCCUCGGGCGGCACAGAAGCUUUCGGAUGGCCACGAGGUCCUCGGGUGGUGGCGGAGCUCUCGGAAGACGAUGAGUGUUUUCGCUGUGAUAGUGGGGAAGAGAAGGGCGACAAGACUGGUAGGUGGAAUGCGCCCAGUCCCUUCCUCCCGCCUAUUUAUCAGGGCAGGCGCUAGGAUCGAUGCGCCACGAGCGGGAAUCAGCAAAAGAUAAAGAUUCGCCAUGAUGGCACCCCGAAAAUUUUGGGAUAACGAUACCGAAGGAUCCGUUGGGGAUUACGUCAUUAUCUUUUCCGAGAUUCAAGGGAUAAGGAGGUACCAACAAGAAAUGGUUUGGCGACUCAAGUUUUUCCGCAACAGAUGGCGGGUUAAGUUCAUGGCGUAUAAAAGGGUGAAGAUGAAUCGCCCUUAAUUGAGUAAGGAUAUUGGCGUGAAGGAAAUUCUAGUCAAUCUGGGCCUAAUGUUGGGGAUAUUAUCUGUUGAUAACCCGCCCUAGUUGGGCCGUGUCACCAAAUCUGGCGAUUCAUCUAAAAUAUGGUUCGGGCCUUGGCCUGGUAGGACCGAAGGUUGUAUGGAGGUUUACAACUUCCGGAAGGAGUCCAUGACAGAGAAGGCCUCCAAGCUUUGGAAAGGUGGCGACUUAGAGAUCGUAAGAGUCAGGGUUUGGAGAAAGGAAAGGACCCUUGUAAACCCUAGGGACUCGACCAGUAUAUAAAGGCGAGUCCCAGGGAAGAAGAGGAUAGGUUAAAAAUCAUCGAGCGCUAGGUCUGGCAAGUUACGCCCUCCCAUUAAUCGAAACUCCAUCAAUACAACACAAAGCAGGACGUAGGCUUUUACCUCCUCACGAGGGGCCGAACCUGGGUAAAUCGCCGCCUCACUCCCGUUCAACCCCUUUUGAGUUGCCACCAAAGUGCAAUGGCUCCAAUACUAAGUCCUUUCACGAGGACAUCUGUCGUGACAAAACCACGAAAGAACUCCUCGUGACAUCCUGCAUCUCAUCCGAGACUCCAAACAACAUUCGAUUACCAACAUCAAUAACUCAACUAUACCGAAAACGUCACCAAACCUUAAGUGUGCAGACCCUGCGGGUUCGAGAACUAUGUACAUAUGACCGAGACACUCUCCAGUAAAUAUUCAAUAGCGGGACCUGGACGUCCAUAUUGGAACCUACAUAUUCUACGAAGAUCUUAUCGGUUGAACCUCUAUGUCAAGGAUUGACACAAUCCCGUAUAUCAUUCCCUUUGUCCUUCGGUAUGUUACUUGCCCGAGAUUCGAUCGUCGGUAUCUUCAUACCUAUUACAAUCUCAUUACCGGAAAGUCUCUUUACUCGUUCCGUAAUACAAGAUCUGGUGACUAAAUCUUUAAUCACAUUGUUUGCAAGGCUUGUUUGUGAUGUUGUAUUACCGAGUGGGCCCCGAGAUACCUCUCCGUCACACGGAGUGACAAAUCCCAGUCUUGAUCCAUGCUGACUUAACGGACACCUUUGGCGAUGCCUGUAGAGUACCUUUAUAGUCACCCAGUAAUGUUGCAAAGUUUUAUACACACAAGGCAUUCCUCCGGUGUCAGUGAGUUACAUGAUCUCAUGGUCAUAGGAUUGUAUACUUGACAUGCAGAAAACAAUAACAACAAAAUGACACGAUCAUAUGCUACGUUUAUAGUUUGGGUCUUGUCCAUCACAUCAUUCUCCUAAUAAUGUGAUCCCGUUAUCAAGUGACAACACUUGUCUAUGGCCAAGAAACCUUGACCAUAUUUGAUCAACGAGCUAGUCAAUUUGGUGCUCACUAGGGAUAGUGUGUUGUCUAUGUAUCCACACAUGUAUUUGGGUUUCCAAUCAAUACAAUUCUAGCAUGGAUAAUAAACGAUUAUUAUGAACAAGGAAAUAUAAUAAUAACCAAUUUAUUAUUGCCACUAGAGCAUAUUUCCAAUAGUUUCCCACUUGCACUAGAGUCAAUAAUCUAGUUCACAUCACUAUGUGAUUGUACAACACCCAUACAUUUCUCGGGUUCGAUCAUGUCUUGCUUGUGAGAGAGGUUUUAGUCAACAGGUCUGAACCUUUCAGAUCAGUAUGUGUUUUACAAAUCUCUAUGUCAUCCUAUAGAUGCUGCUACCACACAGCAUUUGGAACUAUUCCAAAUGACUGCUCCACAAUAUGAAUACGGUUUACUACUUGGAGUUAUCCAGAUUAGUGUCAAAGCCUGCAUCGAUGUAACCCUUUAUGACGAAAUCUUUUAUCACCUCCAUAAUCGAGAAAAAAAAUCCUUAGUCCACUAGUUACAAAGGAUAACUUUUGACCGAUGUCCAGUAAUCCAUUACUGGAUCACUUUUGUACCCCUUGAUAGAUUCAUGACAAGGCACACAUCUGGUGCGGUACACAACAUAGCAUACUAUAGAGCCUAUGGCUAAAGCAUAGGGGACGACUUUCGUGCUUUCUCUUUCUUUUGCCGUGGUCGGGUUUUGAGUCUUACUCAAAUUCACACCUUACAACACAGCCAAGAACUCCUUCUUUGCUGAUCCAUUUUGAACUCCUUUAAAAACUUGUCGAGGCAUGCAUUUCGCUGAAAGUUCUAUUAAGCACUUUGAUCUAUCUCCAUAGAACUUGAUGCUCAAUGUUGAAGUAUCUUAAUCCAGGCUUUCCUAUGAAAUAAAAUCCUUUAAAACAACCUUUUAUGCUUUCCAGAGGUUCUACAUUAGUUCCCAUCAAUAAUAUGUCAACCACAUAUACUCAUCAGAAAUUCAAUAGUGUUCCUACUCACUUCUUUGGAAAUACAAGUUUCUCAUAAACCUUGUAUAAACCCAAAAACUUUGAUCAUCUCAUCAAAGCGUGUAUUCCAAUUCCGAGAUGCUUGCUCCAGUCCAUAGAAGGAUCGCUGGAGCUUGCAUACUUGUUAGCAUCCUUAGGAUCGACAAAACCACUUGUUGUAUGACAUACAACCUUUCCUCAAGGAAAUCGUCGAGGAAACAAUGUUUUGACAUCCUAUCCGCAAGAUUUCAUAUAUAAUGCAGCAAUUGCUAACAGAAUUCCAACAUACCUUUAGCAUCGCUAUGAGUGACAAAGUCUCAUCAUAGUCAACUCCUUGAAUUGUCAGAAACAUCUUUGUGACAAGUUGAGCUUUCUUAAUGGUGACUUUUCACCAUCAUCGUCUGUCUUCCUUUUAAAGAUCCAUCUCUACUUAAUAGUCGUACAACCAUCAAGUAGUUCUUCCAAAGCCUACACUUUGUUUUCAUACAUGGAUCCUCUCUCGGAUUUCAUGGCCUCCAGCCAUUUGCCGGAAUCCGGGCGCACCAUCGCUUCUCUAGAGCUCGUAGGUUCAUUGUUGUCCAACAACAUGACCUCCAAGACAAGGUUACUGUACCACUCUGUAUCAGUACGUGACCUUGUCGACCUACGAGGUUUGUAGUAACUUGAUCCGAAGUUUCAUGAUCACUAUCUUUAGCUUCCACUUUAAUUGGCGUCGGCGCCGCAGGAACAACUUCCUGUGCGGUGCUACAUACUGGUUGAAGUGAUGGUUCAAUAACCUCAUCAAGUUCCACCAUCCUCCCACUCAUGUCUUUCGAGAGAAAAAAUUUCCUCAAGAAAGGACCCAUUUCUAGAAACAAACACUUUGCUUCCGGAUCUGAGAUAGGAGGUAUACCCAACUAUUUUGGGUGCCCUAUGAAGAAGCAUUUAUCCGCUUGACGUUCGAGCUUAUCAUGUUGAAACUUUUUCACAUAAGCAUGACAGCCCCAAACUUUUAAGAAAGAACAACUUAGGUUUCUCCAAACCAUAUUUCAUACGGUGUCAUCUCAACGGAAUUACGUGGUGCCCUAUUUAAAGUGAAUGUGGUUGUCUCUAAUUCCUAACCCAUAAACAAUAGUGGUAAUUCGAUAAGAGACAUCAUAGUAUGCACCAUAUCAAAUAGGGCGUAGCUAUGAUGUUUGGACACACCAUCACAAUAUGGUGUUCCAGGUGGCAUGAGAUGUGAAACAAUUUUUACAUUGUCUCAAUUGUGUACCAAACUCGCAACUCGGAUAUUCACCUCUAUGAUCAUAUCAUAGACAUUUUAUCCUCUUAUCACGACGAUUUUCAACUUCACUCUGAAAUUACUUGAACCUGUCAAUAAUUCAGACGUGUGUUUCAUCAAGUAAAUAUACUAGUAUCUACUCAAAUCAUCUGUGAAGUAAGAACAUAACGAUAUCCACUACGUGCCUCAGCGCUCAUUGGACUACACACAUCAAAAUGUAUUACUUCCAACAAGUUACUUUCUCGUUCCAUCUAACUGGAAAACGAGGCCUUCGGUGGUCUUCCCAUGUGGUAUGAUUUGCAUGUCUCAAGUGAUUCAAAAUCAAGUGAGUCCAAACGAUCCAUGUGCAUGGAGUUUCUUAAUGCGUUUAUAGCAAUAGGUAUGGUUUGCAUGUCUAAAACAUUUCAAAAAUGAAUGUGUACAAAGAUCCAUCAGCAUGGAGCUUCUUCAUGCAUUUUAUACCAAUGUGACUCAAGCGGCAUGCAACAAGUAAGUGGUACUAUCAUUACUACUUUGUAUCUUUUGGUAUCAAUAUUAUGAACAUGUGUAUCACUACGAUCAAGAUUCAAUAAACCAUUCAUUUUAUGUGCAAGACCAUUUAAGGUAUUAUUCAAAUAAACAGAGUAACCAUUAUUCUCUUUAUUAAAUGAAUAACCGUAUUGCGAUCAACACAAUCUAAUCAUGUCUACGAUCAACACAAACACCAAAUAACAAUUAUUUAGGUUUAACACUAAUCCCGAUGGUAGAGGGAGUGUGCGAUGUUGAUCACAUCAACCUUGGAAUUACAUCCAACACACAUCCUCACCUCACCCUUGCUAGUAUCUAUUUAAUCUGUAGCUAUAAUUUAGAGUUACUAACACUUAGCAACUGAACCGGUAUCUAAUACCCUGGUACUACCGGGAGUACUAGUAAGGUACACAUGAAUAUCACGUAUAUCCAAUAUACUUUUGUCGACUUUGCCAGCCUUCUCAUCUACCAAGUAUCUAGGGUAGUUCUGCCUCUGUGACCGUUCCCAUCAUAACAGAAGCACUUAGUUUCGGGUUUGGGUUCAACCUUGGGUUCUUCACUAGAGCAGCAACUGGUUUGUUGUUUCAAGAAGUAUCCCUUCUUUCCCUCGCCCUUCUUGAAACUAGUGGUUUUACUAACCAUCAACAAUUGAUGCUCCUACUUUAUUUUUACUUUUGCAGUGUCAAACAUCGCGAAUACCUCAAGGAUCAUCAUAUCUAUCCUAGAUAUGUUAUAGUUCAUCACGAAGCUCUAGUAGCUUGGUGGCAGUGUCCUUGGAGAACCAUCACUAUCUCAUCUGGAAGAUCAACUCCCACUCGAUUCAAGCGAUUGUAGCACUCAGACAAUCUGAACACAUGCUCAACGAUUGAGCUUUUCUCCCUUACUUUGUAGACAAAGAAUCUUGUCGGAGGUCUCAUACCUCUCAACAAGGGUACGAGCAUGAAAUCCCAAUUUCAUCUCUUUGGAACAUCUCAUAUGUUCCAUGACGUUCAAAAUGUCUUUGACGCCUUAGUUCUAAGUCAAUGAGCGUUACACACUGAGCUAUCACGUAGUCAUCAACAACGUGUAUGUCAUAUGUUCGCAACAUCCACAGACGAUGCUCGAGGUUCAGCACACCGUGCGGUGCAUUAAGGACAUAAGCCUUGUGCGCAGCAAUGAGGACAAUCCUCAGUUUAUGGACCCACUCCGCAUAAUUUCUACUAUCAUCUUUCAACUAAUUUUUCUCUAGGAACAUAUCAAAAAUAGUAGAGCUACUACGCAUGCUACAACAUAAUUUGCAAAGAACUUUUGAUUAUGUUCAUGAUAAUGAGCUUAGCUAAUCAUAUUACUAAUAAACUCCCACUCAAACAGACAUCCCUCUAGUCAUUCGAGUGUCGCAUGAUCCAAAUUCACUAACUCAAGUUCGAUCAUCAUGUGAGUUGAGUAUAGUAUCAGUGGUGAACAUCUCCAUGUCGAUCAUAUCAACUAUAUGAUUCAUGAUCCACCUUUGAGAUCUUUUGUUCCAAGGCCAUGUCUUUACAUGCUAGGAACAUCAAGUUUAACCCGAGUGUUCUGCGUGUGCAACUAUUUUGCACCCGUUGGAUGUGAACGUUGAGUCUAUCACACACAAUCAUCACGUGGUGUCUCGAAACAACGGACUGUCGCAACGGUGCAUAGUCGGGGAGAACACAAUUUUAUCUUGAAAUUUUAGUGAGGGGUCACCUUAUAAUGCUACCGGCGUUCUAAGCAAAAUAAGGUCAAUAAAAGGAUUAGCAUCACAUGCAAAUCAUAAGUGACAUGAUAUGGCCUUGAACUUGUGAUUCUUGAUCUCCAUCAUCAAAGCACCGUCAUGAUCUCCAUCGUCACUGGCGCCGCACCAUGAUCUCCAUCGUCACUGGCGCCGCACCAUGAUCUCCAUCCUCACUGGCGCCGCACCAUGAUCUCGAUCAUCGUGCCGCCAUCGAGGUUUUCAUGCUAUCUAUGCUAUUACUACUAAAACUACAACCUAGAGAUAUAGUAAAAGCAUCUGCAAGCACAAACGUUAGUUUAAAGACAACCCUAUGGAUCCUACCGGUUGUCGUAGCAUCGACGUGCAAGUCAAUAUUUAACUAUUAAAACAUGAUCAUCUCAUACAUCCAAUAUAUUAUAUCAUGUCUUUGGCCAUAUCACAUCACAUGCAUAGCAUGCAAAAAUAAGUUAGACGUCCUCUAAUUUGUUGUUGCAUGUUUUGCGUGGCUGCUAUGGGUAUCUAGUAUGAUCACAUCUUACUUACGCAAAGCCACAAUAGUGAUAUGAAAAUUGUUAUUUAACUUUCUCCAAGGACCGCCUCGGUCAAAUCCGAUUCAACUAAAGUUCAAGAAACAGACACCCGCCAGUCAUCUUUAUGCAACAAGUUGCAUGUCAGUUGAUGAAACCGGUCUAUGGUAAGCGUACAAGUAAAGUUGGUCCGGGCCACUUCAAUCCAACAAUGUCGCCGAAUCAAGAAAAGACUAGGGAGGGCAGCAAAUUGGACAUCAAUGCCCACAAACUCUUUUGUGUUCUACUCGAGAUAUUAUCUACGCAUGAACCUAGCUCAUGAUGCCACUGUAGGGGGAUGUUGCAAGGGAUACAAAAAAUUCCUACGCACACAAAUACCUAUCAUGGUGAUGAUCAUAUACGAGAGGGAGAUUGAAUCUACAUACCCUUGUAGACCGCUAAGCGGAAGCAUAUAUAACGUGGUUGAUGUAGUGGAACAUCUUCACGAUCUGAAUUGUAGACCGUCCCACAAUCUCAUGACGAUCCAUCCCGAGACCGCAUCACGAUAUAGUGCCGAACGGACGUCACCUCCGCAUUCAGCACACGUACAGCUCGAUGACUAUCUCCGCCUUCUUGAUCCAGCAAGAGAGACGGGGAGGUAGAUGAAUUGCGCGGAAGCGUGAUGGUGUGUCGGCCAUGGUGGUGGAUCUAUCCGAGCAGGGCUUCGCCUAAGCGCUGCUGAAAACCGAUCUAGAGGAAGAACUACGAUCUAGAGGAGAGGGUAGCACAUGCUUGAAAAUACUGUGAAAACCCCCUCAAAAACUCUAGUAUAUAUAGGAGGAAGGAGGGAGGAGGCUUGACCUCGAAGGGAAGCCUCCCUUGACUCGGCCGAAGCAAGGAGGGAAGAGUCCUCCUUCAAUUCCACUUGGAGGAGGACUCCUCUCCCACUUGUCCACCUCUUUUGGAUUUUCAACCUUUUUCCUCAUGGGCCUUCUUUGGUUGAUUCUCCAUCCCACGAAGGGCUAUUGCGCCACCCCAAAGUCCAUGUGGCCCACUUAGGGAGUGGUGGGGCCACUAGGUGGAACCCCCGGAACCCAUUCGUCACUCCCGGCACACUGCUAGUAUUGCCCGAAACUUUUACGGAAUCCAAAUACCAACUUCCUAUAUGUCAAUCUUCAUUUCUGAUCCAUUCCGGAACUCCUCGUGAUAUCCUGGAUCUCAUCCGGGACUACGAACAAUAUUCGGUUACCACGUCAAUAAUUCAACUAUACCGAAAACGUCACCGAACAGUGUGCAGACCCCGCGGGUACAAGAAGUAUCUAGACAUGACCGAGACACUCUCCGGUCAAUAUCGAAUAGCGGGACCUGGACUUCCAUAUUGGAUCCUACAUAUUCUACGAAGAUCUUAUCAGUUGAACCUCUAUGUCAAGGAUUCACACAAUCCCGUAUAUCAUUCCCUUUGUCCUUCAUUAGGUUACUUUCCCGAGAUUCGAUCGUCAGUAUCUCCAUACCUAUUUCAAUCUUGUUAUCGGCAAGUCUCUUUACUCAUUCCAUAAUACAAGAUCGCAUGACUAACUCUUUAGUCACAUUGCUUGCAAGGCUUGUUUGUGAUAUUGUAUUACCGAGUGGGUCCCGAGAUACCUCUCUGUUACACGGAAAAUCCCAGUCUUGAUCCAUGCUGACUCAACGGACAACUUCGGAGAUGCCUUUAGAGUACCUUUAUAGUCACCCAGUAACGUGGAGAUGUUUGAUACACACAAGGCAUUCCUCCGGUGUCAGGGAGUUACAUUAUCUCAUGGUCAUAGGAAUGUAUACUUGACAUGCGGAAAAUGAUAGCAACAAAAUGACACGAUCAUAUGCUACGGUUAUAGUUUGGGUAUUGUCCCUCACAUCAUUCUCCUAAUGAUGUGAUCUCGGUAUCAAGUGACAACACUUGUCUAUGGCCAGGAAACCUUGACCUUCUUUAAUCAACGAGCUAGUCAACUAGAGGCUCACUAGGGACAGUGUGUUGUCUAUGUAUCCACACAUGUAUUUGAGUUUCCAAUCAAUACAAUUCUAGCAUGGAUAAUAAACGAUUAUUAUGAACAAGGAAAUAUAAUAAUAACUAAUUUAUUAUUGCCUCUAGGGCAUAUUUCCAACACGAGAGGCCACGGCUUGGGUGCGAAUGCCAUCCUUGAGAGGCAGACUGUAGAUGAUCUCGCCAAGGAUGGCGUCUGGGAGGUCGCUAAUGCAGUCCUUAGAAGAUCCACUUCUUUUUGCUCAGAUCCACCUUCUUGUUGCUCAGAUCCACCUGUGUACUCGACCCACCUGUGUAUGCUCCUAGGUAGUGUCGUGGUUUUGUCACGGUAGAUGUCCUCGUGAAAGGACUUAGUCCUGGAGCCAUCGCACCUUNNNNNNNNNNNNNNNNNNNNNNNNNNNNNNNNNNNNNNNNNNNNNNNNNNNNNNNNNNNNNNNNNNNNNNNNNNNNNNNNNNNNNNNNNNNNNNNNNNNNUAAAAUCCUUGGGCAUUCGCUCGUUGCGAAGGGCGAGGGCCAAGCAUGUUACCCCCACUCGUUCGCCGCGCCCGACAAGAGGGGCUGGGGUGACUUGGGUGUCCGGAUGAUCCCGGCCUGGCGGGUCUUGAUGAUCAGGCGAGUUGUCCUGGGGGAUGAGCCGCGGUCCGCUGGUUAUAGUGGGCUGGUCAUCUGGCCGACUCCUGGUGCGGCUUGCCUGGGGAGUGGAAUGCAGCCUGUCUAGGCUAUGUGAGAACUGGGCGUUUUGAACCACUGCCGUCUUCAACAUCUCAAUGGCGUUCCUCGCCUCUAUCUCGGCAGGAGUGUUGCCGUGAAUCGGAAGGGAUUCCAAAUGUCGAGUUGCGGCAAGGACGUUGUCCACCGGGUUGGAAAAGUGAACUUGAGGUGUCCGGAAUCGGGGGACGCGAUCCACAAUUGGCUGGAGCGGCUGGUUAGGUGGCUGGCCCGGCCCUCCCCCCGGGGCGGCUCCCGUCCCGGGAGUUCGCCGAGUGUCGAACAGGCGGGUCGGGUUGAGAUCAGGAGGCAAGCGACCCUGGUGCCUCCGCUGAUGGACGGCGUCAGAUGCGCGCUGAUGCCUUUCUAGCCGCCAGUUGUCAGUAUUUAAGCGAGCUAUCUCGGCGGUAAUUUGAGCUUGCCGGGUCUCAAUCCUGGCGGACUCCACCUCGGUAUCCCGCUGAGCCUUUGCCAACCCUUCUCUUAGCUUCGUUAAUUCUGUGUUCACCGCCUCCUGGUUCUCCGGUGUGAUGGGGGUCACCAUGAGCCUUGUUAUUUCCGCUGCUAGCUCCACCAAAAUCGUGGCUAGGCUUCUAGACGUCUCACCAGUUCCAACUCCGCGUGCCGGAUUUGGCGAGGGUUGAGUUGCCCCUGCCAUGUAAACGGCGAUCUGACGGCGAGUCCUGUCAAGAACUUCGGGGUCCAUGGCCAGUGAUAAGCCCCCAAGGCAGCCCCCAUGCAAAGAUUGGAUUGAAUCUGAAUCGCCCAUAGAUGAUUCAUCGUCAGUGUUGACCGGUCUGGUUUCCUGGGUCGCUGAGUGUUCAGGCUCCUCGGAUCCCUGCGUGAACCCAACAAAGACCGGGCGGGUUAGGUUUGGCGUCACGACCGGGCGGACGUAACUGGCCGGGCGGACGCCUCCUCCGACAUCGUCGAGCCGGCCAGGUACGUCUGCCCGGUCGUGACGCCAAACCUAACCCGCCCGGUCUUUGUUGGGUUCACGCAGGGAUCUGAGGAGCCUGAACACUCAGCGACCCAGGAAACCACGCCGGUCAACACCGACGACGAAUCAUCUAUGGGCAAUUCAGAUUCAAUCCAAUCUUUGCAUGGGGGCUGCCUUGGGGGCUUAUCACUGGCCAUUGACGCCGAAGUUCUUGACAGGACUCGCCGUCAGAUCGCCAUUUACAUGGCAGGGGUGACUCAACCCUCGCCAAAUCCGGCACGCGGAGUUGGAACUGGUUUGACGUCUAGAAGCCUAGCCGCGAUUUUGGUGGAGCUAGCAGCGGAAAUAACAAGGCUCAUGGCGCCCCCCAUCACACCGGAGAACCAGGAGGCGGUGAACACAGAAUUAACGAAGCUAAGAGAAGGGGUGGCAAAGGCUCAGCGGGAUGCCGAUGUGGAGUCCACCAGGAUUGAGACCCGGCAAGUUCAAAUUACCGCCGAGAUAGCUCGCUUAAAUACUGACAACUGGCGGCUAGAAAGGCACCAGCGCGCAUCUGACGCCAUCCAUCAGCGGAGGCACCAGGGUCGCUUGCCCCCUGAUCUCAANNNNNNNNNNNNNNNNNNNNNNNNNNNNNNNNNNNNNNNNNNNNNNNNNNNNNNNNNNNNNNNNNNNNNNNNNNNNNNNNNNNNNNNNNNNNNNNNNNNNGGAUCCGCCAUGGCUAGAGUGAUUUUGAUCAUCAACCUCUUCUAAACUUGAAAACAUAUAUCAAACCAUCUCAGUGAGUAAUAGGUGAUAACAAAUAGCAAUCGCCCCAAGAUAUUUUGAGGCGAGUCAGAAAAAAAAAGUCUAAAAAACCUUGUGGCAGUACCAGGGAGGUAAAAAAUAGCAAUUUCGUCGGCUCAUAAGGUCGCGACAGGAUAGGGCGAGUCAAACAACCUCAAGCGCCACCCAAAAUAAUAAUUUCGUCGGCUCAUAAAGGUCGCGACAGGAUAGGGCGAGUCAAACAAGCUCAAGCGCAACCCAAGGGAGGUAAAAAAAUAACAAUUUCAUCGGCUCAUAAGGUCGCGACAGGAUAGCGCGAGUUAAACAAGCUCAAGCGCCACCCAAAGGAGACUUUUGUAUCAAAAGCCCAAGUAUUUAGACCGGCUGAUCAGGCACAAGUCAAGCUUCAGUGAAGCGGGUUCAAUGAACCAAUGGUUUCUCUAUUUUCCAUGUGAGGCGCUUGCCGGUACCAGACAUGUUUUAACCAAAGCAAGUUCAGGGUCCAUUAGCGGAAUAACUCGCCAAGAGUUCAUGGGUCCAUAUGGCGAUUCGGCCAACACAUAGUCCAGUAUAACCAUUUGUAAUGCAGUAAUUUUUCGCAGGCCAAAUGGGUAAUAAAGAUGAUCUCAGUGAGAGGAAGCCCCCAAGUCGGGAGGCGUUUAAUUUUAUUUCUUUAUAAGAAAUGAAAAACUUACAAAAUGUAGAGCUUAAGAGCUCAAGUGUAAUAAGGCCGCAAGUGGGCAAUAUUCCAGGGGCGAGUCGACUCAGCCUCCGUGGUUGGCUGGUUAGGCCGGAGAUCCACCAGAUAGUAAGACCUGUUGUGAAGAUUUUUGCUGACGACCAACGGUCCUUCCCAUGGUGGUGAUAACUUAUGCAUGCCAACGCGAUCUUGUAUCAGCCGAAGCACUAAGUCGCCUUCCUGAAAGGUUCGGCUCUAGACCCGGCGGCUGUGAUAACGUCGUAAGUCCUGCUGAUAAAUGGCCGAUCGGGCUGCAGCCAAAUCACGCGCCUCCUCUAAGGCGUCCAAAGAGUCAUGACGCGCUAGUUCGUUGUCCUGUUCCACAUAAGCAGCGACUCUAGGCGAGUCAUGCCUUAUGUCAGUGGGAAGAACAGCUUCUGCUCCAUAGACCAGAAAGAAAGGGGUAAAACCCGUGGACCGGUUCGGGGUGGUCCGGAUGCUCCAUAGCACCGAAGGCAACUCCUCAACCCAACACCCCGGGGUUCUUUCCAAGGGAACCAUGAGUCGGGGCUUGAUUCCCCGUAAAACUUCCUGGUUCGCCCGCUCCGCCUGUCCAUUAGAUUGUGGGUGAGCAACCGCAGAAACAUCAAGCCGGAUGUGCUCUCGACGGCAAAACUCCUGCAUCGCCCCUUGAGACAGAUUAGUGCCAUUGUGAGUAAUGAUACUGUGCGGAUAUCCAAACCGGAAGAUCAACUUUUUCAAUAAUUUGACCGCCGUCUCCGCAUCGCAAGCUCCAACAGGCUCUGCCUCAACCCACUUGGUGAAUUUAUCAACCGCCACCAGCAAAUGGGUUUUCUUGUUGGAAGGCAUCUUAAAGGGGCCAACCAUGUCUAACCCCCAGACCACGAAAGGCCAAGUCAUGGGUAUCAUCCUUAGUUCUUGAGACAGCACAUGGGCCUGUCGCCCAUAACGCUGGCAUCCAUCGCAUCGACGAACUAUUUCCUCUGCAUCUACAUGGGCCGUCAACCAAAAGAAACCAUGACGGAACGCCUUUGAAACCAAGGAGCGUGACCCGGCGUGAUGCCCACAAUCUCCGGAAUGAAUGUCAUUUAGAAUUAUGCACCCUUCUUCGGAGGAGACACAUCUUUGAAAAACCCCGGAAGUGCUUCGCUUAUAUAGUACGCCAUUGAUGAUCACCAUGGAUUUGCUUCGCCGAAUGAUUUGGCGAGCCAACACUUCAUCUGUAGGUAACUCGCCUCGGGCGAGAUAGGCCAGAUACAGAAGAACCCAAUUCGGCGUAAUGUGGAGAGCUGCCACGAACUGGGACUCAGGAUCUGGUAUUGCCAACUCCUCCUCUGAAGGCAAACUUACGGAAGGAUUAUGCAAAGUAUCCAGAAAAACAUUGGGGGGAACCGGUUUUCGCUGGGAACCGAGACAUGAAAGGGCAUGAGCUGCCUCGUUAAGGCGCCGGUCAAUGUGAUCAACCUGAUAGCCAUGGAAAUGACCCGCCACAUCGGACACAGCCCUCCUGUAAGCCGCCAUCAUGGGGUCCCGAGAAUCCCAAGUGCCUAAAACUUGCUGAGCCACCAGAUCAGAGUCGCCAAAACAUCUGACCCGCGUAAGGUACAUCUCUUUGGCGAGUCACAAGCCGUGAAGUAAAGCUUCGUAUUCCGCAGCGUUGUUGGUACAUGGAAACAUGAGUCGGAGGACGUAACAGAAUUUGUCUCCUUGAGGAGAUACCAGCACCACGGCAGCCCCCGAGCCUUCCAACUGUCUAGAUUCGUCAAAAUAAAAAGUCCAGUAUGUAAGGUCAGGCCUGUCUUCCGAGACGUGUAACUCGGUCCAAUCAUUGACGAAAUCAACCAAGGCCUGAGAUUUGAUAGCCGUGCGAGGGGUGUACCGCACGUGGUGCGGCCCAAGUUCAAUCGCCCACUUGGCAAUCCGCCCCGUCGCCUCCCGAUUCUGGAUGAUGUCCCCGAGGGGAGCGGAACUAACCACCGUGAUGGGAUGCUCUUGACAAUAAUGUUUAAGCUUCCGGCUUGCCAUAAGCACCCCAUACACUAAUUUCUGCUAGUGUGGGUAUCGCUGCUUUUAAAGAGUUAGCACCUCGCUGAUAAAAUACACCGGGCGCUGCACAGGGUAUUCCUUUCCUUCCUCCUUCCUUUCGACGACCACCGCCACACUCACCGCUUUGGAGUUUGCCGCAAUAUAUAAAAGCAUGGGCUCUUUCUCAGUCGGGGCGGCCAAGACCGGCGGGUUGACCAGUUGCCGUUUUAAGGCUUCAAAAGCUUCAUCGGCUUCAUCUGUCCAAACAAAAUGGUCAGAUUUCUUUAGCAAUUGAUAAAGGGGAAUAACUUUUUCCCCCAGGCGGCUUAUGAAGCGACUUAAGGCCGCAAUACGACCCGCCAUCCGUUGGACUUGAUUAACAUUUGCUGGCUUCCCAAGGGAGGUAACUGCUUCGAUCUUGUCUGGGUUAGCUUCGAUAACGCGCUCAGACACCAGGAAACCCAACAACUUCCCUGCAGGAACGGCAAAGACACACUUGGUGGGAUUCAGCUUCAUCUGAUAUACCCGCAGAUUAUCAAAGGUUUCCUUGAGAUCUUCCAAUAGCGUUUCCCUCCUGUGGGUUUUAACCACAAUGUCAUCGACAUAGGCAUGGACGUCGCGUCCGAUUUGGCCACGGAGGCAAUUUUGGAUGCAGCGCUGAUAAGACGCCCCUGCACUCUUGAGUCCAAAUGGCAUGUACACAUAGCAAAAAGCCCCAAAGGGGGUUAUAAAAGUUGUUUUCUCUUGAUCUUCCACGGCCAUAUUGAUUUGGUGAUAUCUAGAAUAAGCGUCCAAGAAACACAAACAUUCGCAUCACGCCACCGAAUCAAAUAUCUGGUCGAUGCGGGGAAGAGAGAAAGGAUCUUUUGGACAAGCUCUGUUGAGGUCCGUGUAAUCAAUGCACAUACGGAAGGUACCAUUCUUCUUGAGCACCAAGACCUGGUUAGCCAACCAAUUGGGGUGGAAAACCUCUACGAUGAAUCCGGCGGCCAUGAGACGGGCAACCUCUUCCCCGAUUGCCUUGCGUCGUUCCUCGAUAAACCUACGAAGAUAUUGCUAGAUGGGUUUGCCUUUGGGUCAACAUUAAGAUGGUGCUCAACAAAUUCUCUCGGCACACCAGGCAUGUCAGAAGGUUUGCAUGUGAAGAUGUCCCGAUUCUCACGGAUGAAUCCGAUGAGCGCGCUUUCCUAUUUGGGAUCCAGACCCGUCCCAGUAGUCUACUGCUGGGUUGAGUCGCCAGUGACGAAAUCAACCGUUUUAGUGUCAUCCAUUGGUUUGAACUUGAGGGGCGGCUCAACAUCUGUCGUUGGCUUUUUUAAGGGUGACAUAUCAGCCGGGUCAACAUUGGCCUCAUGAUAUUUGAGCUCCUCCGCAGCGCAGGCGACUUCCGCAUAAGCCGUGUCCCCUUCUUCACAUUCUCUUGCAAUCCUUCUAUCACCAUCAGCCGUGAUGGGUCCUUUAAGACCAGGCAUCUUGAGUUUAAGGUAAACAUAGCAUGGACGAGCCAUGAACCGGGCGUAAGCCGGCCGCCCAAACAACGCAUGGUAGGGGCUUUUUAAUUUGACCACCUCAAACAUCAGCGACUCACUCCUGUAAUUAGAUGUUGUUCCAAAUGCAACUGUGAGCCUGACUCGGCCUAUGGGGUACGCCAAUUUGCCUCGGACGAUUACGUGGUGUACCGUGGUUGAAGGCAUCAAAUCUUUUUCCAACAGGUUCAUCCUUUGGAAAGUGUUCAAAUACAAAAUAUUGAUGCUGCUGCCACCAUCCAUCAGUACUUUCGACAAGGUAUACCCCCCAACUUGGGGAGCCACGACCAACGCUAAGUCACCGGGAUUGUCAACUCUUGGCGGGUGGUCCUCCCUACUCCAUGAUAUGGUCUGCUCGGACCAGUGGAGGUAUCUAGGGAGUGCCAGCUCGGAAACACUGUACGCUCGGUGACUCACCUUUUUAUCGUGCCUGCAAGCAUUGGUGGUGAAAACGUGGUACUGCCCAUUGCUUAACUGCUUGGGAUUGUUGCGGAAGCCGCCAUUAUCAUCCUGCCCCUGCGAAGCCCCCUGCGGGGGUGGUUGUUGAAAUGCUAUGGGCGGUUUAUACCGUCGCUGGUGAUGCACCGGAUAUUGGCCGCUGUUCGGCUGCGAGCCACCCUGAGCCCCCGAUUCGGGGAAACCGCCGAAGGGGUUCUGACGUUGAUUGGGCGCGCCGAACUGUUCCUGCCAUUGGUCCGGUUCACCGCUUUGCCCCUUUUUGAUCGCCUCCGCCCGAAACUCCCGCAUCACGUAACAGUCCUCCCAGGAAUGAGUCGCCGGUCCGUCUGCCAUGGCGUGGUGCGGGCAGGGGCCCUUGAGUAACUCACUAUAGUUGCGCGGCUUUUUACCACUGUAUCCCCUGCUUGUCUUCUGGCGUUGGUUGCCAUUAUUGGUGUUGGUGUUGGCGACUAAGUCCGAAGAUUCUUCCUGUUGCCUUCUCUUGCUAUUCGCUCCCUGAUUGUGGCGGGCGCGUUCCUAGAAACGGGUAUGAUUUUUGGAUGACUCGCCCUUCCUUGGCAAGUUAGCUUUACCAUCCUCGUCGGGAUCUUUAGUGUCGUCCGCCUCAGCAUACCUGGUGAGGGUAUCCAUUAGCUCCCCCAUGUCUUGGACCUUUCGUUUGAGUCGCCCCAACUUUUGCACCAAAGGUUCGUAGUGGCAAUUCUGCUCGAGGAUCAGCACAGCCUGAGUCGCCGUAAUACCGUCUGACGAGUGCAUGAUUUCUAGGACCCGCCGCGACCAGUGGUGGGCCGACUCGUCGGGGCGUUGAACGCAGUGUUGUAGAUCGACAAUUGUCAUUGGACGCUUGCAAGUUCCUCGGAAGUUUUUAAUGAAACGCUCUUUCAAUUCAGCCCAAGUCUGGAUGGAGUUGGGAGGAAAGUUUUUUAACCAAGUACGUGUCGUUCCUUCGAGCAUCAUUGUGAAGUAUCUGGCGCAAACUGCUUCGUUUACGUCGAGCAUGUCCAUGGCGAUUUCAUAACUCUCGACCCACGACGCCGGCUCAAGGUCCGGAGUGUAGUUAGGCACCUUUCUUGGCCCUUUAAAAUCCUUGGGCAUUCGCUCGUUGCGAAGGGCGAGGGCCAAGCAUGGCACCCCCACUCGUCCGCCGCGCCCGACAAGAGGGGCUGGGGCGACUUGGGUGUCCGGAUGAUCCCGGCCUGGCGGGUCUUGAUGAUCAGGCGUGUUGUCCUGGGGGAUGAGCCGCGGUCCGCUUGUUACAGUGGGCUGGUCAUCUGGCCGACUCCUGGUGCGGCUUGCCUGGGGAGUGGAAUGCAGCCUGUCUAGGCUAUGUGAGAACUCAGCGUUUUGAUCCACCGUCGUCUUCAAAUCUCAAUGGCGUUCCUCGCCUCUAUCUCGGCAGGAGUGUUGCCGUGAAUUGGAAGGGAUUCCAAAUGUCGAGUUGCGGCAAGGACGUUGUCCACCGGGUUGGAAAAGUGAACUUGAGGUGUCCGGAAUCGGGGGACGCGAUCCACAACUGGCUGGAGCGGCGGGUUAGGUGGCUGGCCCGGCCCUCCCCCCGGGGCGGCUCCCGUCCCGGGAGUUCGCAGAGUUUCGAACAGGCGGGUCGGGUUGAGAUCAGGUGGCAAGCGACCCUGGUGCUUCCGCUGAUGGACAGCGUCACAUGCGCGCUAGUGCCUUUCUAGCCGCCAGUUGUCAGUAUUUAAGCGAGCUAUCUCGGUGGUAAUUUGAGCUUGCCGAAUCUCAAUCCUGGCGGACUCCACCUCGGCAUCCCGCUGAGCCUUUGCCACCCCUUCUCUUAGCUUCAUCAAUUCCGUGUUUACAGCCUCCUGGUUUUCCGGUGUGAUGGGGGUCGCCAUGAGCCUUGUUAUUUCCGCUGCUAACUCCACCAAAAUCGCGGCCGGGCUUCUAGACGUCUCGCUAGUUCCAUCUCCGCCUGCCGGGUUUGGUGAGGGUUGAGUCGCCCCUGCCAUGUAAACGGCGAUCUGACGGCGAGUCCGGUCAAGAACUUCGGGGUCCAUGGCCAGUGACAAGCCCCCAAGGCAGCCCCCGUGUAGAGACUGGAUUGAAUCUGAAUCGCCCAUGGACUAUUCGUCAUCAGUGUUGACCGGCCUGGUUUCCUGGGUCGCUGAGUGUUCUGGUUCCUCGAAUCCCCGCGUGAAUCCAACAAAGACUGGGCGGGUUAGGUUUGGCGUCAUGACCGGGCGGACGUACCUGGCCGGCUCGACGAUGUCGGAGGAGGUGUCCGACUCAGGCUCGGGCGAUCCAAUCAUGUCGAUGAAGACAUUGAUCCUGCUGAAGGGGACCCUAUAACCAGAUUCGAUCGAAUCCGCCUCGGGCCCCCAUAGCAAGUUGUUGAUGUAGUACUUCCCGCGACGGCUCCGGGUCAUGAGCCCCGUCGCGUAGCUCCCAAACCCUGGUAGGGGUCCCUUUGAGAACUCAACUCCACCGUGCGCAAGCCCCACGGUGGGCGCCAACUGUCGUGGUUUUGUCACGGCAGAUGUCCUCGUGAAAGGACUUAGUGUUGGAGCCAUCGCACCUUGGUGGCGACUCAAAGGGGUUGAACGGGAGAGAGACAGAUAUUUACCCAGGUUCAGCCCGUCGUGAGGAGGUAAAAGACUACGUCCUGCUUUGUGUUGUAUUGAUGGAGUUUCGAUUACAAGGAGGGCGUAACUCGCUUGACCUAGCACUCGAUGAUUUCUAACCUGCCCUCUUCUUCCUUGGGACUCGCCUUUAUAUACAGGUCGAGUCCUUAAGGUUUACAAGGGUCCUUUCCUUUACACAAAUCGUGACUCUUGCGAUCUCUAAGUCGCCAUCUUUCCAAGGCUUGGAGACCUUCCCUACUAUGGACUCCUUUCGAAAGUCUGAAACCGCCAUACAACUUUCGUCCUUACCAGGCCAAGGCCCGAUCCACAUUUAGAUGAGUCGCUAGCUUUGGUGACCCGGCCCAACUAGGGCGGGUUAUCCAACAGAUAAUAUCCCCAACAGUACCCAAGCGCCAGUCCACCCACAUAUCAAACUAUCAAAGUAACGAAUGUGAUUUGGAGCACUUUUCCUCCUAUAAGACUUUGUUCAGGCUUGUCCCUUGCUACAAAAGGGAUUGGGCCACUUUGCUGCACCAUUGCUACUACUUGUUACUUGUUACUUUUCACUUGCUACGUUUCACCUCACUACACCAUCACUUGUUACCGCUACUUUCAGUGUUUGCAGUUAUUACCUUGCUGAUAACCAUUUAUCAGAGCCUUCUGCUCCUCGUUGGGUUCGACACUCUUACUUAUCGAAAGUACUACGAUUGAUGCCCUAUACUUGUGGGUCAUCAAGACUCUUUUCUGGCACCGUUGCCGGGGAGGUGAAGCGCCUUUGGUAAGUGGAAUUUGGUAAGGAAACAUUUAUAUACUGUGCUGUAAUUAAUUGUCACUUGUCACUAUGGAAACUGUUCCUUUGAGGAGUUUGUUCGGGGUAUCUUCACCACGAACGGAAGCACGAGGAGUUGUUCCUCAACCUGAGGUACCUACUGAAAAUAUCUUUUAUGAAAUUCCUUCGGUUAUGCUUGAGAAACUUCUGGCUAAUCCUUUUACAGGAGAUGGAUCAUCACAUCCAGACUUGCAUCUAAUCUAUGUAGAUGAAAUUUGUGGUUUAUUUAAGCUUGCAGGUUUGCCCGAGGAUGAGGUAAAGAAGAAAGUCUUUCCUUUAUCUUUGAAGGAUAAGGCGUUGACAUGGUAUAGGCUAUGUGAUGAUACUGGAUCAUGGGACUACAAUCGGUUGAAAUUGGAAUUUCAUCAAAAGUUUUAUCCUAUGCAUUUAGUACAUCGUGAUCGGAAUUAUAUUUAUAAAUUUUGGCCUCGUGACAGGGAAAGCAUAGCUCAAGCUUGGGGAGUGUUAAAUCAAUGCUAUAUUCAUGCCCCAAUCAUGAUCUCUCGAGAGAAAUUAUCACUCAAAACUUUUAUGCUCGACUUUCUCAUGAAGAUCGUACCAUGCUUGACACUUCUUGUACCGGUUCUUUUAUGAAGAAGGAUAUUGACCACAAGUGGAAUUUAUUGGAAAGAAUCAAACGUAACUCUGAAGAUUGGGAGCUUGAAGAAGGUAAGGAGUCAGGUAUGAAUGUCCAGUUUGAUUGCAUUAAAUCUUUUGUUGAAACAAACACUUCUAGAGAUUUUAGCGCUAAGUACGGACUUGACUCUGAGAUAGUAGCUUCUCUAUGUGAAUCUUUUGCUCCUCAUGUUGAUCUUCCUAAAGAGAAGUGGUUUAAGUAUCAUCCUCCUGUAGACAUCAACAUAGUUAAACCAAAUCUAGUUGAAGAGAAGGUCAUUGCCUUUAGUGAUUCUAUUGUUCCUUGUGCCUACGCUGAGAAACCACCUUACCCUGCUAGGAAAAAGGAUUAUUAUAAAGCUCCAACUGUGAUACGUAGGGGUUACAUUAGACCACUUGCACCCACUGAGGAAAUUAGAGUUGAACCUAGUGUUGCUAUUAUCAAAGAUCUCUUAGCCGAAGACAUAGACGGAUAUGUUAUCAAAUUCUGUGAGGACUCUGCUAGAAUUGCUAAACCUCACGCGAAAGACAAAUACGGACCUGUAGCUGGCCUGCCCGUUGUUUUUGUCAAGAUAGGAGAUCACUGUUAUCAUGGUUUAUGUGAUAUGGGUGCUAGUGUUAGUGCAAUACCCCGGUCCCUAUAUGACGAAAUCAAAGAUGAGAUUGCACCUGCUGAGUUAGAACCCAUUGAUGUCACUAUUACGCUAGCUAAUAGAGACACUAUCUGCCCUCUGGGAAUUGUGAGAGAUGUAGAAGUCCUGUGUGGUAAGACGAAGUAUCCUAUUGAUUUCCUCGUCCUUUCUACUUCACAAGAUAGCUUUUGUCCCAUCAUAUUUGGUAGACCCUUUAUCAACACUGUCAAUGCCCAUAUUGAUUGCGUUAAACAGACUGUCACUGCUAGUUUCGAGGGUGUGUCUCAUGAAUUUAACUUCUCCAAGUUUGGAAGACAACCCCAUGAAAAAGAGUCGUCUGGUAGGGAUGAAAUCAUUUCUCUUGCCUCUAUUGCCGUACCUCCUACGGAUCCUUUAGAGCAAUAUCUACUUGAGCAUGAAAAUUACAUGCAUAUGGAUGAAAGAGAUGAGAUAGAUAAAAUUGUUUUAGAACAAUAUCCUAUUCUCAAGAAUAAUCUGCCUAUUGAACUGCUUGGGGAUCCUCCCCCACCAAAGGGUGAUCCUGUGUUCGAGCUAAAACAGUUACCAGAUACUCUUAAGUAUGCCUACCUUGAUGAGAAGGAGAUAUAUCCUGUUAUUAUUAGUGCUCACCUCUCUAAUCACGAAGAGAAGAAGUUACUAAAAACUUUGAGGAAGCACCGUGCUGCUAUUGGAUAUACUCUUGAUGAUCUUAAGGGUAUUAGUCCCACUCUAUAUCAGCACAAUAUUAAAGUUGACCCUGAUUCUAAACCAGUUGUUGAUCAUCAAAGGAGAUUAAAUCCUAAGAUGAAAGAGGUCGCGAGGAAAGAAAUAUUAAAGCUUCUGGAAGCAGGAAUCAUUUAUCAUGUUCCUCAUAGUGAUUGGGUAAGUCCAGUACAUUACGUACCUAAGAAGGGAGGUAUCACCGUCGUUCCUAAUGAUAAGAAUGAACUAAUCCCACAGAAGAUUAUUACUGGUUAUAGGAUGGUGAUAGACUUCUAGAAACUGAACAAGGCAACCAGGAAAGACCAUUAUCCUUUGUCGUUUAUCGACCAAAUGCUAGAAACGCUAUCUAAACACACACACUUCUGCUUUCUAGACGGUUAUUCAGGUUUCUCACAAAUACCUGUUGCACAAUCUGAUCCCGAGAAAACCACUUUCACUUGCCCCUUCGGUACCUUUGCUUAUAGACGUAUGCAUUUUGGCUUAUGCAAUGCACCUGCCACCUUUCAAAGAUGUAUGAUGGCUAUAUUCUCUGACUUUUGUGAAAAGAUUGUUGAGGUUUUCAUGGAUGAUUUCUCCAUUUACAGUUCUUCCUUUGACGAUUGCCUCAGCAACCUUGAUUGAGUCUUAUAGAGAUGCAAAGAUACCAACCUCGUCUUGACCUGGGAGAAGUGCCACUUCAUGGUUAAUGAAGGCAUCGUCUUAGGACACAAAAUCUCUAAGAAUGGCAUUGAAGUUGAUAAGGGUAAGGUUGAUGCAAUUGAGAAAAUGCCUUGGCCCACAGAUAUCAGAGGUAUACGAAGUUUCUUAGGUCAUGUUGGUUUCUAUAGAAGGUUCAUUAAAGACUUCUCUAAGAUUUCUAGGCCUCUUACCAACCUCUGGUAGAAGGAUGUUCGUUUUGUUUUUGAUGAGGAUUGUGAGGAAGCCUUUGAAAUACUUAAGAAGGCCUUGAUAACCGCACCUAUUGUUCAACCACCUCAUUGGGACUUGCUCAUUGAAAUCAUGUGCGAUGCUAGUGAUUAUGCUUUCGGUGCUGUUCUAGGACAAAGAGUUGACAAGAAGUUGAAUGUUAUUCACUACGCUAGUAAAACUCUAGACAGUGCCCAAAGAAACUAUGCCACUACGGAGAAGGAGUUUCAGUAGUCGUGUUCGCAUGUGAAAAGUUCAGAUCUUAUAUAGUUGACUCCAAAGUCACUAUUCACUCUGAUCAUGCUGCUAUUAAGUACCUUAUGGAGAAGAAGGACGCUAAGCCUAGGCUAAUCAGAUGGGUUCUCCUGCUACAGGAAUUUGAUUUGCACGUUGUUGACCGAAAGGGUGCUGAUAACUCUGAGCAGAUAACUUGUCUAGGCUAGAGAAUGUCCUUGAUGACCCAUGACCUAUUGAUGACAGCUUUCCUGAUGAGCAAUUGAAUGUCAUCCGCACUUGACAUAGUGCACUGUGGUAUGCGGAUUACGCAAACUAUAUCGUAGCCAAAUACAGACCACCCAGUUUCACCUAUCAGCAAAAGAAGAAAUUCUUCUUUGAUUUGAGACACUACUUUUGGGAUGAUCCUCACCUUUAUAAGGAAGGAGUAGAUGGUGUUAUUAGACGUUGUGUGCCUGAACAUGAAUAGGGACAUAUCUUGCAAAAGUGUCAUUCCGAAGCCUACGGAGGACACCAUGCUGGAGAUAGAACUGCUCAUAAGGUAUUGCCAUCAGGUUUCUAUUGGCCCACUCUCUUCAAGGAUGCCUGUAAGUUUUUCUAGUCUUGUGACGAAUGCCAAAGAAUAGGAAACAUCAGUAAACGCCAGGAAAUUCCUAUGAACUAUUCACUUGUCAUUGAACCAUUUGAUGUUUGGGCCUUUGAUUAUAUGGGACCCUUCCCGAGUUCCAAUAGGUAUAGUCACAUCUUAGUUGCUGUGGAUUACGUCACUAAGUGCGUAGAAGCUAUCCCCACUAGAAAUGCUGAUCAUCACACCUCUAUUAGGAUGCUUAAAGAAGUCAUUUUCCCAAGAUUUGGAGUCCCUAGAUAUCUGAUGACUCAUGGCGGUUCACACUUCAUUCACGGUGUUUUCCGCAAGAUGCUUGCUAAGUAUGAUGUCAACCAUAGAGUUGCAUCUCCUUAUCAUCCUCAGUCUAGUGGUCAAGUGGAGUUGAGUAAUAGGGAGAUCAAAUUGAUCUUACAAAUAACUGUCAAUAGAUCUUGGAAGAAUUGGUCUAGCAAACUUGACGAUGCACUAUGGGCUUAUACGACGACUUAUAACAAUACCAUGGGCAUGUCGCCGUAUAAAAUGGUUUACGGUAAGGCCUGUCAUUUACCUAUUGAGUUGGAACACAAAGCUUAUUGGGGCAAUCAAAGAGCUCAACUUCGAUUUAAAAUUGCCAGUGAGAAGCGGUUGUUUGAUAUCAGCCCAUUAGAUGAAUGGAGGGCCCAGGCAUAUGAGAAUGCCAAGUUGUUCAAGGAAAAGGUUAAGAGAUGGCACGAUAAAAGAAUACAAAAACGAGAGUUCAAUGUAGGAGCUUAUGUCCUGCUAUACAAUUCUCGCUUAAGAUUCUUCGCAGGCAACCUCCUCCCUAAAUGGGAAGGUCCUUACGUUGUCGAGGAAGUAUAUCGUUCCGGUGCCAUCAAAAUUAAUAACACAGAAGGUAAUUUUACUUGAGUGAUAAAUGGGCAAAGAAUCAAGCAUUAUAUCUGUGGUACUCCCAUAAAUGUUGAGACCAAUAUCAUCAAUAUCAUAACUCCAGAGGAGUACAUAAGGGAUGUUUACGAGCCUGUUUCUGACCCUGAAAACGAAGAGGUAUGUGUUUCGAUAAGUUAUUGGACUCCGAAACUUUUCCAAUAGGAAUUUUCCUUCGUUUUGGAAUUUUUGAAAAUUAGAAAAAUAAAAAGCAGUCCGGAGAGCGCACGAGGCGGCCACAAGCUUGGUAGCCGCCACCUACCCCCCCUGGCGGUGGCUACAGGGCUUGUGGGCACCUCGUGUGCCUCCCGGACUCUGUUUUCUUGUGGAGCAAUCCUUCUGGUCCAGAAAAAAUCAUUAUAUAUACGCCCGAGGGUUUUGAUCUCCGUUUCGUGCAGUUCUGUGUUUUCGUUUCGAGCCUGUUUGUGCUGCAGAUCUAGGUCAAGAUGUCUUCUCAGGAUUCAGAGGGGGAGAGCUAUGUGGCUGAUUACCUUGCUAACCCCAAGGUCUAUGGAGACUUGCAACCAUAUGGUGGACCACUGACGAGGAAGAGGACUAUGAGCCCAAGGGGAAGGAACAGACGAGUUCCGACAAAGAGGAGGCUCCUCUACAUCAACCUGGACGCACUCAUGUGGAGUUCAAGAAGUCAAGCCUUCCUGACCAGAGGAAGAAGCCUAAGACCUUGUUUAUCCCUUCUCGUUUCUUGCAGGAGAGUAAGCAGGAACUUUGCCAUAGAGUGUUGAUGCUUGAGGAGUAAAAUGACGAUCUGAGGGAGCAGAACUUUAUGCUCAAGUGGAAAUUAGACAAGCUCAAGACUAAUUCAACAACACCACCACCAUCACCACAAAAGGAAGACAACUAAGCAUUGGUAUGGGCAAUUAAUCCCCUUCGCUUUUGCCAAGCCUGGGGGAGUUGCCCUGGUAUCGUAUCACCUUUAUAUCUUUUGCUUUUACCUUUGUUUUAGUUCUUUUCUUUUCAGUUUUUUCUUCUCUUAGUGGAAUAAAUCUUUAGUGUUCAGUUUGAGUCUUUUGCUUUGUGUCUCCCCCGAUGUAUUCGAGCUUGCGAGCUAUAUAAUAAAGAGUAUCUUAGUCAAGGGCUUUGUUUUGUGCCGUGUUCAAAAGUAUGAAAAGAACGAUAGCAUGAAAGAUCAUGAGAAGAUCUUAUGGAAAGUGAUAGCUUCACAUAUGACAAGUAUGAUGAUCGAAACUUGUUGAGAAUAGACCAACAUAGACCCCAGUCAUUGUUGCAAUUAAUAAGAAGUAAUAAGGAAAGAGAGGUUCACAUAUAAAUAUAUCAUCUUAGACACUUUUGACAGUUGUGAGCACUCACCAAACUAUUACAUGUUUAGAAGUAGAUGUUGGACAAGGAAGACAACAUAAUGAAUUGUGUUUGCUUGGUUCCAAACAAUGUUAUAUGCCUAGAGAUCCCUUAGCAUGUGACAAUUGCUUCCACCUCAUAUUAGCCAAAACACCCGCACCAAGUAGAGAUACUACUUGUGCAUCCAUAAACCUUCAACCCAGUUUUGCCAUGAGUGUCCAACAUACCUACCUAUGGAUUGAAUAAGAUCCCUCAAGUAAGUUGUCAUCGGUGCAAGCCAUAAAAUUGCUCUCUAAUAUGUAUGAUCUAUUAGUGUGUGGAAAAUAAGCUUUGUUCGAACCUGUGAUGAGGAAGACAUAAAAGCGAAAGACUGCAUAAUAAAGUUCUUUAUCACAGCGGGCAAUAUAAAGUGACGUUCCUGCGCACUAAGAGGACACGCAUCCUAACCUCAAAAGCGCAUGACAACCUCUACUUCCCUCUGUGAAGGGCCUAUCUUGGACCUUUACUUUUUGCCCUUGAAAGAGUCAUGGUGAUCUUCACCAAUUCCUUAUUUUGCCUUUGUCUUGGCUACUGUCACAAGCUAGGGAAAGAUCUAUAUUCAUAUAUCAACUUGGAGGUGAGUACUUAUGCUUUAUUAUUGUUGACUUUGCCCUUGAGGUAAAUGGUUGGGAGGCAAAACUAUAAGCCCCUAUCUUUCUCUGUGUCCAGCUGAAACUUUGAUACCAUGAGUACCACGUGAGUUGUAACAAUUGUGGAUAACAAAAGAGAUGAUUGAAUAUGUGGGUUUGCCUUACAAGCUCUUAUUUGACUCUUUCUGAUGUUAAGAUAAAUUGCAACUGCUUGAAUGACUAUGGACUUUUGUUGGCUACUUCUCGGCAAGGUUUUUGCUUCAUACUUUGCUUUGUGUAGGAAUUGUUACUUUCCCAUCAGAAUCUUUAUGAUGUAUUGCUGUUCUAUGUGUGAUCAUGAUGCCCUCUUGUCUGUAUUAUGUUUUAUCAACACCUUCACCCCUAAACAUGUGGACAUGUUUAUGGAUCUUGGUUUUCGCUUGAGGACAAGUGAGGUCUAAGCUUGGGGGAGUUGAUACGUCCAUUUUGCAUCAUGCUUUCAUGUUGAUAUUUAUUGCUUUAUGGACUGUUAUAUUACUUUGUGGUACCAUACUUAUGCCUUUUCUCUCUUAUUUUGCAAGGUUUAUUUGAAGAGGGAGAAUACCGGCAGCUAGAAUUCUGGACUGGAAAAGGAGCAAGUCUGAGUCCUCUAUUCUGCGCAACUCCAAAUGCCCUGAAAAUCCACGUGGAAUUUUUUGGGAUUAUAUAAAAAAUGCUGGGCGAAAGAAGUACCAGAGGGGAGCUACCAGGGCCCCACAAGCCUGGUAGCCGCCCCCCUGGUGGCGGCUACAGGGCUUGUGGGCACCAUGGCGGCCCACUGGCUCCCCUCUUUUGCUAUAUGAAGGGUAUCGUCCAGGAAAAAAUAAAGGUGGAGCUUUUUCGUGGAUUCUUCGCCGCCACGAGGCGGAACAUGAGCAGAUCCAAUCUAGAGCUCUCGCAGGACGAUCCUGCCGGGGAAACUUCCCUCCCGGAGGGGGAAACGUCGCCAUCGUCAACACCAACACUCCUGUCAUCGGAGGGGAGUCAUCUCCAUCAACAUCUUCAUCAGCACCAUCUCCUCUCCAAACCCAAAUUCAUCUCUUGUAACCAAUCUCCGUCUCGCGACUCCGAUUGGUACUUGUAAGGUUGCUAGUAGUAUUGAUUACUCUUUGUAGUUGAUGCUAGUUGGAUUACUUGGUGGAAGAGUUUAUGUUCAGAUCCUUGAUGCUAUUCAUUACACCUCUGAUCAUGAUUAUGAUUAUGCUUUGUGAGUAGUUACUUUUUUUCCUGAGGACAUGGGAUAAUUCAUGCUGAUAAUAGUCAUGUGAAUUUGGUAUUCGUUCGGUAUUUUGAUAUGAUGUAUGUUGUCUUUCCCUCUAGUGGUGUUAUGUGAACGUCGACUACAUAACACUUCACCAUCUUUGGGACUAGAGGAAGGCAUUGGGGAGUAGUAACUAUAUGAUGGGUUGCUAGAGUGACAGAAGCUUAAACCCUAGUCUAUGCGUUGCUUCGUAAGUGGCUGAUUUGGAUCCACUAGUUUAAUGCUAUGGUUAGACGUUGUCUUAAUUCUUCUUUCGUAAUUGCGGAUGCUUGCGAGAGGGGUUAAUCAUAAGUGGGAUGCUUGUCCACCCACAUAUCAAACUAUCAAAGUAACAAACAUGAAUCAUAUGCACAUGAUGAAAAUAGCAUGACAAAAAUUCCGGUGUGUCAUCGGGAGCACUUUUCCUCCUAUAAGACUUUGUUCAGGCUUGUCCCUUGCUACAAAAGGGAUUGGGAAACUUUGCUGCACCGUUGCUACUACUUGUUACUUGUUACUUUUCAAUUGCUAUGUUUCACCUCACUACACCAUCACUUGUUACCGCUACUUUCAGUGCUUGCAGUUAUUACCUUGCUGAAAACCGUUUAUCACAGCCUUCUGCUCAUCGUUGGGUUCGACACUCUUACUUAUUGAAAGGACUACAAUUGAUCCCCUAUACUUGUGGGUCAUCAUGGCGCCACCCUAGGGCCUUGGGCUUACUCCCGGGUGGGUGGGCCCGUCCCGGUAAACAUCCGGAACCCAUUCGUCACUCCCGGUACACUACCGGAAUUGCCCAAAACAUUCCGGUGACCAAAUGAAACCAUCAUAUAUAUCAAUCUCAUUUACGUACCAUUCCGGAAACCCUCGUGACGUCCAUGAUCUCAUCCGGGACUCCAAACAACAUUUGGUAACCACACAUAUAACUCAACUAUACUAAAACAUCAUCAAACCUUAAGUGUGCAGACCCUGCGGAUUCGAGAACUAUGUAGACAUGACCGAAGGCACUCCUCGGUCAAUAUCCAAUAGCGGGACCUGGAUUCCCAUAUUGGAUCCUACAUAUUCUCUGAAGAUCUUAUCGGUUGAACCUCAGUGUCAAGGAUUCAUAUAAUCCCGUAUGUCACUCCCUUUGUCCUUCGGUAUGUUACUUGCCCGAGAUUCGAUCGUCACUAUCCGCAUACCUAUUUCAAUAUCGUUACCGGCAAGUCUCUUUACUCGUUCCAUAAUACAAGAUCCCGUGACUUAUACUUAGUCACAUUGCUUGCAAGGCUUGUGUGUGAUGUUGUAUUACCAAGUGGGCCCCGAGAUACCUCUCCGUCACACGGAGUGACAAAUCCCAGUCUUGGUCCAUACUAACUCAACGGAAAACCUUCGGAGAUACCUGUAGAGUACCUUUAUAGUCACCCAGUUACGUUGUGACGUCUGAUACAUGCAAGGUAUUCCUCUGGUGCUAGUGAGUUAUAUGAUCUCAUGGUCAUAGGAAUAAAUACUUGACACACAGAAACAAUAGCAAUAAAAUGACACGAUCAAUAUGCUACGUACAUAGUUUGGGUCUAGUCCAUCACAUGAUUCUCUUAAAGAUGUGUCGUCAAGAGACAACACUUGUCUAUGGUCAGGAAACCUUGACCAUCUUUGAUCAACGAGCUAGUCAACUAGAGGCUUACUAGGGACAGUGUUUUGUCUAUGUAUCCACACAUGUAUCUAAGUUUCCAAUCAAUACAAUUCUAGCAUGGAUAAUAAACGAUUAUCAUGAACAAAGAAAUGUAAUAAUAACUAAUUUAUUAUUGCCUCUAGGGCAUAUUUCCAAUAGUCUCCCACUUGCACUAGAGUCAAUAAUCUAGUUCAUAUCACCAUGUGAUUUUAACGAAUCCAACACCCAUAUAGUUCUCGGGUUUGAUCACGUCUUGCUCAUGAGAGAGGUUUUAGUCAACGGUUGUGAAUUUUCAGAUCCGUGUGUGCUUUACAAAUCUUUAUGUCAUCUCACAGAUGCUGCUACUACGUGCUAUUCGGAAAUACUCCAAAUAUCUACUCUACUAUACAAAUCCGUUUUACUACUCAUAAUUAUUCGGAUUAGUGUCAAAGCUUGCAUCAACGUAACCUUUUACGAUGAACUCUUUAACCACCUCCAUAAUCGAGAAAAAUUCCUUAGUCCAUUAGUUACUAAGGAUAACUUUGACUGUUGUUCAGUGAUUUAAUCUUGUCUCACUCUCUCUACCUCUUAACAAACUUGCGGCAAGGCAAACAUCAGGUGCGGCACACAACAUGGCAUACAUUAGAGUCUAUGGCUAAGGCAUAGGAGACGACCUUCUUCCUUCCUCUUCCUUCUGUCGUGGUCGGGUUUUGAGUCUUUACUCAAAUUCACACCUUACAACACGGCCAAGAACUCCUUCUUUGCUGAUCUAUUUUGAACUCCUUCAAAAACUUGUCAAGGCAUGCAUUUCAUUUGAAACUUCUGUUUAGCAUUUUGAUCUAUCCAGGUCUUCCUUUGAAAAAACCCCUUUGAAACAACCCUUUAUGCUUUACAGAAAUUUUGCAUUACUUCCGAUCAACAAUAUGUCAAACACAUAUACUUAUCAGAAAUUCUUUAGUGCUCCCACUCAUUUCUUUGGAAAUACAAGUUUCUCAUAAACCUUGUACAAACCUAAAAGCUUUGAUCAUCUCAUCAAAGCGUAUAUUCCAACUCCGAGAUGCUUCCACUAGUCCAUAGAAGGCUCGCUAGACCUUGCAUACUCGUUAGUAUCCUUGGGAUCGAGAAAACCUUCUAGUUGUAUCACAUACGACCUUUCCUCAAGGAAACCGUCGAGGAAACGAUGUUUUGACAUCCUAUGUGCAAUAUUUCAUAAAUAAUGCAGCAACUACUAACCUAAUUCCAACAAAUUUUAGCUUCACUACGAGUGAGAAAGUCUCAUCAUAGUCAACUCUUUGAACUUUGUCGGAAACAUCUUUGCGACAAGUCAAGCUUUUCUUAAUGAUGACUUUUCACCACCAUCGUCUAUCUUCCUUUUAAAGAUCCAUCUUUACUCAAUAGUAUUACGACCAUCAAGUAGUUCUUCCAAAGUCUACACAUUGUUYUCAUACAUGGAUYCWCUCUCGGAUUUCAUGGCCUCCAGCCAUUUGUCCGAAUCCAUGCCCACCAGCGCUUCUCYAUAGCUCAUAGGUUCAUUGUUGUUCAAUAACAUGACCUCCAAGACAGGGUUACCAUACCACUCUGUAGUGGUACGCGACCUUGUCGACCUACGAGAUUUGUAGUAACUUGAUCCAAAGCUCAAUGAUCACUAUCAUCAGUUUCCACUUCAAUUGGCGUAGGCGCCACUUGAACAUCUUCCUGCGCCCUGCUACACUCUGGUUGAAGUGACAGUUCACUAACCUCAUCAAUUUCCACCACCCUCCCACUCAAUUCUUUUGAGAGAAACCUUUCCUCGAGAAAGGACCCGUUUCUAGAAACAAACACUUUGCUUCCGGAUCUGAGAUAGGAGAAGUAUCCAACUGUUUUGGAUAUCCUAUGAAGAUGCAUUUAUACGCUUUGGGUUCGAGCUUAUCAGACUGAAACUUUUUCACAUAAGCAUCAUAGCCCCAAACUUUCAAGAAACGACACCUCAGGUUUUCUCCAAACCAUAGUCUCUACCGUUACAUCGCAAUGGAAAUACGCGGUGCCCUAUUUAAAGUGAAUGCGGUUGUCUCUAAUGCAUAACCCAUAAAUUAUAGUGGUAAUUCGAUAAGAGACAUCAUAGUACGCACCAUAUAAAAUAGGGUGCGGCUAUGACGUUCGGACACACCAUCAUACUAUGGUGUUCUAGGUGGCAUGAACUACGAAACAAUUUCCACAUUGUCUUAACCGUGUACCAAAACUCGCAACUCAGAUAUUCAUCUGCAUGAUCUUAUCGUAGACGGUUUAUCCUCUUGUCAAGAUGAUCUUCACUCUGAAAUGGCUUUGAACUUUUCAAUAUUUCAGACUUGUGAUUCAUCAAGUAAAUACUCCUGAUUCUACUCAAAUCAUCAGUGAAGUAAGAACAUAACAAUAUCCACUACGUGCCUCAGCGCUUCAUUGGACUGCACAUAUCAGAAAUGUAUUGAAUCCAACAAGUUACUUUCUUGUUCCAUGUGGUAUGAUUUUGCAUGUCUCAAGUGAUUCAAAAUCAAGUGAGUCCAAAUGAUCCAUCUGCAUGGAGUUUCUUCAUGCGUUUAUACCAAUAGGUAUGGUUUGCAUGUCUCAAACGUUUCAAAAAUGAGUGAGUACAAAGAUCUAUCACUAUGGAGCUUCUUCAUGCAUUUUAUACCGACAUGACUCAAGCGGCAGCGCCACAAGUAAGUGGUACUAUCAUUAGUACUUUGUAUCUUUUGGCACCAAUAUUAUGAACAUGUCUAACACUAUGAUCGGGAUUCAAUAAACCAUUGAGGGUAAUUAUUCAAGCAAAUAGAAUAAUUAUUAUUCUCUUUAAAUGAAUAAUCAAAUUGCAAUAAACAUGAUUCAGCCGUGUUCAUGCUCAAUGCAAACACCAAAUAACAAUUAUUUAGGUUUAACACCAAUCCCGAUGGUAGAGGGAGAAUGUGAUGUUUGAUCACAUCAACAUUGGAAACACUUCCAACACUUAUUGUCACCUCGCCUUUAGCUAGUCUCCGUUUAUUCCGCAGCUUUUAUUUUGAGUUACUAAUCGCUUAGCAAUCGAACCAGUAUAUAAUACCCUCGUGCUACUAGGAGUACUAGUAAAGUACACAUCAAUAUAAUGUAUAUCAAAUAUACUUCUUUUGACUUCGCCAGCCUUCUCAUCUACCAAGUAUCUAUGGUAGCUCCGCCUCAGUGACCGUUCCCCUCAUAAUAAAAGAACUUAGUCUGAGGUAUGGGUUCAAUCUUGGGAUUCUUCAUUAGAGCAGCAACUAGUUUGUCAUUUCAUGAAGUAUCACUUCUAGCCCUUGCCCUUCUUGAAACGAGUGGUUUUACUAACCAUCAACAAUUGAUGCUCCUUCUUGAUUUCUACUUUCGCAUUGUCAAACAUUGCGAAUUGCUCAAGGAUAAUGAUAUCUAUCCUUGAUAUGUUAUAGUUCAUCACGAAGCUCUUAGCAGCUUAGUGCCAAUAACUUUGGAGAACCAUCACUGUCUCACCUCGAAGAUUAACUCCCACUUGAUUCAAGUGAUUGUUGUACUCAGACAAUCUGAGAACAUGCUCAACGAUUGAGCUUUUCUCCUUUAAUUUGUAGACAAAGAAUCUUGUCGGAGGUUUCAUACCUCUCAACAAGGGCACGAUCAUGAAAUCUCAACUUCAUCUCUUAGAACAUCUCUUAUGUUCCGUGACGUUUCAAAACGUCUUCGGCGCCUUGCUUCUAAGCCCUUAAGUUUUAUGCACUAAACUAUCACGUAGUCAUCAAAACGUGUAUGUUAGAUGUUCGCAACAUUCACAGACGACGCUCGAGGUGCAGCACACCGAGUGGUGCAUUAAGGACAUAAGCCUUCUGCGCAACAAUGAGGACAAUCCUCAGUUUUACGGACUCGGACCGCAAAGUUUCUACUAUCAUCUUUCAACUAAAUUUUCUCUAGGAACAUAUAAAAACAGUAGAGCUAUACCGCAAGCUACAUCAUAAUUUUCCAAGACCUUUUGACUAUGUUCAUGAUAAUUAGUUCAAUUAAUCAUAUUACUUAAGAACUCCCACUCAAAAAGUACAUCUCUCUAGUCAUUUCAGUGGUACAUGAUCCAAAUUCACUAACUCAAGUCCGAUCAUCACGUGAGUUGAGAAGACUUUCAGUGGUAACCAUCUCUAUGCUAAUCAUAUCAACUAGACGAUUCAAGCUCGACCUUUCGGUCUCAUGUGUUCUGAGGCCAUGUUUGUACAUGCUAGGCUCGUCAAGUUUAACCCGAGUGUUCCGCGUGUGCAACUGUUUUUCACCCGUUGUAUAUGAACGUUGAGUCUAUCACACCCGAUCAUCACGUGGUGUCUCGAAACGAUGAAUUGUCACAACGGUGCAUAGUCGGGGAGAACACAAUUUCAUCUUGAAAUUUUAGUGAGAGAUCACCUUAUAAUGCUACCAUCGUUCUAAGCAAAAUAAGGUGCAUAAAAGGAUUAACAUCACAUGCAAUUCAUAGGUGACGUGAUAUGGCCAUUAUCUUGUGCUUCUUGAUCUCCAUAACCAAAGCACCGACAUGAUCUUCAUCGUCACCGGCGCCACACCAUGAUCUCCAUAAUCGUGCCGCCAUCGAGGUUGUCGUGCUCUCUAUGCUAUUACUACUAAAGCUACGACCUAGCAAUAUAGUAAACGCAUCUGCAAACACAAACGUUAGUUUAAAGACAACCCUAUGGCUCCUGUCGGUUGCCGUAGCAUCAACGUGCAAGUCGAUAUUAACUAUUACAACAUGAUCAUCUCAUACAUCCAGUAUAUCACAUCACGUCAUUGGCCAUAUCAUAUCACAAGCAUACCCUGCAAAAACAAGUUGGAUGUCCUCUAUUUUUUUGUUGCAUGUUUUACGUGGCUGCUAUGGGUAUCUAGUAUGAUCGCAUCUUACUUACGCAAAAACCACAACGAAGAUGUGCAAAUUGCUAUUUAACCUCUCUCCAAGGACCGCCUCGGUCAAAAUCAAUUCAACUAAAGUUGAAGAAACAGGCACCCGCCAGUCAUCUUUAUGCAACGAGCUGCAUGUUAGUCGAUGAAACCAGUCUCUCGUAAGCGUACGAGUAAUGUCGGUCCGGGCCGCAUCAAUCCAACAAUACCGCCGAAUCGAGAAAAGACUAAGGAGGGCAGCAAUUCAAACAUCAACUCCCACAAAAACUUUUUUGUUCUACUCGAGAUAACAUCUAUGCAUGAACCUAGCUCAUGAUGCCACUGUUGGGGAACGUUGCAUGGGAAACAAAAAAUUCCUAUGCACACGAAGACCUAUCAUGGUGAUGUCCAUCUACGAGUGGAGAUUUGGAUCUACGUACCCUUGUAGAUCGGACAGCAGGAAGCGUUAAGAAACGUGUAGUGGAACGUCUUCACGUCCCUCGAACCGUCCAACGAACCAUCCCGCAAUCCGUCCCACGGACCGUGCUGCGAUCCGUGCCACGAUCCGUUCUGAUCUAGUGACGAACGGACGACACCUCCGCGUUCAGCACACGCAACUCGAUGACGAUCUCGGCCUUCUUGAUCCAGCAAGAGCGACGGAGAAGUAGAUGAGUUAUUCGGCAGCGUGACGGCGCGCCGGUGUUGGUGAUGAACUAUUCCUGCAGGGCUCCGCCUGAGCUCCGCAGAAAUCCGGUCUAGUGGUGAAACUAUGUGGUUUAGGCUAUAGUUGCGCGUGGCAAAGUUGUGUCUCAAAAAGCCCUAAACUACCACUGUAUAUAGGAGGAAGGGGGAGUGGCUAGCCUUGAGGCACAAGGCCUCAAGUUCCGCCGACCAAGGGGGAGGAGUUGGACUCCAACCCCAAUUCGGUUUGGUGGGGAAGGAGUCCACUCCUUCCUUCCCACCUCCCUCUUUCCUUUUUCUUUUUCUUUUCUUUUGGUAUUUUCUUAUGUGGCGCCAUAUCCCUCUUGGGAUGACUCCACUAGCCCAAUAAGGACUUGUGGCGCCACCCUAGGGCCUUGGGCUCACUCCCGGGUGGGUGGGCCCCUCCCGGUAAACACCCGGAACCCAUUCGUCACUCCCGGUACACUCCCGGAAUUGCCCGAAACUUUCUGGUGACCAAAUGAAACCAUCCUAUAUAUCAAUCUUCAUUUCCGCACCAUUCUGGAAACCCUUGUGAUGUCCGUGAUCUCAUACGGUACUCCGAACAACAUUUGGUAACCACACAUAUAACUCAACUAUACUAAAACAUCAUCGAACCUUAAGUGUGCAGACCCUCCGUGUUCGAGAACUAUGUAGACAUGACCCGAGGCAUUCCUCGGUCAAUAUCCAAUAGAGGUACCUAGAUGCCCAUAUUGGAUCCUACAUAUUCUCCGAAGCUCUUAUCAGUUGAACCUCAGUGUCAAGGAUUCAUAUAAUCUCGUAUGUCAUUCCCUUUGUCCUUCGGUAUGUUACUUGCCCGAGAUUCGAUCGUUAGUAUCCUCAUACCUAUUUCAAUCUCGUUAUCGGCAAGUCUCUUUACUCGUUCCGUAAUACAACAUCCCGUGACUCCUCUUCUAGAGCUCGUUUACUUCAUAUGAGAGAUGUUUAUUUGACUUUGUCCACCAGGUCCAUGAAUUUUAGACCUGACAGUUUCAUCAGUGAUAUUUACUUCAUAUAAGAGAUUUUCAUUUUUCAGAAGCACGGGGUUCUUAAAUUUGCCUUCCUCUUCUAGAUCUCGUUGCUUCCAUUGGUUCACCAAGGAAACAACAUGCUAACUGUCGUAGCAUGGAAUGUACUGCAAAAAAAUUAAAAUGCUUCACUUAGUAAGAAGGAAUUCUUCAAUCAGUUAAAAUGUAGGGUUUUCCUCACUCCUAAAAAAUGCUUUACGCGGUAGUCUAGCAUUUGGUAAAAGGUGUGCUUUUUAAAAAAACAAUCAUUUUGUGGAUUAUGCACAUCUAGUUCUUCUGUGAGAAACGUAACAUGGUAGUAAUUUAUAUGCAUGUCGUGCCAAAACUUUUCUACUUAAAGUGCAUGUCUCGUAACAAGCGACACGUGAAGUGCUAUUAUAGUACAUCGAACGCCUGUUUCUAUUCCAGCGCAGUUGAUGUUCGUACAGGUUCAGCAACUCGUAAUUCUACUGCAAAAAAUAUACAGAUAAUGUACAAGAAGUUACAUGUGAACUUUGAUAUGCACAAAAUUAUCAACACAAGCAUGUUCGAGUAAAGAUAUGUUUACAUGCAAAGUCGUGAAAAAGCCAUGUGCAACUUGAUUUAUGACAACUCAGGUCGUGCAACAAUUAUAAUAGGAAACUAGUGUUUACUUUGUUGCCAAUGCAAAAAUGUAUGCCCAGCUACUUAUGGAAGUACCAUUGCGAAAUAUAUUUUUCCUGAAAACUUAUCUAAGUAAUUAUGUAUGGUAUUAGCUAGUUGCAUUGUAUUACACAAAUCUAUAUCUAAUAAUACGACAGUUUUGCGUCGAGAGGCUCGAAUCUCCUUUCUAAUUAUGGCACGUUCCGCAACCGACGAUCUACAAGUAUCAUCCACGCCCCCAGAGCCGCUCUCACCACACCAUUGUCACUAAGGGAUACAGCGCAACGCCACCUCCACUUUCCCCGUUAACCUCCUCUCACACCGUUUUUAGCCAUAGAGCAACUGGAUUUUCUCUAACAUUCACCUUUAACCUCCGCCCCCACAGUGGUGGAGUCUAUUUGUCUCCUACAUCUGCGACGUCGUACCACACUGUCGGUUGUAGAGCUUUCUCCUACUUGAAGGAGGUCGUUGAUGUCGGAAAUUGACGGUGUGGAAAGCUUCUUCCUGGCAUCUAGCGGAUCUGUACGAGAUCACCGCAAAAUUUUAAUCGUAAUAGUAUAGAUCUAUCAAUUUGCAACACGAAGAAACAAAAAUCUCCAAGAUGGAACAACCCAUACAAAAAAAUGUUGCGGAAAUGGAGAGAUAACGUACGAAUCGUAGAGUGAGUUUGAGGACCGAAAGAGAAGAGAGGGCAAGAGAGGAAUAGUGAGUGUUGUACACCGGGUUAGUCGGAUAUUCUUUUUACAGUAAAGAGGUGGUUGUACUUGGGGCCACCAAAGAGAAUGUUGAGGUUUUAGAUUUCCACGUGCAAAGCUUCCGUUGCCUCAGGAAUCACGGUCGUGCCUUUUUGCUUCAAAAUAUUUUGGUUGAACGUUCACUUAAUCAGUCACGGUUUUACAAUCCAAGGGGGAACGUCAGUUGCAAAUGUUUUAAUUGACUGGUAGAGUAUGAGACGGUCCGUUAACACCCUAGUUGAGGCACGAGGCUACAUGAAGCACAUGCAAGAUGUUCCGUUUGUUUCCUUCAAUGUUUCCCUUGACGACGGAUUCAGUGACAGAGACAGGGGCAAAGAUCAGACUCUGGGUAAAACACGUUCGUGCACCUGGGAAUGAGAUAUAUUGUAUAACGACAAGUUCAAUGGGACGAGGCAUGGACUACAGAUGCACGGUAUUGUGUCUCUGUUCACUCUAUCCUUUCACUCUAGUUUGAGUGUCGUAGGCAUAGGCUUGAAGCCACGAGAGAUGUGGAGGCACGGAACAACACCAUAUUCCCCACAUGCGGCAGUGCAUCAAAAUUGGAUGCUAAAUCAUCGAUAUUUAGCAUGCUCAACCCUUUUUUCUGAAGCCAUCGAUGGUUACACAAACAUGUAGUGAACAUCACAAGACAAACCUCAGUAUUGAUGUCAUAAUUAUUGCUGCUACUAAACACAGCAUAGUCUGACAAGUUUUACACAAGACCUCUAUGCUUUACACAGUAAUUAGAAGAUGACAACUACAUCUCCCUCCAUCUUCCAGGCCCUGAUUUUAGUAUUCGCAAAUGAACGGAUUUGACAAUUCCAAACACUCGACGUGUGUGUUUGCUAAAUCCAGAUGCACAUGCUCACAACUUGUUGUUAGUGCAAGACUAGCACACUUAGAAGCCCUUUUAUGCAUCUGAAGCACCUUUACUUGCUACUUGUAGAAUUUAACCGUGAAAUCUUGGUGCAAGCGGGACUCGAGCUUGAUAGUUUGUAGUAUGCUUGCAUUCUGAAUAAAGAAUGUUAAAAACUCAACAUUUGCCAUUGUGUAUUCAUAUUCUUCAAGCGUUAUUGUCUUCAAGUAAAUACCAUGACUCUUCAUAAACACCUGGUGCUUUUGGCGCCAUUCAUUUGUUAAACCUCUCUGAUCCCAUCCUGUUGCCUAGAUAUACACGGAGACUCAAAAACAGUUAAUGUCUGGAAAGCACCUAAAAUACCGCCCAGAAUGUUCACUGCAUGUUCAAACACAAAAUAAAAUAUAUAUAUAUAUAUAAAGAGAAACUAAAACAGUUAUUGCAUUACUGCUGUGUAUCGGGAAGCCCAUGGGAUACAAUGCAUGUGAAAGCCAUAGAAUACUAUGUUGUCAUCAUCUCUUAGAUGAUCACCUCGAUAAAUAUGUUCUUCACGCAUCUAAAGCAUUGCAACAAUCCAACAACCUCAUCUAGUUUAAAACAUGUCUGCGAGAUACAUAAGGUCUUGAUGGAAUCCAUCACUCCUGGUAUGUUGUGUAUGGACAGACCCUUCAUUUGAUCAUAGUAGAUUACAUUAUUACUUUGUGUUCAUGAAAGUCAAUGCAACACAAUGUAAUGUGGAAUACCAGUACCUGAAUAACUGUAGAACCAAAGACGAUCUUCGAUUCAUCAGAUAGAUCUGAAUUUUUUCCCAAGGUAUCCAAUUUAGGCGUAGAAAAAUAGUUAUUUGCAACCGUGUAUCUACAGAAUCGUGGAGCAAUCUUUGAUGUGAAUGUCCAUCCUCGGUGUUGAGCUUUCCUUUUUCACAAUGAAUGGCGAUGCUGAUAAGAUUAGGGGAGUUUAUUCGCACGCAGCAGAAUUCCUUGUUGAAAACAAGUAGCAGGUAUUGCACGGCAGGGCAAUAGCAGUGGAUCAUGUUGUAUAUUUAGACCUCCUAUAUGUAAACUUCCAGCAACGAAAGUCUCUUGAGUACUAGGAGGCAAAUCGUUUCUACUAGAUUAUCUGCUAGUUUGCACAGGGUGAAUGUGAGCGUGUGGAGGGAGGAGUAGAACCUCGAGCUGGACAUCGGUGUUGAGGGCAUAUAAGAAGGGCAUCGGUGUGGUUGGUUGACGGCCCGGUGCAUGAAUUUUGGGAACACAUGGUAGAACUCAAUCACUUGGAUCUUGUCAAGUUUUGCGGAUUGGAGCAACUCAAUGACUGUCCUGGUUUUGUCACGGCAGAUGUCCUCGUGAAAGGACUUAGUAUUGGAGCCAUCGCACUUUGGUGGCGACUCAAAAGGGGUUGAACGGGAGUGAGACGGCGAUUUACCCAGGUUCGGCCCCUCGUGAGGAGGUAAAGGCCUACGUCCUGCUUUGUGUUGUAUUGAUGGAGUUUCGAUUACGAGGAGGGCGUAGCUCGCCAGACCUAGCACUCGAUGAUUUCUAACCUAUCCUCUUCUUCCCUGGGACUCGCCUUUAUAUACAGGUCGAGUCCCUAGGGUUUACAAGGGUCCUUUCCUUUCUCCAAACCAUGACUCUUACGAUCUCUUAGUCGCCACCUUUCCAAAGCUUGGAGGCCUUCUCUGUCAUGGACUCCUUCCGGAAGUUGUAAACCGCCAUACAACCUUCGGUCCUACCAGGCCAAGGCCUGAACCAUAUUUUAGAUGAAUCGCCAGAUUUGGUGACCCGGCCCAACUAGGGCGGGUUAUCAACAGAUAAUAUCCCCAACAUUAGGCCCCAGAUUGACUUGAAUUUCCUUCACGCCAAUAUCCUUACUCAAUUAAGGGCGAUUCAUCUUCACCCCUUUUAUACGCCAUGAACUUAACCCGCCAACUGUUGCGGAAAAACUUGAGUCGCCAAACCAUUUCUUGUUGGUACCUCCUUAUCCCUUGAAUCCCGGAAAAGAUAAUGACGUAAUCCCCAACAGAUCCUUCAGUAUCGUUAUCCCAAAAUUUUCGGGGUGCCAUCAUGGCGAAUCUUUAUCUUUUGGUGAUUCCCGCCCGUGGCGCCUCGAUCCUAGCGCCUGCCCUGAUAAAUAGGCGGGAGGAAGGGACUGGGCACAUUCCACCUACCAGUAUUGUCGCCCUUCUCUUCCCCACUAUCAAAGUGAAAAUCCUCAUCGUCUUCUGAGAGCUCCGCCGCCACCCGAGGACCUCGUCGCCAUCCGAAAGCUUCGGUGCCGCCCGAGGACUUCGUCGCCGUGAAGCACUUCGCCGUGGCCGAGUAGUUCGUCACGGUCGACCGUCUCGCCGUCGUCGAGCACCUCGCCGCCUCCGAACACUUCGUCGCCGCCCGAGGUUUUUGUGCCCGUCCGAUACCUUCAUUGCCGUCGACCAUCUCCAGCCGAAUCCACCAUGUUAGGUUUCUGUCAUUCAAGAGCAGAUCCAAGUUCCUUUUCGAAGUUCAUCACUGCCUCGUUCUUGGUGCUUCCCGAAUAGCUUUACUUGUUCCCGAUUAGUUGGCGGCGAUGAUAACCAGAAAAUCGAUGUCUUUCAUACCUUUAUUUGUUCGGCCUCUACUUGCAUACUUAGAGCAGGGAUUCACCAAAUCAACAGUAUUGUCCCACCUUAGUCGCAGGUUACUGUAUCCAGUCAUUUUCCGCAUUCAUUUCCGUCUACACGGUAGAUCCAUAAUCUAUCGCUUGUCAAGUGAAAACUGUUUGUAGUCUCAUACUCCACCAUUUUGACAAAUACCACUCAUGCUUUGAAACACCGCUCCCUUAAGUAGAAAAAGUUUCGUAAGUCGCCCGGGCAACCAGACCCGGACCUUCGUUGGCGGAUCAAAAAAUUUCCUUAGCCAUCAGGCAAAUUAUUUGGUGAGUCAAAUGAAAUUGUUUCACCUUUUUCAGUAGAUGUUUGGCGUGUCAAUUCACCCAUAAUUUUAUCCCUUUGUAGCAUGGGCGCCGUUUUCAAAAGCGACUGGCUCCACACCAAGGUUAAUGACGCUAUACUAGAUGAUUAUGUGAAAACGGGAAAUUUGGACCCUGAAGAGAUUAUGAGUUGGCGCACAGGGUUAGGAGAAGAAAUCCCCAAUCCCAAGGAAGGGGAAAUAGUUGUUUUUGUUGAACACCUUGAGCGGGGCUUUAAGCCGCCUGGAUCGAAAUUCCUCAGAGACGCCAUGGCUUUUAUUAAUGUCCGCCACCAAGAUCUAGGGCCCAACUCGAUAAGUAAUCUAUGCCAGUUCCAGGUGUUUUGUGAGGCUUACUUGCGGAUGGAGCCCUCAGUUCCCUUAUUCUGGUACUUCUUCCACUUAAAUCGCCAAACAGAAUUUCACAAUGGUCCCAGUCUGGAGCAUGGUGGUGUUAAUGUUCAGCGCCGCAGGGAUAGCCCAUUUCCGUCACUCACCAUGCCAAGCCACCCCAAAGGCUGGGGCGAGUCUUGGUUCUAUUGCCAGGAGACUUCGCCUGAGGGCGAGAACAAACUUCUGGGUUAUAGGGAAGAUCGCCUUCCAACAAAUUUCAAACUCCCAAACAAGCUCACCUAAGAGGAGGAGUCAGACUUUAUCCCAGUAUUGUCCGAGUUAAGAUCUUUGACAAACAACGGCCUUACUGGAGUUGACUUGAUCCAUUCCUGGGUCGAAUGGCGUAUCCUCCCUUUAAGUCGCCGGGACGGGUUAAUGUGUGAAUUCGAUGGCACCCGAGAUCAUCCUCAGUGCUACUUCCACACGGCUCUGACGGAAAAUGAUAUUGUAACCAUCAUCAAGAAGCUGACCGGCGAGCCCGCGGGAAAAUGCGGCCAAAUUGGUCUUAAACCUUUGUGCAAGAUUAACCCGGCACCAAAGGUAAAUAACUUUAACCCGCCUUUUGUCUUUUACUACUUAUGUCUUAGUCGAACUAUGACCUGUUAUAAAAAAUGCCAUUUCAGAAAGGUGAUAAAUUUUGGUCCAAGAGGCCAAAAAAGUCAGCCAUGAAGCAAGCUAGGCCGCCUCCAAAGAAGAAAUCCAAGGGCAAGGGCAACGCUGUUGUUACCGAACCAUCUGAGGCCGAUGAAUCCCAAGUCGGCGACGCACCUUCGGAGGUAAAAAACCUAUCCUCUUUUAACUCGUGAUCCAUUACUGAUAACUUUGUAUUUACACCUCUGCAUCUCUUGCAUAGAAUGAAGGCAAUGAAAGCCAGGAGGAUUCUGUAGAGGUAAUAUUUGUUUCCUCCGACUCAUCUCCUUCUCCACCUAAGUCGGCCAGGCGAGUUUGUGGGAAAGUUCCCUUCUCACACCCAAAUUCUUGUUUGGAUCCAAAUUUUCUUCUGAAGAAAGCACAACAAACCUCAAAUCGGAAUACUUGAAGUCAUUUUGGCGAUCUGGUGUCCCGUUUACCACCAAGAAACAAGAAAAGGCCAAAUGAGGUAUAUUUUACUAACACUUCUUCGGGUCUUCUUGGAUCGCAUUUGUAACUCGCUCAUAUCUUCGAAGUAUAACUUUUUGCAGAGUUCUCCUCCUACAUCUGGCGACUCAGUAAUGUCAGCACUUCCACCGAUCAUCUGUGUCCCUAGGUAAACCAUUGAUAAUUUUUACUUUUAGUCUGAUGGCGAUAAAUUUUCAGUCCUUUAAACGCACCCCUUCUCCUUUCACGGCACGGGCGAAGAAAAGAAAAACUGGCGGGUCAACUUCCGUUACAACUUCGGAGCCUAUCGGAAAGUCGGCACCGAUCCAGGAUGACCCGGACCAAGACAAACCUGAAGAUCAAGUGGAUCUCCCCAGCUCUCCCAAGGAAAACAUGGAUGCACCUAACCCGCCAAUUCCAUUGACAACAGCAGAAGACCCGGACACUGUGGUUAUCACUGGUACUCGCUUCUCUAACCCGGUCACAGCGGUUUUAUCGAAGCAUGUAUCAUCAUCAGCUCAACCUAUUCUUGAGCAUGAACUCUCCAAGGCUAAGCUCUCCCAAUAUGAAAAUCUGGAAUUCAAAGUACUUUGCUCUGGCUUUGCAAGUCGCCUAGAGGCGAGUUACGAGAUGGAGAAGAGCCUGCUUUGGAUGCUGAAGAACAAACAUGAGGUACAUUUUGUUGUACACUAUAUUAUCCUCAUUAACCCCCCAAGAGCCGGGUCAUCAGUAAAAAGAUGAGCCGGGUCUUGAUGAUUUGAAAAACUUUCGACCUGUAACCCCCAAGGGCCGGGUCAUCAGUAAAAAGAUGAGCCGGGUCUUGAUGAUUUGAAAAACUUUCAACCUGUAACCCCCAAGGGCCGGGUCAUCAGUAAAAAGAUGAGCCGGGUCUUGAUGAUUUGAAAAACUUUCGACAUGUAACCCCCAAGGGCCGGGUCGUGAGUAAAAAGAUGAGCCGGGUCUUGAUACUGUAUAAUUUUGUCUAAAAAAUUAUACAUUAGCCCCCAAGUGUCAGGGAUGUUGCUUGCAAUAAUUCUGAGACUUGCCCCUUAACUAUAUGCUUCAACAGGAAUCACUUAUCCAAACUGAAUCAGCACUUGGCGACUUGAAGAAAAAUUUAUCCGAUCAGCAGGAUGUCUGGGCCAAAUCAUAAGAGAAGUAUCAACUGAUCUUAUCUGAGAUGGAGAAGCUAAAAGCCGACUCAAAAAGGGCUCAAGCUGAUCAAGAUGCUUUAACAAAGUGAGCAGAAAAAGCUGAAGCCAAGUUGGACACUGUGCAACAGGAGGUGUCCGACUUAAAGCAACACAUCUCAAACAUGGCGCAAGCUGUCUUCGGUAAAAAUCAACUCUUGACCUUUGUAAACCAAUAGCUUUAUCUAAAUCCCUGACUAUCAUUACCUCUUAUACAGGUCCGAGAGCCGCCAACCUUCAGGAUGAUUGCGUCCUGAUGCUGAAGGCGAUUUACACGUUGACGGAGCAGCUAUAUACCGGGAGUGUGCUGACUGUGAAAGCAGUGAUGGGCGCCAAGGAACCUAUAACAUCAAUAAAGAAGAUGCUUGGCUGCUUAUCCACUCUUCCUCCCCAAAUUGGCGAGUUCACUCGGUCAGCCGCCCGGAAAGGAGUGCUGACCACUCUGAGUCGGUGCUUAGCAUAUGCUCCAGAGAUAAACCCAGAAGAAGUAGCGGUGUGCUUUCCUCAACUCAAGGAUGAUGGGUCAAAAUUCGCUGAAGAGGACUAUAAACGUGUCGUCAAGGACUCCCGUUUGGCGCCGACUCAGCUUGUUGCAAGCCUAGAUUUAUCAAAAUACCAAGCCUCCUACGACAACAAAAACAAGAAGGUCAACCCGCCAACCUUUGUGACGACCAACUUAACUCCGCGUCAACCCAAGAAUCCUUUUGACUUGGACGCAGAUCUCUCAUCAGUUCUGACCGAUGAAGAUGAGUUCGCCGCGUUAUCCAAAUGUAACUGGGUACUGGGCGACUUGCAAAUUGAAGUUGGCCAAAGCUCGCAGCAAGCUGAUCCAAGGGCAUCAGCAGAAUAACACCUCAUUGAUUUGGCCAUGAGAGCCAUGUAAAAGGUCCCUUUAGGAAUCAAAACUGCUUCUAUGAUAUCUUAAAAACCCUUAUGUCGCCUUUAAGGCGUUUUGAAAUACUUGAUCCGCCGUUUGAGGCUUUUAUCAUAAUACUUGACCCGCCAUUGAGGCGUUUUUACGAUGCUUGAUCCUCCAUGGCUAGAGUGAUUUUGAUCAGCAACCUGUUCUAAACUUGAAAACAUAUAUCAAACCAUCUCAGUUAGUAAUAGGUGAUAACAAAUAGCAAUCGCCCUAAGAUAUUUUGAGGCUUGUCAGAAAAAAAGUCUAAAAAACCUUGUGGCAGUGCCAGGGAGGUAAAAAAUAGCAAUUUCGUCAGCUCAUAAGGUCGCGACAGGAUAGGGCGAAUCAAACAACCUCAAGCGCCACCCAAAAUAAUAAUUUCGUCGGCUCAUAAGGUCGCGACCGGAUAGGGCGAGUCAAACAAGCUCAAGCACCAGCCAAGGGAGGUAAAAAAAUAACAAUUUCGUCGGCUCAUAAGGUCGCGACAGGAUAUGGCGAGUUAAACAAGCUCAAGCGCCACCCAAAGGAGACUUUUGUAUCAAAAGCCCAGGUAUUUAGACCAGCUGAUCAGACACAAGUCAAGCUUCAGUGAAGCGGGUUCAAUGAACCAAUGGUUUAUCUAUUUUCCAUGUGAGGCGAUUUCCGGUACCAGACAUGUUUUAACCAAAGCAAGUUCAGGGUCCAUUAGCGGAAUAACUCGCCAAGAGUUCAUGGGUCCAUAUGGCGAUUCGGCCAACACACAGUCCAGUAUAACCAUUUGUAAUGCAGUAAUUUUUCGCAGGCCAAAUGGGUAAUAAAGAUGAUCUCAGUGAGAGGAAGCCCCCAAGUCGGGAGGCGUUUAAUUUUAUUGCGUUAUAAGAAAUGAAAACUUACAAAAUGUAGAGCUUAAGAGCUCAAGUGUAAUAAGGCCGCAAGUGGGCAAUAUUCCAGGGGCGAGUCGACUCAGCCUCCGUGGUUGGCCAGUUAGGCCGGAGAUCUACCACAUAGUAAGACUCGUUGUGAAGAUUUUGGCUGACGACCAACGGUCCUUCCCAUGGUGGUGAUAACUUAUGCAUGCCAACGCGAUCUUGUAUCAGCCGAAGCACUAAGUCGCCUUCCUGAAAGGUUCAGCUCUAGACCCGGCGGCUGUGAUAACGUCGUAAGUCCUGCUGAUAAAUGGCCAAUUGGGCUACAGCCAAAUCACGCGCCUCCUCUAAGGCAUCCAAAGAGUCUUGACGCGCUAGUUUGUUGUCCUGUUCCACAUAAGCGGCAACUCUAGGCGAGUCAUGCCUUAUGUCAGUGGGAAGAACAGCUUCUGCUCCAUAGACCAGAAAGAAAGGGGUAAAACCCGUGGACCGGUUCGGGGUGGUCCGGAUGCUCCAUAGCACCGAAGGCAACUCCUCAACCCAACACCCCGGGGUUCUUUCCAAGGGAACCAUGAGUCGGGGCUUGAUUCCCCAUAAAACUUCCUGGUUCGCCCGCUCCGCCUGUCCAUUAGAUUGUGGGUGAGAAACCGCAGAAACAUCAAGCCGGAUGUGCUCUCGACGACAAAACUCCUGCAUCGCCCCUUGAGACAGAUUAGUGCCAUUGUGAGUAAUGAUACUGUGCGGAUAUCCAAACCGGAAGAUCAACUUUUUCAAUAAUUUGACCGUUGUCUCCGCAUCGCAAGCUCCAACAGGCUCUGCCUGAACCCACUUGGUGAAUUUAUCAACCGCCACCAGCAAAUGGGUUUUCUUGUUGGAAGGCAUCUUAAAGGGGCCAACCAUGUCUAACCCCCAGACCGCGAAAGGCCAAGUGAUGGUAAUCAUCCUUAGUUCUUGAGCCGGCACAUGAGCCUGUCGCCCAUAACGCUCGCAUCCAUCGCAUCGACGAACUAUCUCCUCUGCAUCUGCAUGAGCCAUCAACCAAAAGAAACCAUGACGGAACGCCUUUGAAACCAAAGAACGUGACCCGGCGUGAUGCCCACAAUCUCCGGAAUGAAUGUCAUUUAGAAUUAUGCACCCUUCUUCGAAGGAAACUCAUCGUUGAAAAACCCCGGAGGUACUUCGCUUAUAUAAUUCGCCGUUGAUGAUCACCAUGGCUUUGCUUCGCCGAACAAUUUGGCGGGCCAAAACUUCAUCUGUAGGUAACUCGCCUCGGGCGAGAUAGGCCAGAUAGGGAAGAACCCAAUCCGGCGUAAUGUGGAGAGCCGCCAUGAACUGGGACUCAGGAUCUGGUAUCACCAACUCCUCCUAUGAUGGCAAACUCACGGAGGGAUUAUGCAAAGUAUCCAGAGAAACAUUGGGGGGAACCGGCUUUUUCUGGGAACCGAGACGCGAAAGGGCAUCAGCCGCCUCGUUAAGGCGCCGGUCAAUGUGAUCAACCUGAUAGCCAUGGAAAUGACCUGCCACUUCGGACGAAGCCCUCCUGUAAGCCGCCAUCACGGGGUCUCGACAGUCCCAAGUGCCUGAAACUUGCUGAGCCACCAGAUCAGAGUCGCCAAAACAUCUGACCCGCGUAAGGUUCAUAUCCUUGGCGAGUCGCAAGCCGUGAAGUAAAGCUUCGUAUUCUGCAGCAUCGUUGGUGCACGGAAACAUGAGUCGGAGGACAUAACAGAAUUUGUCUCCUUGAGGAGAUACCAGUACCACGCCAGCCCCCGAGCCUUUCAACUGUCUGGAUCCGUCAAAAUAAAUAGUCCAGUAUGUAAGAUCAGGCCUGUCUUCCGAGGCAUGUAACUCGGUCCAAUCAUUCACGAAAUCAACCAAGGCUUGAGAUUUGAUGGCCGUGUGAGGGGUGUAUCGUACGUGGUGCGGCCCAAGUUCAAUCGCCCACUUGGCAAUCCGCCCCGUUGCCUCCCGAUUCUGGAUGAUGUCCCCGAGGGGGGCGGAACUAACCACUGUGAUGGGAUGUUCUUGAAAAUAAUGUUUCAGCUUCCGGCUCGCCAUAAACACCCCAUACACUAAUUUCUGCCAAUGUGGGUAUCGUUGCAUGGAAAGAGUUAGCACUUCGCUGAUAAAAUACACCUGGCGCUGCACAUGGUAUUCCUUUCCUUCCUCCUUCCUUUCAACGACCACCGCCACACUUACUCCUUUGGCGUUUGUCGCAAUAUAUAAAAACAUGGGCUCUUUCUCAGUCGGGGCGGCCAAGACCGGCGGGUUGACCAGUUGUCGUUUCAAGGCUUCGAAAGCUUCAUCAGAUUCAUCUGUCCAAACAAAAUGGUCAGAUUUCUUUAGCAAUUGAUAAAGGGGAAUCGCCUUUUCUCCCAGGCGGCUUAUGAAGCGACUUAAGGCCGCAAUGCGACCCGCCAUCCGUUGGACUUGGUUAACAUUUGUUGGCUUCCCAAGGGAAGUAACCGCUUCGAUUUUGUCCGGGUUAGCUUCGAUUCCGCGCUCAGACACCAGGAAGCCCAACAAUUUUCCUGCAGGAACACCAAAAACACACUUGGUGGGAUUUAGCUUCAUCUGAUAUACCCGCAGAUUAUCAAAAGUUUCCUUGAGAUCUUCCAAUAGCGUCUCCCCCUGGUGGGUUUUAAUCACAAUGUCAUAGACAUAGGCGUGGAUGUUGCGUCUGGUUUGGCCACGGAGGUAAUUCUGGAUGCAGCGCUGAUAAGUCGCCCCUGCACUCUUGAGUCCAAAUGACAUGGACACAUAGCAAAAAGGCCCAAAGGGGGUUAUAAAAGUUGUUUUCUCUUGAUCCUCCACGGCCAUCUUGAUUUGGUGAUAUCCACAGUAAGCGUCCAAGAAGCACAAACGUUCGCAUCACGCCACCGAAUCAAUAAUCUGGUCGAUGCGGGGAAGAGAGAAAGGAUCUUUUGGACAAGCUCUGUUGAGGUACGUGUAAUCAAUGCACAUACGGAAGGUACCAUUCUUCUUGAGCACCAAGACCUGGUUAGCCAACCAUUUGGGGUGGAAAACCUCUACGAUGAAUCCGGCGGCCAUGAGACGGGCAACCUCUUCCCCGAUUGCCUUGCGUCGUUCCUCGUUAAACCUAGGAAGAUAUUGCUGGAUGGGUUUUGCCUUUGGGUCAACAUUAAGAUGGUGCUCAGCAAAUUCUCUCGGCACACCAGGCAUGACAGAAGGUUUCCAUGCGAAGAUGUCCCGAUUCUCACGGAUGAAUCCGAUGAGCGCGCUUUCCUAUUUGGGAUCCAGACCCGUCCCAGUAGUCAACUGCUUGGUUGAGUCGCCAGGGACGUAAUCAACCAUUUUAGUGUCAUCCGUUUGUUUGAACUUGAGGGGCGGCUCAACAUCUGUCGUUGGCGUUUUUACGGGUGACAUAUCAGCCGGGUCAACAUUGGCCUGAUGAUAUUUGAGCUCCUCCGCAGCGCAGGCGACUUCCGCAUAAGCCGCGUCCCCUUCUUCACAUUCUCUUGCAAUCCUUCUAUCACCAUCAACCGUGAUGGGUCCUUUAGGACCAGGCAUCUUGAGUUUAAGGUAAACAUAGCAUGGACGAGCCAUGAACCGGGCGUAAGCCGGCCGCCCAAACAGCGCAUGGUAGGGGCUUUUUAAUUUGACCACCUCAAACAUCAGCGACUCACUCCUGUAAUUAGAUUGUGUUCCAAAUGCAACUGUGAGCCUAACUCGGCCUAUGGGGUACGCCAAUUUGCCUGGGACGAUUCCAUGGAGUACCGUGGUUGAAGGCAUCAAAUCUUUUUCCAACAGGUUCAUCCUUUGGAAAGUGUCGAAAUACAAAAUAUUGAUGCUGCCACCAUCCAUCAGUACUUUCGACAAGGUAUAACCCCAACUUGGGGAGGCACGACCAACGCUAAGUCGCCGGGAUUGUCAACUCUUGGCGGGUGGUCCUCCCUGCUCCAUGAUAUGGUCUGCUCGGACCAGUGGAGGUAUCUAGGGAGUGCUGGCUCAGAAACAUUGUACGCUCAGUGACUCACCUUUUUAUCGCGCCUCCAAGCAUUGGUGGUGAAAACGUGGUACUGCCCAUUGCUUAACUGCUUGGGAUCGUUGCGGAAGCCGCCAUUAUCAUCAUGCCCCUGCGAAGCCCCAUGCGGGGGUGGUUGUUGAAACGCUCCGGGCGGGUUAUACCGUCGCUGAUGAUGCACCGGAUAUUGGUCGCUGUUCGGCUGCGAGCCACCCUGAGACCCCGGUUCGGGGAAACCGCCGAAGGGGUUCUGACGUUGAUUGGGAGCGCCGAACUGUUCCUGCCGUUGGUCCGGGUCACCGCUUUGCCCCUUUUUGAUCGCCUCCACCCGAAACUCCCGCAUCAUGUAACAGUCCUCCCAGGAAUGAGUCGCCGGUCCGACUACCAUGGCGUGGUGCGGGCAGGGGCCCUUGAGUAACUCAUUAUAGUUGCGCGGCUUUUUACCACUGUAUCCCAUGCUUGUCUUCUGGCGUUGGUUGCCAUUAUUGGUGUUGGUGUUGGCUACUAAGUCCGAAGAUUCUUCCUGUUUCCUUCUCUUCCUAUUCGCUCCCUGAUUGUUGCGGGCGCGUCCCUGGAAACGGGUAUGAUUUUUGGAUGACUCGCCCUUCCUUGGCGAGUUAGCUUUACCAUCCUCGCCGGGAUCUUUGGUGUCGUCCGCCUCAGCAUACCUGGUGAGGGUAUCCAUUAGCUCCCCCAUGUCUUGGACCUUUCGUUUGAGUCGCCCCAACUUUUGCACCAAAGGUUCGUAGUGGCAAUUCUGCUCGAGGAUCAGCACAGCCUGAGCCGCCGUAAUACCGUCUGACGAGUGAAUGAUUUCCACGACCCGCCGCGACCAGUGGUGGGCCGACUCGUCGGGGCGUUGAACGUAGUGUUGUAGAUCGACAAUUGUCAUUGGACGCUUGCAAGUUCCUCGGAAGUUUUUAAUGAAAUGCUCUUUCAAUUCAGCCCAAGUCUGGAUGGAGUUGGGAGGAAAGUUUUUUAACCAAGUACGUGCCGUUCCUUCGAGCAUCAUUGUGAAGUAUCUGGCGCAAAUUGCUUCGUUUACCUCGAGCAUGUCCAGGGCGAUUUCAUAACUCUCGACCCACGACGCUGGCUCAAGGUCCGGAGUGUAGUUAGGCACCUUUCUUGGCCCUUUAAAAUCCUUGGGCAUUCGCUCGUUGCGAAGGGCGAGGGCCAAGCAUGUUACCCCCACUCGUUCGCCGCGCCCGACAAGAGGGGCUGGGGUGACUUGGGUGUCCGGAUGAUCCCGGCCUGGCGGGUCUUGAUGAUCAGGCGAGUUGUCCUGGGGGAUGAGCCGCGGUCCGCUGGUUAUAGUGGGCUGGUCAUCUGGCCGACUCCUGGUGCGGCUUGCCUGGGGAGUGGAAUGCAGCCUGUCUAGGCUAUGUGAGAACUGGGCGUUUUGAACCACUGCCGUCUUCAACAUCUCAAUGGCGUUCCUCGCCUCUAUCUCGGCAGGAGUGUUGCCGUGAAUCGGAAGGGAUUCCAAAUGUCGAGUUGCGGCAAGGACGUUGUCCACCGGGUUGGAAAAGUGAACUUGAGGUGUCCGGAAUCGGGGGACGCGAUCCACAAUUGGCUGGAGCGGCUGGUUAGGUGGCUGGCCCGACCCGCCUGUUCGACACUGCGCGAACUCCCGAGACGGGAGCCGCCCCGGGGGGAGGGCCGGGCCAGCCACCUAACCCGCUGCUCCAGCCAGUUGUGGAUCGCGUCCCCUUAUUUCGGACACCUCAAGGUCACUUUUCCAACCCGGUGGACACCGUCCUUGCCGCAACUCACCAUUUGGAAUCCCUUCCGAUUCACGGCAACACUCCUGCCGAGAUAGAGGCGAGGAACGCCAUUGAGAUGUUGAAGACGGUAGUGGUUAAAAAUGCCCAGUUCUCACAUAGCCUAGAUAGGCUGGAUUCCACUCCCCAGGCAAGCCGCACCAGUAGUCGGCCAGAUGACCAGCCCGCUAUAACCAGCGGACCGCGGCUCAUCCCCGAGGACAACUCGCCUGAUCAUCAAGACCCGCCAGGCCGGGAUCAUCCGGAUACCCAAGUCGCCCCAGCCCCUCUUGUCGGGAGCGGCGGACGAGUGGGGGUGCCAUGCUUGGCCCCCACCCUUCGCAACAAGAGAAUGCCCAAGGAUUUUAAAGGGCCAAGAAAGGUGCCUAACUACACUCCGGACCUUGAGCCAGCGUCGUGGGUCGAGAGUUAUGAAAUCGCCAUGGACAUGCUCGACGUAAAUGAAGCAGUUUGCGCCAGAUACUUCACAAUGAUGCUCGAAGGAACGGCGCGUACUUGGUUAAAAAACUUGCCACCCAACUCCAUCCAGACUUGGGCUGAAUUGAAAGAGCGUUUCAUUAAAAACUUCCGAGGAACUUGCAAGCAUCCAAUGACAAUUGUCGAUCUACAGCACUGCGUUCGACGCCCCGAUGAGUCGGUCCACCACUGGUCGCGGCGGGUCGCUGAAAGGAUCGAUAUGGUUGACUAGAGGGGGGGUGAAUAGGCAACGACCACUUUUUAAUUAAUCUUAGCAAGUUAGAGCAACCAACAUACGGGUUCACGAAUAUAACAACAAUGGGGAGAACCGUAAUGAUGCUAACAACGAGAGCUACUAAGACAAGUAAGAGAAAGACAACAACAUAAGCAUACACAAAGUAAAGGUUAGAGAUAACCACAAGUGGGACCAAUGAAGACGAGGAUGUGUUACCGAAGUUCCUUCCCUUUGACAGGAAGUACGUCUCCGUUGGAGCGGUGUGGAGGCACAAUGCUCCCCAAUAAGCCACUAAGGCCACCGUAUGCUCCUCACGCCCUCGCACGAUGCAAGGUACCGUGAUUCCACUAUAGGUGCCCUUUGAAGGCGGCUACUGAACCUUGACAAACAAGGUUGGGGCAAACUCCACAUAAAGCUUGGAGGCUCCCAACAAGACCACGAAGCUUCACCACAAUGGAAUGUGGCUUCGAGGUGACCUCAACCGUCUAGGAUGCUCAAACACCCAAGAGUAACAAGAUCCGCCAGGGAUUGGUGGGGGAAUCAACUUUUCUCUUGGUGGAAGUGUGGAUCUAGGCCUUCUCAACCAAUCCCUAAAGAAUCAACAAGUUUGAUUGGCUAGGGAGAGAGAUCGGGCACUUUUGAGCUUAGGGAGCAACAAUGGAGCUUGGAGGGUAAGAAAUAGGGUUCCACAGCUAGAAGAACCCUUUAUAUUGUGGGGGAGAAAAUCCAACCGUUUUCCCACUCACAGCCCGUGCCUAGAGGUACUACCGCUGGAUGCAGCGGUACUACCGCUAGCACUCCUGCGGUACUGCCGCUGGCUGCAGCGGUACUACCGCUGGGCCCCUGAUAGUGCAUAAGCACUACCACCGCCAAGAAAGUCUUCGCAAAAAGGUCCGUCCAUCCACAACCGCUAGACAGGCGGUACUAAGCUCCUGGAGCGGUACUACCGCUGACCAGGGGCGGUACUACCGCCAGCUGGCGGUACUACCGCUGGCUGCCGCGGUACUACCGCUAGCACUCCAGCGGUACUACCGCUAGGCCCAGCGGUACUACCGCUGGGGGACCAUUUGCAAAGAAGAAAGAAACACCAAGGCGGGAGCCACUCAGAAGUUGCCGGCAAGGGGGAAAAGAGGUGAAGUGUGCGCGUGCAAGAUUGAUUCCACCCAAACCUUUCCACUACGGUUCCCCUCUUAAUAGUACGGCUUUCCUAUGACUCAAAUAAAGAGAAUCGUAGAGAACACCGUGCUUCUGUUCCAUGAAAGAGGGGGGCGAGUCGUAUUGUGCCGUUGACGUGUGUUAUCUGAAAUCUUAACACACACGGUUAGUCCUUUGCGGUACUGUCAUCAAUCACCAAAAUUACUUUGGCAUAAACUGUGCCCCAACAAUCUCCCCCUUUUUGGUGGGUUGUUGACAAUACCGGAUUUGCACAGAGAAUAAUAUGAGAACAAAAAGAUAGAGAUAUAUGAAAAUAAGGAGCAUAUGACUCACACCAUAUGAUGGAAAUAAAUCUCACACAAGUUCAUAUCUCACGAAAGAUAGCAAAAUAGAAGCAAACCAAGUUCGAAGCAAAACACGAAAGAUAAGCAAAGCUAAGCAAAGUUCAACACUCAAAGCAAAUCCAGCUCCUAGACUCUCUCCCCCUUUGGCACAAGACACCAAAAAGGGGCACACCUAACGCCACAGGUGGUUACUCCUCAUCCUCAUCAUCGCCAGACUCGUCCGUAGCAUCCGGAUCGUCCUGCUCCUCUUCAUUGUCCUCUUCCUCCUCAGCGCCAGACCACUGGUAACCUUGAGCCUGCAUCCAAGCAGCCUCUGGAGUGAUGUCGUCCUCUGAUCCGCUGGAGAUGUCAACAUCAAGUGUCCUCAGGACACGCUUGUGCCUCUGACGGUUCUCCUUCUGAGCCACGUGCGUCUGAUACUGGCCCUUAGCCUGCAUACAGAAGAGAGUCUUCAUCUUAUCCUAUAGUUUCAUGGCCCAAGAUGGCAUGGCAGAAGAGCGGGACCGAGAAGCGGUUCCUUUGUCAGCAGCAGUCUCUGUGUCAGUGUCCAUGUGCUGAGAUGAAGUGGAUGGGUUGGCCCAUUUGUCCUUGACGCGAAGCUUGACAGGAUCGUGCACAAAGUAGUCAGCCUGAAUGUAUAACUCCUCCUGCGGAUAGGUGUCUUGCCACUUCUAACGGAUAUAAGCAAACAGGUAGGGCCCGUAGAUGGGAACCUUGCGCAUCAUGGUGCAGUUCGAGAGCUCAGUGGACAUCACAUCAGAAAUAUCAAGAGGGGCAGACUCCUUAGUCAUACCCUCCUCACAGAGCAGUAGCAUCUCAGCCAAAGAGCCAUGUACCUCAUCGAAGUUGCCAAUGCGAGGAAAGAGGGUGUUGCGGAAGAUCCGAUGCAUGAUGUUCAGAUGCCUGGGGAGCACACCUUUCUUCACAUAGAGUUGCUGCAAUCUGUCCUUGGCGGAGGCCCUAUCAGUGGGAGCUGCAGCAUGAGGACACGACCCAAGUGGAGUGUUAGCUCCCUGGAAAUCAACCUUGAGGAAUGCCAUGAAUUCGCGCCAAGAACCGGUCAUCUUCUGAGUCCCAGUCAUCCACACUAGGGAGCGCUCGUCAUCAAGUGAGAAGUGAACCGUGACAUAGAACUGGGCAACAACAUUGGGGUCAAAGUCUGUCUUGAAGGAGAUGAUCUCCUUAAUGCCGAGCUUGUCAAUCAGAGAGAGAGCAUCACCAAAGUAGUCCAUGUUCCGCUGAAGGUGAGCCAGGUCAAUCAACUGAACGGGGACAAAGCUCUUCUUGAAAUGGUUGAUGGUAUCACGGUAGAUCCUGCAGUGAUCCUUUGCCCAAACGUGCUCGACAUUCUUGAUCACAGCCCUCUCUUGGAGACAGUGGUUUUGGUUGCAAAACCUUAGAAAAUCCUUAGGGGGCAUGGUGCGAACAUUGACCGCCUUGUCCUUGUGAGCGGUCUUCUUGAAGGCCUGCUUUUUGGGUUGAGACCUGAAGUGGCGGAGCCCUCUAGAGCCUCUGCGUUGAGAUAAUUCUUUGACUGUGUGUCUUGUGGGGGGUUCGAGCGGCGAGCACCACCUUUGACACAAAACACACACCGAAAAAGAGCGACAAAAGGAGUCAAGGAAAUGAACAAGAAAAGGCAGAAAAGAAAACACACAUUGCCAAGCAAAUGAAAGAAUACACACAGAAUCCUCCUGGCAGUAGUACCGCUACCCCUGGCGGUAGUACUGCUGGGGUCAGAGCGGUAGUACCGCUGCCCCUGGCGGUAGUACCGCUGCCCCUGGCGGUAGUAUCGCUGGGGUUUGAUUUUUCAGAUCUGAAUAUGAAGAGAGCCCAUAGAGAUGGCCACAAGGAUUUUCCGAGGGCUACGGGCUGUGUAUAAUCACUAAGAACUCCACCACAGCCCUAACCGCAUGAGGAUCAAAAGUACCAUCUAAAGAAGGACAUGCCUAGUCAAGAGAGUGCAAGUUUUAGAUCUAAUCCAAACAUAGUCCAAGAUCUUGGUCUAAAACAUGUAAAUCCUAGGGCAUGGCAAUAUAAAAGCAAAGAUUCAUAGGACCUACACUCCCCUCGAAUACCUCCUUCAUGCCAUCCAAGAACAAAGCACGAUAUCAAAGACAUGGAUCCAAACCACCAAUGGUCCUAACCCUAGAACAAGAACAUCAACCAAGAGAAGAAGAGGAGGAGCUUUACCGGGGUCCAUGGCACUUGGAGGAGGAAGGAGAAGUGGAGCAAACCCCCCAACUCAACGGAGAGAAGGAGCUGCACGGAUAGAGAUCCAAAUAGGGGGAGUUCGGGGUUGGGGAGGGUGGAGCCGCGAGGGAGAAGAAAGAGGUAGGAAAAAAUGGGCUCCCCCUCCUUUAUAUAGCCCAAGGGGUACGGGCCAGUGGUAGUACCGCUGUGGUCCUGGCGGUAGUACCGCUGGCUGCAGCGGUAGUACGGCUGGGGUCCUCGCGGUAGUACCGCUACCCCUGGUGGUAGUACGUCUGGGGUCCUGGCGGUAGUACCGCUACCCCUCGCGGUAGUACCGCUGCAAAUGUCACAACGGGGCCUAGGAGAUGAGAAGAACGUGGGCAAAUGACAAGUAGUGAAAAUAAGAAGAUAGCACCAGCAAGAUAUACUGACUUGUCAUUUUGUAUCCUUUCUUGCAUAUGAGAGAAAGGUGGGGGCGGUGGCCGAGGCCACCUAUGUUUGAGACAAAGGUAUGACACCGCGAAGAAUUAUCCUUGGGUUCAUGACCAACGCUCGUCUUUGAAGCACAAGUGCCAUUUGGUAAUGGCUAAAGUGAAAGACUAGAUCAAUUUAUGCAUAAUGGGCGGAGGAAGAGUUCAUUGAGAGAACAACACUCCCCCUAUGUCCAUGCCUACAUCUAGAACGAGAUAAAAUGCAUAGUAAGGUGCAACGUGCCUAGCUUCAAUCCACAUUACUUGAAUCAAUGAUAUUUAGCUCAUGCCUUAACUCCCGGAACCUUGCUUCAUCUAGGGGCUUAGUGAAGAUAUCUGUAAGUUGCUCUUCAGUCUGGAUGAAGUGGACCUCAAUAUCACCUAGCUUGAUAUGUUCACGAAUGAAGUGAUGGUGAAUAUCAAUAUGCUUGGUUUUGCUAUGUUGCACUGGGUUGAGGGAAAUCUUGAUAGCACUUUGAUUGUCACAUAGAAGAGGCACUUUGUCACAAGUGACACCGUAAUCCUUUAAAGUUUGCCUCUUCCAUAGCAAUUGUGCAUAACAACUUGCAGCUGCCACAUACUCAGCUUCGGUGGAUGAUAGAGAGACGCAAUUCUGCUUCUUUGGAGACCAACUUACCAGUGACCGACCAAGGAAUUGGCAUCCUCCAGACGUUGACUUCCUCUCCACACAAUCUCCUGCCCAAUCUGAGUCAGAAUAGCCAACUAGGUUGAAGUUUGCUCCUUUGGGAUACCAUAGGCCAAAGUUUGGGGUAUGAGCCAAAUAUCGAAAGAUUCGCUUAACAGCCAUAUAAUGACUUUCUUUUCGUCCGGAUUGAAACCGUGCACAUAUCCCUACACUCAACAUAAUAUCCGGUCUAGAUGCACAAAGGUAAAGGAGGUAUCCAAUCAUGGAGCGAUAUACCUUUUGAUCCACUGCUUUACCAUUGGGAUCACUGUCAAGCUUUCAUCUUGUUGGCAUGGGGAACUUGACCAGUUUGACAUCUUCAAGCUCGAACCGUUUGAGCAUGUAUUGAGUGUACUUGGCUUGUUUGAUGAAGGUCCCUUCUAGGCCUUGUUUAAUCUCGAACCCGAGGAAGAACUUCAACUCUCCCAUCAUGGACAUCUCAAAUUUCUCAGUCAUUAGUGCAACAAAUUCUUCAUUGAAGGAAAUGUUAGGAGAGCCAAAGAUAAUAUCAUCAACAUAUAGUUGGCAUAUGAACAAAUCCCCUUUAACCCUCUUAGUAAAAAGAGUGGGAUCUAUCUUCCCAAUUUCAAACCCACGAUCUUGUAACAGCUCAGUAAGAUACUCAUACCACGCACGUGGGGCUUGUUUAAGGCCAUAGAGUGCCUUCUUAAGUUUGUACACAUGAUUGGGGAGCUUGGGAUGUUCGAAUCCCGGGGGUUGUUUGACAUAGACCAACUCAUUUAAAGGACCAUUAAGAAAGGCACUUUUCACAUCCAUUUGUUGUAAUUUGAAGUUAUGAUGAGAAGCAAAUGCAAGCAACAUGCGAAUAGAUUCUAGACGAGCCACAGGGGCAAAGGUUUCACCGUAGUCGAUACCCUCGACUUGGGAGCAGCCUUGAGCCACCAAUCUUGCCUUGUUUCGAAUCACAAUCCCAUUGGCAUCUUGCUCGUUCUUGAAUAUCCAUUUGGUCCCGAUGACAUUAUGUUCCUCCGUUGGCCUUGGUACUAAAUCCCAGACGUGGUUACGCUCGAAGUUGUUAAGUUCUUCAUGCAUGGCCAUAAGCCAAUCCUCAUCAUCGAGCGCUUCCUGUACCUGCUGAGGUUCACAAUACGAAACAAACGCGUGAUGCUGACAAUAAUUCCAAAUCUGUUGAUGGGUGGAUACUCCCCUUUUUAAGCUGCCAAGUACAUUCUUCAUAAGAUGUGACUUGACUCUCAGCUUGUUCUCAAUCUUGGCUUCUCGACGCUCCAAGAGCUCAUCAUUGGAUAACUGGGGAGCAUCGACUUGUUUACUUUGCUUGCCCUUGCGUCUUGAGCCUCCCUUGGCACCGGCUGUUGGUGCUGCAGAAGGGAAUUGUGAGACAGUAUCCUGAGCAUCUUGACUUUCGACUUGAGCAGGUUCACUUGUUUGUUCUUGUAAUUGUGGUUGCUCUUGAUCUUGAUCUUGUGCUUCUACUUGGUCUGGAUCUCGCGGUUGCACUUGAUCUUGAUCAUGAGCAGGUUCGGAGCCUUGGGUGAGCGCUUGAAUAUCAUGGGACACAUCAUCAUUGUUGGGCAAUUUAUCUUGACCUUGAGCUUGUUCAUUUUGUUGAGAGUCUUCUCUUUGUUCAUCGGAAGCGUGUGGGGCUUGUGGAGGUGAUGGCUCCAUUCGAGUAGAGCAUUGUCCUUCUCCUUCGGCCACAAGGGGUUCCUCAAUGGGGAGUAUUUGACCAAUCCCCAUUCUUCUUAUGGCUUGGGGAGGAAUUUCAUCACAUACAUCACAAACACCCCUUUGCUCCACUUGGGAGCCAUUAUUUUCAUCAAACUCCAUGUUACACGUCUCCUCAAUGAGUCCGGUGGACUUGUUGAGGACACGGUAAGCAUGAGAGUUUGUAGCAUAACCAACAAAGAUGCCCUCAUGUGCUCUAGAAUCAAAUUUAGCUAAACGUGCACCUUUCUUGAGAAUGAAACACUUACAACCGAAUACCCGGAAGUAUUUGAGAUUGGGUUUAUUCCAGUUAGAAUCUCAUAAGGAGUCUUGUUCAAGCCUUUGCGGAUAUAGAGCCGAUUGGAUGCAUGACAUGCUGUGUUGAUGGCCUCUGCCCAAAAGUUAUAUGGAGAUUUGAAUUCCGCCAUCAUUGUUCUUGCAGCGUCUAUCAAGGUCCGGUUCUUCCUUUCUGCCACGCCGUUUUGUUGAGGGGUGUAUGGUGCUGAAUAUUGAUGUUUUAUUCCCUCAUCACCUAGAAACUCAUCCAAGGUGUAGUUCUUGAACUCGGUGCCGUUGUGACUUCUAAUCAUCAAGAUCUUUGCUUCAUGUUGACGUUGAGCUUCAUUGGCAAAGUUGAUGACAAUUUGUUGAGUUUCACUCUUCCUUUUGAAGAAAUAUACCCAGGUGUAUCUUGAGUAGUCGUCAGCAAUCACCAAGCAGUACUUUCUGCCUCCAAAACUAUCAAAUGAUGGAGGGCCAAACAGAUCCAUAUGGAGGAGCUCCAAUUGCCUCUUAGUGUAGAUGAGAGUCAUUGGACGAUGAGCAGUUUCAUGAAUCUUUCCUUUAAUGCAGGCACUGCAAACACGAUCUUUGGAAAAACUCACAUUUGUUAGUCCACGAAUAUGGUCCCCUGUUAGAAGACUUUGCAAAGAUCUCAUAUUGACAUGAGCUAAACGGCGAUGCCAAAGCCAGCCCACAUCAACUUUAGCCAUUAAACUCGUCGCGGUCUUAGUGGGUCGCUUUGAGAAGUUCACCACAUAAAGACCAUUUUCGACAUAUUCAACAUAGGCUACUUUAAGAGUCUUGCUCCAUAGGAGGACCACAGUAUCAAGAUUAAAGAAUGUGGAAAAACCCAUAAUUGCAAGUUGACGAACUGAAAGUAAAUUGUAGGCAAGUGACUCAACAAGCAUGACCUUCUCAAUAGAUAACUCUUGAGAGACGACCACCUUACCAAAUCCCAAUACCUUUGACGAGGAUGCAUCGGCAAAUUGGACAUGGGUGGGCAUAGAUGGAGAAGGAUGCACAUCCACCACUAAGUCCUUGCUUCCGGUCAUAUGAUUUGUUGCUCCAGUAUCGAGCAACCAUGACACCCCACCGGAAGCAAACUCCUGCAAUAGAUCAAGGCUUGGUUUUAGGUACCCAUUUUUAAUGGGUCCUUUCAUGUUAGAGACAAGGGUCUUAGGAACCCAGAUAGCCCAUUCAAUGUACUCAUCGUAGGAACCAACAAAUCUGGCAUAAACAUGAACAUCACUAGCACGACAUAAGACAUAAGAAGAAUUGAGUUUGUCGGCUGUGUUAGUAGGAAUGGUUUUGCCCUUCUUGAGGUUGCCAUAGUCCACCAUGUUCAUGUUCACCUUCUGAGUCCCCUCACCCUCUUUGACAAAGAUGUCCAUGAGGGUAGGAGAUCGUUUGUUCCUGUUCCUCCUUUUACCUUUUGACUUGGAGGUAAGUCCAAGUCCUUCCUUUCUUACAACACCUUUGUGAGUGCUCAAGAGAUCGUUCAGGCUCUUCUCACCUUGUAUGCAUGCCACAAGGCCCUUCUCAAGUUUCUCCUUUAACUUGGCAUUUUCCUCCACAAGAUGUACAUGCUCACAACAGGGAUUAGUUGCACAAGCAUUAUCAAUUAACACAAAGGGAGGACAAGUAGAGAUCUCCUUGGUAAGCUUUGCUUGGAGUUGAUCAUGAGACUCUUUCAGAGAGAAAUGUACACCUUUCAAGACCUUGUGGGCCUUGUCAAGUGUGUCAAACUCCACUUUGAGUCUGUCAUGGCCAACCCCAAGAGCAUACUUUUCAGACUUAAGCAUAUGAGUAAGAACAACAUCAUGAUCUAGUUUAUUUUGCAUUUUAGUGCAGUCAUCGUUAUAUGACUCCUCAAGAGCCAACCGAAGAGUGCGCUCAUUUUCUAGAGCAAUAGAUAAUUCAGCAAUUUCAUCGGCAUAGUCAUGACUGUGUCCCUGAAGCUCGGAGAUGGUCUCCUCAUGAGACUCAAUGAGGUCAUUGGCCUCACCCAGUUGUUCCGAGAGAGCAACAAAGUGCUUCUUGGAUUCUCCCUUAAUAGUGCACAGAAACUUGUCAAGAUCAUGCUCAUUAAGUUCCCCAACAUCACUAUCAUCAACACAAUUUAACAAUGAAGGAGCAGUAGCGAUGUUGGUCUUAAUGAUGGGAGUUACCUGAUUGAUACCUUUUGCCAUGAGGCACUUGGUGAUGUGGUUCUCGUUGGGGGCGUUGAAGAGAGACACCUUCUGGGGAGAUGUAGUGGCAAUAGCAACAGUUGCCGUUGCCACUGCAUCAUCAUCAUCAUCAUCGCAAGGGUACUCUUCAAGGGCCACCAUCCCUUUUGGGUGAGGUUUCUUCACAAAGUUGUUCUUGAUUGGAAAUGAUUUGGUUUUGUAUUUGCGAAUGAGCUUGCCCCCGUUGUCUUCCCUUUUCUCAUAGGGACAUUCGGCCACGAAGUGGCUCACGUUACCACAGUUAUAACAUGUCCUCACUCGUUGCUUGGGUAUGAAUCCACUCGAGUUGUUCUUGGUGAAGGUGGGUCUUGAGUUCCUCUUGUUGCCCCAGAAUUGCCUUGACGCAAGAGCCAUGUGCUCAUGAUAGGCAUACUUUGUGUCUUCAGGGCAGCUCUCCUCUUCUUCAUCCUCUUCUUCUUCUUCAAACAUUGCUUUUGCUUUUAACGCAAGGUUGGGUGAAGUUGUCUUUGAGCGAACGCGAGCAAGUGCAUCGUCGGCUGUUUCGUUCAUGAUUGACAUUGCAAUAAAUUCAUCCAACACCUCACUGGAAGACAAGGAGUGGAAGUCUGGCCACUGACGAAUGACAGAUGACAUGGCUUUGUUGAAAGGCAUGAUGGCUUUGAGAAACUUGCGCUUGACCCAUGUAUCAUCCACAUCCUUGCUCCCAUGAUCCUUGAGUGCCACAACAAUAGUAGUCACCCUCCGAUAGAGAUCACGAGGGUCCUCGUCUUCCUUCAUCACAAACUCAUCGGCCUUAUCAAGUAUCAAUUCAUAGUUGGAUCUUUGAAUGCUUGAGCUUCCCUUGUACAACACCAUAAUAUGCUCCCAACAAUCCUUGGCCAAAGUGAAGGGACGCAAGUGAGGAAGAUCUUCAGGUUGCACUGCAGACUGGAGAAUAAACAAGGCGGAGUGAUUGUAUUGAUUGUCUCCAUCUUCUCUUGGAUUGAGGUUGCUUGGAUCAUGGGGAUAAUAUCCUUGCUCAAUGAUUCUCCACAAGUUUGUGGAGCUGUGAUUCAAAUGAGACUUAAUAGAAAAUACCCAGUUAGCAAAGUCACCUUUCACAAGCUUAGGAGGAGGACCAACAGGAUUAAGACGCGGUGUGGGAGCGGGUCCUCCAUAGACCAUGGGGGGUGGAACAGAGGCAUAUGUUCCAGUCCCAUCCUUUUCGUGAGAUGAGGAAGGUCGCAUACCUUUAGCCCCUUCCUUAGAGGAAUUGGCCUCCAAAUCGGUGAUGGUGGGUUUAACCACUAACGCCUGUUCGGGUGGACUUUUAAAUCCCUCAAUUAACUCUUUAAGCAUGGUCUUGACUUCGUUCGUCAAGGACGUCUUGAGGGCAUCCAUAGCCAUUUUCAAGUCGUCCCUUGUGACCGAAGUCAAGUCCAUGGCCUCGGGUUGCCCAUGGUUAAUUCCCUCUUCGCCUUCCAUACUCUUCGGGUGGUGAAACCCUCAAUAAAGAGACGUGGCUCUGAUACCAAUUGAAAGGAUCGAUAUGGUUUACUAGAGGGGGGUGAAUAGGCAACGACCACUUUUUAAUUAAUCUUAGCAAGUUAGGGCAAACAACAUACGGGUUCACGAAUAUAACAACAAUGGGGUGAACCGUAAUGAUGCUAACAACGAGAGCUACUAAGACAAGUAAGAGAAAGACAACAACAUAAGAAUACACAAAGUAAAGGUUAGAGAUAACCACAAGUGGGACCAACGAAGACGAGGAUGUGUUACCGAAGUUCCUUCCCUUUGACAGGAAGUACGUCUCCGUUGGAGCGGUGUGGAGGCACAAUGCUCCCCAAUAAGCCACUAAGGCCACCGUAUUCUCCUCACGCCCUCGCACGAUGCAAGGUACCGUGAUUCCACUAUAGGUGCACUUUGAAGGCGGCGACCGAACCUUUACAAACAAGGUUGGGGCAAACUCCACAAAAAGCUUGGAGGCUCCCAACAAGACCACGAAGCUUCACCACAAUGGAAUGUGGCUUCGAGGUGACCUCAAUCGUCUAGGAUGCUCAAACACCCAAGAGUAACAAGAUCCACAAGGGAUUGGUGGGGGAAUCAACUUUUCUCUUGGUGGAAGUGUGGAUCUAGGCCUUCUCAACCAAUUCCUAAAGAAUAAACAAGUUUGAUUGGCUAGGGAGAGAGAUCGGGCACUUUUGAGCUUAGGGAGCAACAAUGGAGCUUGGGAGGGUAAGAGAUAUGGUUCUACAGCUAGAAGAACCCUUUAUAUAGUUGCGAAGAUAAUCCAACCUUUUCCCACUCACAGCCUGUGCCUAGCGGUACUACCGUUGGAUGCAGCGGUACUACCGCUAGCACUCCAGCGGUACUACCGCUGGCUGAAGUGGUACUACCGCUGGCUACAGUGGUACUACCGCUGGCACUCCUGCGGUACUACCGCUGGCUGCAGCGGUACUACCGUUGGGCCCCUGAUAGUGCAUAAGCACUACCACCGCGAAGAAAGUCUUCGCGAAAAGGUCCGUCCAUGCACAACCGCUAGGCAGGCGGUACUAAGCUCCUGGAGCGGUAAUACCGCUGACCAGGGCGGUACUACCGCCAGCUAGCGGUACUACCGCUAGGCCCAGCGGUACUACCGCUGGGGGACCAUUUGCAAAGAAGAAAGAAACACCAAGGCGGGAGCCACUCCAAAGUUGCCGGCAAGGGGGAAAGGAGGUGAAGUGUGCGCGUGCAAGAUUGAUUCCACCCAAACCUUUCCACUACGGCUCCCCUCUUAAUAGUACGACUUUUCUAUGACUCAAAUAAAGAGAAUCGUAGAGAACGUCGUGGUUCUGUUCCACGAAAGAGGGGGGCGAGUCGUCUUGUGCUGUUGACGUGUGUUAUCUGAUAUCUUAACACACACGGUUAGUCCUUUGCGGUACUGUCAUCAAUCACCAAAAUUACUUAGGCAUAAACUGUGCCCCAACAGUCGCGGAAAUAAUUCACUCGUCGGACGGUAUUACGGCCGCUAAAGUUGUGCUGAUCCUCGAGCAGAAUUGCCACUACGAACCUUUGGUGCAAAAGUUGGGGGGACUCAAACGAAAGGUCCAAGACAUGGGGGAGCUAAUGGAUACCCUCAACAGGUACGCUGAGGCGGACGACACCAAAGAUCCCGGCAAGGAUGGUAAAGCUAACUCACCAAGGAAGGGCGAGUCAUCCAAAAAUCAUACCCGUUUCAAGGGACGCGCCGGCCACGAUCAGGGAGCGAGAAGCAAGAGAAGGCAGCAGGAAGAAUCUUCGGACUUAGUCGCCAACACCAACACCAAUAAUGGCAACCAACGCCCGAAGAAAAGCAGAGGAUACAGUGGUAAAAAGCCGCGCAACUAUAAUGAGUUACUCAAGGGCCCCUGCCCGCACCACGCCAUGGCAGACGGACCGGCGACUCAUUCCUGGGAGGACUGUUACGUGAUGCGGGAGUUUCGGGUGGAGGCGAUCAAAAAGGGGCAAAGCGGUGACCCGGACCAACGGCAGGAACAGUUCGGCGUGCCCAAUCAACGUCAGAACCCCUUCGGCGGUUUCCCUGAACCGGGGGCUCAGGGUGGCCCGCAGCCGAACAGCGGCUAAUAUCCAGUGCAUCACCAGCGACGGUAUAACCCGCCCGGAGCGUUUCAACAACCACCCCCGCAUGGGGCUUCGCAGGGGCAUGAUGAUAAUGGCGGCUUCCGCAACGAUCCCAAGCAGUUAAGCAAUGGGCAGUACCACGUUUUCACCACCAAUGCUUGUAGGCGCAAUAAAAAGGUGAGUCACCGAGCGUAUAGUGUUUCUGAGCCGGUACUGCCUAGAUACCUCCACUGAUCCGUGCAGACCAUAUCAUGGAGCAGGGAGGACCACCCGCCAAGAGUUGACAAUCUCGGCGACUUAGCGUUGGUCGUGGCUCCCCAAGUUGGGGGGUAUACCUUGUCGAAAGUACUGAUGGAUGGUGGCAGCAGCAUCAAUAUUUUGUAUUUCGACACUUUCCAAAGGAUGAACCUUUUGGAAAAAGAUUUGAUGCCUUCAUCCACGGUAUUCCACGGAAUCGUCCCAGGCAAAUCGGCGUACCCCAUAGGCCGAGUCAAGCUCACAGUUGCAUUUGGAACAUCAUCUAAUUACAGGAGUGAGUCGCUGAUGUUUGAGGUGGUCAAAUUAAAAAGGCCCUAGCAUGCGCUGUUUGGGCGGCCGGCUUACGCCCGGUUCAUGGCUCGUCCAUGCUAUGUUUACCUUAAACUCAAGAUGCCUGGUCCUUAAGGACCCGUCACGGUUGAUGGUGAUAGAAGGAUUGCAAGAGAGUGUGAAGAAGGGGACGCGGCUUACGCGGAAGUCGCGUGCGCUGCGGAGGAGCUCAAAUAUCAUCAGGCCAAUGUUGACUCGGCUGAUAUGUCACCCUUAAAAAAGCCAACGACAGAUGUUGAGCCGCAACUCAAGUUCCAACCAACGGAUGACACUGAAACGGUUGAUUUCGUCCCUGGCGACUCAACCAAGCAGUUCACUAUUGGGACGGGUCUGGAUCCCAAAUAGGAAAGCACGCUCAUGGGAUUCAUCCGUGAGAAUCGGGACAUCUUCGAUGGAAACCUUCUGACAUGCCUGGUGUGCCGAGACAAUUCGCUGAGCACCAUCUUAAUGUUGACCCAAAGGCAAAACCCAUCCAGCAAUAUCUUCGUAGGUUUAACGAGGAACGACGCAAGGCAAUCGGGGAAGAGGUUGCCCGUCUCUUGGCCGCCGGAUUAAUCGUAGAGGUUUUCCACCCCAAAUGGUUGGCUAACCCGGUCUUAGUGCUCAAGAAGAAUGCUACCUUCCAUAUGUGCAUUGAUUACACGGACCUCAACAGAGCUUGUCCAAAAGAUCCUUUCACUCUUCCCCGCAUCGACCAGAUUAUUGAUUCGGUGGCGGGAUGCGAACGUUUGUGCUUCUUGGACGCUUACUCUGGAUAUCACCAAAUCAAGAUGGUCGCGGGGGAUCAAGAGAAAACAGCUUUUAUAACCCCCUUUGGUGCUUUUUGCUAUGUGUCCAUGCCAUUUGGACUCAAGAGUGCAGGGGCGACUUAUCAGCGCUGCAUCCAGAAUUGCCUCCGUGGCCAAAUCGGAUGCAACGUCCACGCCUAUGUUGAUGACAUUGUGAUUAAAACCCGCCAGGGGGAGACGCUAUUGGAAGAUCUCAAGGAAACUUUUGAUAAUCUGCGGGUAUAUCUGAUGAAGCUAAAUCCCACCAAGUGUGUUUUUGGUGUUCCUGCAGGAGAAUUGUUGGGCUUCCUUGUGUCUGAGCGCGGCAUCGAAGCUAACCCGGACAAAAUCGAAGCAGUUACUUCCCUUGGGAAGCCAGCAAAUGUUAACCAAGUCCAACGGAUGGCAGGUCGCAUUGCGGUCUUAAGUCGCUUCAUAAGCCGCCUGGGAGAAAAGGUGAUUCCCCUUUAUCAAUUGCUAAAGAAAUCUGACCAUUUUGUUUGGACAGAUGAAGCUGAUGAAGCUUUCGAAGCCUUGAAACGGCAACUGGUCAACCCGCCGGUCUUGGCCGCCCCGACUGAGAAAGAGCCCAUGCUUUUAUAUAUUGCGGCAAACUCCAAAGCAGUAAGUGUGUCGGUGGUCGUUGAAAGGAAGGAGGAAGGAAAGGAAUACCCUGUGCAGCGCCCGGUGUAUUUUAUCAGCGAAGUGCUAACUCUUUCCAAACAACGAUACCCACAUUGGCAGAAAUUAGUGUAUGGGGUGUUUAUGGCGAGCCGAAAGCUUAAACAUUAUUUUCAAGAACAUCCCAUCACGGUGGUUAGUUCCGCCCCCCUCGGGGACAUCAUGCAGAAUCGGGAGGCAACGGGGUGGAUUGCCAAGUGGGCGAUUGAACUUGGGCCGCAUCACAUACGAUACACCCCUCGCACGGCCAUCAAAUCUCAAGCCUUGGUUGAUUUCGCCAAUGAUUGGACCGAGUUACAGGCCCCGGAAGACAGGCCUGAUCUUACAUACUGGACUAUUUAUUUUGAUGGAUCCAGACAGUUGGAAGGCUCGGCGGCUGGCGUGGUACUGGUAUCUCCUCAAGGAGACAAAUUCUGUUAUGUCCUCCGACUCAUGUUUCCAUGCACCAAAAAUGCUACAGAAUACGAAGCUUUACUUCACGGCUUGCGACUCGCCAAGGAGAUGAACCUUACGCGGGUCAGAUGUUUUGGCGACUCUGAUCUGGUGGCUCAGCAAGUUUCAGGCACUUGGGACUCUUGAGACCCCGUGAUGGCGGCUUACAGGAGGGCUGUGUCCGAUGUGGCGGGUCAUUUCCAUGGCUAUUAGGUUGAUCACAUUGACCGACGCCUUAACGAGGCGGCUGAUGCCCUUUUGUGUCUCGGUUCCCAGUGAAAGCCGGUUCCCCCCAAUGUUUUUCUGGAUACUUUGCAUAAUCCCUCCGUGAGUUUGACAUCAGAGGAGGAGUUGGUGAUACCGGACCCUGAGUCCCAGUUCGUGGUGGCUCUCCACGUUACGCCGGAUUGGGUUCUUCCCUAUCUGGCCUAUCUCGCCCAAGGCGAGUUACCUACAGAUGAAGUUUUGGCCCGCCAAAUUGUUCGGCGAAGCAUAUUCAUGGUGAUCAACAACGGCGAAUUAUAUAAUCGUAGUACCUCCGGGGUUUUUCAAUGAUGUGUUUCCUCCGAAGAAGGGUGCAUAAUUCUAAAUGAGAUUCAUUCCGGAGAUUGUGGGCAUCACGCCGGGUCACGUUCUUUGGUUUCAAAGGCGUUCCGUCAUGGUUUCUUUUGGUUGACGGCUCAUGCAGAUGCAGAGGAGAUAGUUCAUUGAUGUGAUGGAUGCCAGCGUUAGGGGCGACAGGCUCAUGUGUCGGCUCAAGAACUAAGGAUGAUUCCCAUCACUUGGCCUUUCGCAGUUUGGGGGUUAGACAUGGUUGGCCCCUUUAAGAUGUCAUCCAACAAGAAAACCCAUUUGCUGGUGGCAGUUGAUAAAUUCACCAAGUGGGUUGAGGCAGAGCCUGUUGGAGUUUGCGAUGCGGAGACGACGGUCAAAUUCUUGAAAAAAUUGAUCUUCCGGUUUGGAUAUCCGCACAGUAUCAUUACUGACAAUGGCACUAAUCUGUCUCAAGGGGCGAUGCAGGAGUUUUGCCGUCGGGAGCACAUCCGGCUUGAUGUUUCUGCGGUUGCUCACCCACAAUCUAAUGGACAGGCGGAGUGGGUGAACCAGGAAGUUUUACGGGAAAUCAAGCCCCGACUCAUGGUUCCCUUGGAAAGAACCCCGGGGUGUUGGGUUGAGGAGUUGCCUUCGGUGCUAUGGAGCAUCCGGACCACCCCGAACCGGUCCACGGGUUUUACCCCUUUCUUUCUGGUCUAUGGAGCAGAAGUUGUUCUUCCCACUGACAUAAGGCAUGACUCACCUAGAGUCGCCGCUUAUGUGGAACAGGACAACGAACUGGCGCGUCAAGACUCUUUGGAUGCCUUAGAGGAGGCACGUGAUUUGGCUGCAGCCCGAUCGGCCAUUUAUCAGCAGGACUUACGGCGUUAUCACAGCCGUCGGGUCAAGAGACGAACCUUUCAGGAAGGCGACUUAGUGCUUCGGCUGAUACAAGAUCGUGCUGGCAUGCAUAAGUUAUCACCACCAUGGGAAGGACCGUUCGUCGUCAGCAAAAAUCUUCACAACGGGUCUUACUAUCUGGUGGAUCUCCGGCCUAACUGGCCAACCACGGAGGUUGAGUUGACUCGCCCCUGGAAUAUUGCCCACUUGCGGCCUUAUUACACUUGAGCUCUUAAGCUCUACAUUUUGUAAGUUUUUCAUUUCUUAUAAAGCAAUAAAAUUAAACGCCUCCCGACUUGGGGGCUUCCUCUCACUGAGAUCAGCUUUAUUACCCAUUUGGCCUGCGAAAAAUUACUGCGUUACAAGUGGUUAUACUCGACUGUGUGUUGGCCGAAUCGCCAUAUGGACUCAUGAACUCUUGGCGAGUUAUUCCGCUAAUGGACCAUGAACAUGCUUUGGUUAAAACAUGUCUGGUACCGGCAAGCGCCUCACAUGGAAAAUAGAGAAACCAUUGGUUCAUUGUACCCGCUUGACUCAAGCUUGACUUGUGCCUGAUCAGCCGGUCUAAAUACUUGGGCUUUUGAUACAAAAGUCUCCUUUGGGUGGCGCUUGAGCUUGUUUAACUCGCCAUAUCCUGUCGCGACCUUAUGAGCCGACGAAAUUGUUAUUUUUUUACCUCCCUUGGCUGGUGCUUGAGCUUGUUUAACUCGCCCUAUCCUGUCGCAACCUUAUGAGCCGACGAUAUUAUUAUUUUGGGUGGCGCUUGAGCUUGUUUGACUCGCCCUAUCCUGUCGCGACCUUAUGAGCCGAUGAAAUUGCUAUUUUUUACCUCCCUGGCAUUGCCACAAGGUUUUUUAGACUUUUUUUUCCUGACUCGCCUCAAAAUAUCUUGGGGCGAUUGCUAUUUGUUAUCACCUAUUACUCACUGAGAUGGUUUGAUAUAUGUUUUCAAGUUUAGAACAGGUUGAUGAUCAUAAUCACUCUAGCCAUGGCGGAUCAAGCAUCAUAACAACGCCUCAAUGGAGGAUCAAGUAUUAUGAUAAAAGCCUCAAACGGCAGAUCAAGUAUUUCAAAACGCCUUAAAGGCGACAUAAGGGUUUUUAAGAUAUCACAGAAGCAGUUUUCAUUCCUAAAGAGACCUAUUACAUGCCUCUCAUGGCCAAAUCAAUGAGGUGUUAUUCUGCUGAUGCCCUUGGCUCAGCUUGCUGCGAGCUUUGGCCAACUUCAAUUUGCAACUCGCCCAGUACCCAGUUACAUUUGGAUAAUGCGGCGAACUCAUCUUCAUCGCUCAGAACUGAUGAGAGAUCUGCGUCCAAGUCAAAAGGAUUCUUGGGUCGAUGCGGAGUUAAGCUGGUCAUCACAAAGGUUGGCGGGUUAACCUUCUUGUUUUUGUUGUCGUAGGCGGCUUGGUAUUUUGAUAAAUCUAGGCUAGCAGCAAGCUGAGUCGCCGCCAAACGGGAGUCCUUGACAACACGUUGAUAGUCCUCUUCAGCGAAUUCUGACCCAUCAUCCUUGAGUUGAGGAAAGUCCGCCGCUACUUCUUCUGGGUUUAUCUCUGGAGCAUAUGCUAAGCACCGACUCAGAGUGGUCAGUGCUCCUUUCUGGGCGGCUGAAUGAGUUAACUCGCCAAUUUGGGGAGGAAGAGUGGAUAAGAAGCCAAGCAUCUUCUUUAUUGAUGUUAUAGGUUCCUUGGCGCCCAUCACUGCUUUCAUAGUCAGCACACUCCCGGUAUAUAGCUGCUCCGUCAACGUGUAAAUCGCCUUCAGCAUCAGGACGCAAUCAUCCUGAAGGUUGGCGGCUCUCGGACCUGUAUAAGAGGUAAUGAUAGUCAGCUAUUUAUAUAAAGCUAUUGGUUUACAAAUGUCAAGAGUUGAUUUUUACCGAAGACAGCUUGCGCCAUGUUUGAGAUGUGUCGCUUUAAGCCGGACAGCUCCUGUUGCACAGUGUCCAACUUGGCUUCAGCUUUUUUUGCUCUCUUUGUUAAAGCAUCUUNNNNNNNNNNNNNNNNNNNNNNNNNNNNNNNNNNNNNNNNNNNNNNNNNNNNNNNNNNNNNNNNNNNNNNNNNNNNNNNNNNNNNNNNNNNNNNNNNNNNCCACUGUGCUGGAAAGCUACGUCCUGCUUUGGUUUCUAUUGAUGUGGUUUCGAUUACAAGGAGGGCGUAACUCGCCAAACCUAGCACCCGAUGAUUUCUAACUUGUCCUCUUCUUCCCUGGGACUCGCCUUUAUAUACAGGUCGAACCCUUAGGGUUUACAAGGGUACUUUCCUUCCUACAAAUCGUAACCCCUGCAGUCUCUAAGUCGUUGACCUUCAAAGCUUGGAGACCUUCUGGAAAUCAUAAACCGCCAUACGACCUUGAUCUGACGAGGCCAAGGCCCAAACCACGCUCAGGUGAAUCGCCUGAUUUGGUGACCCGGCCCAACUAGGGCGGGUUAUUAACAGGUAAUAUCCCCAACAUUAGGCCCUAGAUUGACUUGAACUCUUUUCACGCCAAUAUUUCUGCUCAGUUAAAGGCAAUUUAUUCUUCAUUCUUCUCCACACAUCAGAAAUUGUAACCCGCCAUCUGGCGCUGAAAAUCUUUAAGUCGCCAAACCAUUUCUCGUCGGCAUCUUCUUAUCCCUUGAAUUCCGGGAAGACUGACAUAAUCCCAACGGAUCCUGGUGCAUCAUUAUCCCAAAAUUUUCGGAACGCCAUUAUAGCGAAUCUUUUUUAUCCCCAGGCGGUUCCCGCUCACGGCGCCUCGAUUCCAGCGCCCGUCCUGUUGAAUAGGUGGGGGGGGACAGGACUGGCGCUUCCCACCUACGAGUCUCAUCAAUCUCCUCCCCAUUAUCAAAGCGAGGAAACCUUACCGCCUCCCGAGGGCUCCGCCGCUGACCGCACUUCCUGUCUUCGCGCGAAAGCUUCGGCGCCGCCCAUAGACCUUCGCCGUCGUCAAGCUUUGCACCGCGGCCGAUCUGCUCGCCGCCAUUGACCACCGCGUCGCCGUCGACCACCUCGCCGUUUGCCAAGCACUCCGUCGCCACCGAAGAUCUCUUCGCUCGACAAGACUUUCGUGUUUCUCCAACAGCCUCUGUCGCCGUCGACCACUCCCGACCGAAAGCAUCAGGUUAGGCCACCGCCCAUUUAAGAACAGAUCCAAUCUUUGUUCGAGGUUCCAACAUCACCAUGUUCUAGAUGUUCUUCGUGAGUAUUUGUUACCUGUCCUUGACUGAUUAACGCAAAUGUCGACGAGAUAGCCAAUGUUUUUAAUACCUUCAUUUAUCCGCUCUUAACUUGCAAGUCUAGAAUAAUGUUUCGUGAAACGAACGAUAUCACCUUAUCCUGGCAGUAAAUUGCUGCAUCCAGUCAUUUUUCUCAUGUUUUUUCAUCUAUCCAGUAGAUCCACAAUUUACCCACUCAUUGCGUAAAGCUGUUUGUAGUCUCCACACUUCACUAUUUUGAACAAACGUCUCCGACACCUUUAGAACAUAGCUCUCGUGAAUAGCCAAACUUCGUAAGUCGCCAUAGCAACCGAACCCGGAUCUUUAUAUGGCGGGUCAAGGUUUUUCCCUCAGUCCGUCAACAAAUUACUUGGCGAGUCAAAUGAACUUAUUUCACCCCUUGCGGUAGAUGUUCAAGGUGUGCAAAUUCACCCGUACUUUACUCCUUUGUAGCAUGGGCACCGUCUUCAAAAGUGAGUGGCUCCCUACCAAAGUCGACGACACCAUACUAGCAGACUAUGUGAAAACGGGUAACUUGGACCCUCAGAAUGUUAUCGGUUGGCGUACCGGGUUCGGAGAGGAUCUCCCCAACCCCAAAGAAGGGGAUAUCGUCCUUUUCAUUGAACACCUUGAGCGAGGUUUUAAGCCGCCCGGAUCAAAGUUUCUUAGAGAAGCUAUGGCUUUCAUGAACGUCCGCCUCCAGGAUCUGGGACCUAACUCGAUAAGUAACCUAUGCCAGUUCCAAGUGUUCUAUGAGGCUUAUCUGCGGAUUGAACCCUCAGUUCCCUUAUUCUGGCACUUUUUCCGCCUAAAUCGCCAAACGGAAUUUCAAAACGGCCCCAGCCUGGAACUUGGCGGUGUCAAUGUUCAGCGCCGCAGGGAUAGCCCGUUUCCCUCACUCGCCAUGCCAAGCCAUCCCAAAGGCUUGGGCGAGUCUUGGUUCUAUUGUCGAGAGACCUCACCUGCAGGCGAAAACAUGCUUCUGGGCUAUAGGAAAGAUCGCCUUCCAAUGAAUUUCAAGCUUCCGGACAAGCUCACCGAGGAGUAGGAAUCAGAUUUCAUCCCAGUAUUGUCCGAGUUAAGAUCUUUGACAAACAACGGCCUUACUGGGUCGACUUGAUCCGCUGCUGGGUCGAAUGGCGCAUCCUCCCUCUGAAUCGCCGGGACGGGCUAAUGUGCGAAUUUGAUGGCACCUUAGAUCAUCCUCAAUGUUAUUUCCAUACGGCUUUAACGGAAACGGAUAUUAUCACCAUCAUCAAGAAGCUGACUGGCGAGCCUGCGGGAAAAUGCGGCCAAAUCGGCCUCAAGCCUUUCUGCAAAAUUAAUCCGGCGCCCAAGGUAAGCAAAUUUAAACCGCCUUUUGUCUUUACUUCUUAUGUUUCAUUUGAAUUGUGGCCUUUUGUAACAUAUGCCAUUUCAGAAAGGUGAUAAAUUUUGGUCCAAGAAACCCAAAAGGCCAGCCAUGAAGCAUGCUAAGCCGCCCCCAAAGAAAACCAAGGGCAAUGGCAAAGCUGCUGCGGCCGAGCCAUCCGAAGCCGAUGAAUCUCAAGUCGGCGAUGCACCUUCAGAGGUAAAAACCUAUCCUCUUUUCACUCGCCAUCCACUACUGUUAACUUUGUAUUUAUAUCUCUGCCUCUCUUGAAUAGAAUGAAGACAACGAAAGCCAGGAGGAUUCUGUAGAGGUAAUUUCUGUUUCCUCCAAUUCAUCUGCUUCUCCACCUAAUCCGCCCAGGCGAAUUUGUGGGAAAGUUCCCUUCUCACAUCCAAAUGCUUGUUUGGACCCAAAUUUCCUACUGAAGAAAGCAAGUCAUUCCGGUGAUCUGGUGUCCGGCUUACCAGCAAAGAACAAGAGGAAACCAAAUGAGGUACCCCUGAACAAUAAUUCUUCAUGUUUCUUUGGAUCACAUCUGUAACCCGCCUAUAUCUUUGACGUAUAAUUCUUGGAGAACUCUCCUCCUACAUCUGGCGAAUCAGUAAUGUCGAUACUUUCGCCAAUGAUUUGAGUCCCUGGGUAAGUCUUUUGAUAAUUUUACUUUGAAUCUGAAGGUGAUAAACUUUCAGUUUCUUUAAUGCGCUUCUCCCCUCUUUUAGGGCACAGGCCAAGAAAAGGAAAACCGGCGGGUCAACUCCUGUCAUAAUUUCAGAGCCCAUCAAAGAGUCAGUGCCGAUCCAAGAUAACCCGGAUCAAGGCGAGCCCGAAAAUCAAAUGGAUCUUCCAAACUCGCCCAAGGAAACAAUGAAUGCCCCUAAGCCGCCAAGUCCAUUGAUGACAGCAGAAGACCCGGAUGCUGUAGUUAUCACUGGUACCAGCUUCUCCAAACCGGCGACAACGAUUUUGUCAAAGCAUGUGACAUCCUCCUCUCAAACCAUUCCUGAGUCUGGGCUCUCCAAGGCUAAGCUUUCUUAAUAUGAACAUCUGGAAUUCAAAGAACUCUGCUCUGGUUUUGCAAGUCGCCUGGAGGCGAGUUAUGAGCUGGAGAAAAGCCUGCUCCGGAUGCUAAAAAAUAACAAUGAGGUAAGCUUUGUUAUAUUAUAUUACUCCCAUUAAGCCCCAAGGGUCGGGUCAUCAGUAAAAAAGAUGAGCCGGGUCUUGAUAAAUUUAGAAAAACUUUCGACCAAUAACCCCCAAGGGCCGGGUCAUCAAUAAAAAGAUGAGCCGGGUCUUGAUAAAUUUAGAAAAACUUUCGACUAGUAACCCCCAAGGGCCGGGUCAUCAGAAAAAAGAUGAGCCGGGUCUUGAUAUUGUAUAAUUUUAUCGGAAAAAAUUAUACAUUAGCCCCCAAGUGUCAGGGUAUUGCUUGCAAUAGUUCUGAGACUUGCCCCUUAUUAUGUACUUUCAACAGGAAACUCUUGCUCAGACUGAAUCGGCGAUUGGCGAUUUAAACAAAAACUUAUCUGAUUAGCAAGAUGCCCGAACUAAGUCGGAGGAGAAGUAUCAAUUGGUCCUGUCUGAGAUGGAAAAACUCAAAGCCGAUUUAAAAAGAGCUCAAGCUGACCAGGAUGCUGCAACAAAAAGAGCAGAGAAGGCUGAAGCCAGGCUGGCUACUGUGCAACAAGAAUUGUCCGGCUUGAAGCGUCAUAUCUCAAACAUGGCGCGAGCCGUCUUUGGUAAACGACUCAAACUUUUGAUCUCUUUUUUACCAAUAACUCUUAUUGUAAGUCGCUGAUUAUCAUGACCCCUUACACAGGUCCGAGAGCCGCCAACCUUCAGGAUGAUUGCGUGCUGAUGUUGAAGGCGAUUUACAUGCUGACAGAGCAGCUGUACACCGACAGUGUAUUAACUGUUAAAGCUGUGAUGGGUGCCAAGGAUCCUAUAACUUCCAUAAAGAAGAUGCUUGGCUGCCUAUCUAUGCUUCCCCCUCAGAUUGGCGAGUUGACUCGGUCAGCAGCCCGGAAGGGGGUACUGACUAACUUAAGUCGCUGGUUGGCGUAUGCUUCAGAGAUCAACCCGGAAGAGGUAGCGGCAGGCUUUCCUCAACUUGCUGCUAAGGACUCCCGGCUGGCGGCGACCCAACUUGUUGCAAGUCUGGAUUUAUCAAAGUAUCGGGCUGCUUAUGACAGCAAGAACAAGAAGGUCAACCCGCCAACCUUUGUGACGACCAGCUUAACUCCACGGCGACCCAAGAACCCUUUUAACUUGGAAGCAGAUCUGGCAUCAAUCCUGACCGAUGAAGAUGACUUCGCGGCUCUGGCCAAGUGUGACUGGGUACUGGGUGACUUGCAAAUUGAGGUCGGCCAAAGCUCGCAGCAAAAUGAUCCGAAGGCGCCAGCAGAAUAAACUUCAUCGAUUUGGCCUGAGAGCCAUGUAAUAGGUCUUUUUCAUAAGUCGGUACUGUUUUUUGGAUACUCUCGAAAGAAUCUUUAUAUCGCCCUUAAGGCGAUUUGAAAUAUUUGAUCCGCCGUUUGAAAAUCCUUUAUAAUGCUUAAUCCGCCAUGGAUGAAGUGAUUUUGAUCAUCAACCUGGUUUAAGCUUGAAAAAACAUAUGUGAAACCAAAUAAAUGACAACAAAUAUUUUCAAGAUGAAUCAGGAAAAAGGUUUUGAAACCCUCGUGGCCAUGCCAUGAAGGAAAAUAAAAACAACAAUUUCGUCGGCUCAUAAGGUCACGACAGGAUGGGUCGAGUCAAAAAACUCAAGCGCCACCCUAGAUGAUGGUUUCGUCGGCUCAUAAGGUCGCGACAGGAUGGGGCGAGUCAGAAAGCUCGAGCACACACCCUAAGAUGAUGGUUUCGUCGGCUCAUAAGGUAGCGACGGGAUGGGGCAAGUCAGAAAGCUCGAGCACACACCCUAAAAUGAUGAUUCUGUCGGCUCAUAAGGUCGCAACUGGAUGACAAAAUUGAGUUUUAAUGAAGAAGCCCCCAAGUCGGGGAGCAUUUUUAAUUUUAUUACUUCAUAAUGAAACUGAAAAACUUACAAAAUGCAGAGCUUAAGAGCUCAAGUAUAAUAAGGCCGCAAGUGGGCAAUAUUCCAGGGGCGAGUUGACUCAGCCUCCGUGGUUGGCCGGUUAGGCCGAAGAUCCACCAGAUAAUAAGAGCCAUUGCGGAGAUUCUUGCUGACGACGAACGGUCCUUCCCAUGGUGGUGACAACUUAUGCAUGCCAGCACGAUCUUGUAUCAACCGAAGAACCAAGUCGCCUUCCUGAAAGGUCCGGCUCUUAACCCGGCGGUUGUGAUAACACCGUAGAUCCUGCUGAUAGAUGGCUGAACGGGCCGCAGCCAGGUCACGUGCCUCCUCUAAGGCAUCCAAGGAGUCUUGACGCGCCAGCUCAUUGUCUUGCUCCACAUAUGCGGCGACUCUAGGUUUGUCAUGCCUUAUAUCAGUAGGAAGAACGGCUUCUGCUCCGUAGACCAGAAAGAAAGGGGUCAAACCUGUGGACCGGUUCAGGGUGGUCCGGAUACUCCACAGUACUGAAGGUAAUUCUUCAACCCAACACCCUGGGGCUUUCUCCAGGGGAACCAUGAGUCGGGGCUUAAUUCCUCGCAAAUCCUCCUGAUUCGCCCGUUCCGCCUGCCCGUUAGAUUGCGGGUGAGCGACUGAAGAAACAUCAAGCCGGAUAUGUUCUCGACGGCAAAACUCCUGCAUCGCCACUUGGGACAAGUUAGUACCAUUAUGAGUAAUGAUACUGUGCGGAUAUCCAAACCGGAAGAUCAGCUUUUUCAAGAAUUUGACCGCUGUCUCUGCAUCGCAAGCUCCAAUAGGUUCUGCCUCACCCCACUUGGUGACCUUAUCAAUCGCCACCAGCAGAUGGGUCUUCUUGUUAGAGGACAUUUUAAAGGGGCCGGCCAUGUCUAACCCCGAAACCGCAAAAGGCCAAGUGAUGGGGAUCAUUCUUAAUUCUUGAGCCGACACAUCAGCCUGUCGCCCAUAACGCUGGCAUCCUUUGCACCGACGAACUAUAUCUUCCGCAUCUGCAUGAGCCGUCAGCCAAAAGAAACCAUGACGGGAAGCCUUUGACACCAAAGAGCGUGACCCGGCAUGAUGCCCACAGUCUCCGGAAUGAAUGUCAUUUAAGAUUAUGCAUCCUUCUUCGGAGGAAACGCAUCGUUGAAAAACUCCAGAGGCGCUCCGCUUAUAUAACUCGCCAUUGAUGAUGACCAUGGAUUUGUUGCGCCGAACGAUUUGACGAGCCAAAACUUCGUCUGUUGGUAACGCGCCCCGGGCGAGAUAAGCCAGAUAAGGAAGAACCCAAUCCGGCGUGAUGUGGCGAGCCGCCACGAGCUGAGACUCAGGAUCUGGUAUUGCCAACUCCUCCUCCGAUGGUAGAAUCACGGAUGGUUUAUGCAAAAUAUCUAGAAAAACAUUGGGAGGAACUGGCUUUCGCUGGGAACCAAGUCGUGAGAGGGCGUCAGCUGCCUCGUUGAGGCGCCGAUCAAUGUGGUCAACGUGAUAACCAUGAAAAUUACCCACCACAUCACACACAACUCUUUUGUAAGCCGCCAUCAUGGGGUCCCGAGAAUCCCAGGUACCCGAAACUUGCUGCGCCACCAAAUCAGAGUCGCCAAAACACCUGACUCGCGUUAGAUUCAUCUCCUUGGCGAGUCGCAAGCCGUGAAGCAAAGCUUCGUAUUCUGCAGCAUUGUUAGUGCACGGAAACAUGAGUCGGAGAACAUAACAGAAUUUAUCUCCUUGAGGGGAUACCAAUACCACACCAGCCCCCGAGCCUUCCAGCUGCCUAGAUCCAUCAAAAUAAAUAGUCCAGUAAGUGAGAUCAGGCCUGUCUUCCGGAGCCUGCAACUCCAUCCAAUCGUUGACGAAAUCAACUAAAGCCUGAGACUUGAUGGCUGUGCGGGGGGUGUACUGUACGUGAUGCGGCCCAAGUCCAAUUGCCCACUUGGCAAUCCGCCCUGUUGCCUCCCGAUUCUGGAUGAUGUCCCCAAGGGGGGUAGCGCUAACCACUGUGAUAGGGUGUUCUUAGAAAUAAUGCUUAAGUUUCCGACUCGCCAUAAACACCCCAUAUACCAACUUCUGCCAGUGUGGGUACCGUUGCUUGGAAAGGGUUAGCACCUCGCUGAUAAAAUACAUCGAGCGUUGCACUGGGUAUUCCUUCCCUUCCUCCUUUCUUUCAACAACCACUGCCACACUUACUGCUUUGGAAUUUGCCGCGAUAUACAGAAGCAUGGGCUCUUUUUCAGUCGGGGCGGCCAGGACCGGCGUGUUAACCAAUUGGCGUUUCAGGGCUUCGAGCGCCUCAUCUGCCUAAUUCGUUCAAACAAACCGAUCAGAUUUCUUUAGUAACUGAUAAAGAGGAAUCGCCUUUUCACCUAGGCGACUUACGAAGCGACUUAGAGCCGCAAUGCGACCCGCCAGUCGUUGAACUUGAUUAACGUUCGCCGGCUUUCCAAGGGAUGUAACUGUUUCGAUUUUGUCCGGGUUAGCUUCAAUGCCGCGCUCUGAUACCAGGAAGCCCAAGAAUUUCCCUGCAGACACACCAAAAACACAUUUGGUGGGAUUCAGCUUCAUCUGAUAUGCCCGUAGAUUAUCGAAAGUUUCCUUGAGAUCCUCUAGUAGUGUCUCCCCCUGGCGGGUUUUGAUCACAAUAUCGCCGACAUAGGCGUGGACGUUGCGACCGAUUUGGUUGCGAAGGCAAUUCUGGAUGCAGCGCUGAUAUGUCGCCCCCGCACUCUUGAGUCCAAAAGGCAUGGACACAUAGCAAAAGGCCCCGUAGGGGGUUAUAAAAGUUGUUUUAUCCUGAUCCUCCACGGCCAUCUUGAUCUGGUGAUAUCCUGAGUAGGCGUCCAAAAAGCACAAUCGUUCGCAUCCCGCCACCGAGUCAAUGAUCUGGUUGAUGCGGGGAAGAGCGAAGGGAUCUUUUGGACAACCUCCGUUGAGGUCCGUGUAGUCAAUGCACAUACGGAAAGUACCGUUCUUCUUGAGUACCAAAACCGGGUUAGCCAGCCAUUUGGGGUGGAAAACUUCCAUGAUGAAUCCGGUGGCUAAGCGACGGGCGACCUCUUCCCCGAUCGCCUUGCGUCGCUCCUCGUUAAACCUGCGAAGGUACUGCUGGAUGGGUUUUGCCAUUGGGUCAACAUUAAGAUGGUGCUCAGAAGGUUUCCAUGCAAAGAUGUCCCGAUUCUCACGGAUGAAUUCGAUGAGCGCGCUUUCCUAUUUGGGGUCCAGACCCGUCCCAAUGGUGAACUGCUUGGAUGAAUCGCCGGGAACGAAAUCGAUUGUCUUAGUGUCAUCCUUUGGCUAGAACUUGAGGGGUGACUCAGCAUCUGUCGUUGGCUUCUUUAGGGGUGACAUGUCCGCCGGGUCAACAUUGGCCCGAUGGUGUUUGAGCUCCUCUGCAGCGCAGGCAACUUCCGCAUAAGACACGUCCCCUUCUUCACAUUCCUUUGCAAUCCUUCUAUCCCCAUCAACCGUGAUAGGUCCUUUGGGACCAGGCAUCUUGAGCUUAAGGUAAACAUAGCACGGGCGAGCCAUGAAACGGGCGUAAGCCGGCCGCCCGAAUAACGCAUGCUAGGGACUUUUCAAUUUGACCACCUCGAAUAUCAGUGACUCGGACCUGUAAUUAUGCGAUGUUACAAACGCCACUGUGAGUCUGACUCGGCCUAUGGGGUAGGCCGACUUGCCCGGGACGAUUCCGUGGAAAACCGUGGUUGGAGGCAUCAGGUCCUUUUCCAAUAGGUUCAUCCUUUGGAAAGUGUCAAAAUAUAAGAUAUUAAUGCUGCUGCCACCAUCCAUUAGCACUUUGGACAGGGUGUAACCCCCAACUUGGGGAGCCACGACCAACGCUAAAUCGCCAGGGUUGUCAACUCUUGGCGGGUGAUCCUCCCUACUCCACGAUAUGGUCUGUUCAGACCAAUGCAGGUAUCUAGGAAGCGCCGGUUCAGACACAUUGUACGUCCGGUGACUCACCUUCUUAUCGUGCCUGCAAGCAUUGGUGUGUGAAAACGUGAUACUGCCCAUUACUUAACGGUUUGGGGUUGCUGCGGAAACCCCCGUUAUCAUCCUGACCCUGCGGAGCCCCCUGUGGGGGUGGCUGCUGAAAGGCUCCUGGCGGGUUAUACCGCCGCUGGUGGUGCACCGGGUGCUGGCCGUCGCUUGGCUGUGGGCCUCCCUGAGGCCCCUGUUCGGGAAAACCGCCGAAGGGGUUCUGCCGUUGGUUGGGUGCGGCAAACUGCUCCUGGCGCUGGUCCAGGUCAUCGUUUUGACUUUUCUUGAUCGCCUCUGCCCGAAACUCCCGCAUUACGAAGCAGUUCUCCCAGGAGUGAGUCGCCGGACCGUCUGCCGUGGCAUGGUGCGGGCAAGGGCCUUUGAGUAGCUCUUCAUAGUUACGCGGCCUCUUCCCGCUAAACCCCCUGUUUUUCUUCUGGCGUUGGUUGCCAUUGUUGGCGUUGGUAUUGGCGACUAAAUCCGAGGGCUCCUCUUGCGGUCUUCGCUUGCCAAUGGCCCCUUGAUUGUGGCGGUUAUGUCCCUGGAACCGGGUAUGGUUUUUGGAUGACUCGCCCUUCUUGGGCGAAUUAGCCUUACCAUCCUCACCAGGAUCUUUGGUGUCAUCUGCUUCAGCGUACCUAGUGAGGGUGUCCAUCAGCUCUCCCAUGUCUUGGACCUUUCGCUUGAGUUGCCCCAAUUUUUGCACCAAGGGUUCGUAAUGGCAAUUCUGCUCGAGGAUUAGCACAGCCUGAGCCGCCGUAAUACCAUCUGACGAAUGGAUAAUUUCCGCAACCCGCCAUGACCAAUGGUGAGCCGACUCAUCUGGGCGCUGAACACAGUGCUGUAGAUCGACGAUCGUCAUCGGACGCUUGCAAGUUCCUCGGAAGUUUUUGAUGAAACGCUCUUUCAACUCGGCCCAGGUCUGGAUGGAGUUGGGCGGUAAGUUUUUCAACCAAGUACGCGCUGACCCUUCGAGCAUCAUCGUGAAGUAUCUGGCGCAAACCGCCUCGUUUACGUCGAGCAUGUCCAUGGCGAUUUCAUAACUCCCGACCCACGAUGUCGGCUCAAUGUCCGGGGUGUAGUUAGGCACCUUUCUUGGUCCCUUAAAAUAUUUGGGCAUCCUUUCUUUACGAAGGGCGGGGGCCAAGCAUGGGACCCCCAAUCGCCCACCGCCCCCGAUGAGGGGGGCCGGGGCGACUUGGUUGUUCAGGAGAUCCCGGCCCGGCGGGUUCUGAUGAUCAGGCGGGUUGUCCUGUGGGACGGGUCGCGGCCCGCUGUUCACGGCGGGCUGGUCCUCUGGCCGACUCCUGGUGUAACUUGCCUGGGGAGUGGGAUGCAGCCUCUCUAGGCUAUGUGAGAACUGGGCGUUUUGAACCACCGCCGUCUUCAACAUCUCAAUAGCGUUCCUUGCUUCUAUCUCGGGAGGAGUGUUGCCGUGAAUCGGAAGAGAUUCCAGAUGGCGAGUUGCGGCAAGGACGUUGUCCACCGGGUUGGAAAAGUGUCCUUGAGGCAUCCGGAAUCAGGGAAUGCGAUCCUCAGCCGUCUGAACCGUCGGGUUAGGCGGUUCACCCGGUCCUCCUCCUGGGGCGGCUCCCGCCCCUGGGGUUCGUGGAGUGUCGAACAGGCGGGUCGGGUUGAGAUCAUGGGGCAGGCGACCUUGGUGUCUCCGUUGAUGGACGGUGUCGGAUGCGCGCUGGUGUCUUUUGAGCCACCAGUUGUCAGUAUUUAAGUGCAUCCUUUCGGCCGCAAUUUGAGCUUGCCGAGUCUCGAUCCUGGCGAACUCCACCUCGGCAUCCCGAUGAGCCUUUGCCACUGCCUCUGUGAGUUUCGGCAGCUCCGCGUUUAUCUCCUCCUAGUUUUCUGGUGUGAGGGGAGUCGCCAUCAGCCUUGUGAUCUCCGCCGCUAAAUCCACCAGGACAGUGGCCGGGCUUCAAGACGUCUCGCCGGUUCCAUCGCCUCCUGUGGGGUUUUGCGAUGGUUGAGUCGCCCCCGCCAUGUAAAUGACGAUCUGGCGGCGGGUUCGGUAAAGGACUUCGGGGUCCAUGGCCAGCGACAAGCCCCCAAGAGAAUCCCCAUGUAGAGACCGGAUUGAAUCUGAAUCGCCCAUGGAUGAUUCAUCAUCAGAGUUGACCAGUGUAGUUUCCUGAGUCGCCGAGCGCUCUGUCUCCUCCAAUCCCUGCGUGAACCCCACAAAGACCGGGCGAGUCAUAUUUGGCAUCACUACUCGCCGGACGUACCUGGCCGGCUCGACGAUGUCGGUGGAGAUGUCCGGCUCAGGCACGGAUGAUCCGAUCAUGCCGAUGAAGAUGUUGAUCUUGCCGAAGGGGACCCUGUACGUGUAACUCCCAAACCGAAUCGAUCGAAUCCACUUCGGGCCCCCAUUGCUGGUUGUCGAUGUAGGUCUUCCCGCGGCGGCUCCGGGUCAUGAGCCCCGUCGCGUAACUCCCAAACCCUGGUAGGGCUCCCUUUGAGAACUCAACUCCAUCGUGCGUAGGCCCCACGGUGGGCGCCAACUGUCGUGGUUUUGUCACGGUAGAUGUCCUCGUGAAAGGACUUAGUACUGGAGCCAUCGCACCUUGGUGGCGACUCAAAGGGGUUAAGCGGGAGAGACACGGCGAUUUACCCAGGUUCGGCCCCUCGUGAGGAGGUAAAGGCCUACGUCCUGCUUUGGUUUGCAUUGAUGUGGUUUCGAUUACAAGGAGGGCGUAACUCGCCAAACCUAGCACUCGAUGAUUUCUAACUUGUCCUCUUCUUCCCUGGGACUCGCCUUUAUAUACAGGUCGAACCCUUAGGGUUUACAAGGGUACUUUCCUUCCUACAAAUCGUAACCCCUGUGGUCUCAAAGUCGAUGUCCUUCAAAGCUUGGAUACCUUCCGGAAAUCAUAAACCGCCAUACGACCUUGAUCUGACCAGGCCAAGGCCCAAACCACGCUCAGGUGAAUCGCCUGAUUUGGUGACCCGGCCCAACUAGGGCGGGUUAUUAACAGGUAAUAUCCCCAACAGCUAGCGUACAAUCUCCCCUCCUAUCCUCGCACCUAGUGGAAGGACACUCCGCCCUCCUCGUCGGCAGAUGUACAACCGACGUCCAUGGUGGCGCGAACCUCCUCUUCUUGCUUCUGGAGGGAGCCAAUUCCAUGUCCGUUGCAGUGUUCGCGGAGCCUCCGCUGAAGCUCUAUGUGUAGUGGAUCUGUAAAGAGUUUUAGGGUUUUAUGAUAUCGCCCUUCUAUUUUUGAAGUAUCAUAUGUAUACAUAAAAUUAUUAAAUGAGACUAGCAAUGGAUUGACGGCUAGAUGAGACAUUCUUGCAAAGAAGCAGAGUGCCUCGAUAACCCACACGUGUGUGCCCAUAUAUGCUUCCCUGCGGUGCCCGUACGGGCUUCACACCCGUGGAGAUAUAGGUUCAUACCCAUGCCGAUAUAGGUUCACACCCGUGCAUGUAGGGGCUUGUAACCCGUGUGUAUAGAGGCUUCCCCACCGUUCAUGUAUAGGCUUCAAUCCCGUGGGUGUAGAGGCUUCACUCCCGUGUCUGUAGUGGCUUCACUCCCGUGCUUGUACAGGCUUUAAAACUAUCUAACUGGGUGUUCGGACGCAUGCCACUGCUACCGCAUGUUUGUAUAUGCAGAGCAUGUUGAUACCAGUGCCUCGGGAACCCCACGUGCAUGCGUGUAGAGGCUUCACCCACGUCGCUUCACAGGAUUCACACCCAUGCCUGUAUGUUCUUCCCUCCCGUGUCUAUAGAGCCUUAAAUCCCUUGGUUGUACGGUCUCAAUACCGUGGCUCCAGAGGCUUCGAUCCCAUGCCUCUAGGGGCUUCACUCCCGUGGCUAUAGAGGUUGUCCUCCCGUGCCUGUAGGGGCUUCAAUACCGUGGCUCUCGAGGCUUUACUCUCGUGUCUCGUGCCUGUAGAGGCUUUACUCCCGUGGAUGUGGAGGAUUUCCUCCUGUGGUUGUGGAGGCUUUCCUCCCGUGUCUAUAGAGCCUUCAAUAUCGUGGUUGUACGGUCUCAAUACCGUGGUUGUGGAGGCUUCGAUCCCGUGCCUGUAGGGGCUCCACUCCCAUGGCUAUAGAGGUUGUCCUCCUGUGCCCGUAGGGGCUUCAAUACCGUGGCUCUGGAGGCUUCACUCUCGUGUGUCGUGCCUAUAGAGGCAUCACUCCCGUGGCUGUGGAGAGUUUCCUCUUGUGCUUGUAGGUGCUUCCCUCCCGUGUCUAUAGAGCCUUCAAUCCCGUGGCUGUAUGUUCUCAAUACCGUGGCUCUGGAGGCUUCGAUCCCGUGCCUCUAGGGGCUUUACUCCCAUGGCUAUAGAGGAUGUCCUCCCGUGUGCGUAGGGGCUUCAAUACCGUGGCUCUAGAGGUCUUUACUCUUGUUUUUCGUGCCUGUAGAGGCAUCACUCCCGUGGUUGUGGAGGCUUUCCUCCCGUGCCUGUAGGUGCUUCCCUCCCGUGUCUAUAGAUCCUUAAAUAACGUGGUUGUACGAUCUCAAUACCGUGGCUCUAGAGGUUUCAAUCCCGUGCCUCUAGGGGCUUCACUCCCGUGGCUAUAGAGGAUGUCCUCCCGUGCGUGUAGGGGCUUCAAUACCGUAGCUCUAGAGGCUUUACUCGCGUCUGUCGUGCGUGUAGAGGCAUCACUCUCGUGGCUGUGGAGGCUUUCCUCCCGUGCCUGUAGGUGCCUCCCUUCCGUGUUUACAGAGCCUUCAAUCUCGUGGCUGUACGGUCUCAAUAACGUGGCUCUGGAGGCUUCGAUCCCAUGCCUCUAGGGUCUUCACUCCCGUGGCUAUAGAGGUUGUCCUCCCGUGCCUGUAGGGGCUUCAAUACCGUGGCUCUCGAGGGUUUACUCUCGUGUCUCGUGCCUGUAGAGGCUUCACUCCCGUGACUGUGAAGGUGUUCCUCUCGUGCCUGUAGGUGCUUCAGUAUCGUGGCUAUGAACGCUUCACUGUCGUGCCUAUAGGGGCUUCACUCCCAUGUCUGUACUGUCUUCAGUCGAGUUCCUGUUAGGGUCUUCAGUCCCGUGUCUAUUCACUCAUGUGCCUGUUAGGAGCUUCUGUCAUGUGGCUAUAGAGGCUACACUCCCGUGGCUAUAGAGAUUUUAAAAACUAUUUAACUUGGUAUUCGGACGCAUGCCAUUGCUACCACACUUUUAUGUAUGCAGAGGGUGUGUAUACCAGUGCCUCGAGAACCCCACGUGCGUGACUGUGGAAGCCUCACUCCCGCGUGCCUGUAGGGGCUUCAAUCAUGUCGCUAUAGGGGUUGCAUACCCGUGCCCGUAAAAGCUUCGAUCUCGUCGCUAGGGGUUGCACAACCGUGCCUGUAGGGGCCUUAAUCCCGUGUCUAUAGAGGCUCUUGUGCCUGUAGGGGCCUUACACCCGUGUCUAUAGAGGCUUCCACCCUAUGCCUUUAGGGGAUGUACAGCCGUGUCUAACUGCGUAUUCCGAUGCAUGCCGCUGCUACCACACUUUUAUUGUAUGCACAGGAUGUUGAUAGCAGUGCCUAGAGAACCCCACGUGCGUGACUGUUGAGGCCUCAAUCCGUGCCUAUAGAGGCAUGAAUACCGUGCAUGUAGAGGAUUCAAACCCGUGGUUGUAGAGGCUGCACUGUCGUGCGCGUAUAGGGUUCGUUGUGUAAACCACGGGUGUGUUGGUCAUGCAGCGUGCAAUCUUCUAGACGUACAGUCUAUGAGUGGACAGAGGCAUGUGUGUGAAUUUUCUUGACACGUGAUUCAUGAGUCUCUGGAGGCAUGUGUGUGAAUCUUUCAGAGGAAGAUUCUUGCGGAGAGUCAUGGGAUCAAACCAUCAACAUAGCCAAGUGUGUGAAUUUUCUAGAAUAACGAUUCACGAGUCUUCGUGUACAUAUACAUAUGGACAUGGACUUUGUAUACAUGCUUUCAGUUACACGUUUACAAGUUUACAUUGGGGAAAACAACUAAGGUGGCAGUUUCACUGUGCCGUUGCACAAGUAUUACUCUUCAUCCUUAUGUACAACCUUUAGAAUCUCUUGACCCAUCGCAUCAUGUUUGACUUCAUUUACUUCACUGAGUAGCAGCAUGUAUAAUGUUUCCGCCUUCUAGAUUUCUAGUUCAUCCUACGAAAAUUCACCAAGAAUAAUUAAAUAAUAUGUAUCUUUGCACUAGUGCAUAAGUAAAAUAAUUUCCAGUUUUUUAUAUUGUCCUAGUAGUGUGAUGGUAAACUUACAUCAAAAUGAUAUAUGUCUUCAACGAAUUUUAUGCCAUUGUAUAGCAAUGCAAGCUUCAGAGCAACAUAUGGUGAUUCACCCUUGUCAACCAUUGGCAUGUCUUCCACGAACUUUACUUGCCAACUACCCUUCUACUUGGUUUCCAUAUCUCUAUGAUGUACCACGUCGAGAACUACUUUAAACCUAGGUACCUGCAAGUGAAAAAAAAUUUGGGGGUUUGUAGAAACAGCAAGUGGAUUUUUUUGAGUUGGAUAUUUUUGUAUUUAGGAUACUUACAACUUUAAAUUUGUGGUUGUGGUAGACAUUAGUGUCUUUAACCCUUCUAUUCUUUCUUGCUUCAAAAACGUCAAGCAACUUACUUGCUUCCUCAUCAUUCAAAUUGUAAAGUUUAGAUUAUUUUCAUCAUGUAUUUCUUUGCGACGUACUUCACGAGGAUCGAUGACAUGGACUUUAUUCGUGUAUUUGUCAAGCAUAUAUACGGCGUAAUGACUAUGCUUCUCCAUUAUUAAGAAUAUCUGCGAACACAGAAGUUUUGUUUUGUUAUUUAACGCUAUAUGAAUGAAUUUGAUGAAACACAUAUUUUGAUUGCGUCUUGGAGAGAAGGCUUUUACCAUAUUUGUUGUUAAGAGCUUCUUCUGCUGCUCUUCGCUCAGGUACAGGGGAAUCAGUUGUUCCUUCUAUUUAUCCAAUUCCCCUUUAAACUUAGUAACGCCUAGAGUUUGAUUAUUUAUUUUCAGUAGAUACUGCACCAAAAAGAAAUAAACUGUUAUCGACAUGAAACAUGCAAAUUUAGAAGGAUGUGCAUGCUUUUUUUAAAUUUACCUCUGCAAAGCAAGGGCCUAAUAUUAUUCUGUCUUCAUCACUUUCUUGUGAAGGUUUUCUGCUUUCCCAGAUAUGUGCUAUUUCGUUGAGCACCCUCUUUUCAAUGCGAGGUCUAUGGAGUCCUAGUGUUGGUCGAAAUGUUGCCUUCAGUUGCGCUCGAGUUAAAAUUGAUUCUCACUAUCCAUGCCUCUACUUAUAUAGAUUUUUGCUGUGAGAGGGAAAAAGGAAUUAUUGUUGUGGGGCGGACUAUGAAAUGUAUCUUGAGGUAUUUUUCUGCAUCCAUGAGUAAACAUGUCACAUUUUGAAUUCAGUUUGCCAUCUGUCGCUCAUGAUUUGUUGCAGGAGCUAGACUGUGUCGUCCGUGUGCUCAAAGCGUGGUGCUUCAUGCUUUGGAUACGUCACGCUGCUUCGUUGUUUGCCCUUCUUUUUGCUGCUUGUCUCUGUCAAAGCAACUAAAAAUUAAUGGUCAUUGUUUCUAUGCUAGAAAAUAUAUGUCAAACUGUCUGGUCAUAGCUUGUCAGCGUGCGCCGCUCCAGAAAAGUCAUCUCACCUUCAUUUCUAAGAAAAAAAGAUUUGAAUUCAUUUGCUUGAAUUCUUGUAUUGGUGCAGGCAGCUGGUCCCACUUUAUUUGAUUGCUUUUACUGAAUAUCAUUGUGAAUAGGAACUCUGGUUUUCAUUUGUCAUCCACCUUACUAUGCUGCAGUCAAGAUAUCCGAAUACUUACUACUUUCAUGGAAACUAUGAUGCUGAAAAUUAAUAAAAUUGUUCUAUUGUUAACAUACAUGGAGUUCGUCAUCAUCCUUAACCAGUUAUUGGUCGUUCCAGUAUUUUGUAAAUUGGACCAUGAAUUGUCCGCAUUGCGUGUCCCUUUCUUUUGGUACAGAAACUCUUUUAGGGCUGGCUGCCAAUUGUCCCCAAUUUGGUUCGUCGUGGGCUUUUAGUGUUGAUUCCCCGUAAUGCCUCCUCAGCAGUACAUACAUCCUUUCAACCUGUGAUUUCAUUUUUGUCUUGUUGUUAAGAAAAGUAAUCACACCGUGUUACCAACAGAGAGAUAACAAGCCUAAGACCCACAUACCAGUUCUUUAUGGCUUCUAUGGUGAUCUCUCCAUGUCGUCUUACUAUACAACUUGUAAUUUAGCGAGUCCAGAAUGUCAAGUCUAUUCUCAUACUUGUUAAGGACAUACAACGUGUGGUGUGAAUCAGUGUUAUGAGGUAUCAUGAUCUGCAUUGACUGACACACAGAGUCAAAUGUCACGUGAACAUGCGGGCUUAAGGAGAACAAUAACUUAUGUGAAGUGAUAUUACCAGCUUCUUAUCUAGAAGGUUUUUUCCUUUCACAGUUUCUUCAAACUUGAGCAGGUAUCAGGCCCUCAAGAAAGCAUGCCACUUCUUCUUUAGGGGCUAACAUUUUUGGACGUAAGAACUCCAAAGGCUCGCAUGUGCAUGAUGUGCUUCUUACUGCUGGGUUUUUCUCCAGUUUUCUCUUGACACCUUUGUUUGCUUCUUUACGAACACACAUCGCAGCAUCGCAUUUGCGCUGUUCAAUUAUCCUCUGUUCAGAUAAACAUCUCUUCUCCUUGGUUGGGCUGGGAGGUCGAUCUGAUUUUAUUGGAGGAUCCUUGCGUUCAUCCUCCCACUACAAAUAAACACCUUGUUGCUCAUGUUGCUUUGUGUAAGUUUCAUUGUUGUAUUGCUCAAGUCUUUUCUCUUGAGUGCAAGAAUUUUUGUCUUGUUUGUCUUCUUCAUCUUCACUGUCCAACACUUCUAUAACUUGUGUAUCUCGAGUGCAUAUCUCAAUUUCCUUAGUGCAUUGAGGAAUUUCUUCUUCAGUCAUGACACAUUCAACUUGUUUCAUUUCUCUGUCUUCAAUUACAACUUUAUGUUUCAGCAUAUCUAUCCGACAAAAAAAUAUAAGAAUUGUGAGGCUUUUGUUGUAAAAACUACCUCUCAGAAGAGAAUUCGUUUUUUUAAGACGAACCUCUUGUACAAUUUAGCAAUAUUAAGUUUGUAUUGCCGAUUUCUUCGCGCAUUAAAUGAUACAGAAUUAUCUUCCUCAACUCAGGGACUUGUUCUUCUGUCAGUGAGGUGGUUGUUCCUUCUUCAGUGUAGUGUUUGAGGUUCAUGUACAUGUAGAACACACGGUCCAAUCUGCGACUUGGGACAAUGAUUCGUUAAUAUUGUUGUCCCCUUGGCAUGAAAAUACUUUCUAUGUUUUCAUGCUAAACUGUCUCAACGAGCGAUUUUUAGGACCAAAAGAAAUAAAUGUUAGAUUAAAGAUAAAGAACAAGGAUGUUAGUAGUGUUUACGUGUCUAGUCCCUGAAGUGGCACAUGCACGUUGAAAUCCUUGAAAUGGUCAAUGUUACUUGGAGAAAGUUGAAUCUGUGAGCUUAUUUCUUUCGAGAUCCUCUUUAAAUUUCAUGCUACAACAGUGAAGAAUUGUCUUGCCUAUCUAUAAUCCCAUAUAGAGUCAAGCAGCUCAAAGCGCUGUUUUUCCAUGUUGACUCAUAUGGUCACAUAGUGACCGAUAGUCUUGUCUUUCUCGAACCCCCCUAUGGUAGUUGGCACAAGAAACCGCAAAAAGGAAAAUAAUGAAACAUAAACACUUGUAACAUAAACUUAAACAUUUGUAAUCGUUUUUAGAUAUGGUAUUUCGUUCUGUUUACCAUGUCAUAGUCUUGCAGAUCUUCUCCUUCUUUGAUAUCAAAAAACCUCCUGAGCUGACCGCACAUAACUCUUUCUUUUAUCUUCUUGUCAUCAUAGUCUCUAAAGUUCAAGGGAUCUUUGCUAUUGGCUUGUUGUAUUGAAUGUUGUUUGUUUUGUAAUGCAUACAUAUAAAUAAUUUGUAAGUCCACAUGUACACAGGCUGAUAUUCGUUUACUUAAAACAUGAAGUUGUGCCGUGAUUUUUACUUAUAGUGUUGCUUAGUAUUAGGAUCUUCCUCCAUGCGCCCUUGAAUUCAUUUUGUAGGAUCAGUAAUGUAGGCUCAAUGAUUGUACUGUUCACCGCAUUACCAUCUCGGAAGCUUCUGGCAGCGUCUCCGAUGUUGGUAGUCACAUCAGCCGUUAUUAUGAAAUCACCAUUUCUGCAAUAUGUAUAUAUAUAUAUAUAUGUGUGUGUGUGUGUGUGUGUGUGUGUGUGUGCGUGUGUACAUAAAGAGUUACAGAUAAAGGGUAUAUUAGUUAACACGUAAAAAACAUUGAAAUAAUUUAUUCUGUGGAAGUAACAUGGGUUAACUUUUCGUCAGCCAUCCAUUCCCUGCCACAUAGAGCGUUGUAUAUUUUUCGAUGAUUUCUUUCGUGGGCUCAGUGUCUGUGCUGCCUGAAAAUGACAUGAUUUUAGGUUUAAUUGGCAUCGUAGUAGUUGGUACUUUAUUUUAUGCUCUUAGAGGUGUUGAAAUAAUUGGUUUAACUUCCUGAUCUGUUGAUACAAGUUGUACCUUGUCUUUUCUCGUCACUUUCCUGGCUUGGUGUGUCAUGAGGUACCUCAACUUGUGCAUGUGUGAGAUCUGUGAGCUCUGAAGAUUUGUCGUGUGCACUUUCCGUUGCAUUCUCGUUUUUGUCCAGAACACUCUAAAGAUUUGCUUCAUUUUGUUUAUGUGUGGGCUCUUCUUCUUCCGCUUUCUAUGUUAUCGUCGACAUGUGUAGUUAAAUCAAUAUAAAACUUCAAUAUUUAAUUUUAUAUAAUCAGCUUGUGGAAUACCACCUCUUCAGAAGUUGUCGCCGGUGUCGUGCGUGUGGUCCUGUUGUUUGUUGCUCAAUGCCAGCGUGCUCUUCUUUAUCUUGUGACUGUUCAUAGAAAGUGUUAAUUUAAAAUACUAGUUCAUUUGUGCCUGGGGAGCUAUUUAUUAUUAUUAUUCAGAUAAGCAAUUUACCUGUUCAGAAACUAUUGCCGUUGUAGUCAUCGAUACUUUUUUCUCGCUAAGUGAUAUAUUUGUUGACCUCUUCUGGUUGCUUGUUUACGUGUACGACGUCGGUACUAUCCUUUGUUUCAAGUUGUUGUUCAAACUAAAAAUAAAUUCUUAGGGACUGUAUUUUUUCCUUGUCCAGCAAUUAUUUCUUUAAAAUAAAUUAUUAGGGACUGUAAUUCUAGGUUGGUUUUAUUGACCUCUUCAGUGAUUUUGAGAUGAGUUGUGCCUUGUACUCUUCCUUCUUCCUCCUCGGCUACUAAAGUUCCUGGUUCUGUUUUUUCCAAGUCUUGUUCUUGGUCUUCGGUAACAGGACUACCUUGCUAUUCUAUGCCAAUGCUUUCAUUCGUUCCUUUUUCCAGUUUUAUGAACCAAAAAUGUAAAUAACAAUGGAACUUCAUUUGGAAUGUGUGAUCUCUUAUACUUGUUGUCCAAGUUUACUUAUUUACUCAUUGGUGCCUGUGGGAUCUCUCCUCGUUUUUUUGUGCCAAGUAAAGCUUGCUCUUCGGUUACAACACUUGGUUCCUAAUAAAACAACAUCACAAACAUGACAAAUAAAAAUGCACUAUUUAAUUUUAUACAAUCAGCUUGUGGAAUACCACCUCUUCGGAUGUUGUCGCCGGUGCCGUGUCCCGUGGUCCUGUUGUUUGUUGCUCACUGCCAGUGUGCUCUUCUUUAUCUUGGGGUCGUUCAAAGAAAGAGUUAAUUUAAAAUACUAGUUCAUUUGUGCCUCGGGAGCUAUUUUUUAUUAUUAUUCAGAUAAGCAAUUUACCUCUUCAGAAACUAUUGGCGUUGUAGUCAUCGAUAGUUCUUUCUCGCCGAGUGAAUUUUUUUGGAGUGAUAUGUUUGUUGAUGUCUUCUGGUUGCUUGCCUACGUGUACGACGUUGGUACUAUCAUUUGUUUCAAGCUGCUGUUCAAACUAAAAAGAAAUUAUUAUGGACUGUAUUUCUUCUCUGUCCACCAAUUAUUAUUUUUAAAAUAAAUUAUUAGGGACUGUAAUUCUUGGUUGGUUUUGUUGACCUCUUCAGUGAUUUUGAGAUGAUAUGCGCCUUGUAAUCUUGCUUCUUACUCCUCAUCUACUGAAGUUCCUGGUUCUGUUUUUCCCAGGUCUUGUUCUUGGUCUCCGGUGACAGGACUGCCUUGUUAUUGUAUGUCGAUGCUCUCAUUCGUUCCUUUUUCCUGUUUUAUGAACCAAAAAUGUAAAUAACAAUGUAACUUCAUUUGGAAUGUGCGAUCUCUUAUACUUGUUGUCCAACUUCAUUUGGAAUGUGCGAUCUCUUAUGCCAAUUAUUUAAAAAAUGUUACCGUAAUUAACCGGAUCCCAACAUAGAUAAAUCUCCGAGAUAUUUUUUCUAUUGUCGUUUUAUUUUACCUGUCCGUCGGUCGGUGUGGCGUUUCUCUUUGUCUGCACUGUUAUUUCUUUUUAACGUAAAACAUGUUCCACCACCUUGUCAUCAACAGCCAUCUCACAUGCUUGUAUCUCCGCAUCUGGAGCAACAUCAUCUUGAGUGUAGCUUUGAUGUGACUUUGAUUCAUCAUGCGAUCCGGUUUCGACCUCUGUUGCAUGUUGUCUCCCGUGCUCUUGUAGUACGUGGAUCUGAAAGAUGGUGAGUUUACUGGUUCAUUUUUCUUUGGAAGUGAUGUCACUACAGUAUGCGUACAACAACAUCGGUAUUCUCCUUGGUUUCUUACAUCUAUUGAAGCUAAAAAGUAAUUAGAAGGGAUUGUAUUACUUUCGUGGAUACCAUUUUUAAAAAAUGGUGUGUUUGUUGAAGAAAAAAAGUAAGUAACGAUAAAAUUUCAUUUGGAAUAUGCGAUCUUUUAUAACUCUUGUCCAACUUUUCCUCCAUAGUCAUUGGUGCCUGGGGAUAUCUCGUACUUUUUGUGUGUGAUCCGAAGGCUGCUCUUCUAUUACAGCAAUUAAUUCUGUUGUACUGAUAAACUCCCUUGUAUUUUUGGUUUCCACCUGUUUUGUUUCGUCUUGUUCUUCUCCAGCAGUGGUGGCAUUUUUUUCCUGAGUAACAUUCAGGUAAAAAUGUUAUCGUAAUUAACCGGAUCACGGGAUAAAUAUCCGAGAUAGGAUUUUUCUUGUCGUUUGAUUUUACCUGUCCAUCAGUCGUUGUCGUGAUCAUCUGUGCAUCCACUAGUAUUUCUUUUUGAGAAAAAAUAGUUUUGAGCUUGUCCUCAAAUGUCAUCUCUCAGGCUUCUACCUCCGUAUAAGGAGCCACUUCAUCUUGAGUGUGGCUCUUCACAACAUGCUCUAGUAUUUCUUGUUCUUAUAAUACCUGGGUAUGAAACAUGGUGAGUUUUUUAGUACAUUUUUUAGACAUGUUCUAUGAGGGUAAGUUGGUUAUGGAAGGUCACCUCAUUACUUUUUUUAUUCUUGUUGUUUUUCUUCAUCUUCUGAUCUGUCGCUGCUUGAGGCAAUCUCUGUUGCACUUGUUUGUUGUUUCUUGUCUAGCCGAGUCUACAUUUUGUUACAGGUUUGUUAGCUUGCAAAAAAAGUAUGUGUCCAGCUCACACGAGAAAAAAGUUGUUUAUACUCACUUCUUGGCUGGUUAUGAUGCCCGAGGAUGAGCCUUUCCUUGCGAGUUCUCUCGUAUCUGCAGAGAUGGCAGUUGAUUUCUUAUUUGCAUGCUCAUGCGCACUGUUGUUGUCAUCAUCAUGCUUGCGCUCCUGGUAUUGCUUGUCUUCUGAAUGCUUCUUCUCUGUUUUGGCUCAGUUUUCAACUGUCGUCAUUUGUGUUCUGGUUCUUUUCGUUAUCUCUGGUUUCUCUUCUUCUUCAUUAGUUUUUUUUCUCGUUAUUCUUGGUGGCUCUUCCACUAUUUCAACUAUUGAUAUCCGGUUCCUAUUGCGACACAUGCGCUGAUAGGCAUUGUGUUGUUCGAAAGUAGCAAUCAGUGACACCGUUUGGUCUACAAGUCCUUGUCUCGCUAAUUCGUCGUAAUUUGCCUCAUCAUCAGUGCAUCCUGCCACAUUAUUCUGCCUUAACGCCGGUAAUUGUUUGCUUCCUCAAGCACUUUUUCCAACAUUUUGUUGAUCCUUCUGAAAGCUUUUUCAGAACCUUUGCUCGUGCUUGUCUCAGGUUCGCUUAUCGUUCUGGUGCUGGACGCUGCUUCACGCCUAAGCUUUGGUGGAUCUAGUAGCAGUUUUGUAGUUUGCUUGUCCUGUCUCCUACUCUCUACUCGUACCACUUGAAGUGAAGCUGAAGGUGAUCCUGCGUUUCCAUGAACCGUAUGGAAUAUCCUGUCUGUUGUCCCUUUCCAUGUCUACAUUGUUUCGAUAAGACAAAGUUUGUUAGAAUGAACGAUGUUUUUACAUGGUUUGAUGAAUUAAUAGACAACAGAGAUACCUUUAUCUUGCCAAAUUCAUAGUCAUCUAGACCUCCUUUUCCAUCCUUCUUCAUGUCUUCUUUAGAUCCUUCCCGUCAGGAUAGUUCGCUCUAGGCAUUAAAGUAUUGUUUAUUUUCUUAGCUAUUAUGUUCAUUUCUCUUGUGUCUGGUAACAGCAGGGAGUCGAGGUACAUGAUUACUGGUCCCAGCGCCAAGCCGUAGUGGUGGUCAUUGUUUCCUUUCUCACCCUUUUUCAUUUUUUUGCCAAUCAAUGGCUCCAGCCUGGAUUGUUUCGACGAUGACCUGGCAGAAUUCCAUCUGUGCCAUAUCUUUAGAAUUCAUAUCCCGCACCAUUAACUCUUGUCUGCUGUAGCGAGGGAAGGUUGUCCCACAGACAACCUUGUUGAAAAAUAUGAGGAAAAAUAUUUUGACAACCUUGUUGUUUUCUUCUUCUCGGUCUACUUCUACAAGCACCUUUAGUUUCUUAAUCCGAACUGAAUGUGUGAACUCGGUAUUUCUAAAGCCUGUCUCUGACUGGAGGACCUUCAUUGAUUCGUUGCAAUUCAUUGGCCUUGGUGCUGUGUUUUUGUCGCCGUUUGGGUAUCCAAAAACCUUAUGGAUGCCUUCCUUGGUAAUCCUUAUUUCCUUGUGUCCAUCGUCGUCGUCGAAGCUUAUCGUCAUCGUGUCUGUGUCCAUGUUUUCGUAUAUGUUUGCUGCGAGGUUCCUGUUGAUUGACCCCUUUAUUUUGCAGUCCUCUAUGCUACCAAAUCCACUCGUCUUAACAUUUUUUCAGUGAUGUUCUUUGAUAAUUCCCCAUGCUUCAUUGACCUAUACAAACGUAGAUCCAGCCUUGAUUUGGUCAAUUUCUGUUUUAUCUGCUUCGUUGGUUAUCACCAGUGGCGAUUGUUUUCCACAUGGCCUUCUCCUCUUUCUUCCCUUUUGGCUUGUAUUUCCCUGAUUCAGAAAAAACAGAAACAAAUUCUUUGUUAGGAGGUACCGUUCUAUUUUCUGUAGCAACAAAUACUUGUAGAGAAAUAAUCUCUUAUGUGAUCGCUCCCGUCCUCACCGGCAUCGCUGCCGUUUGCAGGAUUGAAAUCAUUGUCACUUUCUGUGUUGCUACUGGCACCACUGGACUCCUCUCAAAUUCUGUUUUUUGAAUCCUCUCCUUCUUCAUCUCCCUGUUGUUUCUUCUUGUUCUUCCUGUCAAUAUGUUUUAUGUUUGCACAUGGUUUUGCUUGAUCAUGAGGUGGUGGGAUUAUCAUUAGAGGCGGUGGCUGUUGCUUCAAGGUAUCAGUCAUGACCAAGAGCUCAGUGCUUUUCAUUCUCUUAUGUGUCUUUUCCACAAGAUUAGCAGCAUCUGUUGUUUCUGGUUGUCUCUUUGCUUUUUUCCUGUUGUAAGUUACUGUGCUUUUCUGUGGUUGUGGUACGGUAGCACGUGCCUUUUUGUGCUUGCUUGGUGCUGUCCUUGUUCCUGGAUGGCCAUGAGAGAUGCUGUGUCUAUCUGGAAAUUCUUCAUUAAUUUCAGAGAUGAUUGUUUGAAUGUCGUCGUCUUCGUUCCCUACUUAAUUACGAGUUAGCAGAUAAGGUUUGUGACAUAAUAUUUACUGUAAACAGUAAGACAUAAUAUUUACUAUAAACUAUAAGACAUUAUAUAUGAGAUACAAUGCCUUUUGCUGACAAUAAGGUACUAUGCAAGAAUUUUAAAAGCGUUGUCAUUUGAAUGCAACAUGUCAUUGGAAUCACGGUACAUCAGAAAAGAGUUGUUACUUAGAAUCACGAUAACAGUUACCUUGUUUGACUGUUGAAUCAACAACAUUACCUAUUUUCUAUUGGUCAUUUUCUACGAAGUCCUUCGCAUCAGCCAUUUAUACAUGUAAAACGACGUGUUGUGAGGCACCUACUUGGAUUUGACAGGAAAUUAGGUGCCCAUGGUGUGAAAAAUGAUAUAAUCUGUAUAGGCACGGUUUGUUUGAUGCUUGAAGCGCGUAAUUUCUACACAUGGAGCAUGGAUUUUGAAAAUCAGGUCUCGUAAUUUGAAAUCCGUAAGAUGCAGGUAUGUAAACAAUCGUGGCUAACUAUUUUGCUACGCUACUUGUACUUGUUAGAUAAGUUGAGACAAACUAUGCAAAAACAGAUUUAGUGAUGCUGCUAGGGUUUUCUGUUUGGGGGAAAUAGAUACUACGAGCGAAUUGGUGCGACGGGCUAUAAUGCAGAAAUGGUUACCUCCGAUUUCGCGUUCGGGACUCCUCGAAUCCAUCCGCUCGUUCUUUCCUUGCUCUUCCUUGUUAUCUCCGUCAUUGUUUUUGUGACCGUAGUUCUUCCUGGACGGUUGCCGCCAGCGGGAGUGGAUCUUGUGGCGGGCACCUUUCAAGUGCUUUGUGUCGCAGUUGAGGGCGGUUGGCGAAGCGCAACGGUGGUUACCGACGAGGUUAGAACUCCGCGUGCUUGAGAAGGAGAAGAGCAGAGCGUGCGAGAGGGGAAGUGUCUUAGAUUUUCAAUUCGGGGAAGGAGAAGCAAGGCAGUAGUAGGGAGAGCGAGGGAACCGAGGGAAACGUCCUGAAUAUUGCAUCAAGAUUCGUAAGGAGUCGGUUUGUUUUUUUCCUUUAUUAUUAAACGUCAGGGAGCGUGACGCUAUAAUCACGUGCGUGUCACACCACACCACACGCAUGGCUUCCAAUAGACUUCUAGAUAGCCACUAUGUAAAAUCACUGAUGUGUAGACACAAGAGUCACGAAAGAGUGUCUGCAGGACGAAACACGCGCUCCGACCUAUGGCCCCCCUUCAAAAUUUAUAUGAAUGCUAAACGAGCCGAAGGCGAGAUAGUGUUGCGCCGCCGGAGGCGCCGUCUGCACGCAUGCACGACGAAACACGCGCUCCUACCUAUGACCCCCUUCAAGAUUUAUAUGAAUACUAGCCGAGCCGAAGGCGAGCUAGUGUUGCGCCACUGGAGGCUUCGUCUGCACGCAGGCACGAUGAAACACGCGCUCCGACCUAUGACCCCCCUUCAAGAUUUAUAUUAAUACUAACCGAGCCGAAGACGAGCUAGUGUUGCGCCGCCGGAGGCGCCGUCUGCACGCAGGCACGACGAUGAUUCAUGAACCAUGGCUUUGAAUAUUGAUGAACAGUGCCUCUAAAUAUUUAUGGAACGUGCCUCUAAAGAUUCAUGGUCCGUACCUCUUCUCACCGCACAACAGGUCCCCAUUUUAUUAUUUUAUCGUAUCACAAGCGUGCCUCUAAAGAUUUAUGAAUCGUGCCUCUAUUUAUUCAUGGGACGCACCUCUAAAGAGUUUUAACAUCUAAAGGUUGGAUGAGGGCUGUGAAAGUUGAAAGUUUAAAGUUGUACAGGCAAGUUUAAAGUUGACAUUUAAUCGUGUUGGAAGCUCCCACCCCUAAUUUCCCCUGAAACCUCAAUUUUCCUCAAAUAUAAUGGGAAAAAAGAGAAACAGGGAACCAACAUACCUUGCCAACUCAGGCUAAACUGAAAACAAAAAAGUUCAAGGGGUUAGUUGAAGAAUGUUCGAAACCGAAAACCGGAAACGAAAAAUUUGGAAUGUUCGGGGGUGCGCUUCGCGCGUGACACUUGUCGCACUUCUAGCGCGCGCGAAACGUUCAUUCGUUUCACGCGGAGCGAGCGCUCGCUAACUAGUUGAUGCCCAAUGAUACCCUUAAAAAAGCAAAGGCAACGAUUUGGAUCAAAGCCCAUUGACUUGGGCGGCUUUUAUAACCAAAAGAAAUUACUGGCCCAACUUAUAUUUUCCCCUUAAAAAAGUUCAUUUAUUUAUUAGAAAACUUAUAAUUUUUUUCCUUGGUAUUUUUCUUUCCGAGGAUAAAUACAUUUCUUAUUAAUUAAAAAAAUCUAUGUAGAGGUGUGGCACAAUUCUCCACGGAUGGAAGACUCGAAUCUUAUAAGACUAAAAUCUUGUAAAGGCUCCAUAAUCUUAUAUGUCCAUUUUUUAUUUUUUAUUUUGCGAAAAGGAUCAAUUCUAUUAUAAAAGUUCAUUGGAAGUAAAAAAAACAUUACAUGGCACUAGUGCAUAAAUACGUCCUAUGAAGUUUUUUUUUCUUUUGCCAGAAUCAUGUACAAUGUUUGGAAGUACAUGUGCACACAGUCAUACACACAUGUGCCAGUAGUUUUGGAAGGAUUAGGGUUGUCCCGGUGGAGUAGAUUAUUGAUCACCGAAAAUAUACGAAGUUGUCAAUUAGUCUUGCUAUAUACAAGGCUCACUUUGCAGUUGCUAAGUUGUGUUGUGCUUAGUUUAUAACCUGUUAUAAAAAUUAGCCAUAGUUGUAAAUAAUAAGGAAUGAAACAAGCAUUCAAAUAGGGAAGCAGGCUUAUUAGGAGAUUGAAGUGAGCGGCUUCGUCGGUGAUCAUGGAUAAUGAAGUCGGAGUCGCUCCCUCAUGUAGAGGAGUGAUGAUGAUGACACCAUUUGGCUACCUCAAGGAUGUCCCUUUUUUGGCGGUGUACGUGAUGUCUUUUGUUGUGUGCCAAGUCCGCUAGUGGUGUUCCUUUCGGAAAGCCAUUGUAACAGUUUUCGAUCAUAUUUUCACAUAUUAGGGCAUCUCCAACGUCGAUUCAUAUAUUUCUUACAGUGACAGGGGGCUAAUCCGCAGACAUGAAUAUCGAAGCUGACCGAACAUCUUCCAGGCUUGGUGGCUGCCACUGAGGUUGUCGACAGGGUAACAGAGUGUACCUGAGGCUUCAGGAUGGACAACGUCGUGGCUGUUGUCCGGACUCCCGCAUCCCUCCCUCCCUCCCCCUCCUCACUUUGUCUCCAUUUUGCGGGAGAAAGUACGCCCAAACCAUCACGCGAACCGAUACAGAUCCGUGUUGGAUGGUUUUCACGAUGUGGACAAUGCACGUAUGUGGCGGUUUGAGGGUCGGCGCUGAAAAUGCGCUUAACCGGACAAUUCUAUUAUACUCCCUCUGUUCCUAAAUAUAAGUCUUUCUAUAGCGGAAAUUGCAUUUGGUGGCCGAGCUCCAUGAAGGCCUUUAAAUUUAAAAUUCAAAAUUUCAUAAAAAUUCAUAUUUUUACUUUUCAAUUUUUUUUCAUAAAAAUACAGGGAUAAGUGAAGGCGUAACACACAUGUGUAUAAAUUUUUAGAAAAAAAUAUAUUGAAAUAAGGACUGUGCAAAAAAGACAAAUCUGAGGCUUUUUUACACAUGACACUAUUCAUUGUUUCAGGUCAUGAAUUUGUCUUUUUUGUGCAGAUCGUAUUUCAAGGUAUUUCAUCCUAAAUUUUUACAUACAUACACAUAACAUUCUUCUUACUUGCAUAUUUUUUCAGAUUUUUUUUGAAACCGAAAAGUUUGAAUUUUGAAUUAUUCAAAAAAAUUGGUCUCCAUGGAGGCCGAGCUCCAAACGUCCGUUCUUUUUUUAUAGGUUUCACUAGAAGACUACAUGCAGAUAUAUAUAGAAAUAUUUUACAGUGAAGAUUCACUCAUUUUAUUUCAUAUGUAGUCCUCUAGUAAAAUCAUUAAAAACACUCAUAUUUAGAAAUGGAGGGAGUACUUUUUUUAAAUAAAGCGAGUCCAAAGGAUCUGUUUUGUUAAGAAAAAACAUACACGCCCUAAUACGCACACCAUGUCAACUUAGAGUUUGGAUUGAGAAUUUGAGUUUUACCGUAUGCACCUUUUAACCCACCAAAUCAUUUGUGGGUCAGCGCUGAAGAUGCCCCAAGCGGAGUGUGAUUGGACGCCCACGGUUAGUCCCGGCUGCAGCCUGAAUUAAACCGCUUAACAAUAAUCUUCCAUGAAAAAAGCAUCAAACAUCAUAUAUAUGCAACAACAGCGGCUAGCACCAGCUUUAUAUGCAUCUGAGACGACCAUACGAACUCUGAAGCCUGAAUGCAAUGAAUUCGACGGAUGCAGCUCGAGAAAGAAACCCGAUGCAGAUGCAGAUGAGUCCAAUCCAGGUAACCACCACGUAGCUAGUACUACCAAUGACUCCAUGAAAAAGUAGGCAGUACACCUAGUCAAAGCAGGAGCACACAAAUGCAGAAAGGCCAAGGCUACUAUAUCGGCAUCGCACACAUGGGGGCGCCGAGCAAUUGCGGCAGGAAACCGUGCCGCUGAGCUCACAUCACAGAUCACAUAGAUCGAUGCAGAGGAAAAGGGCAGAGCCAGACUAGACGAGGCCAUGAAAAAGGCCACAAACGAGGAAGCACGGCACAUGCAGAGGCGCGGCGAUGGCGUACCCGCAUUCCCUAUUUGAAUGGAGGAAGGAAGGCCAGGACGACUGAACAUUGGCUCGUAAACGAUUCCUAGGCAACUAGGCCAACUGGCCCUGCAUCGCAGACGCAUAUGCGGAUGCAUAUGGUACUGGCACGCAGCCUUCUCUCUCUCUGCUGCCAUGGUGUGCUGCUUUUCUGUUGCAUGCUGUAUAGUCAGCCUGGGGUAUUUUGGUUAUUUCGGUUCGGGUAGUUCGGUUUAUGGGCAAUUCGGGUAUUUGAAAAUGGGAACCAAAAUUAUUUCUGUCAAAAAACCGGACCCAAAUUACUUAAAAUUUCGGUUCGGGUAAUUCGGGUACCCAAAAUACCUAAAAUAUUAUGAGCAUACAUCAACUUUUGAUAUGAAUAACUCGAAUAGUAUGGGUCUUUUUGAUAAUAUGAGUAUUUUAGUUAGUAUGGGUAAUAAGUUAGUGUAAUAAUAGCAUUAAAAUUUUGGACAGUAUGAAUAAUUUGGGUAGUAUGGGUAUUUCGGAUUUUCCACACUAAAACCCAAACCCUAUACCGAAAACCGAAUAGUAAGGAAAUGGGAACCGAACCCUUACCCGAUAAUUCGGGUAAUUCGGUUCGGUUCGGGUUCGGGUAGCGGGUUCGGGUACCCAAACGUCCAGGAUGACUAUAUAGUACUUCCUCCAUUAGGCCAACUCCACCGCACGAUCCCAUUUUGUCCGGCCCCGUCCGUUUGGGGUAAAAGGGACAAACCGGUCGGUCCAACGCAAGACGGCCCGGAUCCAUCUCGUCUGUUUUGUGUCCGGGGAGACCCAUUUCGAGCGCAAACUUGCGCGGGGUUUGGGUCACGACGGACAUCAAACGGACGCACGCUCGUCCGCGUCGGGGCCGCGUGGCAGGCGGCCACCUACCUCCCACCCGCCCACCUCUAUGCGCACGAGCGGCCGGGCACGCCUGUCAUCCGCCCAGGGAACGGUCGCGGUCCUUCUUAAAUGGGGAAGCCGUGGACCGUCGUCGUCCACACUUCCCAUCACCAUCCCGCGGCCUCCUCGAAACCGACAGCCAAACCCGAGCCUCCUUGAACUCGCCGGCCGGCCACCUCGCAGCCAUGGGGCUCUGGUACUACCACAGCAAGGGGAAGCACGACCACGAGGUUGGAUCCUCGUCAGGACGCCGCCGCGGCUCCGUGAAGAAGGAGGCCGCAUCGCUACCGCGCUAGGCCAACGCUCCCUUCACCAUCGGCCCUAGGCCCGCCGGGCAGUGUGAUCGGGAGUACCUCAGCGCCGAGGUAUACCGACGCUACUGGGAGACGAGGACGCUGGUCCCGUGUAGCGACGUCCACCUCCCAAAGGCAUGGCACCUCUCUGCCAACCGGGUCCCGAUCCCGCCGGUGCCGACAAGCGGCCGUGCGCGCCGCGAAGAGAUCGAGCGCCGUCGCCUCCUCACGCCCACGCCAUCGCCUUCCCCGUCUCCAUCACCACCUCCAGCUCCUCGCAUGACGGAGGAGGAGGAGGCUCGGCUCAUGCAGCAUGUCAUGGAGGACUCCAUGAUGAUGCAUGAUGAACGCCAAUGGCCGGGCCUCGACCGCGCGAUGGCCCUCUCUGCGGCAGCCGACGUCGCCAUCCCCGAGCAGAUGGAGGAGGAGGAGGUGGCCGAGUUUCCUCCGGAUUUGGUGGGCCAGCAAUGGAGCUGGUCGUGCACGGCGCCGAAGAUGGCGCAGGCAGUGGGGGCGUGAACUGGUGCCCCACGCCGCCGCGGUCACCGGAGCGGGACGCCUCGCCACGGGAGGAGGUGUUGCUCGCACCUGGCAGGUUCCAGCCCGCCCCGCGCACCAGGGACCGCCGGCCCACCUCUGGACGCCAUUGACCUACGUCGACCUCGUCAGUGACGGCAACGAGGACGACACCGGCGGCCAGUGAAGACGGCGACGGCCACGACAUCGACAUGCUUUUUUAUGUUAAUUAUGUCAAACUGGGCCGUUUUGUGGCCGUGCAAACUGGGCCAUUUUUAUGUUAAUGUUAUUAUGUUUUAAGUUUUUAAACUACGUCUAUUCACUUUUGAGUUAAGUUUUUCUAUUUUUUUAAUCACGUCCAACACAGACAUGAUUUGGGGUGCGGCCGCGCGAUGGGCACACUCAUGACCCAACACACAGAAGCGGGCAUGGGCGAACCCAUUGCCGUCCCAAACGGACAAAAUCUGGCCACACCGGACAUCCGUUUCAGGUCAGGCGGUGGAGGUUGCCUUAUACUAUGCGUUAUUCAAGUUUGACCCUAUGUUUAAGAAAUGAGACCAACUUCGGUGGAAACAAAGCACCGACGCAUUUCAUUGUGAAAUCAAGGGAGUAGGAUGGAUGUAGGUCGAGGCAUUGGAGAGGUGUUUCUCACGGACAAAUUCACUGUUUUGACCCUUUUGAUAUUGUCAAUUAAUUUUCAAAUUAACUGUAAAAACACCCUGUCGUCAUGAGCUGUGGCGGUAGACAUACACAUCCUACCAUCACUUAUCUACAUCAACAGGGUCAAACGACGUUGUCUGUGUUGGCCCGAACCUUACCGUCAUAGCAAGUGGCGGUACGGUGUGUAUGCUUACCAUCACAACGAGUAACGGUAGAAAAAAUGUCAGAUCCGAAAAAAAAUCACAACCAUUGUUAGAUCAGGAGUGAUUUUACAGUGCAUCCGGUUGAUAUGGACCGUCCGUCACAGCGAAAUAGACGAUCCAGAUCCGACACAAUACAUUGAUGUCACGUGUAUUAUAUCAGAUCCCGAGGGGCAUUUUUGGGAGAAGAAGUAUUUCGAACUGAUCAGAUUUUCCCUCCCAAAUAUUUCGAGGGUAUUUUCGGUAUGAAUUUCAGGGCUAUUUUCGGUUUGAUUUUUAUCCCAUUUGUUAGGGUCUUACUCUUUCGCCGCGGUAAGGUGUUGCGGAAAGAUCCUCACCGGCGGGGAGGGGCCGCGGCAAGAUCCCUCGCCGACGGUAGGGUUUUAUCCCCGUGAUUGGAUCUUGCCGCGUGUCGCGGCCCCUCCCUCCGUCCAACCGAAAUUCCUCACGCUCUUGAACCUCCUCUUCACUGACGAACACGAGAGGACGAUGACUGCCCUCCCCGUGGCAGCCGUCGGUGAAGAUUCGGCCUCAUGCCACCUCCCAUUCCUCUAUGCGGGUGCCUAUAGCCACGAGGUGAGUGUCUGCCUCUUUCCCACUCCCCACGUGGUUGUUCGCGUCCUCAGACUCACCUCUUCGCCAUGGCCGCAACUUGAUCUGGCCAUGCAUCUCGUGCGAAGGCAAGGCAGUUGGGCCUAUCAUGUUCUCACUGUUGGUGGGGUAUUGCGUGACUGGAUGAAGCCGGCCGGCCAGCCUCGACGGCUAGUCCCAUUCGUCCAACCUCAUCCACAUCACGGCAAGAUCUACGAAUGUUCGAUUGUUGCCUAUGUAUUCUUAUAUAUUUCAUUCAAGUUCUAUUCUUUCAGUUUGGCUGAUAGGUCAGACGUUCAAUUUGGAGAUCACGAGAGAUGGAAAUCUAUUUAUUUUGAAAUGUACUAUAGACAAUUCAUAGCUUAUGUUGCUCAAUAUUUACGAUGCUCGCUGCUGAUUGUGCAGUUGCUGCACUGGGAUCAACAGACUUGGCGUCUGCUUUAUAAUUGUUUUAGAUUCACAUUGGAUAUCCACCAUUUGAAGAUUAGUGUAAAUUCUGAUCAUGAUGUUUUAGCCUUGUUAAAGACAGAGUAAUGAUCCUCGCAGAAAGCAGAUACAAAGGAAUGAGCAUUUGAUUCUUGAACAUGUUGCAAUAGAUAAUCUUCUCUAUUUAGUUAUGUGCAUCGUAUGUUAGCUGGACACAUUUGACAAGGUGAGUACAAGUAGUAAUUUUCCCUCUUUUUUGUAGGGUUAUGACACAACAUGCUAUGUGAUUCCCUAAGGCAGGAUGGAUGUACCAUGGCCACACCAUUGUGCUGCUCAAGAUGCGUGCAAACCCGAAGAUCCCUUCAAUUCACUGCACGCCCUACCAUACCACACCAUUGUCGUUGCAACACCUGCAAAGGCCCCCUACGGUACGUGCUUUACUCUUGUUAUCAUAUGCUCUCUUUUAUUGGCUUUGCGGCGUGCCUAUGAGACAUUGGUGUGCCAUUUUCUGGGACAGCUGGGAUUACAUGGUGAUUCAUCCAGUAUUUUUUCUUCUGUUGUGAGGGUAAGCUCAUGCUCGUACCUUUUUCUCUCGUAUGAAAAUAAACAUAUCAUAAUCCAUUAUUCUUCUAGGGUUGCCCAUACACUGUAAUUGGUCCGAACCUUGCCGAGGCACUGUUACUAUCACAUUGUUGUAAAAAGAAAAUAUAGAUUACUAGGAGCUCCCGUAGAGACCAAAUAUAUUUCAAGGAAAGUAUUGUAACCAAUAUUAUUGAAGUUAUACAACUUGACUCAUCCGCAAUGGACUAAGAACACGGCUAGAAAACCUUCUUCGGGACUAAAACCCAACCACACCCUACUCUGUCGCUUUAUGGCCAAGUGUACACUCCACAUGUAAGAAUGAACCACACUAUUGGACUAACUGCUUGCAUCUUCGUCGUCUUCAACCGCAUCUGCAUCCGAUAGGAUAGCAUGGUACUGCUUGAACCUUUUCCUGUAUUUCAUUUUGAUGUAGGGUGAAUCGACAAGCACAACAAGUAGCUCUCUUCUGAAUUUCUCAAUGUAGCCCUGCAUGCGAGGAUAUGUUAGUAUCGUUCCAUAAGAUUUAGAAAAUGACAGAAUUAUAGGUGUUACUCUACAUACUUGGUCAUAUUGCAUCCUUAGUUUUACUCCCAUAAACAAUUCGAUGUUCUCAGCAUGUACAGUGCACAACAAGAACUGCAACAUUUUAUUUUGUUAGAUCAACAUUUCAAAUAUUAACAAUCUAAAAAAAAUAAAAGCUAAUAUUGUUGACUAAAGUCUCAUCGGCUUUUGGCACCUUAAUAAUUCGUACUAGCCAUUGCGUCACUUUAAUGUCUUCCCAUGCAUUGCUUUCUAUCCCAUUGACUCGCAUUGCUGCUCUCAGAUGUGCUUCAAUCCCACGAAACUGCAAGCCCAAUGGGAUGAGAAGUUUCCCACGACUAAUACUUACAUACGAUGUUAAAUCCUUUGUUAUAAUUAAAUAUGUUGAAAUUCUCACCACGUUAUUUACUUCUGUGGGUACCAUACAUUGGAAAAGUGAAUCAAGAACAUGAAUCUCCUUCCUUCUGGGGUUUACAACCACAAGGAACCAAUGGACGUUUAAACUGUUCGUAGGUAGGGAACCUGGAGUGCACAGAUAAUUAGAUCAACGUGUAUAGUAAUAAAAAAUAUGUUCAAUGUAAGGUUAAAAUACCAUAUCAUGUUUCAGGUAGCUGGUGCCUUAUGUUGUUCCAUGAAUGCCUCCCAAAGCGUCCUGGUAGCACUCCUCUAUCCUACCAUCUCUUUCGAGCUUAGAGACGCCGGCCACCCUCUCAAUGUAAACCACUUGGUCGUCCCUUGUGUCAAUUGGUUCACCAUGACGCAUGAGCUGGAUCGCAGCAUCAACCACCUAAAACAAUAAUCAAGUUAAUUGUAUUGUACAAAAAUUAAACUACAUAAACUAAUUUGUGAAAUAUCUUACUUCGUCACCCAACCGUACGCCAUCUUCACAUUCAUAUUUUUGGUUGAGGCAUUGCAAAUGCUUCGAUAGCACGACAAUGUCAUCAACUAAGACCAUUUGUUUUUCAUAAUUUGUAGUAUUGAUCAGUGACGACGAAAUCCCGUCGAACCACGUCUAGCUAGUCCCUCUGGGUUUCAGGAACUUCUGACCUCUUUUUUAAGAUGCUAGAGCCGAUUUUCUUAUUUUUAUUGUCCGUGUCCUCGAAAUCAUUUGUAGACUCUAAUGGAGUCUUGUUUUUCCUUUUCUUUUUCUCAGUAUCGUACGAAAAAUACUCAUCAUUCUUAAAUAAUUGCAAUACCACCCUUUUCUUUUCGCCCCCAUGAUUUGCUGGCGUCGAUUCAACCACACUUACGUCUUGCUGCUUUCGAAAGGAUUCAUCAUGGCUGUCAUCAUCUGUGAAGGCACAUGGCUCUUCAGGCUCUCGCGAUCCCGUAGCCUUCAGAGAGUGGUGCUUACAACGUCUGUUGAACGGAUUCUAUCAUACGAAAUAAACCGUGUGUUAGCCUUUAGUAGAUUCUUGCUCAAUUAUAGGUAAAAUGUGCAUCACCUAGAAAGCUUCAAGGCUUGUGGUGGCUUUCCAAUGCAGUUUCUUAUCCAAACUAGGAGCCCGUGGAUAUGAUCCACCUCUUUAAAAACUUAUGAACACCACUGAGAUCCUAUUUGAUUUUACAACAGCUCUUUCGAAUGCUUCAUCCUGUACGUGGAAGAUCACAUGUUAUUUCUGAAAUAACAAUGAUUUUUUCAUAAUUAAGUUAACAUGCGUACGUCAAAAUCUUCAUCAAGGUCCUUCAUGGGGGCUCCAUGUCAUCAUUUUUUAUUCUCUGCUUACAAUUGUGCUUAGCAGCGACCUCCAUGACAUCCUUUUGUUUCCCCUGGUCAGAAGCCUGCUCAACAUUCUCAAAGAGGCCUCCAUUGGGUGUGAGGGUGCCCCGAGGUUAGAAAGAUGUAUGUCCUCCACUCCUGGAAAUAUUCCAUCACGUUUUUUCUUAAAAGAAAUACAUGUUAGUCCGGGGUGUUUUCAUAAUAAACUAAUUUAGAAAAAACCUUGUACGCGUAAAUUUCCAAUUAUAUAUACUAAUCUCAUAAUUCUAUGCUUACGUUCAAUUCUUUGAUGAGGUCCUCCGUGAGCUUGCCAUUUGUAUGGGUACGUCCAAGGCAUUCAUCCAUUUUCUUUUCAAGGGUGCGCAUCCUAUCGACUUGUUCUGCACCUGCCUCCCGCACAAGGGAGGCAACUUCUUGCAAAUCAGUCAAUACACGUUCGACAAGUACCUUAAUCUGAGACUUUGAAACAGUUAGAAUCAUAUAACUUCAUACUAGUUGGAAUGUUACAAUAUAUAUUUGUGCCAGAUGUAACUCAUUUACCUGAGCGCCAGUCUUCGGUUUGGCCACCGUACCAUCUCGUGCUGGAAUGAAAGGCAUCAUCAGGUCCUCUACAUACUGCAGUUUCAGUUUAGUGUCGUUAGUAUGAUUUAGAAAAUAUACAUGUUACAUAAUCCAGGCAACGUGCUGACAUUUUACCUCUCCAACUCCCAAAUAAUUAUUCUGGAUUAUAUUUUCAACCUUUCUGGCCUUCUCCUCGCUCCAGUUUUGGAUUAGCGACCUUAACCUUGAUUCAUACGAGAUACUAGAGUCCAAUUGGAGCACUCUGAACUUCUCGUAGUACCAUGUCUGCAUGACAACAAAAGCAGUUUACAAACAUUCUCGUACAUUGUGUAAUGUAUGUGAGGUAACUAAUAAUUGUACUACUGCGAAUUACCUGCAGAAGUGGUAGAUUCCACUCUAGAAUUGCCUCACCAUUUACAAGAUUCUUCACACUAUCCAUAAGAUAGUCAAGUGUUAGCUGUCCAAUAUUUGUACCCUUUAUCGUCUCAAUGUUUCUAUCAAUCCCAAUAUAUUUGUUAUCCACAUAUUCCUCUUUUGUUCGGCAUACAUAUUUUCCUAUGGUGUAUAAGACAAAUGGCCUGACAAAAUUUGCUGUGUUGUGGCCUUUCAUCUUGGCUAGCAAUCCUUUGAAAGUUAUUUUGGUGUCAUUACUGUCUUUCUGUUUCUUCCACAAAUCCAUAUUAUCAUAAAGAUUUGAAGGGACAUGAUUAUUCCCAUCACAGGGCAUGCCUGUUAUAUGCGUUACAUCUUCUAGUGUGAUCCUAUAUGGUCUCCCAUUGAUGAUAAAGGCAUCCUGCUCUGCAUCAUAUGAAUUAGCGAUGGCCAGGCACAGUACACGCGUAAUUUUGAUGCUAGGUGUCUUGAGAAGUCCACCCAGUCCUAUCAACUGGAUGUACAUCCUUUGCUGCGUGUUUAAUCCGUUUCUGAACUCCUCAUAUGGCGGCAAAGAAGCAUCAUGGGUUCAAUGGAUGUGCAAGUGUGAUUAGAUUCGGCAUGGUAUACAAUUUAAACACUCAUACAAACGACUACAACUUAUAUAUACCAACAUAAAAAUUGUGCUCUACGCUACUGCAUGAGGUAAUUUGUUUACAAGCAUGGUGAGUUCCAUGAAUGUGCAAAUACUAUCAUUAAAUUCAGCUUGGUUACGUAUGAACAGUCAUAUAAGGUAAUAUCCAUUGCAAGGCUCUUAUUUGAAAUAAAAUAAAGAUUGGAAAAUAAAAAACUAUCCAACCAUGGUCUCCUCAACUAUAGGCGCUAAUCAUGGUUAGUAGUAUGAAAUUAAAACAUGGGCCAUCGAUGCCUUACAUAACUCGUGCGGAAGGAAAAAAGAAGGCAAGAGCCUGCUGCACUAAUUGCCAUCGACAAGACGAGGCGCUACGAUUUAGCCUGGAAUUACUCAAUGAACUGUCAAUAUGGUAGGAAAAAAUCUUAGCGCCCUCCCCUAACGCCCACAACUUAAUUUGUUUAAAAACAUGCCGAGUUACAUGAAUAUGCAAACAAUGAGUGGGGUUGCAACAAGAGUUCAUGGGAGGAAGAUCGUGGCACAAAAGUAAGCAGCGGUAAGCAGCGGUUGCAGCAGGAGAUCGUGGGGAGUUACCAGAGCAUUCAUGUUUGGCUCCGUCGUUCGGUCUUGCUGGAUUCCUGGGUUGCUUCGUCCUUCGAUCUUGCUGUUUGGGCGACGCAGAAGGACGAACUAUGAACUACGAGGUUUCAAAGGAUCCCUAGUUAUAGGGAUCGUAACAACGGGGCAUAUACCUACGUAUAGAUUUCUUUGGUUGGCCGAAAUCAAGGGAGAGGAUGUAGGGUAACGUAGUAGUAAUUCAAAAAAAUUCCUACGUCAUACCAUUAUCUAUCUAGGAGAAACCAGCAACGAGAGAGGUUGUAGAGCAUCUUCAUACCUUUGAAGAUCGCUAAGCAGAAGCGUUACUAGAAAGCGGUUGAUGGAGUCGUACUAGUAGCGAUUCAGAUCACGGAAGACUGCCAUCUAAGCGCCGAACAACGGCGCCUCCGCGUUCAACACACGUGCAGCCCGGUGACGUCUCCUUCACCUUGAUCCAGCAAGGAGAGAGGAGGAGUUGAGGGAGAGCUCCGGCAGCACGACGACAUGGUGAUGGUGGAGCUGCGUGGUACUCCGAUAAGGCUUCGCCAAGUGCUACGAAGGACCAGGAGGAGAAGAGGUAGGGCUGCGCCGAGGGAGGAUGAAACUUGUGUGUCUAGCAGCCCCAAACCCUCACAUAUAUAUAGGGGAAGGAGGAGGAGGGUUCUCCACCCCUAGGGUUUCCCUAGGUGGUGCGGCAGACCUUAGAUGGGAGGGGCGACGGCCCAAGAGGAGGAGGAGGCGACGCCCUAGGGUGACUUGCCACCCAAGGCAGCCCUGACGCCUAGGGUUAGACCUCCCUUGCCCUCUUGUGUGCCUUCGGCAAAGGUGGGUGGAACACCAGCCCACCUAGGGGCUGGUUCCCAUCCGAUGGUCCCGGUACAAUAUCGACGAUUCCCGAAAUGUUUCCAGCGAUCAAAUCUCCACUUCUUAUGAAUGAAUAUUUACAUCCUGACCAUUCCGGAGCUCCUCAUGAUGUCCGGGAUAUCAUCCGGGACUCCGAACAACCUUUUGUAACCACAUACUAAUCCCAUUACAACUCUAGCGUCAUCGAACCUUAUGUGUGUAGACCCUACGGGUUCGGGAACCAUGCAGACAUUACCGAGACACCUCUCUGGUCAAUAAACAACAACGGGGUUUGGAUAUGCAUGUUGUUUCCCACAUGUUCCACGAUGAUCUCAUCAGAUGAACCACGAUGUCGAGGAUUCAAUCAAUCUCGUAUGCAAUUCCCUUUGUCUACCGGUAUGAUACUUUCCCGAGAUUCGAUCGUCGGUAUCCCCAUACCUUGUUCAAUCUCGUUACCGGCAAGUCUCUUUAAUCGUUCCGUAAUACAUCACCCCAUGGCUAACUCCUUAGUCACAUUGAGCUCAGUAUGAUGAUGCAUUACCGAGUGGGCCCAGAGAUACCUCUCUGUCACACGGAAUGACAAAUCUCAGUCUCAAUUUAUACCAACCCAACAAACACUUUCGGAGAUACCUGUAGUGCACCUUUAUAAUCACCCAGUUAUGUUGUGACGUUUUAUACACCCAAAGCACUCCUACGGUAUCCGAGAGUUGCACAAUCUCAUGGUCUAAGGAAAUGAUACAUGACAUUAGAAAAGAUUUAGUAGACGAACAAUACGAUCUAGUGAUAUGCUUAGGAUUGGGUCUUGUGCAUCACAUCAUUCUCCUAAUGAUGUGAUUCCGUUAUCAAUGACAUCCAAUGUCCAUGAUCAGGAAACCAUGACCAUCUAUUGAUCAACGAGCUAGCGAACUAGAGGCUCACUAGGGAUACAUUGUGGUCUAUGUAUUCACUCGUGUAUUACGGUUUCUGGUUAAUACAAUUAUAGCAUUAAUAAUAGACAAUUAUCAUGAACUAGGAGAUAUAAUAAUAACCACUUUAUUAUUGCAUGUAUGGCAUAUUUCCAACAGUCUCCCACUUGCAUUAGAGUCAAUAAUUUAGUUACAUUGUGAUGAGUCGAACACCCGUAGAGUUCUGGUGCUGAUCAUGUUUUGCUCGUGGAAGAGGUUUAGCCAACGGAUCUGUGACAUUCAGAUGCGUAUGUACUUUACAAAUAUCUAUACCCCCAUCCUAGAUGUAUCCACGAAUGGAGUUGAAGUAGUACUUGAUUUGCUUGGUCUUCUUGUGAAACCUAGGCUCCUUGGCAAUGGAAAUAACACCAGUGUUGUCACAAAAGAGAGUCAUCGGGCCCGAUGCACUGGGAAUCACUCCUAGGUCGGUGAUGAACUCCUUCAUCCAGACUCCUUCAUGUGCUCCUUCCAAAGCAGCUAUGUACUCCGCUUCACAUGUAGAUGCCGCCACGAUGCUUUGCUUGCAACUGCACCAGCUGACUGCCCCACCAUUCAAUAUAUACACGUAUCCGGUUUGUGACUUGGAGUCAUCCGGAUCUGUGUCGAACCUAGCAUCGAUGUAACACUUUACGACAAGCUCUUUGGAACCUCCAUAAACGAGAAACAUAUCUUUAGUCCUUUUCAGGUAAUUAAGGAUAUUCUUGACCGCUGUCAAGUGAUCCACUCCUGGAUCACUUUGGUACCUCCCUACCAAACUUAUGGCAAGGUUCACACCAUGUCUGGUACACAACAUGGCAUAGAUGAUAGAGCCUAUGGCUGAAGCAUAGGGGAUGGUACUCAUCUUCUCUCUAUCUUCUGUCGUGGUCGGGCGUUGAGCUGUGCUCAACCUCACACCUUGUAAUACAGGCGAGAACCCCUUCUUGGCCUUAUCCAUAUUGAACUUCUUCAAUAUCUUGUCAAGGUAUGUGCUUUGUGGAAGACCUAUGAGGCGUCUCGAUCUAUCUCUAUAGAUCUUGAUGCCUAAUAUGUAGGCAGCUUCUCCAAUGGCCUUGAUUGAAAAACACUUAUUCAAAUAGGCCUUUAUGCUUUCCAAAUGUUAUAUAUCAUUUCCCAUCAACAAUAUGUCAUCCACAUAUAAUAUGAGAAAUGCUAUAGAGCUCCCACUCACUUUCUAGUAAAUACAGGCUUCUCCAUAAGUCUAUACAAACCCAAACGCUUUGAUCACCUCAUCAAGGCGAAUGUUCCCACUCCGAGAUGCUUGCACCAGGCAUAGAUGGAGCGCUAGAGCUUGCAUACCUUGUUAGCAUUAUUAGGAUCGACAAAACCUUCCGGCUGUAUCAUAUACAAUUCUUCCGUAAGAAAGCCGUUUAGGAAUGCCGUUUUGACAUCCAUUUGCCAGAUCCCAUAAUCAUAAAAUGCGGCAACUGCUAACGUGAUUCGGACCAACUUCAGCUUCGCUACGGGUGAGAAGGUCUCAUCAUAGUCAAUCCCUUGAACUUGUCGAUAACCCUUAGCAACAAGUUGAGCCUUAUAGAUGGUCACAUUACCAUCCGCGUCAGUCUUAUUCUUAAAGAUCCAUUUAUUUUAUAUGGCUCGCCGAUCAUCAGGCAAGUCCACCAAAGUCCAUACUUUGUUCUCAUACAUGGAUCCUAUCUCGGAUUUCAUGGCAUCAAGCCAUUUGUUGGAAUCCGGGCCCUCCAUUGCAUCUUCAUAGUUCGAAGGUUCACUGUUGUCCAACAACAUGAUUUCCAUGACAGGGUUGUCGUACCACUCUGGUGCGGCACGUGUCCUUGUGGACCUUCGAGGUUCAGUAGCAACUUGAUCUAAAGUUUCAUGAUCAUCAUCAUUAACUUCUUCUCUAGCCGGUGCAGGCACCUCAGAAAUAUUUUCUUGUGUUGGGCUACGCUCUGGUUCGAGAGGAGGUACGAUUACCUCUUCAAGUUCUACUUUCCUCCCACUUACUUCUUUCGAGAGAAACUCUUUCUCUAGAAAGGAUCUGUUCUUGGCAACAAAUAUUUUGCCUCCGGAUCUAAGAUAGAAGGUAUACCCAAUAGUUUCCUUAGGGUAUCCAAUGAAGACACAUUUUUCCGCUUUGGGUUCGAGCUUCUCAGGUUGAAGUUUCUUCACAUAAGCAUCAUAGCCCCAAACUUUCAGAAACGACAGCUUAGGUUGUUGCCAAACCAUAAUUCAUACGGUGUCGUCUCGACGGAUUUAGUCAGUGCCCUAUUUAAAGUGAAUGCGGUAGUUUCCAAUGCAUAUCCCCAAAAUGAUAGCGGUAAAUCAGUAAGAGACAUCAUAGAUCGCACCAUAUCCAAUAAAGUGCGAUUACAAUGUUCAAACACACUGUUACGCUGUUGUUUGCCAUGCGGCGUGAGUUGUGAAACAAUUCCACAUUUCCUUAAGUGCGUGCCAAACUCGUGACUCAAAUAUUCUCCUUCACGAUCAGAUCAUAGGAACUUUAUUUUCUUGUCACGUUGAUUCUCUACCUCACUCUGAAAUUCCUUGAACCUUUCAAAGGUUUCAAACUUGUGUUUCAUUAAGUAGACACACCCAUAUCUGCUUAAGUCAUGAGUGAGGGUGAGAACAUAACGAUAGCCACCACAAGCCUCCUUGCUCAUUGGACCGCAUACAUCGGUAUGUAUUAUUUCCAACAAGUUGGUUGCUCGCUCCAUUAUUCGGGAGAAUGGAGUAUUGGUCAUCUUGCCCAUGAAGCACGGUUCGCAUGUGUCAAAUGAUUCAAAAUCAAGAGACUCCAAAAGUCCAUCUGUUUGGAGUUUCUUCAUGCGCUUGACACCGAUAUGACCAAGGCGGCAGUGCCACAAGUACGUGGGACUAUCAUUAUCAACCUUACAUCUUUUGGUACUCACACUAUGAAUAUGGGUAACAUCAUGUUCGAGAUUCAUCAACAAUAAACCAUUGACCAGCGGGGCAUGACCAUAAAACAUAUCACUCAUAUAAAUGGAACAACCAUUACUCUCAGAUUUAAAUGAGUAGCCAUCUCGCAUCAAGCAAGAUCCCGAUACAAUGUUCAUGCUCAAAGCUAGUACUAAAUAACAAUUAUUAAGAUUUAAAACUAAUCCCGAAGGUAUAUGUAGAGGUAGCGUGCCGACGACGAUCACAUCGACCUUGGAACCAUUCCCGACGCGCAUCGUCACCCCGUCCUUUGCCAGUCUCCGCUUAUUCCGUAGUUUCUAUUUUGAGUUGCAAAUGUGAGAAACAACACCGGUAUCAAAUACCUAGGAGCUACUAUGAGCGCUGAUAAGGUACAAAUCAAUAACAUGUAUAUCUUAUAUACCUUUGACAUUGCCGGCCUUCUUAUCCGCAAAGUACUAGGGGCAGUUCCUCUUCGAGUGACCGGUCCCCUUGCAAUAAUAGCACUCAAUCUCAGGCUUGGGUCAUUUCUUUGGCUUCUUCCCGGCAACUGGUUUACCGGGCACGGCAACUUCUUUGUCGUCCUUCUUGAAGCUCUUUUUACCCUUGCCUUUCUUGAAACUGGUGGACUUUUUCACCAUCAACAAUUGAUGUUCUUUCUUGAUUUCUACCUCUGCUGAUUUCAGCAUUAAAUAAAACUCGGGAAUGGUCUUCUCCAUCCCUUGCAUGUUGUAGUUCAUCACAAAGCCCCUAUCACUAGGUGGAAACGACUGGAGGAUUCUGUCAAUAACCGUGUCAUCCGAAGUUCAACUCCCAGUUGAGUCAAGCGGUUGUGCAACCCAAACAUUCUGAGUAUGUGCUCACUGACAGAACUAUUUUCCUCCAUCUUAUAGGUGAAGAACUUGUCGGAUACCUCAUAUCUCUCGACCAGGACAUGAGCUUGGAAAACGAGUUUCAGCUCUUGGAACAUCUCAUAUGCUCCAUGUUGCUCAAAACACCUUUGAAACCCCGGUUCUAAACUAUAAAGCAUGCCACACUGAACCAGAGAGUAGUCAUCACUACGCGACUGCCAUGCGUACAUAACGUCCUGGGCUGCCAUGGGAACGGGAGGAUCCCCUAGCGGUGCAUCACGGACAUAUGCCUUCUUGGAAGCAGUGAGGAUGAGCUUUAAGUUUCGAGCCGAGUCCGCAUAGUUGCUACCAUCAUCUUUCAGCUUGGUUUUCUCUAGGAACGCGUCGAAAUUGAAGUUGACAUGUGUGUUGGCCAUUGGAUCUACAAUAUUUCUAAAUACAUUUUUAGACUAAGUUCAUGAUAGUUAAGUUCAUCUAAUCAAAUUAUAUAAUGAACACCCACUUAGAAAGACAUCCCUCUCAUCAUCCAAGUGAUACAUAAUCCAUAUCGACUAGCCCGUCUCCAAUCAUCACGUGAGACAAAAUAGUCAUCAACGGUGAGCAUCUUCAUGCUGAUCGUAUCAUCCAUAUGACUCAUGUUGGACCUUUCGGUCUCUCGUAUUCCGAGGCCAUGUCUGUACAUGCUAGGCUCGUUGAGUCAACCUAAGUGUUUUGCGUGUGUAAAUCUGGCUUACACCCGUUGUAUGCGAACAUUAGAAUCUAUCACACCCGAUCAUCACGUGGUGCUUCGACACAACGAUCCUUCGCAAUGGUGCACACUUAGGGGAAUACUUAUCUCGAAAUUUAAUGAGGGAUCAUCUUAUCUUUGCUACCGUCGUUCUAAGCAAUAAGAAGAAAAACAUGAUAAACAUACAUGCAAUCAUAUAGUGACAUGAUAUGGCCAAUAUCAUCUUGCUCCUUUGAUCUCCAUCUUCGGGGCACAGCGUGAUCAUCAUUGUCACCGGCAUCACAACAUGAUCUCCAUCAUCAUGAUCUCCAUCAUUGUUUCUUUGUGAAGUCUUCUCGCCAACUAUUACUUCUACUACUAUGGCUAACGGUUAGCAAUAAAGUAAAGUAAUCACAUGGCGUUGCAUCUCAUACAAUAAAUUAAGACAACUCCUAUGGCUCCUGACGGUUGUCAUACUCAUCGACAUGCAAGUCAUGAAUCCUAUUACAAGAACAUGAUCAAUCUCAUACAUCACAUAUGUAACAUCUCAUCCUUUUGGCAAUAUCACAUCGCAUAGCAUACCCUACAAAAACAAGUUAGACGUCCUCUAAUUGUUGUUGCAAGUUUUAUGUGGCUGAUUUGGGUUUCUAGCAAGAACGCUUCUUACCUACAUGAUAGCCACAACGUUGAUAUGCCAAUGCUAGGCGGUGGAACCAGUCUCACAUUUCUAGCAAAAACAAGUUACCCUUCAUAAGGACCCUUUUUAUCGAAUCCAAUUCGACUAAAGUGGGAGAGACAUACACCCGCUAGCCACCUUAUGCAACAAGUGCAUGUCAGGCGGUGGAACCAGUCUCACGUAAGCGUAUGUGUAAAGUCAGUCCGGGCUGCUUCAUCCCACAAUACCGCCGAAAAAAGAUUGGACUAGUAACGGCAAGCAAUGGACAAAUCACCGCCCACAACUUUUGUGUUCUACUCGUGCAUGGAAUCUACGCAUAGAACCUGGCUCGGAUGCCACUGCUAGGUAAUGUAGUAGUAAUUCAAAAAAAUCCCUACGUCAUACCAUGAUCUGUCUACUGAAACACGAACACGUCACGCGUACCCUCGACGCCGGGGGUGAUGCAGCGCAGCUCACGUUGAAGGAGAUUUGACGGACAACGCGAUAUGCAAGACAGUCGGCGGAUGGUUUUGAAGACCCGAAACUCCGCACGCCCGGGAGGGACCCCGUCAGGGAGCGCGGCGGCUAUGGGCUGCCCUAGCUCGAUUCGCUCGCCCCUAGAUCCUCGGGAUUCUCAGCUCUCAAAUUCGAGGAACAUCGAAGAACGAGAGAUAAAACGAUCAGAGCAUAAAACGUAGAUGAAAAAGUAGUAUAUUGAUGUUUCGAUUGUGUGUUGUUCAAUCGGCCGUCACCCCCAACAUAUAUAAGAGGCGGCUGGACUUCCUGUACAAGCAAAGGAUUCAUCUAGGCUUUCCUUACAAGAAAACUACAGCAAAUCACGUCCUAGAGUCCUACUUCUAGUCUAACUCGGAUUCAGCCCAAAUCUGGUCCAAUCUUCUGUCUUGUUCCUUGCGUAGGCUCUGAAAUACCAAUAUGACCUCUGAUUGAGACUAUUUAUAUAUAUCAAAAUUGACCAUAUUGACGAUACGAACAACUCUCAUGUUGAUCACUUUCCAAAUAAGGUCAUCUUGAAUACUCCACGAAGUCGUCUUGAACUUUGAAUCGGCAUCUGUCAUAUAGCGGACUCGACCAUCCGAGUGUUGUAGCAUCCCUGCAGGCCGUGUACUACCUCAUAUGAUAAUGACCUUAAAAGAAAAGUUGACCAUUUCGACGUUACAAACAAUUGUCAUGUUGAACACUUUUCCAUAUGAGGCCAUCUAGAUGACCAUACGGGCCAAUCUCUACCUUCUAGUUGAGUCACUCGGAUUCGGAACCCCUUUAAAUCGGUCGAGUCACUCGGAAAUUUUUUUUCACUCUGUAUCCAUGACUCCGUGGCCGAAAUUCCACUCGUAUUUGGAAACUUUUCACUCGGUCAUCAAGCCUUCACUCGGAUAAUUAUACUUUCACUUGGAAUUCAUGCAUCUCACCCAAGUUCCACUCGUGUUUAGAAACUUUUCACUCGGAUGGAAAAUUCCUCUCAGAUGGCAAACUCCUUUUGGAUGACAAACUUUCCACUCGGAUGGAAAAUUCCACUCAGAUGGCGAACUCCACUCGGAUGGCAAACUUUUCACUCGGAUCCACGAGUGAAACUUCAGUCUGAUCUUGUUUUGUCCCUUCAGGUCGAACACGAACUCGGAUUGAGACAAAAUAUAUAUCAAAAUCGAUCGGCUCGACGAGGCGAACACAAUUCCUGUUGAACAUUUUUCCAUAUGAGGCUGUUUUGUUGGCUUAAAAGGCCGAACAACACUCUGAAUAUGAAAUCUCAGCACUUCGAACACAGUUUCGGGCUUCAAUAUCAGAUUGGACAGCGAUGGCCCAAACUCAAAAUAUUCAUGUCAACACCACAAAACUCUUUUAUGUGGAACACUUCUCCCUUUGAAUCCAUCUUUAUAAGAUUUUCUUCCGUGCCAAAAUACGGGUCAACACAUGCCCCCCUAUUUUUCGGCAAAACUUGUGUGCCGAAAAAUAACUUGCACACGUCUGUUCUCAUGACGAUGUGAACACUCCAUCGGCUCGGCCAUCUAUAUUUCUCAGGGUGAUAAUCAUGUAUCGGCCAUUGCCUACUCAAGCUUCUUGCCAUACACUCGGAUGAUAUUUUUUCAGAUAUUUACCAUUGAGGGCUUGAGGUAGCAUCGUCCCUUGAAUUGUUUCCAUUAAAUAUGAGUUUCCAAGAACUAUUCUCGCAAUCCUAUAAGGGCCUUCCCAGUUCGGAGACCACUUCCCGAACUUUCUAUCUCUCGAGCCAAUCGGUAGGAUCACUUUCCACACAAGAUAGCCAACUUGGAAAUUCUUCAGUUUGACCCUUUUAUUAUAAGCUCUGGCCACUCUUAACUUGUCCUUUUCUAUGGCCUUUAAAGCAACUAAACGUUUAUCGGCCACUUCAUCAAUAAAAGUCUACGACCGAUAAAUCAUUUUGUUUGGCUAUUCGCAAAGCACUCAAGUUUACUUCAGUCGGUAAAACAGCCUCCUGACCAUAUACUAGCUCAAAAGGGGUUACCUUUGCAGCACCGUGCUUUGAUAUUCGAUGUGCCCAUAAAGCCUCAGAUAGCAGCUCAUGCCAUCUCCUUGGAUUAUCCUCAAUUUUCUUUUUGAUGAGCUUGAUCAAUAUUUUAUUGCUAGAUUCAGCUUGUCCAUUAGCUUGGGCAUAAUACAGAGAGGAAUUGAGCAUCUUUAUCUUAUAAGACUCGGCAAAUUCUUUAACUUGAUGUGACAUAAAAGACUAACCUUGAUCUGUAGUCAAAGUUUGCGGGAAUGCCGAAUCUGUGAAAAAUGUUCUCAGUUAUGAAUUGAAUCACCUCCGUAUGUCUCAUGUUCUUGAGAGGUACCGCUUCAGCCCACUUAGUGAAAUAAAUAGUCGCUACUAAUACGAACCGAUGCCCCUUUGCAGAAGAUGGGUGAAUUUCUCCAAUGAAGUCCAAACCACACCCCCUAAAAGGCCACGGUUUGAUAAUAGGAUGUAACAUAGCAGCAGGAGCCAACUGAAUAUCACCAAACUUUUGACAAGCCUCACACCCUUUAUAAUACCUGAAGCAAUCAUUAAUCAUCAUCGGCCAAUAAAAUCCAGCAUGUCGCAAUAACCACUUCAUCUUAGGAGCCAACUGACGAGUUCCACAAAUGCCUUCAUGUACCUCUCCCAUAGCAAUCCUGUCUUGAUCUUCAUCCAAGCACUUCAAAAGAACAUCAUCAACUGUUCGGCGAUAAAGGUCAUCAUCCCAGAUCACAUAUUUGAAAGCCAUACGCCGAAUAGCCUUGUCCACCCUCUCACUCGGAUCACAUAAGUAAUCAAUAAUGGGCUUUCUCCAGUCUGGAUUUUACUGUUCGACAUUCUCCAUUAGCUGCCAAAGUUGUGUUUUGUUCGGCCUCCCUCACACUCGGAAAGCUAGACAUCAGCUUUACAGAGAUAUGAAACAUGCCUCGAUCAACAUGAUAGUCAGAUGCUUGUUGUGUCAAAUCAUUCGCUCUCCAAUUGUCAUGUCUAGAUAUAUGAGCAAUGCCAAAAUAAUCCAAAGCAGAAAUUAUAUCUAGACAUUUGUCCAGAUAAAUAUUAAGUGAUUCUUCAAUACACUAAAAAACACUGGAUAUUUAUUGUACCAGUAAUAACGAAUCACUAAAAGCCUCAAUAUGUGUAGUGCCUAUAGCCAUCAACAUCUCUAGGACAAAUAAGAGUGCUUCAUAUUCGGCUUGAUUAUUUGUGCAAAAAUAUUCCAAUCGACACGAGGCUUCAAAAACAGCACCAUGGGGAGAUAUAUAAACAAUACCAACACAGUGGCCAUUGUUACAAACUAAACCAUCAAAAUAUAAUCUCCACGGUACUACCGAGACAAUGUUUAGAUCAAUAUCGUGUUUGUCACUAAUCUGAUGCUCAACAAUGAAAUCAACAACUAUUUGGCCUUUCAUGGAUUUUAAAGAUUCAUAGGCCAAAUCAUAUUCAAUCAAAGCAUAAGCCCACUUGCCAAUUCUACCACUAAGAAUCGGCCUAUGCAACAUGUAGUUAAUGACAUCGGUUUGACAAGCUAUUAUGCAAGCACUCGGUACUAAGUAAUGUCUCAGUUUGGUGCAAGUGUAAUAUAGACAAAGGCAUAAUUUUUAAAUAAAUGUGUACCUUGUCUCGGCGUCCAACAAUCGCCGACUCAAAUAUGUAAUAGCAUGCUCUUUUUCUUCGGUCUCUUGGGUCAAAACAGCACCAAUAACACCUUCCUCCGCUGCAAUGUAAAGUUUGAAUGGCUCCCCAUGUCUAGGUGCUUUCAUUACCGGAGGAGUGCACAAAUAUUCCUUGAUCAUAUCAAAUGUUUCUUGUUGUUUUGCCCCCAAGUAAAGUCAGCAUCAUUCUUUAACCGAAGGAUGUGAGUGAAUGCGUCGACCUUGCCUGACAAGUUGGCUACGAAUCUCCUCAAAUAGUUGACCUUGCCAAGGAAUUUUUGCAUAUCUUUCUUACAUGUUGGAGCUUCUACUUUCUGUAUAGCCUCUAUUUUCUUAGGAUGAAUCUCCACACCAUUUUCAUGAAUGAUGAACCCCAAAAACAUCCUAUCUGAUACACCAAAUGCACAUUUCGAAGGAUUCAUCUUCAGUCCAUAUUUCUUCAUUCUUUCAAAGGCUAAACGCAAAUCGGCUAGAUGAGAUUCAAAAGCAUCCGAUUUGACAACAAUGUCAUCGAUAUACACCUCAAGUAUGUCACCGAGUAAAUCAUGAAAAAACAAAUUUAUAGCCCUCUGAUACGUUGCACCAACAUUUUUUAAUCCAAAGGUCAUUACUGUCCACUCGAAUAAACCAAGAAAACCAGGGAAACGGAAAGUUGUUUUGGACAUGUCCUUUUCGGCCAUAAAAGUCUGGUUAUAUCCCGCAUUAGCAUCAAGAAAACUAAUGACCAUAUGUCCAGAAGCAUCAUUAAUAAGCAUACCAGCUAUAGGCAUGGGAUACUCAUCUUUGGGUGUAGCCCUAUUCAAAUCUGUGAAAUCAAUGCACACCCUCAACUUACCAGACCCCUUUUUGUCUACCGGUACAAUGUUAGAAAUCCACUCGGCAUACCUGCAAGGUCUAAUAAAAUUAGCUUUCAGCAAUUGACCGAUCUCCUCCUUGAUUCGGUCGUAUGUUUUUGGAUUAAACUUUCUAGCCGAUUGUUUCUAAGGUCUAAAACCGGCUUUUAUAGGUAAUCGAUGGUCCACCAAUUCUUGGCUUAAACCUGGCAUCUCAUGAUAUUCCCAUGCAAAACAACAAACAUAUUCUUUCAAUAGCCCGAUCAACUCAGCUUUACGAUCGGCUCUAAAAUUCUUGUUUACAAAAGUCAACCGAGUGAUUGAACCAUCUCCUAUAUCUAUCUCCUCUAAUGGAUCAGCCGAAGUAAAACCUUGUCCUAAUUUAUCCAUGUCAUCUAACUCCUCUAUAGACUCAUACAUAUCGUUCUCACUGGACCGAUAUUUUGCAAGACGUUUCUGUAACCACUCGGAAUUAGAAUCCAUUUAAACAUAUCAUACCUUGGAGCCGAUUGCCUCCAACCGGCUUUAAAGAAAUUGGCACAAAACCACUCUUUGUAGCGCUGAGAAAAUCAAACUGUGAUAAGUCACGCCCUGUCAAGCAAGUAGCAUUGGGAUGUUGCCAAUCCACUGAUGCAUCGUCCAAAGCAACACAAGUCAAGUUAUCCACAUGAAUGACUUCCACUUCAUCGUCAACCCAAUGAAUUAAGAACUGGUGCAUAGUAUAUGGAAUGCACUGGUUUGCAUGAACCCAAUCACGGCCUAAAAUCACGUUGUAAUUACCUUGCACCUGGCGACAAAGAAUGCAGUAGCCAAAGUUUUGCUCCCGACUGUAAGCUCUACGUACAUGACACCUUUGGCUUCAGUUUUUUCUUUGCAUUCAAACCCAUUGAGCACCAUAUUGGUCUUGAUUAAUUCAUCACCGGGCAAACCCAAUUUCUUGAAGACCGACUAGGGCAUGAGAUUCACCACAACACCACCAUCAACAAGCCUCCGAGUGAGUGGUGAUCCAUUGAUAUGACCUCUAAGGUACAAGUGCGUCACUGGUUCUUUUGGCUUCUCGAAUAUUGCAUUUUUAGGGCCAAAAUCUAGUUGAUCCACCUCCCCUUCUUCAUCCACAGCACAAAAUUCAGCGGGUAGAUAGUACACCAUAUUGGUAUCGAUACCUUCAUGAAACGGUGGAGGCUCAUAGUCCAAAACAUCAUCUCCAUCCUCAAGCAUGUCCAUUGGCUCUGAAAUAUCUCGAAGUGAAGAAGUAGUAAAAGGUGAAGUGGACGACGUAGUAGCGGCUGCAUCGUUCUCCGUCAGUGGUGUGGGUGUUGCUGUGAUAGGUGUAGAAGCCGCUGCAUCUUGCAUUGGUCCAGGCUUCCAUACUUGCUUUGUAGGUAACAUGGGUCGAGUAUUAUUGAACAAUUCAUCCCUUCGUUUCUCGGCCUCUAGUUCUGCCAUCUCUUGAUUCCUUAACCUCUGUAGUUUCCUCUUUUGCAUUUUCAUUAGCCCUGGAGGACACCACUUCGGUUGAGUGUAUUUGGGAUCUCGUGGCUUUGCUUGGCUAGUACUUGCCUCAUGAUCAUUAGUCGAAUGCUUUGGUUCGAUGGCGAGUAUCGGCUUGGUCGGAUUGUUGUGCAUAGUCGACUGUUGUAUGGUGAAUGUUUUGUCUCCUAAGAUGAGUGAAUCUGUAUUGACUUUUUCCUUGCCUUUUCCUGAAUCCACUACUGCAGCACUUGGCAACUUGACACGCCACUCUUGUUGACUUUUAUGGCCUACGAAAUUUUCACUCGGACGCACCUUUUUAUUUGGAUGAAAUCCACUCAAACGUUCAACUGAGUAAAAUCCACUCGACCGUAUUCUUUCAUUCCGAUAACUUCCACCCAGGUGCAUUCUUACACUCGAAUACUUUCUGAGUGAUGAACACUAAUAUUUAGUCGGUUUUCAUUCGAGCCAAGUCGAUCCCAAAUAGGUUGUCGUCGUUCUUAUGGAAACGAUACCCUCGAUCCAGUCGGUUUUGCAUACCGACUGAACAUAUCAGCUUAUGGUGACCUUGGUGGCUUUAGGUAUGAUCACCGAUUAGAGCUAAAACCGGCCAAUUGACUAGCAUAUUUGGACAGCAGCAUGUUAAAAGUUGGCUUGAUCCACUUACGAUGUACCUUGCCUUCAUUCUUCUUCCACCUGCCAACUUCUGGAUUCUUGGGCUUAACAAACUUGACAUGAGUGUUCCCUUGUACUUGUGGUUGCCCCCUGAGUGUAGGGUGAUACGCCUCCAUCGUAUCUACUUUUCCAAAUACUUUUCCCUUUCUUUUGGACUCUAAUUUGCAUGAUUUGAAUGGAACUAACCCGGACUAACACUGUUUUUAGCAGAAUUGCCAUGGUGUUGUUUUUGCGCAAAAAUAAAAGUUCUCGGAAUGACUUGAAAAUUUACGGAGAAUUUUUGUGGAAUAUAUAAAAAUACUAGCGCAACAAUCAACGUAGGAAGUGGAGCUGUGAGCCCACAAGCCCACCAGGCGCGGGCCCCUCUGGCCAUGCCUGCCAGGCUUGUGGGGCCCACAAAGCUCCACCGCCUCCAAUCUCAGCUCUAUUUAGCCUCUUUCGUCCGGAAAAAAAUCAAGGAGAAGAGUUCAUCGCGUUUUACAUACGGAGGCGCGCCACCUCCUGUUCUUCCUCUGGAGGGCAGAUCUGGAGUUCGUUCUGGGCUCCGGAGAGGGGAGAUCGUCGCCAUCGUCAUCACCAACCUUCCUUCAUUGCCAAUUCCAUGAUGCUCUUCACCGUUCAUGAGUAAUCUCAUCAUAGGCUUGCUAGACGAUGAUGAGUUGGAUGAGAUCUAUCAUGUAAUCGAGUUAGUUUUGACGGGGAUUGAUCCCUAGUAUCCACUAUGUUCUGAGAUUGAUGUUGCUACUACUUUGCCAUGCUUAAUGCUUGUCACUAGGGCCUGAGUGCCAUGAUUUCAGAUCUGAACCUAUUAUGUUGUCGCCAAUAUAUGUGUGUUUUAGAUCCUAUCUUGCAAGUUGUAGUCACCUACUAUGUGUUAUGACCCGGCAACCCCGGAGUGACAAUAGCCGGAACCACUCCCAGAGAUGACCAUAGUAUGAGGAGUUCAUGUAUUCACCAACUGUUAAUGCGUUGGUCCGGUUCUUUAUUAAAAGGAGAACCUUAAUAUCCCGUAGUUUCCAUUAGGACCCCGCUGCCACGGGAGGGAUGGACAAUAGAUGUCAUGCAAGUUCUUUUCCCUAAGCACGUAUGACUACAUACGGAAUACAUGCCUACAUUACAUUGACGAACUGGAGCUAGUUACAUAUCUCUCCGUGUUAUAACUGUUGCAUGAUGAAUAACAUCCGACAUAAUCAUCCAUCACCGAUCCAAUGCCUACGAGUCUUUUCCUAAUCGUCCUUGCUAUGUUACUUUGCCGCUACUGUUGUCACUACUGCUAUUGUUACUUUGUUGCUACUGUUGUUACUUUGCUGCUACUGCUGUCACUUUUCUGCUACUGGUUACUGUUGCUACUGCUGCUAUCAUACUACCUUGCUACUGAUACUUUGCUGCAGAUACUAAAUCUUUCAGGUGUGGUUGAAUUGACAACUCAACUGCUAAUACUUGAGAAUAUUCUUUGUCUUACCCAUGAGUCGAAUCAAUAAAUUUGGGUUGAAUAGUCUACCCUCGAAAACUGUUGCGAUCCCCUAUACUUGUGGGUUAUCAAGACUAUUUUCUAGCGCCGUUACCGGGGAAGCACACCUAUAUUCUCCGAGUCACUUGGGAUUUACGUCUGCUGGUCACUAUGAGGAAUCCGAAAGAGCCAAGAACUAAAGUCUUGCCCUCAACUACGAGGACAAGUAAGAACUGCCAUCUAGCUCUGCACUUGAUUCACCUUCAGUUAUGAGUACGUUUGCGACACUACCUCCUGCUAGAAAUAUUGAUAUGUCGCCUGUGCUUGAUGAUGCUACUUCUGCUGCCCAUGAUGCUUACGAUGAUGCUAUGCUUGAUACUGCUUUUCCACUAGGUGCAUUCCUUGAUGCACAAAUUGCUAGAGUUAAUGCUAGAUGUGAUGAUACUUCUGAAACUGUUGAUAAUAUUGAAGUAGAACCUCCUAUUUUUCCUGUUAGAACUAGCUCUCCUAGAUAUGAAUUGCCUGAUAUGCCUGAGUGUUAUGUUAUGGAGGGAGAGAUAAUUGAGGACUUUCUUGCUUGUAAGGAUAGCUAUGAUGUUGAGAACUUACUAUGCAAGUGGAAAGAAAAAUCUUUGAACGCCAGGAUGAAAUACGACCCAAAGUUUGCUACUUUGCCUAUCUUUGUGACCGAUAAGGAUUAUGAAUUCUCUGUCGACCCUGAGUUAAUCACUCUGGUCGAAUAUGAGUCUGAAACGGUUGUAGCCCAUCUUACCAAACUGCACGAUAGAGCCACCCUAUUCACUAGUGAGGAAAAGAUCCGCCACUACUAUAUCCUUAAGUUGUUUCCUUUCUCGCUAAAGAAUGAUGCUAAGACUUGGUUCACUUCUCUUGCUCCUGGUUGUGUGCGUAGCCCCCAGGAUAUGAUCUACUACUUCUCUGAGAAAUAUGUCCCUGCCCUUAAGAAGCAACCUGCCUUGCAGGAAAUAUACAACUUUGCGCAAGUUGAGGAAGAGAGUCUCCCACAAGCUUGGGGGAGGCUCGUCCAGCUACUGAAUGCUUUGCCUGAUCACCCUCUUGAGAAGAAUGAAAUACUUGAUAUCUUCUAUAAUGGACUUACUGAUGCUUCUAGAGACCACAUAGAUAGUGGUGUCAGUUGUGUUUUUAGAGAAUGAACCAUAGAACAAGUUGAAAUCCUAUUGAAUAACAUCUUGUGCAAUGAAAAUGCUUGGACUAUUCCCGAACCACCUCCUAAGCCAACUCCGAAGAAAAGAGGUAUUCUAUUCCACAAUCCUGAAGAUAUGCAAGAAGCUGAGAAAUCUAUGAAAGAGAAAGGCAUUAAAUUUGUAGAUGUAAAAAAUCUACAACCUAUCGAAGAGAUCCAUGGUCUUGAUAACCGAAUACAGGUAGUAGAGGUAAAUUCUCUUCAUAGAUGCAAUGAGAGUGAUAUUCCUCUUGAUAAACCUGCUAGCUUAUGCCUAGAUGAAUUUGAUAACUUUGUUGCCAAAGAACAAAGUUUCAAUGAUUAUGUUAGCAGACAAUUGGAACGGAAUGCUCGUAUGCUUAGUCAUUUAAGUGCUUGUGUGGACAAAAAUGUCAAUGAUCUUAAGCUCUUGAAUAGACAUGCCUCUAUGGUUACUACUCAGGUAGAACAAGUACUUAAAGCUCAGAAUGACUUGCUCAAUGAGUUGAAUGACAAUUCUGUCAAAAUCGUCACUAGAGGCGGUAGAAUGACCCAGGAACCUUUGUGUCCUGAGGGUCAUCCAAAGAGAAUUGAACAGGAUUCUCAAGGAGUUAGCACUGAUGCACCUAGUCAUCCUAGGAAGAAGAAGAAAGAUGAUAGGAACUUGCACGCUAGCAACCCUGUUGCUGCUACACCUAAGAGUCCAAACGAUGUCUCUGUCUGUGAUGCUGAAACACAAUCUGGUGAUGAACAUGAGGCUAAUGAUAAUAUCAAUAGUGAUGUUCAUGAUGAUGCUCAGCCUAGCAAUGAUAAGGAUGUGGAGAUUGAACCUGUUGAUCUUGAUAACCCACAACCUAAGAAUAAGAGAUACGAUAAGAACGACAUCGCUGCUAGGAAGCAUGGUAAAGAAAGGAAACCAUGGGUUCAGAAACCCAUGCCCUUUCCUCCUAAAUCAUCCAAGAAAAAGGAUGAUGAGGAUUUUGAGCGAUUUGUUGAAAUGAUCAGACCUGUCUUUCUGCAAAUGCGUUUGACACAUAUGCUCAAAAUGUCUCCGUAUGCUAAGUACAUGAAGGAUAUUGUGACUAAUAAGAGGAGGAUACCUGAGGUUGAGAUUUCCACCAUUCUUGCUAACUAUACCUUCAAGGGUGGAACUCCUAAGAAACUAGGUGAUCCCUGUGUGCCCACUAUACCUUGCUCCAUUAAAGGAAACUGCGUUAGAACUACUUUAUGCGACCUUGGAGCCGGUGUUAGUGUUAUGCCUCUCUCUCUCUUUAUCGUAGACUUGAACUGGAUAAGCUGACACCCACUGAAAUCUCUCUGCAAAUGGCUGACAAAUCAACUGCUUUCCCUAUCGACAUUUGCGAGGAUGUGCCUGUUGUGGUUGCUAACGUUACUAUCUUAACGGACUUUGUUAUUCAGGAUAUUCCCGAGGAUGAUGCCAUGGUGGUCAUCCUUGGAAGACCCUUUUUAAACACUGCAGGGGAUGUUAUAGAUUGCAACAAAGGCAAUGUCACUUUCCCUGUCAAUGGUAAUGAGCAUACGGUGCACUUUCCGAAGAAACAAUAUCGAAUACAUUGCAUCAAUGCUAUCAAAAAACUUUAUCGAUUCUUAUUGGAAGCUUUGAAUGCCCUAUUCCUCCUGUUAACAUGAAGUAUGAUUUUCUUGUUGGGGAGAUUCACAUCCCCAUUGAGGUAACCUAGUGACUAUUCGAAAAUUCUCCAUCUUCUUUUGCGAUUCGAAAAAGUUUGUCAAGGAGACUUGAUCAACCUCAUUAACUGAUUUCUUUCGAUGAUCAUGAGAUGGAUGAAUCGAUGAGUCACAAACCUCUUUUCCAAGCUUACACCUUCGGUUGCUUAGAAGAAAAAUGAUAGGUUUAGUUUAGUUUUCCCUGUUUUAUGUUUUAGCGUCCUGUAGAAAAGUACCCCGAAGAUAGAAGUUCUCCGAAUGCCGUGAAAAUCAAGUAUGAUUUUUUCUGGAAUUUUUGAAAAGUACUAAGACGAAGAGCUAGUCAGGGGGCUGCACCAGUGGGCCACAAGCCCUGGAGGCGCGGGCACCCCCUGGCCGCGCCUACCAGGCUUGUGGGGCCCACGUGCACCCGCUCCACUUAUUCUAGCUCCCAUCUGCUUCUCCUACCUCUAGAAAAAAUCGUUUCGCAGCUUAAACUCGUGUUCUUGCUCUUCUUGCUAGGAUUUUCGAUCUCCUUGUGCAAAGCCCCAUUUACCGAACUGUUUUGGGGAAAUUACUCCUUGGUAAGUGACUCCUCCAUUGGUCCAAUUAGUUUUUGCUUUAGUUCCUUAUACAUCGUGUAUUUUUGCUGCCUUGGCGACCCUGUUCUUGAGCUUUGCAUGCUAAUUUUAGCUGGCCCCAAGUAGUUUUGAUGUGUAAUACGGCCUCUAGGCACUUGUGGGAGUAGUUGCUACGAGUUUAGUUGAGCCUUGUUCACUUUUCCUUUGAGUCACUGAAAAUUUCAGAAAAGGAAGAUGUUCAGGAGAAACUAUCAUGGUGGUUCCUCAAGCAAGAGAGGUCCCCGUCUUGCGAUUCGGGAGCCCGAUCCUUACCAACCGACGAACGCACAGGUACAACCAUGUGAAUGGCCUUCUGAUGAAUUCAUGAUUGAGGCAGGUUCCAAAGACGAGUUUGAUACACUUGUUCACAACGUCGGACUUGAAGAAUUCAUCUCCGGUAAAUGUGAACAGUAUGUUACUCUCACUGCCUCUUUUGUUCGUAGAUUCAAAUUUUCAGUUGGCCGUGAUACAUUUGUAUUGUUUGGUCUCUAUGAAAAAUUGUAUACCAUGUAUUUAGAGGAUUUCAAUAGAAUUUGCAAGAUACCUAUUUGGGUAGUCUUAAUGAUCCUCCUAAAUCUUCGGUUAGAGAUUUUUUUCUCUGGUAUAACCGUUGGAGAAACUAGAGAUAUUACACAGGCUACCAUGGGGAGCAUUCAUUUUCCUUCCUUGCAUUAUUUCGCCAUCUUCGUAGGCAAAUGCAUUAAUGGCAAGAUUGAGCAUUGUCACCUCUGCGCACCCGACCUUAGUAUUCAUAAGAGCACAGUAACGAGUGAUAGAAGUUUCAACAUGGGAGCUAUAAUAGCAAGGAGGCUGAAUAAUAAUGCUAAUGAAGGGGAUUUCUUUGGUGGGAUCUAUGCCACUCGCAUAGAAAAUUUUCUUGGAGUACCCAUCCGUGAAGGAGAUCCCCCGCUCCAUACAGCUGUCCUUGAUUGCACCGCUUUGACACGCUAUCAGUUCCUUGAGAGGGAUGAUGAAUCCCUCCUAUACCGUUUAAUAUUUAACAGGCAACAUGUUUUCCAUAUUACGCUUCCUGCUCGUGCCUUCUUUGACUUUCAGGUAAAACGGAGAUAUUACAUAACCAGAGGAGAGGCAGAGGAGUAUGAGAGGGAGGCAAAGGCUGCUCGUCUCCAUGAGGCAGCUAUUCAGGCAGUGGCUGCAGCGCUCCCGUAUAACCCCCAUUAUGAUUUUGGGUAUCGCCCGGACCAUCCAUGGGAGUAGACCAACUUAGGCCAAAAGCCUAAGCUUGGGGGAUACGUGUUUCUCACCGACUUUAUAUUCUUGCUUACGCUUUCACUUUGUUAGUCGGUGUUCACACUUUUCCACUUUAUCAUCCAUGCUAGUUUAUUUCUUUUUCUCGCUUUCUUCUCGUGUGUUUGUCUAGUUUGACAAAACCUAAAAAUAUUUUCUUUUCUUCUUUUUCUUGUUGGGAGCUUUCCCGUGUAAAUAGUUUUCUUUUUCUUUGGGUUAAGGUAGAAGACCAUGCUUACAAUCUUUAGUGGCUCUCGCAUGCAUAUCUGUUUAUCUGUUAAAGAGCCAUAUUACUUUGUCUUCUCCUUUGUGUUUGCCUGUAGAUUCCAGCUUAGUCCAAUGCACGAGCACUCUUAUUAUUUUUCACAUCAUUCAGUCGUGCAAGUGAAAGGCAAUAAUGACGAUAUAUGAUGAAGUGACUUAGCCUGGAAAAACUGGUAUGAACUCGAUCUAUUUUGUUUUUGUAAAUAUGACUAGCUCAUCGUGCCUGAUUCAGCUUUGUUGUGUGAGAAACAUGUUUGGAAUGAAAACUUAGAGAUCAUAGUUUCUGAUGCCAUGCUUAACUAGGAGCUUAUAAUGGUUUGCCUUGGAUGCCAACAUGAAUCUUGAGAUGACUAUGAUGUAGUAUGAUAGGAUGGUAUCCUCCUUUGAAUGAUUCAAGUGGCUUGACUUGGCACAUGUUCACACAUGUAGUUGAAACAAAAAGAACAUAGCCUCUAUGAUAUUCAAGUUCAUGGUGAUUUAUGUCCUACUCAUGCUUGCACUCAAUGUUGGUUAAUCUCAAUGCAUUUUGAUGACUGUUGUUGCUCUCUAGUUGGUCGCUUCCCAGUUUUUUGCUAGCCUUCACUUGUACUAAGCGGGAAUACUGCUUGUGCAUCCACUUCCAUAAACCCAAAGUUGUUCCAUAUGAGUCCACCAUACCUACCUAUAUGCGGUAUCUACCUGCCGUUCCAAGUAAAUUUUCAUGUGCCACUCUCUAAAUCUUCAAAAAAUAAUCUGUUUUGCAUGCCCGAACUGCUCAUGUGGUGACAGGGGGCUAUCAGUAUCUUCCAUGCUAGGCGUGUUAUCCUCGAUAUGAGUUUAUUCACUAUCAUUCACGAGAAAGGGACGGUAAUUGGAAUGCCCAGUUCCAUGCUCAAAUCGAAAAGAUAAUUCCAAACAAAACUCCCCCUGGAUUGAUGUUGGUAUGGACGGCACCCGAGUAUUCGGCUAGUCGUGGAGUGUGAUUGAUUGGUCGUGGGGGAGUCAAAACUUUACUUUUCUGUUUGGGAACCGCCUAUAGCAUGUGUAGCAUGGAAGAUGGUGAGAACUCUUGGUCAUUGCAUUGACAAAGAAAGCAUGCCACCCAAAAUUAUUAUCUCUGUUUUAAAAGCUUGAGCUAUGGCACUUCUGCAAAUCAAUGCUUCCCUCUGCGAAGGGCCUGUCUAGUUAUGUUCCUGUUGAGCCCUCCUCUUCUUAUAAAAGCACCAAUUAGAGAGCACCUGUGUCAUUUUUAUGCUUUGCUUUUAACUAUGAUUGAGUAUGACUAUGACUGGAUCUUCUUUGCCAUGAAUUAUAAUGUUUAGUCAGCCCUUGGUCUUUGAAAGUCCUCUGCAUUUAUGUUUUGCGGUCUUAGAAAGAGCUGGCGAGAUACCAUCUGUUCGUACUACUUCAUGUUUGUUUUGAUUGAAGUGUUGAUGUUCGAAACUUAUUAUUAUUUGCUCGCUAGUUGAUUAUGCCAUUGAUAUGAGUUUACCGUGAGACCUAGAUGUCAUUUACUUAUGUGGUUUGCUUGUGAUCUUGCUUAAAUUCUGGAUAUGAGUUAGACAUAGUUGCAACAACAAGAUCAAACAGAGUUCGUAAAAGUUUUUCUUUUGUCUCUUUCAGUUUGUCAACUGAAUUUCUUGAGGAAAAGCAAGGUUUUAAGCUUGGGGGAGUUGAUACGUCUCCAUCGUAUCUACUUUUCCAAACUCUUUUGUCCUUGUUUUGGACUCUUGUUUGCAUGAUUUGAAUGGAACUAACCAGGACUAACGCUGUUUUCAGCAGAAUUGCCAUGGUGUUGUUUUUGCGCAGAAAUAAAAGUUCUCGGAAUGACCUGAAAAUUUACGGAGAAUUUUUGUGGAAUAUAUAGAAAAUACUAGCGCAAGAAUCAACAGGGGAAGUGGAGCUGUGAGCCCACAAGCCCACCAGGCGCCCCCCUUGGCCGCGCCUGGCAGGCUUGUGGAGCCCACAAAGCUCCACCGGCUCCCAUCUCAGCUCUAUUUAGCCUCUUUCGUCCGGAAAAAAAAAUCAAGGAGAAGAGUUCAUCGCGUUUUACGAUAUGGAGGCGCCGCCACCUCCUGUUCUUCCUCUCGAGGACAGAUCUGCAGUCCGUUUUCGGCUCCGAAGAGGGGAGAUCGUUGCCAUCGUCAUCACCAACCUUCCUUCAUUGCCAAUUCCAUGAUGCUCUUCACCGUUCGUGAGUAAUCUCAUCGUAGGCUUGCUGGACGGUGAUGGGUUGGAUGAGAUUAUCAUGUAAUCGAGUUAGUUUUGACGGGGAUUGAUCCCUAGUAUCCACUAUGUUCUGAGAUUGAUGUUGCUACUACUUUGGCAUGCUUAAUGCUUGUUACUAGGGCCUGAGUGCCAUGAUUUCAGAUCUGAACCUAUUAUGUUGUCGCCAAUAUAUGUGUGUUCUUGAUCCUAUCUUGCAAGUUGUAGUCACCUACUAUGUGUUAUGACCCGGCAACCCUGGAGUGACAAUAACCGGAACCACUCCCGGAGAUGACCAUAGUAUGAGGAGUUCAUGUAUUCACCAAGUGUUAAUGCGUUCGUCCGAUUCUUUAUUAAUAGGAGAACCUUAAUAUCCCGUAGUUUCUAUUAGGACCCCGCUGCCACGGGAGGAUGGACAAUAGAUGUCAUGCAAGUUCUUUUCUCUAAGCACGUAUAACUACAUACAGAAUACAUGCCUACAUUAGAAUGACGAACUGGAGCUAGUUACAUAUCACUCCGUGUUAUAAUUGUUGCAUGAUGAAUAACAUCCGGCAUAAUCAUCCAUCACCGAUCCAAUGCCUAUGAGUCUUUUCCUACUCGUCCUUGCUACGUUACUUUGCCGCUACUGUUGUCACUGCCGCUAUUGUGACUCUGUUGCUACUGUUGUUACUUUGCUGCUACUGGUUACUGUUUUUACUGCUGCUAUCAUACUACCUUGCUAUUGAUACUUUGCUGCAUAUACUAAAUCUUUCAGGUGUGGUUGAAUUGACAACUCAACCGCUAAUACUUGAGAGUAUUCUUUGGCUUCCCCUUGAGUCGAAUCAAUAAAUUUGGGUUGAAUACUCUACCCUCGAAAAAUGUUGCGAUCUCCUAUACUUAUGGGUUAUCAUAGGGAUACUCAUGGUGAUCUUAAUUAUCUCCUUGCCACCGGGCUGUUUGUCAAGCAUAACUUGUCUCCCCAAGACCUUGUCACUUUCCUUGCUUUUCCUGGGCUCACCUAUCACAACAUUGGACUUAUUAAGAGUUUCGGCUACUUCCGAUCGAAUGAGCAACUUCUUCCCCUCCAAAUCUAUGGUGUUCAUAGGAAAAGGUUGUUUAUCAACUUGCAUCUCAGAAAAGUUUAAUCAUCCACCAUUAAUGGCUGAUUGUAUCUGUCGUCGAAAAACAUUGCAAUCGUUAGUAGCAUGAGAAAAAAAGUUAUGAUACUUGCAAUAAGCACAUCGUUUCAGCUCUUCAAACGGUUGUAAAGUAUGAGAUACUUUGAUAAUCUUAGCUUGUAGCAGAGCAUCAAAUAUUUUUUUCACACUUAGCAAUGUUAAAGGAGAACUUCAUCUCCUCAUCACGAUUCUUAUGAAUCGGUUUCAGAUCAUUGCAAGUAAAUGGUUUGGUCGCCGAUGGCCAAACAAAUUCAGUAGCAUAGAUGUCACCCUCAUCGUCCGAGUGAUCACUAUCAUAUUCAACCAUGUUUACCUUCGGACGAUCAAUUUUAUAUCUAUGCAUUUCUUUAAGAUCUUUACUUCGGCUUUCCUGAGCCAAAGUCCUUUGCAAAAGUUGGUUGAUACUUAAAAACUCAUAGCCUUCUAGCUUUUAUCUUAUGUGAGUCUUCAAACCAUUAAGAACAAGAUCUGCCAAGUCUCUCUCGGUUAUCACCAAACUAUAAUACCGGUUUUUUGUAUCUCUAAAUCUCUUGACGUAAUCGGAGACCGAUUCAUCAUGCUUCUGUUUAACCGAUGUAAGAUGUGAUAACUUAAGUUCAUUGUCGCCGCUAUAAAAAUGAUCAUGAAAUUUCUGCUCUAGUUGCGACCACACGCGGAUAGAGCCAUGUGGUAAGGAAGAAAACCAUGAAAAUGCAGUACCAGUUAAGGACAAAGGAAACAAAUGCACUUUCAACUCAUUUAGUGAACCUGCUUCACCUAACUGGGCUAAGUACUGACUAACAUGCUCCCAUGUGGUUUUUGUGCCCUCUCCAUGAAAUUUAACAAAAUCUGGAAUUUUAUAUCCCGGAGGGCACUGUAUUCCAUCAAAGUACUCGGGAUACGGUUUUUUAUAAAUCCGAUUCCUAGGUAAUUCAACACCAAAGUUUUCUCGAAACAUUUUAGCCAUAUCCUCUCUGAAAUUAGCUAGAGCAUCGUUCGUAGUGGACGAUGAAGCUUGCUGCAGUGAUAUUGGAGGAGUAGGAUUACUAGCGGCAGGUAGGAACUGUGGCACAUAUGCCGAACCAUACUUCGGCAAUGGUCUAGCAACGCUUGCACCUAUAGGUAACGCUUGGUUUGGUGUUGCCACCGAACUUGGUAUGUUCAUGAUAGGACUAAUUGGUGCAGCCACAAUCUGGUUUGUUUGAGCAGGAUGAUAGUUCAUUGGUAUGGUAGGUGCCGAUGCAAUAGGUAUAGACAGAUUAGCGUUUUUUGUACUACUCGGCAUACCAAUAUUAUGAGCAGAUGAUUGAGGCAUAUUCUUCUGAGCAGCAGUAUUUUCCAAGAAAGAUUGAUAAACCAGAUUGUUACCAUUGGCAAUACGACUCUCAAUCUCAGCCCAUUGCUCAGGAGAAAAGGUCGUACUUACACGGGUUUUAACCUGCUCGGCUUGAAGAGGAGGGAACUUGAUUUCUCCAAUCGGAGUGAUAUUGCCUUGGCGAUCCUUCUUGAAGUUUGCGAGAAAUUCUUGCAGCUCCUUCUCCUCGCGUCCCUUCUUGUACUCCUCAUAAGCUUGUCGAUGAUCGGCCGAUAAUUCAUCAAGCUUGGGCUUAAUGAUGUUAUCGGUGUUUACCUCAGAUGGGUUAGGAAGAUCAGACAUGAUGGUUGAUGAUGAUGGUUGAUUUCUUGUCCCCAGCGGAGUCGCCAAAAAGUGUCUUGACACACAAACACGUCAAGUGACCCUCGACGCCGGGGGUGAUGCACUACAGCUCACCUCGAAGGAGAUCUCACCGACAGCGCGAUAGACAAGACAGUCGGCGGAUGCUUUUGAAGACCCGAAACCCCGCAUGCCCGGGAGGGACCCCGUCAGGGAGCGCAACGGCUAUGGGCUUCCCUAGGUCGAUUCGCUCACCCCUAGAGCCUCGGGAUUCAUAGCUCUCGAAUUCAAGGAACAACGCAGAAUGAGAGAUGAAAACGAUGGGAGGAUAAAACAUAGAUGAAAAAGUAGUAUAUUGAUGUUUCGAUUGUGUGUUGUUCAAUCGGCCAUCACCCCCAACAUAUAUAAGAGGCGGCUAGACUUGGCGUACGAGCAAAGGAUUCAUCUAGGCUUUCCUUACAAGAAAACUACAGCAAAUCACGUCCUAGAGUCCUACUUCUAGUCUAACUCGGAUUCAGCCCAAAUCUGGCCCAAUCUUCUUUCUUGUUCCUUGCGUAGGCUGUGAAAUCUGGAUAUGACCUCUCAUUGAGAUGAUUUAUAUAUCAAAAUCGACCGUCUUGAUGAUAUGAACAACUCUCAUGUUUAUCACUUUUCCAAAUAAGGUCAUCUUGAAUACUACACGAAGUCAUCUUCAACUUUGAAUUAGCAUGUGUCAUAUAGCGGAGUGGACGGUCCGAGUGUUGUAGCAUCCCUGCAGGUCAUGUACUACCUCAGAUGAUAAUGACCUUAAAAUCAAAGCUUACCAUUUCGACGUUACAAACAAUUGUCAUGUUGAACACUUUUCCAUCCGAGGCCAUCUAGAUGACCAUACAGGCCAAUCUCUACCUUCUGGUUGAGUCACUCGGAUUCGGAACCCCUUUUAGUCGGUCGAGUGAUUUUCACUCGGACAACAAUUUUCACUUUGAAUCCAUGACUCCUUGGCCGAAAUUCCACUCGUAUUUGGAAACUUUUCACUCGGUCAUCAAGCCUUCAAUUGGAUAGUUAUACUUUCACUCAGAAUUCAUGUAUCUCACCCAAGUUCCACUCGUGUUCAGAAACUUUUCACUCGGAUGGCAAAUUCCUCUCGGAUGGCAAACUCCACUCGGAUGAAAAACUUCCCACUCAGAUGGAAAAUUCCACUCAGAUGGCGAACUCCACUCGGAUGGCAAACUUUUCACUCGGAUCCGUGAGUGAAACUUCAGCAUGAUCUUGUUUUGUCCCUUCAGGUCGCACACAAACCCGGAUUGAGACAAACUAUAUAUCAAAAUCGAUCGGCUCGACGAGGCGAACACAAUUCAUGUUGAACAUUUUUCCAUAUGAGGCUGUCUUGUUGGCUUAACAGGCUGAACAACACUCUGAAUAUGAAAUCUUAGCACUUUGAACACAGUUUCAGCCUUCAAUAUCAGAUUGGACAGCGAUGGCCCAAACUCAAAAAUAUUGAUGUCAACACCACGAAACUCUUUCAUGUGGAACACUUAUCCCUUUGAAUCGAUCUUUAGGAGAUUUUCUUCCGUGCCAAAAUCUGGUGUCAACACUAUCUAGGAGAAACCAGCAACGAGAGAGGUUAUAGAGCAUCUUCAUACCUUUGAAGAUCGCUAAGCGUAAGUGUUACUAGAACACGGUCGAUGGAGUCAUACUCGUAGCGAUUCAGAUCACGGAAGACUCCGAUCUAAGCGCCGAACAAUGGCGCCUAUGCGUUCAACACACGUGCAGCCCGGUGAUGUCUCCUUCACCUUGAUCUAGAAAGGAGAGAGGAGGAGUUGAGCGAGGGAUCCAAAAGAACGAUGGUGUGGUGACGGUGGAGCUUCGUGGUACUCCGACAGGGCUUCGCCAAGCGCUACGGAGGACGAGGAGGAGGAGAGGUAGGCUGCGCCGAGGGAGGAUGAAACUUGUGUGUCUAGCGGCCCCAAACCAUCACAUAUAUAUAGAGGGAGGAGGAGGAGGGUGCGCCACCCCUAGGGUUUCCCUAGGUGGUGCGACAACCCUUAGAUGGGAGGAGCGGCGGGCCAAGAGGAGCAGAAGGCGGCGCCCUAGGAUGUCUUGCGACCCAAGGCAGCCCCCACGCCUAGGGUUACCCCUCCCUUGCCCUCCCUGUGCGCCUUGGGCCAAGGUGGGUGGCGCACCAGCCCACCUAGGGGCUGGUUCCCAUCCACUUUUGACCCACGUGGCCCUUUGGGGCUGGUGGGCACUUUUGGCCCACGUGGCCCUUCGGGCCUGGUGGGCCCUACCGGUGGUCCCCUGGAACCCUUAUGGUGGUCCCGGUACAAUACCGAUGAUUCCCGAAACGUUUCCGGCGAUCAAAUCUCCAUUUUCUAUAUAUGAGCCUUUACCUCCGAAUCAUUCCGGAGCUCCUCGUGACGUCCAGGAUCUCAUUCGGGACUCCGAACAACCUUCGGUAACAACAUAUUAUUCCCAUUACAACUGUAUCGUCCUCGAACCUUAAGUGUGUAGACCCUACAGGUUCGGGAACCAUGCAGACAUGACCGAGACACCUCUUUGAUCAAUAACCAACAGUGGGGUAUGGAUAUCCAUGUUGGUUCCCACAUGUUCCACGAUGAUCUCAUCGGAUGAACCACGAUGUCGGGGAUUCAAUCAAUCCCGUAUGCAAUUCCUUUUGUCUACAGGUAUGAUACUUGCCUGAGAUUGUAUCGGCGGUAUCUCUAUACCUUGUUCAAUCUCGUUAUCGGCAAGUAUCUUUACUAGUUCCGUAAGACAUCAUCACAUGGCUAACUCCUUAGUCACAUUGAGCUCAGUAUGAUGAUGCAUUACCGAGUGGGCCGAGAGAUACCUCUCCGUCACACGGAGUGAUAAAUCUCAGUCUCGAUUCGUACCAACCCAAUAGACACUAUCGGAGAUACUUGUAGUGCACCUUUGAUACACCGAAAGCAUUCCUACAGUAUCCGGGAGUUGCACAAUCUCAUGGUGUAAGGAAACGAUACUUGACAUUAGAAAAGCUUUAGCAGACGAAUAAUACGAUCUAGUGUUAUUCUUAGGAUUGGGUCUUGUCCAUCACAUCAUUCUCCUAAUGAUGUGAUCCCGUUAUCAAUGACAUCCAAUGUCCAUGAUCGGGAAACCAUGACCAUCUAUUGAUCAACAAGCUAGCCAACUAGAGGCUCACUACGGACACAUUGUGGUCUAUGUAUUCACACAUGUAUUACGGUUUUCGGUUAAUACAAUUAUAGCGUGAAUAAUAGACAAUUAUCAUGAACUAGAAAAUAUAAUAAUAACCACUUUAUUAUUCCCUCUAGGGCAUAUUUCCAAUGGGGGACCUACCUGGUUGAAUAUUAGGGGGGGGGGGCGGUGGAGAGUUUAGCAAAGGUAAGUUAUGGUGUAAAAAAGCUAAGGUAAGUUGCGUAACAACACGUAGGUCUCAUGAGAAUCACGAUCGUCAAAAAGAUAUAGUUUGCAUUUCUUUGAAAAUCAGCCAAAAAAACUGGACCGCUUUUAUUAUUGGUUAUAAGUAAAUCACUGGACCUCUUUAGGAUGAAAAUUAGUUCUAAGUCAACUAGGAUUGAUUGUUCACACGUGAAGUAUUUUACUCUCUCUUGUGAAGCUAUUUUAUUCCCCAUCAGAUCUUGCAUGCUCAUGCUCAUACCUUUUUUCCUCGUAUAUGUGGGACCAAAUUUUGCUACCUAAGAUGGCACGACACCAUGGUUUUCACCUUCGGUGAGAUUUCGAUGAAAUAACUGAAUUUCAUUCAUUUCAACACUCACUGCAAUAUUUCCUUUCGGCCAAAAUAAUUCAGCCUCACUGAAUUUCGGCCAAAUAUUUUAGCACUCGGUGAAAUUUUUAUGAAACUUCUAACUAGCGAUUGAAAAAAAUCGGAAACUUCUAACUAGCCAUGUAAUUGUUCUGAAUCUUGUCCAGACUCCGACGAAACAUAAAUACAAAUUUAAGAAUUCUGUUAACCUUCCUAAGCUUCAAAAGUUCAGGUUGUAAAAAGCAAAUAUAUGUUUUAGCGUCUCCCAUGCAGACCAAAUUUAUUUCCAGAAUAGUAUUUGAACCAGUACUGUGAAGUAUUACAACUUGAUUAAUCCGCACUGGAUUAAGAACAUGGCUAGGAAACCAUCUUCGGGACUAAAACCAAACCACACCCUACUCUACCGCUUCAUAACCAAGUGUACACUCCAUAUCUAAGAAUCAACCACUGCUGGACUAAUUGCUUGCGUCUUCAUGAUCCUCAAUCGUAGUUGCAUCCAAUAGGCUAGUAUUGUAUGUCUUCAGCCUUUUCAUGGAUUUCAAUUUGUUGGAGGGCGAAUUAAGAAGGACAACAUGCAGCUCUCUUCUAUAAUUUUUGAUGUAUGCCUGCAUGGGAGGAUAUGUUAGUAUCGUUCCAUAUGUUUACAAAGUUGACAACAUUUUAGGUGUUACUCUACGUACUUGGUCAUCAUGCAGGGCAAGAUCUUCUCCCGUAAAGAAUUCGACGUUCUUCAGCUGUAGAGUGCACAAGAAGAACUACAACAAUUAAAUUUGUUAGCAACAUUUCACGUAUUAACAAUGAAAAACAUAAUUAGAAGCUAAUAUCGGUGACUCGCGUGUCAUCUUGUCUUGGCACAUGAACAUGCUUUACUGUCCAUUGGAUCACGUUAAUGUCUUGCCGUGCAUGGCUUUGUGGUCCAUUGAUUCGCAACGAUACUCUCAGAUGUGCUUCCACCCCACGUAUCUGCCAAGUCCAUGGGAUGAGAAGUUGCUCACGGUUCAUGGUUAGGUAUGAUGCUAAAUCUUGUGUUAUAUUGACAGACGUUUAAAAUCUCACCACGUGAUCCACUUGUGUGCGUACUAUGUAGCUGAAAAGUGAAUCAAGAAUCUGAAUCUCCCUCCUUCUGGGGUUUACGACCACAAGGAACCAGUUGGUGUUCGCCAUGUUCGUAGGUAGGAAAACCUGGACAGCAAAGAUGAUUACAUCAACAUGCAUAAUAAUUAGAAAAAAAUGUGUUUAUGUCAUGGUUAGAUGGUACCAGAUCAUGUCUGAGGUAGUUGUCUCCUUUUUUUGUUCCAUAACUGCCGCCAAAGCGGCCUCGUGGCAGUUCUCUACCUUACCAUCUCUUUCGAGCAUAGCGACGCCGGCCACCCUCUCAAUGUAAACUAGUUGCCCUUCCCUUAUGUCCUUAUGAUGAUCAUGAUGCAUGAUCUGAAUCACAGCAUCAACAAACUAAAACAAAAUUCAAGUUAAUUGUACUGUGCAAAAGAAAAUUGAUAAACUAAUUUGGAAAAUAUCUUACUUCGUGACCCAACCAUUUGUCAUCUUCGCCUCCAUCUGUCAUGGUGAGGCAUUUCAAAUGCGUGUGUAGCAGAACAAUGUCAUCAAUUACCACCAAUUGUUUAUCAAGAUCUGAGGUGUUGACAAUUUCGGCCACGUAAAUCUGUUGAAACUUGUCUAGGUCGGUCUCCAGCCUCGAAGCACCUGUGUCUGUAUCUUUUAAACUCCUUGCACGGUUUUUCCUCUUUGUAUUAUUUGUGUCCUUGGAAUCGUUGGUAGACUCCGAUGGAGUCCUGUUUUUCUGUCUCUUCUUAUCACUAUCGUACAGACCAUAAUCUUCAUUGCUCAAUAAUGAAGAUACCACUCUUUUCCGGCUGCUCGCACAAGUUGGUAGAAUGGAAUCAACCACACUAUCUUGUCGCUGCUUUGCUAAAGAAUCAUCAUAGUUGUCCUCAGCAAUUGGGAAGACAUGGGGCUCUUCCGGCUCCUUUAUUCCCUUAGCCUUGGCAGACCGGUGGUUGCUUUUGGUACCUGCCUCUCCCCCAUCUCAAUACUGACAGCUUUGUCAUCUUGAUUUCUUCUUUCUUCAGCCUUUCACACAUUCUUAUUGUGCCUCAAAUUCAGAGGAUACUGUGAUUCGAAAUAAAGCACUUGUUAGCUUGCAAUCUGUGCGGAAAAAAAACCAUUUAACUGUAAAAUGUGCAUCACCAGGAAAGCUUCAAGGCUUGUGUUGGCUUUGGAAUGCUUUCGCAAAUCCGAACUCGGAGCACCCUGUGAAGCAUCCAGCUCUUUAUAAAGCUGUGAAACAUUCUUGAGACUCUCCUUGCAUGCUGCGGCAAUAGCUCUAUCUUCUUCAUCCUGAACGUGGAAGAUCAUAUGUUAGCUAUGAAUCUGCGUUAACUUAAAACAAAAUCAGUUAGAUGUAAAAUGUGUAUCACCAUGAAAGCUUUAAGGCUUGUGGUGGUUUUUGAAUGCUUUCGCGACUGCAAACUAGGAGCAGGCUGCAAAUCUUCAGCUACGUUCUUCAUGGGGGCAUCCAUGUAAUCUUUUCGUAUUCCCUUAGCACAAAUGCCUUUGGCAAUGACCUCUGUGUCAUCUUUUUGAUUUUGCUGGUGAGUAGUAUUCUCUCCUAGGACCUCCAUUGGCUCCGCAGGUACUCCCAGGUCAGAUAGUUGUACGUCCUCGACUCCUGGGCGAUCAGCAUCAAAUAUUCCAUAGUGGUGGUUCUUUAAAAAAAUGUGUUGGUGUGGAGACUAUUGAUAGUAAAAUUAUUUAUAGAAACUCGUAAUGGUAUACUCACAUUGAAUUCUGUGAUGAGGACGUCCGUGGGUCUGCCGUUCGCAAGGGUAUGCCUAAGGCACUCGUCCAUUUUUUUCAAGGGUGCACAUCCUAUCAAAUUGUUGUGCACUGGUCUCCCGCAGAAUGGAGGCAACUUCUUUCAAAUCAGCCAAUACACGGCUGAUGAGUGCCUUAUCCUACAAAUUACAAGAAGUUAGAAGCAUAUGACUUCGUUUGUACUUGCAAAGUUACAAUAUAUAUUUGUGCAUGAUGUUCAUCAUUUACCUGACCGUCAGUCUUCGGUUUGACCGACGUCCCAACUCAUGGAGGAUUGCAAGGCCGCAGAAGGUCAUCGACAUACUGCAUGUUAGUGUCAUUAGUAUCAUUCAAAAGAUAUGGUAGACAAUCCAAGCACACAAUACUAACACUUUACCUCUCCAACGCCUAUAUAUUUUUUGUUGAUUAUGUUGUCAACCUUUUGUGCCUUCUCAUCACUCCAGUUUUGGAUCAGCGGCCUUAACCCUGAUGCAUACGAGAUGGUAGAGUCCAAUUGGUGCACCCUCCACUUCUCUUAGUACCACGUCUGCAUUACAACAAAAAUAGCAUAGAAAAUUUUCCAUAAAAUUAAAUGUAUGGUAUGUUAAUAAUGAUUGUAUUACCUGCAACAGUGGUAGGUUCCCCUCCAGAUUUGAUCCACCAUUUACAAAUUUCCUGACACUAGCCAUAAGAUGGUCAAGCGUAAGCCGUCCAAAAUUGGUGCUCUUUAUGGUCUCAACGUUUCUAACAAUCCCAAGGUAUCCGUUGUCGACAUACUGCUGUGUUAUCGGGCAUACAUAUUUGCCUAUGGUGUACAAGGCAAAUGGCCUGACAAAAUUAGGUGUGUUGUCGCCUUUCAUCUUGGCUAGCAAUCCUUUCAAAGUUACUUUUGUGUCAUUGGGGCCUUUCAGUUCCUUCCACAACUCCAAAGCAUCGUUGUUAUUUGAAGAGACGUGAUUCUUCCCCAUGCAAGGUAGGCCUGUUAAAUGCUCCACAUCUUUUAGUGUGAUCCUACAUGGUCUCCCAUUAAUUAUAAAGGCAUCCUGCGCUGCAUCAUAUGAAUAAGCGAUGGCCUGGCACAGUAGACGUCUCAUUCUCAUGCCAGGAGUCUUGAGAAGAUCACUCAGUCCAAUCAACUGGAUGUACAUCACUUGGAGUGGGUUUAAUUCUUUUAUGAACUUCUCUUAUUGCUGCAAACAAGCAACCUGAGUUCCCUGAAUAUACAAAUAGUGUGAUUAGAUUUUGUAUGGUAUUCAUUUCAACACGCAUAGAACCGACCAGAUCUAAUCUAUGUCAAUAUCAAAAUUAUGCUCUACAGUACUACAUGAAAUCAUAGAGCUUCUAGGCCAUAUAAUGAACACCAGACAUAGAAAACAAGCUAUCUCUAUUGGCAAGUUGACUGAUAAUAGUAUAUAUUUUAGUAGAAAUAGCAGACUUUGGUCUAUGUACACUACUAAAGUUUCAGGCGUCACGCUUACGAAAAUAAUUACAUGCAUGAUCAGAAGAUCAAUAGUUUAUAAAUAAUCUAAAAAAAUGAUUGUAGGAGUUCCAUUGCAAGCAUUCAAGAGCAUAUACUCCUUAGUUCCCAUCAGAUUCAAAAAGAUCAAUUAGUAAUGACCAUGCAAAAUUAAGGGCAAUCACCAACAGUUUCAAUGACUAGAGACUAAGAACACGCAUAAGUCCAAUCAAUAUGAUGUUCUCCAGUCAACUUGAACGCCAUUUAGAAAGCCUAUGCCAAAAAAUAGCAAUUUCCAAAUUUUAAGGCAUAUAAACAGAUAUGAUAGCUUGAUGUCCAGUAAACAUGACCAUAGUAGUCAGUCGAGCAACCAAAAACACAACUAGGCAUCAUCAAGCAGCCUAAAAAUGUUGACAUGGACCGAAACAUGUGAGCCUAAAAUUGAAUAUAGUACAUACAUUUGAUGUUCUCAAUGCCAAAUAAGUGAUGCAUGCUCAUAUUUCUGCAUGUUUUUACUAAAUCAUGUACAUUGCGACAGUUGAAACGCACAGAACUGACAAGUUGGACCAGUUACCACAAAUUCACAGUGAACAAAUUAAGUACAAACACUAGUCUUGAAUUUCUAGACGUUUAGUGUAAAACAGCCCAAUCAACAAAAAGAGAAAACAACUUACGUACAAAACUACUUUGUAUUCUGUCUACUGCGUAUUUGAUCACGCAUUUAGGAGUACUACGAUUAUUUUGUUGAUUCGGUUGCUGGUUUUAAACAAAGUUAAAUUACUAGUUCCUCCUUUCCAUAUUGUUACACGUAGAACUUUUCAGCACAGAAAUUAGCACAAGUUUCAUUACAGAGAGAGGCAUUCACGACUGAAAACUAAGAGAGGAAGGCAUCCACGAUCUCCCUUCAGUUUUUCUCAAGCACAUCUAGAUGUGCUCUAAGUAUUGCAAAUCUAAGUCCUAUGUAAUUGAUUUUAUGCUAAGACUCGUGCAAGCAUUGUUUUGUCCUUUUUUAUUUUCUUUCUAGAUUGAUUGAGUCACUUUGAUGUGCAAUAAUUAGGGCACAUCUAGAUGUGCAAUAAUUAGGGCACAUCUAGAUGUGCCUUAGACACACCCAUCUUCCUUCAGUAAAUAGGGAUAGUUUGUUAUGGUUCUAAGUAAAUGAGAUCAAAAGGCAAGUGCGCCGUAAAUUAUGGGAUUGGAUGCAAAAAAUUAGACUUGGAAAGGCGAGAGUAUAUAGAAUAGAAGGAUCUCGAUCGUUACCGGAAGAUUCUCUCGAAGGCGAUCGGCUCCAUUGCUGUUCACUUUCAUCUUUUGCUUCGUCGGCUUCUCUGAAGUGCCCUUCUCUUUCGUCGGCUUCUCUGACAUGACCUUCUCUUUCAUCUCAGGAUUCGCCGACGCGGGCUUCGAAGAUGACGGCUCCUUUGGCUUCUCUGACCUGGGAGCUACUUUGGGCGGCGUGGGUUGGUAAUUCGGUGUAGUCAUGGAAGGCAUGGUCUGGGAGGUGUGGGGUGGAGUAUACGAUCUAUGCCGUAAAAAGCUUUGUAUUUAUAGGGGAUUCUCUAACAACCGACCAUAAGGAAAUAUUGGAAAUUUGGGAUCUCACGAAGAGGUAGCGUUAGAUCACGUAAUGUUAUUUUAGCAAGUGUUUUUUGAGAUUUUUUUUGCAAGUUUAGAUCAGUAAUCUCAACCGUGAAGCACUUGGGCUUAUUGUGCUUUCUUAUACGGUCCUAUUAUAAUUGGAUGAGCCCAUUUUAAAUGAAAACUUGAGAAAGGAAAGAGAGGACUCCAACAAGCGGGAGGAUUCCGACAGACAGGACGAGUUCCGUCCCAAUUAUUUAGGACGGGCAUGCGCGAGGGCGCUUCGUCCCCACUGCCACGACUCUCCAAAAACAGUUCCUCAACCUCUGCGUUGUGUUGAGUACACGAACAAGGCUAGAUGUGUUGAGUACUGCAUUUGCACAUUCAAAUACUGGUUGCACAACAACGACGAGAAGAUAGUUGCACUGGAUGUGGAGUUCACCUGGCCUCGUGGUCCAACACAGAUGGCUGUCGUGGUCCAGUUAUGCGUUGGCAUCUACAUCCUCGUGUACCACAUAAGCGUUGCUGAUGAGCACCGCGGCCUGCUGGCCGCCUUCCUGCUCGACGAGGAGUACACCUUUGUUGGGGUGGACGUCAACAAUAACCAGAAAAAACUCAAGCAUGUUGGUCUGGUGGUAUGAAACUUUGUGGAUAUCCAGAAUAUGUGGAGAGUGCCUGAUCCAGUGAUGAUUAAGGCAAAGUAUGGCUUGGCUGACUACGCUAGUUCCAUCAUCCACCACAGCUACAACAAGAUGAAGGAUGCUAUCACAGAAGAUGACCACCAUAUAUGGGAAGAAGCGCCCUUGCCCUUGAAGAACAUCUAUUAUGCUUCGAGGGACGCGUAUGCCACCUACAAUGUAUAUAGGCGCUUGGUGAAAUUCGAGAAGGGGUUCGAGAGCCAGUGCCAGCAUCUCACCAAACCAUCUAGGCAGUCGAGGAGGUCCAUAAGGAAGAAUGAAUCAACCUAAAAUGUUUCUUCUAUUUAUCUAGCUGAUAGUCUGUAAACUUUAUUAUACUACUAGUAAGUCGUAAGUUCAAAUUACCUGCAAGUUGAAUCAUCCUUUAUUCUAGCUGUCUACCCUAAUUUGAUCCAUGUUCACGAGAUAUUAUACUUAAGACGUUUACUUUAUUUCGGUUUUGCUAGCUAUGAUACAAAAUGCGAAAGCUAUUUUUACCAAAAGAUUAUUUCAUAUUUAUAAUAAAUACUGUUCUCAACUGGGUUUGAAUAGAGAACGUUUAUUUUUUACUGAAAAUAGAAAGUUUUUUUAAAUCAAAAGAGGGGUCGCCCCCUCUGAUUUUCCAUUAACAGAAACCACAUGGUCUUUCAAGCCCGUGAUACAAACUACAGCUAGAAACUAAACUAAUCAACUAGCAGCACAAAUCAUACAUGGUAGCAAGACCUAUCAGACUUAACAUGAAGGUACAAAAAAUAAAACUAUGACAGAGGACAGAAAUACAGCUGAGAGAUGCGCAGGCGACACCACAGUACCCUGUGACUCCACACUUGCAAUGAUCUGUACAAUUCACUUGCUAGGUGCUCUAGCAGCUUUGCUCCCAGCAUCGCCACCUCUUUGUUAACCACCUUCAUCUACAAUAUAGACCAUCCCAUGAUCCACAAGCAAAUUAGCUAAACAAGAAUCAAAAGAUCACUAUACCAUUUAUUUUGUAAUCUCAUAUUAUUCCCGCAUUACCAAAGAGUUAAGAACACACCUGAUGCCCUUCCUGCAUCUCCUACGCAAACACUCAUAGGUAGUUCUACCAUAUUAACUCCAUGAUUUAAAUUAUUAAUAAAAACCCCUUAACGAUUCCAUUUGCAUAACCAUCGUUCAUGAUUAUAGCCAGGGAAUCAGCAACCAAUAAAGCAACCACCUGUGUAAGCCCUAUUUUGAGUCCUGAAUAGGGCCCACACCUAGCAUAGACAGAAUAAAGACAUAAUAAAGACGUAACCCCAUAGAUGCAUAAUUGUUAUCAACAUAGUUUUCGCACUAUACCUAGUGUAAGGCCAACUCCACCGCACGACCACAAAUUGUUCGGGUGUGUCCGUUUGAGGUAAAACGGACAAAAUAGAUGACCCACCGCACGAGAGCAUACCCACUAUUUUCCAUGUCUGUGUCUGUUUCUACCCUACUUCCACACCAAAGUUGGUCUGGGUUUGGGGUCCAAAGGCGACAAAAAAUGUCCGCCUUCACGUCCUCUUCGUCCGCAUGUGUCUGNAGCGACCGGAUCUGACCAAGCUCUCAGAAAUGGGGUAGAAAUGGGGUAGCAGCGUUGGGUGCAAGGACUUUGUCCGGCCUGUGUACGGCGUUCGUUGUCUGUUUUUCUACCACAAACAAACAAAAUUCUAACGAAACCGGACGUCCGUUUGGGGUCGCGCGGUGGAGUUGGCCUAAAGGACACUCUUGUGUUGUUGUGCUACAUUUGUGGCUCCUCAGUCAACAUGUUCAUAACCACCUUGAUCUGAAUAUCUUCAUGGGUGGUGGUCUUGAAACCGAAAAGAACGGCUUUAUGAAACUUGAGCUCUUCACUGUCAACAAAAUCACUGCAUCCCUUGCGGAAGAUGAUGCGGCCAUCAUCACACUUGUGGUACUUGACCGGCAUGAAACUGUCCUUGCACAACCGAAUGGCAGCAAGCCCAUCUCCCGGUAUCUCCCCAUCUCCUCGGGUCUUCAGGGCGUCGACAACUUUCGCCGUUAAUCUUUGUAUGCACCAUAAUAGGAAGUAAUAUUAUCCAAUAUGUGAAGGAACAGUAAACAAAAGGAUCUUCAGCUACAUCUACGUAUAUUACAUAAAGAUCUUCAGUUAUGGGAAACAAAAGGAUAUGCAAAAACACACAUCAGUGUAUUCACUCGUUUCAGCUACAAUAGCAUAUCAUUCAUCUUUCUCUCCAUGAAAAAACAAAGAAAAUUGCAUACAAAAUAGAAAAUACUAGUACACCAAAAACAUAACAUCGUCUUUCCUGCUAUGUUCGACUUGGUGAAGCGAUGGACAAAAAAUGCACCUAUAUAACCUUUCUUCAUCGCCAAAAGGUCAUGUAGGUUCACCUCCUCUUGCUUCGUCUGAUUAAGUCCCUUCAUUAUGACAGUUGAUUCUAGAGGAUCUUUACGCUCUUCGUUUUGAUCGCAUGUCCUUGGCAGGUUGCAGAAGUACACCAUUGGAAUGUCUUCAGUCAAAUCAAAGGAGACAAGGUUGAAUUCUUGCAGGUCGAAGUCUUCAACAAACAAGCACCAGUUUUCACCACCAAUGAUCCCCCUUGAAGUCCCUUUGUACAUGCCAAAAUCAUACGUGCGGCUCCCUCUCACUUGAAAAAGCAAUGAACUAUCUGGGAUGGCGCUGAACUGGUGCCAUGCGUAGCAUGGCACGAUUUGUAGAUGUAGAAUUUAAUUGCUAUUUAUUUCCUUCAUUUUGUUGAUCUUGAAAGUAGAGGGUAACAAACACAAUACAAGUAAAAAUUGACAUAAUUAUUUAUGCCACAGCUAAAGUGUCCCAUGUAGGAUGAUGGUAAAUGUCAACCCAGUGGCAUUGUGCCUGUUGCAGUCCUGUCGACACGUUAUGCACACCACGUGUGUAAACAAAAUAAAAUGAAGAAAAGAAAAGGAUGAGAAUUUAAGAAAACGGCUUGUGCAUGUAAACACACUAGGAAACAACCAUACAGUAUAAUCAACAAAGGUACUGCAUCAGUAAUCAACAAUCAUACACUUGAAGUGAGCGAGUGGCUCGCCUCCACUCCUUAUAACCCCGCAACGCAGUGCAUGCCCGCCGCACCACAGCUUGUUCAGACAUGUCCUUCUCUUGAUACUCGAUCGGCAGCAUGGGCACACCCCAAGCGUCGACGCGCGUCAUUGGCUCCUCCUCCUCUGUAGCACAAGUGAGGUAGUGUCUGAGACUGAGCAGUAAUCUCUGAGAAAAGUCCUAUCAAAACAUAAAUCCUACUACUGUUGUUACUCGGCCCACCCGAAUAUACACACGCACACCUUCAACAUACAGCCCAUCUACAUACAUCCGCAUCAAACAAUUUGUUCCUGGAAAAAGAAAAGAAAAUAUGUUCUGAAGGACGAAGGAUCGUCGGGGAACCAACUCAAUUAGCCACUUAUGUGUCAUAUUGGAGAAGAUGAACUUACUUCACUUUUUCCUGGUACUACAUAAGCACACAAAAUAAAGAUUAAAAUAAUUCCUAAAAACUCUCAUAUAUUGUACGCCCUCACAUUUAUAAUCUUUAAAAGAUGAACUUAAUUUGGGCAACAGAACAUAGAGGUUAUUGUUAUUUGCGUAGAAAGGUACAAAUAUUUGGAUCAAAAUUUCAUAUUCUGCAAAAAAAACACUCGAGUAAAUAUUAUUCUGAGAAAUGUUUAGUUGACUUGCAAUCUAGGACUACAAGUUAAUGGCUGCCUUACGAAACCCAACCUAAUUUCGGCCUAACAAGGAAUUUAAUCCACUAGCCCAGCUUAUAAGUUUUGAGCUCACCCUCCGGUUUCUUCCUGGAUUCGCUACUGCACAAGGCCAAUUUUUUUAAGUUUUUAAGGAACUGUUUACUGAUAUUUGCUGCUAUUGUGUUACGCAUCUGCACUUGCUCAUUGUUAUGAAAACCCUGGAGUACCGAAACCCUAGAAAAAAUACCGAGCGAGCUACCAAUGUAUAAAACUUCCUUCAAUAUCUGCAUUGCCUUCCAUCUAACCUCCGAUUUGAAAAUCCUAACUAUCUAAUCUCCGAUGUUGAAAACCAUAUCCAACUCCUGAAAUGGCAACACAACAAGGAACAAAGAAGUCGAAGAUUACAAGUUAGGGUUUCUCACUUCACCUAGUCGCCGGUAGUUGCUAGAUGCUUGUUGGCAGCCUCCCAAUCUCACUCCGCGCUCUUCUGCUCCAACCGUCGAGAGCGGCCGGGCGAGUAGGCACCAGGGUCGCGGUGGGGUGGUUUGUCGGGAGGGUGGGGAUGAGGGGGGCAGGGUUGUCUGGGCAAUGGGGGUGAUGACACAGACCCUCUCCGUGUCAAGCAUAGAAAAUAAAGGCCCGUGGGUCCAGUUGGGAAAGAAACAACCAAACAGGCCCACAAGCCACUUACCAGUCACAAAGUAAAAUCCUUUGUUACUAAUAAAAAACAUAAAGGAAAACCAUUUUGUCUAAAAAACAAAAACAAAGGAAAAUCGUAAAAAAAUAGGGAAAUUUUCAAAUAACCAUUUAUUUAGCUACUGCGUGGAGGUUGCCCCCCCCCCCCCGGUCGUGGAGAUUCGAUCGACCUCUCCUUAUUUUUUGGGUGAGUUCAACGUGAACUGAUGGUGAGAGGCUCAAGGAGGAGUUUUGUGCGUUCACAACACCUUUGUUUUAUAGAGAAAAAAAUGCACCUUACAAUGUGAAAUUAUAAAACCGAUAGUAAUAAGUGCUAGAAAUUCCUUAUUUAUAAAAAAAUUGUUUCUUUCCAGAAAAAUAAACUUCAAUAAUGGGGUUAGGUAAUUGCGUGUCCUUCCUCCCUCUCAUAUUUGGGUCAUUUCCCGCAUUUCUAUGGUUGUAACCUCGAAAGUUCAAGAUCUUACGCGGUCACAUGAAAUCAUAGCAGGGAUGGGAUGAGUGCCCCAUGUUAAGCUCUUUGGUCCAUAUAUGUGCCAUAUGCUACCAACGGGGGGCGUGGCCUCGACACCGUUCUCUAGGGCUAUGAUGCCCGUCUGCUGUCGUUAUAAUCAGUGCAAAUUCAUGAGGGGCUAAAAAUUCAUGGGACCUAGCAUGGUGUCAUCAUACAACCCCUAGAGGAUGUGGCAAAACAUCGAGAGCGGCAUGCAUCGGCCCUCACAUAGACUGUGUGCAAACAUGACAAUAUCGCAUGUCGGAUCAAGCCAUCAAGAGAGAAUGUGUCCGGCCUAUGAAGGGAGUGCGGGGCCCGUUCCUUCGUUUUCCUCAAAUCUCGAUGCCACGUGAUGUUAGACCUAGUAACUAAGGCACGUCCCAUGCAUCGCACUCAACUGGACCCACAACAUGCAUGCACGCAUGUCCACGUAUGAGUCUAAGCGGCCGGGAUGCAUGGUUCGGGGACUGGCAUAAGUGGUGUGAGUCAUGUGUCUACGUGAUGCUCCACGUGGGUCUAGAAGGCGGGGGUGCAUGGUUUGGAUCUAGCUACCGAGAGGUAACGCAUUCGGUUUGUGCCUAGGCGGUGCUUCACAGGGCCUGGCACGGUCUCAUCAUAUGAUCCAUGAAGGGUGUGGUCAAACACUGAGAGCGACACGCAUAAGCCCUAACGCGGGCUAUGUGGAAAUGAUGCCAUAUCGCAUGCUGGAUCUAGACAAUGGAGGGAACGAGUUCGGCAUGCAGAUGGAGUGCGGGGCCCGUUCCUUCAUUUUCCUCAAAAUUUGGUGCCGCUUCAUGUGGGCCCUAUCCAAAAAGGAUCGUCCAGUGCAUCACACAUAGUUGGAUUCACACCAUGCAUGCACACUUGGCCACGUAGACACCCACCGUAAACCUUUAGCCAAGUUGACCCACACCAUCCAUCCACCCUUGAACCCACCUCGAAUCGUUGGAUCUCCGACGACCCCUUCCCUCGGUAUGCCAAGUGUUGGGGAACGUUGCAUGAGAAACAAAAAAUUUCCUACGCACACGAAGACCUAGCAUGGUGAUGUCCAAAUACGAGAGGAGAUUCUACGUACCCUUGUAGAUCACUAAGCGGGAAGCGUUAAGAAACAUGGUUGAUAUAGUGGUACAGAUUUGUGAUUCAAAUCAAUGUCGCCCCACGAUCCAUCCCACGAACGGUUCCGAUCUAGCGCCGAACGGACGGCACCUCCGCGUUCAGCACACGUACAGCUCAAUGACGAUCUCGGCCUUCUUGAUCCAACAAGCAAGCCAGAGAAGUAGAUGAGUUCUCCGGCAGCGUUACGGUGCUCCGAUGGUGGUGAUGAUCUACUCCUGUAGGGCUCCGUCCGAGCUCCGCAGAAAUCCGAUCUAGAGGUAAAACUAUGUGGAAUAGGCUAGAUUUGCAUGUGGCAAAGUUGUGUCUCAAAAAGCCCUAAACCACCAAUAUAUAUAGGAGGAGAGGAGGGGCUAGUCUUCGGGCACAAGGGCCCCAAGGGUGCGCCGGCCCCCAGGGAGGAAGAGGACUCCUCCUCCAAUUCGGUUUGGGAACGAGGAGUCCUCCUCUUCCUUCCCACCUCCCUCUUUCCUUUUUUUCUUCUUCUUUUCCUUUGGUAUUUUUACAUGUGGCGCGAUAACCCUCUUGGGCUGACUCCACCAGCCCACAAAGGACUUGGUGCGCUAGCCUAGGGCCUUGGGCUCACUCUCGGGUGGGUGGGCCCCUCCCGAUAAACACCCGGAACCCAUUCGUCACUCCCGGUACACUUCCGGUAAUGCCCGAAACUUUCCGGUGACCAAAUGAAACGAUCUUAUAUAUCAAUCUUCAUCUCUGGACCAUUCUGGAAACCCUCGUGACGUCCGUGAUCUAAUCGGGGACUCUUAACGACAUUUGUUAAUCACACAUAUAACUCAACUAUACUAAAAACACCAUCGAACCGUAAGUGUGCAGACUCUACGAGUUCGAGAACUAUGUAGACAUGACCCGAGACACUCCUCGGUCAAUAUCCAAUAGCGGGACCUGGAUGCCCAUAUUGGAUCCUACAUAUUCUCCGAAUAUCCUAUAGGUUGAACCUCAGUGUCAAGGAUUCAUAUAAUCCCGUAUGUCAUUCCCUUUGUCCUUCGGUAUGUUACUUGCCCAAGAUUCGAUCGUCGGUAUCCGCAUACCUAUUUCAAUCUUGUUACCAGCAAGUCUCUUUACUCAUUCUGUAAUACAAGAUCCCGUGACUUACACUUAGUCACAUUGCUUUUAAGGCUUGUGUGUGAUGUUGUAUUACCGAGUGGGCCCCGAGAUACCUCUCCGUCACACGGAGUGACAAAUCCCAGUCUUGAUCCAUACUAACUCAAUGGACACCUUCGGAGAUACCUGUAGAGCACCUUUAUGUUCACCCAGUUAUGUUGCAACGUUUGAUACACACAAGGUAUUCCUCCGGUGCCAGUGAGUUAUAUGAUCGCAUGGUCAUAGGAAUAAAUACUUGACACGCAGAAAACAAUAUCAAUAAAAUGAAACGAUCAAUAUGCUACGUUCAUAGUUUGGGUCUAGUCCAUCACAUGAUUCUCCGAAUGAUGUGUGGGGACCCCGAAUUACAAGUUGAGAUUGCCGAAUGAUCGUGCUUAGUGAUCCCAGAGAUCAAUGCUCAUCGAACACACAGAUAUUGAAUAAUAAGAGUCUUACAUCCGAGUACCGAAUUAUUACAUCACAUGACCGAAUGGUCAAGUUCACAAGGUUGGGCCUAAGGCCAAAUCAUACUGAUACAACUAAUAGCGGAAAUCAUAGGGGCUAUGCGGGUGCCCAUGCCAUCAAGCCUACACCGACAGGCAUUCUGACUCGGAAGCGUCCUAGAUCGCAGGGGCGUCUCCGAAGACGUACUCAUCUCCAAACUCCGGUCCUUCCAUGUCUGGUCAAUAAUAUAACCAGUGACAAGCCAAUGAGUAGUUUUGAAUGUACUGGCAAACAACCCAUGAUAUGAACAUUGAAAGUGAAGGAUAACAAUAACAUGCAUCUUUGGUGGAAUUCAUCUUGGUGGAAUGAUCAUGAAUAUGCAUCAAGUUGAAGAAUUACUUUUGAAUAAAAGGUUACAAAUAUCAAUAUAUCUGUCGAGGGCUGAACCAUCCGGGCUCACCCUAUAUGCCAAGUCAGCAAACUUGGUCAUAUCAUUACUUUCAUAAUAACUGCUUAUUGUUACCACACACACACACUCGGUUUAUGCGGAAAUAACUGGACGUAGUUUAAGCAGCACCACCCAACUGUCCUUGAAUGUGGACACGACUAUUCGAAUAGUUUUACACUCUGUAGAGGUAGUAAGCUGGACCCACGAGAUCGGGGAAACUUCCGUGUCAUCCACGACUCGCGGUAUAUAACGUACCCAAGGUAAGUACCCGAUCAAUGCCUUUCCCCCGACGAUACUAGACAAAGAGGUCCACUCGAUUGGUACCCAACCCACAUGUUGAACGUCUUACGAGCACCGACUCUAGACAGUUCCAACCAUGCGGGGACCAACGGUAUGCCUAGAACUCAUAAAAAUGGCAUAGUCAUCCUACCUGGCACGACACCAUCAUGAGAGUGACCACACAUCACUCCCGCCAUUAGUAAUGUGGCUCUUUGCUAGCACCGACCAGAGUAAUCAACAUAGCCUCGUCCCAUAAGGGGUAACGUGGUCGUACUGGUAAGGUUGGGACGGUCGACACAUCAUAAAUCUAAUCCCAUUUCCGAAACCAUACUCACACAAAUACCCGGUGCACCGCUUCACCAAAAGUGGCCACCUAACUCAUCAUCGCCCUUGGGCAUUAGUGGCACCCGACGGGGUUUUCAUAAACCUUGGAUUUAUACCAACAACAUUCUCAUGCUAUUUACUCUAGCAUUACUUGUCAACAUGAUAAUAGCAUGUCCUCAAAAGGGGUAAGAUCAAGCUCAAUGCAUGUGCUCCAGAGGAGCCAUCGGUAACAUAUCCUUUGUGAUUUACCUACACUUAUGAUCAUAUGCAACGGAAUACUUGCUAUCUUAACAUGCAAUUAUAACAUAUGCUCAGUCAUGGUCAAAGGGUUGCUUUCCUUGGUCAGCUAGGUAUCCGUGGUCUUCGAGCUCUUCCGCUCUGAUUCCCUCGUCACACGGAUUUUCUAUCGUCGUCAAAUGAAUAAAUAAGAAAUAGCUCACUCAAAAACAGCUCACAAAGUCAUUUUAAAAAUGUUCUUUACUACUGAUAAAUCUAAGUUGUCAUUUUGAAAAAUAUUUGCCUCGGAUUCUCAUGAAGGAACAUUUUUAAAAUCAACCAAACAGAAGCAAAAGUAUUCCAAUUCGGUCCUUUUUAUUAUUGCAAAACAGAAUAGUUGAGGCUGCCGACGUUCUCAAGCCCCAACGAGGACAGAAAUGGGCUCGGCAUUACGUCGCCUACCUACUUGUGGUUGGAACAACGACAGAGAGGCAAGGGUUCGCCGGCGACGAGAAGGCCGCGGCGGAGGAGUUUCGGGAGGUCGUCGAUGAGGUAGCUAGGGGCACGGGAAUGCUCGGGGAAGCUGGGGGAAAGCUUCCUAGGGUCGAGGGGAUCAGUUUUGGGGGUCGAGGAACGUAGGAGCCGUAGUAUAGCCGGAGAUCGACCGGAGCUCCGAGGCGGAGGGCCUCGGUCGAUCUCGAGCACCGGGCUCUGCUCGCUUGCUGGGCUGGCUAGGGAGCUGCUAGUGGUCGUGGUGAAGCUGUCUCAGGGGUGCUGGAGCGAAGGGGAGGGCUAUAAAUUGGCCCACGAUGGUGAGUCGAUUCGGAGCGACGGUGAAUCACCGUGGCGCGCAUGGGGGUGCAGGGAGGAGCUGGGGUCGAAACGACGGCCUGAGGACGUGGUUUUGGACUUCCAGAACCAUCCGCAACAGAGGAAUAGAGAGAGGAGUCGACCAUCCCUGGCCGCGCAACCUUGGCUGGUUCUGGUGCGUGCGGGCACGCGUCGCACGAGCUCUAGCGUGGGAGAGGAGGGGUCCUGAUGGUUGCUCAACGCAGAGGGGGUGUCGAGGAAGAGGUUGGACACCUCGGGGAGGCUCGAACUGGCCGGGGGCGUCGCCCCCAGCUCGGUGGCUUCCUGUAGCACGCCCAGAGCGUAGUUUUGGCAUGCCACGGCAUGCUGGUGCACUCUGAGGCACUUUGGACGUGUCUAUCAUGUCCUGGCACUGGCUGGGAGUGAGGCCAGCCGUUUGGGUCUCGUGGGAGCUUCAGCUGGUCAAGGGAGACAAGGAAUGCUGCUGCUGUCUGCUUUGAAAUGAAGCUUAGAUUGGGAUUCUUGGCAUUUCCACUUUGAACUAGUGAGGGGCCAGUUGACUAGGAAUAACAUUUCUGGUCUCAGAAAUGGACAUGCAAUUAAAUUAGGAAAACAACUCUAAAAUAAUUAUUUUGUGGUUUUGGAAUACUAAAAUAAGUUUAAAUCAGAUGACCAACUUUGGGUAGAAACCAAUCUGCUAUCAAGGGCAAGUAGUGCAACUCAAAGUAGGGUUUUAGCUUGAUCAAAAACAAGAAGAAGGUUCUAAAAAUAAUUCAAUACUGUGGAAUGGGGUUUUAUCAUCACAUGAUCGGUACACAAGUCAUUCAAUGACAAACAUGGCACUCACAUCAUUAGUUUUGAGAAAAAUAACAAGCUCAGAUUUUUGCACUAUAGAGAAAGUGGUAGUAAAAACAGGGUGUGACAUGAUGUGAUCCAGUUAUCAAGUGACAACACUUGCACAUAGCCAGAAAACCUUGACUAUCCUUGAUCAACUGGCUAGCCAACUAGAGGCUUGCUAGGGACAUUGUUUUGUCUAUGUAUCCACACAUGUAUAUGUAUUUUCAUUCAAUACAAUUAUAGCAUGGAUAAUAAACGAUUAUCUUGUAACAGGAAAUAUAAUAAUAACUAUUUAUCAUUGCCUCUAGGGCAUAUUUUCAACAUUCUCCCACUUGCAAGUGAGUCAAUAAUCUAGUCCUCGCAUCGCCAUGCGAUUUUCAUUGUAAUAAAUCUAACACCCAUACAGUUCUUGUGUUGAUCAUGUUUUGCCCAUGGAAGAGGUUUAGUCAGCGGGUCUGCUACAUUCAGAUCCGUGUGCACUUUGCAAAUAUUCAUGUCCUCUCCUUCAACGUAGUCGCGGAUGAGGUUGAAGCAUCGUUUGAUGUGCUUGGUCUUCUUGUGAAACCUUGGUUUCUUUGAAAAAGCAAUGGCACCAGUGUUGUCACAGAACAGAGUUAUUGGAUUUAGUGUGCUCGGCACAACUCCAAGAUCCCUCAUAAACUGCUUCAUCCACACACCCUCCUUUGCUGCCCCGAGGCAGCCAUGUACUCCGGUGCACAUGUAGAAUCUGCUACGAUGUUUUGCUUGGAACUGCACCAGCUUACCGUGCCCCCGUUCAGAAUAAAUAUGUAUCCGGUUUGCGACUUAGAAUCAUCCAGAUUGGUGUCAAAGCUUGCAUCGACGUAACCCUUUACGACGAUCUCUUCGUCACCUCCAUAAACGAGAAACAUUUCCUUAGUCCUUUUCAGGUGCUUCAGAAAAUUCUUGACCGCCGUCCAGUGAUCCACUCCUCGAUUACUCUGAAACCUGCCUGCCAUGAUUAUGGCCAAGCUGACGUUUGGUCUAGUGCACAUCAUUGAAUACAUGAUAGAACCUAUGGCUAAAGCAUAGGGGACGGAACUCAUUUGUUCUCUUUCUUCCGCAAUUGCUGGGCACUGAGUCUUACUCAAUUUUAUACCUUGUAACACUGGCAAGAACCCUUUCUUGGACUGUUCCAUUUUGAACUUCUUCAAAACUUUAUCAAGGUAUGUGCUUUUUGAAAGUCCUAUCAGGCGUCUCGAUCUAUCCCUAUAGAUCUUAAUGCCUAGAAUGUAAGCAGCUUCUCCUAGGUCCUUCAUAGAGAAACUUUUAUUCAAGUAAUCCUUUAUGCUCUCCAAAAACUCCACGUUGUUUCCAAUCAGCGAUAUGUAAUACAAGAUUCUCCAACCACUUGCAUAAACCCAAAUGCUUUGAUCACCUCAUCAAAGUGCUUAUUCCAACUCCGAGAUGCUUGCACCAGUCCAUAAAUGGAUCGCUGUAGCUUGCAUACUUUGUUAGUAUUCUUUGGUCGACGAAACCUUCGGGUUGCAUCAUAUACAACUCUUCCUGAAGAAAACUGUUAAGGAACGCCAUUUUGACAUCCAUCUGCUAGAUUUCAUAAUCGAAAAAUGGAUCUAUUUCUAACAUGAUUCGGACGGACUUAAGCAUCGCUACCGGUGAUAAUGUCUGAUCGUAGUCAACUCCUUGAACUUGUGAAAAACCCUUUGUCACAAGUUGAGCUUUAUAAACGGUCACAUUACCGUCUGCGUCCGUCUUCUUCUUAAAGACCCAUUUGUUCCGAAUAGCCUUGCGGCCUUCAGGUAAUACUUCCAAAGUCCACACUUUCUUUUCAUACAUAGAUCCUAUCUCGGUCUUCAUGGCCUCCAGCCAUUUGUUGGAAUCCGGGCCCAUCAUUGCUUCUUCAUAAUUCGCAGGUUCACUGUUGUCUAACAACAUGAUUACUGUACCACUCAGGAGUAGUACGUGAUCUUAUCGACCUGCAAGGUCCGAUACGAACUUGAUCCAAAGUUUCAUGAUCAUCAUCAUUAACUUCCUCCUCAACCGGCGUCGCAAUGACAUGAGUUUCCUCUUGCCCUGCGCCACCAUCUAGAGGGGUUAGAGGUUAGACAACCUCAUCAAGUUCUAUCUUCCUCCCACUCAAUUCUUUCGAAAGAAACUCCUUCUCAUGAAAAGCUCCAUUUUUAGCAACAAAAACUUUGCCCUCGGAUUUGAGAUAGAAGGUGUACCCAACUGUCUCCUUUGGGUAACCUAUGAAGACGCACUUUUCCGCUUUGGGUUCCAACUUUUUAGGUUGAAGCUUUUUGACAUAAGCAUCACAUCCCAAACUUUAAGAAACGACAAUUUCGGUCUUUUGCCAUACCAUAGUUCGUAUGGUGUCGUCUCAAUGGAUUUUGAGGGUGCCCUAUUUAAAGUGAAUGCAGCUGUCUCUAAUGCAUAACCCCAAAACGAUAACGACAAAUCGGUAAGAGACAUCAUAGAUCGCACCAUUCCUAACAAAGUACGAUUACGACGUUCGGACACACCAUUACGCUGUGGUGUUCCACGCGGUGUCAAUUGUGAAACAAUUCCACAUUGUCUUAAGUGAGCACCAAACUCGAAACUCAUAUAUUCACCCCCACGAUCAGAACGUAUGAACUUGAUCUUCUUGUUAUGAUGAUUUUCAACUUCACUCUGAAAUUGCUUGAACUUCUCAAACUUUUCAAACUUGUGCUUCAUCAAGUAGAUAUAUACAUACCUACUUAAAUCGUCAGUGAAGGUGAGAAAAUAAUGAUAUCCGCCGCGCGCCUCCACACUCAUCGGACCGCACACAUCGGUAUGUAUGAUUUCCAACAAGUCACUUGCAUGCUCCAUUGUACCGGAGAACGGAGUCUUAGUCAUGUUGUCCAUGAGGCAUGGUUCACACAUGUCAAGUGAUUCAAAAUCAAGUGACUCCAAAAGCCCAUCGAAAUGGAGUUUCUUCAUGCGGUUUACACCAAUAUGACCUAAGCGGCAGUGCCACAAAAACAUGGCGCUAUCAUUGUUAACUCUACAUCUUUUGGUCUCAAUGUUAUGUAUAUGUGUAUCAUCGCUAUCAAUAUUCAAUAUGAACAAUCCUCUCACAUUGGGUGCAUGACCAUAAAAGAUAUUACUCAUAGAAAUAGAACAACCAUUAUUCUCUGACUUAAACGAGUAACCGUGUCGCAAUAAAAAAGAUCCAGAUAUAAUGUUCAUGCUUAACGCAUGUACUAAAUAACAAUUAUUUAAGUUCAUAACUAAUCCUGAUGGUAACUGAAGUGAAACUGUGCCGACGGCGAUUGCAUGAACCUUGGAACCAUUUCCCACGCGCAUCGUCACUUCAUCCUUCGCCAACCUUCGCUUAUUCCGCAGUUCCUGUUUCGAGUUGCAAAUACGAGCAACAGAAACGGUAUCGAAUACCCACGCACUACUAUGAGAGUUGGUUAAGUACACAUCUAUAACUUGUAUAUCAAAUAUACCUGAUUUUUCCUUGGCCGCCUUCUUAUCAGCCAAAUACUUGGGGCAGUUGUGCUUCUAGUAACCCAGUCCCUUGCAAUAAUAACACUCUGUUUCAGGCUUAGGCCCAGCCUUGGGUUUCUUCAUCGGAUUAGCAACAGUAUUGCCGCUCUUCUUGGAUUUACCCUUAUUGCCUUUGUCGUUUCUCUUGAAACUAGUGGUCUUAUUGACCAUCAACACUUGAUGCUCUUUCCGGAGUUCUGACUCUGCGACUUUCAGCAUCGCGAAUAACUCGCCGGGUGACUUGUUCAUCCCUUGCAUGUUAUAGUUCAACACAAAGCUCUUGUAUCUUGGUGGCAGCGAUUGAAGAAUUAUAUGAAUGAUAGAUUCUUGCGGGAGUUCAAUCCCCAGCUUAUCUAGACGGUUUGAGUACCCAAACAUUUUGAGCACAUGUUCACUGAUAGACGAAUGCUCCUCCACCUUGCAAGCAUAGAAUUUAUCAGAGGUCUCAUACCUCUCCAUUCGGGCGUUAUUCUGAAAGAUAAACUUCAACUCUUGUAACAUCUCAUAUGCUCCAUGAUGCUCAAAGCAAUGUUGAACUCCCGGCUCUAAGCCAUACAAGACUGCACAUUGAACUACUGGGUAGUCCUCCUUACGUGUUAACCAGGCGUUCUUAACAUCUUGGUCAGCCGUAGCGGGUGGUUCAUCUCCUAGCGCAGCAUUAAGGACAUAAUCCUUCUUCCCAGCUUGCACGAGCAACUUAAGAUUACGUGCCGAGUCUACAAAGUUGCUUCCAUCAUCUUUCAACUUACCUUUCUCUAGGAACGUAUUAAAAUUCAGAGUGACUAUUGCGUGAGCCAUUGAUCUACAACACAAAUAUUGCAAAAUGGACUUAGAAUAUGUUUAAGACAAUUAGAGUUUAAUUAAUCAAAUUACUAAUAAGCUCCCACUCAAAAGGUACAUCUCUCUAGUCAUUUGAGUGGUACAUGAUCCAAUUUCACUAACUCAAGUCCGAUCAUCACGUGAGUUGAGAAUAGUUUCAGUGGUAAGCAUCCCUAUGCUAAUCAUUAUCAAUUAUAUGAUUCAUGCUCGACCUUUCGAUCUCAUGUGUUUUGAGGCCAUGUGUGCACAUGCUAGGCUCGUCAAGUUUAACCCGAGUGUUCCGCGUGUGCAACUGUCUUGCACCCCUUGUAUGUGAACGUUGAGUCUAUCACAUCCGAUCAUCACGUGGUGUCUCGAAAAAACGAACUGUCGCAAUGGUGCACAGUCGGGGAGAACACAAUUUCAUCUUGAAAUUUUAGUGAGAGAACACCUUAUAAUGCUACCGCCGUUCUAAGCAAAAUAAGGUGCUUAAAAGGAUUAACAUCACAUGCAAUUCAUAAGUGACAUGAUAUGGCCAUCAUCUUGUGCUUCUUGAUCUCCAUCACCAAAGCACCGGCAUGAUCUUCUUGUCAUCGGUGCCACACCAUAAUCUCCAUCAUCAUGAUCUCCAUCAAUGUGUCGCCAUCGAGGUUGCCGUGCUAUCUAUGCUAUUACUACUAAUGCUAUGACCUAGCAAUAUAGUAAACGCAUCUGGAAACACAAAUGUUAGUUUAAAGACAACCCUAUGGCUCAUGUCAGUUGCCGUAGCAUCGACGUGCAAGUCGAUAUUAACUAUUUAAACAUGAUCAUCUCAUACAUCCAAUAUAUCACAUCACGUCAUUGGCCAUAUCGUAUCACAAGCAUACCCUGCAAAAACAAGUUAGACGUCCUCUAAUUUGUUGUUGCAUGUUUUACGUGGUUGUUAUGGGUAUCUAGUAUGAUCACAUCUUACUUACGCAAACACCACAAUGGAGAUGUACAAAUUGCUAUUUAACCUUUCUCUAAGUACCGCCUCGGUCAAAACCAAUUCAACUAAAGUUGAAGAAACAUGCACUCGUCUGUCAUCUUUAUGCAACGACGUUGCAUGUCAGUCGAUGAAACCAGUCUCUCGUAAGCGUACGAGUUAUGUCGGUCUGGGCCGCUUCAAUCCAACAAUACCAUCGAAUCGAGAAAGGACUAAGGAGGGCAGCAAAUCGAACAUCACCGUCCACAAAACCUUUUGAGUUCUACUCGAGAUAACAUCUACGCAUGAACCUAGCUCAUGAUGCCACUGUUGGGGAACGUUGCAUGGGAAACAAAAAAAUUCCUACGCACACGAAGACCUAUCAUGGUGAUGUCCAUCUACGAGAGGAGAUAAGAUCUACGUACCCUUAUAGAUCGCUCAGUGGGAAGCGUUAAGAAACACGGUUGAUGUAGUGGUACAGCUUCGUUAUUCAAAUCACUCUCGUCCCACGAUCCGUCCCACGAACGAUUUCGAUCUAGCGCCAAACGGACGGCACCUCCGCGUUCAACACACGUACAACUCAAUGACUAUCUCGGCCUUCUUGAUCCAAAAAGAAAUAUGGAGAAGUAGAUGAUUUCUCCAGCAGCGUGACGGUGCUCCAGUGGUGGGGAUGAUCUACUCCUGUAGGGCUCCGCCCGAGCUCCGCAGAAAUCCGAUCUAGAGGUAAAACUAUGUGGAAUAGGCUAGAGUUGCACGUGGGAAAGUUGUGUCCCAAAAAGUCCUAAACCACCAAUAUAUAUAGGACGAGGGGAGGGGCUAGCCUUAGGGCACAAGGGCCCCAAGUGUGCACCGGCCUCCAGGGAGGAGGAGGACUCCUCCUCCAAUUCGGUUUGGGAAGGAGGAGUCCUCCUCUUCCUUCCCACCUCCCUCUUUCCUUUUUCUUCUUCUUCUUUUCCUUUGGUAUUUUUACAUGUGGCGCCAUAGCCCUCUUGGGCUGACUCCACCAGCCCACUAAGGACUUGGUGCGCCACCCUAGGGCCUUGGGCUCACUCCCAGGUGGGUGGGCCCCUCCCGGUAAACACCCGGAACCCAUUCGUCACUCCUGGGACACUACUGGUAAUGCCCGAAACUUUCCGGUGACUAAAUGAAACCAUCCUAUAUAUCAAUGUUCGUCUCCGGACCAUUCCGGAAACCCUCGUGACAUCUUUGAUAUCAUCCAGGACUCCAAACAACAUUCGGUAACCACACAUAUCACUCAAUUCUACUAAAAACAUCAUCGAACCUUAAGUGUGCAGACCCUGCGGGUUCGAGAACUAUGUAGACAUGACCCGAGACACUCCUCGGUCAAUAUCCAAUAGCGGGACCUGGAUGUCCAUAUUGGAUCCUACAUAUUCUCCGAAGAUCUUAUCGGUUGAACCUCAGUGUCAAGGAUUCAUAUAAUCCCGUCUGUCAUUCCCUUUGUCCUUCGGUAUGUUACUUGCCCGAGAUUUGAUCGUCGGUAUCCGCAUACCUAUUUCAAUCUUGUUACCGGCAAGUCUCUUUACUCGUUUUGUAAUACAAGAUCCCAUGACUUACACUUAGUCGCAUUGCUUGCAAGGCUUGUGUGUGAUGUUGUAUUACCGAGUGGGCCCCGAGAUACCUCUCCAUCACACGGAGUGACAAAUCCCACUAUUCAUCCAUACUAGCUCAACGGACACCUUCGGAGAUACCUGUAGAGCACCUUUAUAGUCACCGAGUUACAUUGCGACGUUUGAUACACACAGGGCAUUCCUCCGGUGCCAGUGAGUUAUAUGAUCUCAUGGCCAUAGGAAUAAAUACUUGACACGCAAAAAACAAUAGCAAUAAAAUGACACGAUCAAUAGGCUACGUUCAUAGUUUGGGUCUAGUCCAUCACAUGAUUCUCCUAUUGAUGUGAUCCAGUUAUCAAGUGAAAACACUUGCACAUAGCAAGAAAACCUUGACUAUCCUUGAUCAACUGGCUAGCCAACUAGAGGCUUGCUAGGGACAUUGUUUUGUCUAUGUAUCCACACAUGUAUCUAUGUUUUCAUUCAAUAAAAUUAUAGCAUGGAUAAUAAAUGAUUAUCAUAUAAUAGGAAAUAUAAUAAUAACUAUUUAUCAUUUCCUCUAGGGCAUAUUUCUAACACCAAGGAUGUUAAAACAACACACGGCUACACGUCUUGCACACCGAGAUUGGCGCAUCAUGCACUAGUGCCAACAAACAUGUCCAGCUGAGCAUCUUUCCCCAUGGUCUGGAUCGAGGCGGCUAGCGGUGCAUGUUGUUGACCCAGUUGCCUAGUGGUGCAUGAUAUGGGUCGACAUGAAUCACAUCGCAUCGGAUCAAGAUUCCCCUAUCUUGUACCAGACGCCGGAGCAGCACACGUGCAUGGUUGAAAAAUCUGCACGGUUGAUGUCGGAGCUUGGAAGAGACGCCAUGGUAUAGGUGCAUGCUGAAAUUCAAGAUUUAGGAGUUGAUAACAAAUGAAAACGACAAUUCAAUUGUUUGUACAGGUGUACAACAUGUUUUAAGGGAAAUAUGACACGUUCACAUGCAUUUUGGCAACAAGUGCACUUUUGGAGGGGAAAAUCAGGUAGCCCUCGUGUCUCCCAUGAUUUUUGUUCCAUGUAUUUCGACACAAAUAUUGGAGGAAAAAAGUUAAAUGUAUUUUCCCCUCAAAAAACGACUUGGGAAGAAAAUCUCAAGUAACCAUAUUAAGCUACUCCGUGGAGGUUUCCCCUCGUGAGGAGAUUAGAUCGACCUCUCCUUGAUUUUAGGGCGAGUUCAACGUGAACGUGAUGGUGAGAGGCUGAAGAAGGAGUUUUUUGUGUUUACAACAACCUUUGUUUUAGAACUAUAUAAUAAUAAAUGAAAGAGAAUAUGUGAAAAACAAAAAAUAAAAAGGAUAUGCAUACAAGAUGGGCCAGCCCAACCAUCUACAGGGACGCGUGGUCCAACACGCGGGUGAGGUUCGCCUGGGACAACCCAACAAAAUCUGGCCCAACAUUGAGUCGCACCGUGCACAACUGACGGGUGGUGGGAGUUUAGUCCCACCUCACCAAGCGAGACGUGCACGUACCUACCUAUAUACGCGGCUGAAAGACCAUUUUCAUGAGCCUCUCUCACUUAAACAACAUGUUCUCUAUCCAUUUCCAUUUAUGCCAUGUGGGGUCUGCUAGCAGGAGAAAUCAAUAUCCCAUGGGCCUGCAUCCUGGCCCAUAUAGUUGGGUUUCUAGUUGUAUGCACGCCGUGGGGUUUGAAAUCUCCUGUUAGAGGUGGGCUUUUUCUUUUGUAUAUGGUCACAUGUUUAUGUUUGGACCAUCUCCAAAUCACCCAUUUUUUAUGUUGUCACAUACAUGUAAUAAACAUGAUUAUCAAAGAAAAUUCAACAAUAAUGAAGUUUAUAAUUUCCCCUUAAGGUAAAUUCACAGGUAUGUACCUGAGUUUCACUGAGCCACUAUAAAUUAUAUAAAAUUCUAAAAAAUGGAAAACUUUCAUAUUCUCUCUAUGUUUAUGAAAGAUAUCAUGUGUACAAAAUUUCAGGUGAUUUGGAUGUGGUCUAAAAACCCACCUUGUUAGAAGAACUCGCUUAAGUGAUACCAAACGUUCCGUGUGUAAUGAAGUGAUUUUUUUUGACCAUCUCCAAAAUAACCCCAAAUUUGUUGUACAUGGUGCCAUAAAUGUAACAAAUAGGAUAUCCAAAAAUAAAACUCAAUUUUUUUAAGUUUACGUUGUCCCCUUAUGUAAAAUUUCGUGGUAAGGCAAGUGAGGUAGCUCAUGACCAUAGCCAUGGCAUACAUUGUUCAAAUGGCCUCUAACCGUUCCCCUGUAGCCAAGUUGACCCACACCAUCCAUCCACCUUUGACCCCACCUUGGUUCGUUAGUUCUCCAAUGAGUCCCUCCCUCCUUAUGCCAAGCAUGUCAAAGCGACACACGGCUACCCGUCUUGCACACCGAGAUUGAGCAUCAUGCACUAGUGCCAGCAAACAAGUCCAGCCGAGCAUCUUUGCCCAUCGUGGACACUACCGCAUGGUCUAGAUCAAGGUGGCUAGCGGUGCAUGUUGUCGGCCCGGUUGGCUAAGGGUGCAUGAUAUGGGUCAACAUGAAUUUUAUUGCAUCACAUCUAGAUUCCCCUCUCCGUUACUGGACGCUGGAGGCCCUGAGCAGCACGUGCAUGGUACAAGAAUCUGCACGGUCGCUGGCGAAGCUUGGAUAAGACAAAUUUGACCUAACCGCCAUGGGGUAGGUGCAUGCUGAAAUUCAAUAUUUAGGAAUUGUUAACAAAACAAAAAACGAUAAUUCAAUUGUUUGUACAUGUGACACGUUGAUACGUCCAUUUUGCAUCAUGCUUUCAUGUUGAUAUUUAUUGCUUUUUGGGCUGUUAUAUUACUUGUGGUACCAUAUUUAUAUCUUCUCUAUCUUAUUUUGCAAGGAUUAUUUGAAGAGGGAGAAUUCAGGCAGCUGGAAUUCUGGACUAGAAAAGGAGCAAAUCCUAGUCCACUAUUCUACACAUCUCCAAAUGCCCUGAAAAUUUACGUGGAUUUUUUCUGGAAUAUAUUAAAAAUACUGGGCGAAAUAACUACCGGAGGGGGGCCACCAGGGCCCCACAAGCCCCCACUCCGCCACCACCCCCCGUGGUGGCGGUGGGCAAGCUUGUGGGCUGCCUGAAGGCCCACUAGCCCCCUCUUUUGCCAUAUGAUGCGUACUGACCUGGAAAAAAUCAUACGGGAGCUUUUUAGUGGUUUCUCCGCCGCCACGGGGCGGAACUUGAGCAGAUCCAAUCUAGAGCUCCGGCAGGACGAUCCUGCAGGGGAAAUUUCCCUCCCGAAGGGGGAAAUCGUCGCCAUCGUCAUCACCAACACUCCUCUCAUCGGAGGGGAGGCAUCUUCAUGAACAUCUUCAUCAUCACCAUCUCCUCUCCAAUCCCUAGUUCAUCUCUUGUAACCAAUCUUCGUCUCGCAACUCCGAUUGGUACUUGUAAGGUUGCUAGUAGUGUUGAUUACUCUUUGUAGUUGAUGCUUGUUGGAUUAUUUGGUGGAAGAGUUUAUGUUCAGAUCAUUGAUGCUAUUCAUUACACCUCUGGUCAUGAUUAUGAUUAUGUCUUGUGAGUAGUUACUUUUGUUCCUGAGGACAUGGGAUAAGUCAUGCUGAUAAUAGUCAUGUGAAUUUGAUAUUCGUUCGGCAUUUUGAUAUGAUGUAUGUUGUUUUUCCUCUAGUGUUGUUUUGUGAACGUUGACUACAUAACACUUCACCAUAUUUGGGCCUAGAGGAAGGCAUUGGGAAGUAGUAAGUAGAUGAUGGGCUGCUGGAGUGACAGAAGCUUAAACCCAAUUUAUGCGCUGCUUCGUGAGGGGCUGAUUUGGAUCCACUAGUUUAAUGCUAUGGUUAGACUUUGUAUUAAUUCUUCUUUUGUAGUUGCGGAUGCUUGGGAGAGAGGUUAAUCAUAAGUGGGAUGCUUGUCCAAGUAAGGGUAGUACCCAAGCGCCGGUCCACCCACAUAUCAAACUAUCAAAGUAACGAACGCGAAUCAUAUGAACGUGAUGAAACUAGCAUGACAGAAAUUCCCGUGUGUCCUCGGGAGCGUUUUUCCUCCUAUAAGAAUUUGUUCAGGCUUGUCCCUUGCUACAAAAGGGAUUGGGCCACUUGCUGUACCGUUGCUACUACUUGUUACUUGUUACUCUUUGCUUGCUACGUUUCACCUCGCUACACAAUCACUUGUUACCGCUACUUUCAGUGCUUGCAGUUAUUACCUUGCUGAAAUCCAUCUAUAAGAGCCUUCUUCUCCUCGUUGGGUUCGACACUCUUACUUAUCGAAAGGACUACGAUUGAUCCCCUAUACUUGUGGGUCAUCAAGACUCUUUUCUGGCGCCGUUGCCGGGGAGUGAAGCGCCUUUGGUAAGUGGAAAUUGGUAAGGAAACAUUUAUAUACUGUGCUAAAAUUUAUUGUCACUUGUCACUAUGGAAACUCUUCCUUUGAGGAGUUUGUUCAGGGUAUCUUCACAAUGAAUGGAAGCACGAGGAGUUGCUCCUCGACCUGAGGUACCUACUGAAAAUAUCUUUUAUGAAAUUCCAUUGGGUAUGCUUGAGAAACUGCUGGCUAAUCAUUUUACAGGAAAUGGAUCUUCACAUCUAGAGUUUCAUCUAAUCUAUGUAGAUUAAGUUUGUGGUUUAUUUAAGCUUGCAGGUUUGCCCGAGGAUGAGGUAAAGAAGAAAGUCUUUCCUUUAUCUUUGAAGGAUAAGGCGUUGACAUGGUAUAAACUAUGUGAUGAUGCUGGAUCAUGGGGCUACAAUCGGUUGAAAUUGGAAUUUCAUCAAAAGUUCUAUCCUAUGCAUUUAGUACAUCGUGAUCGGAACUUUAUUUAUAACUUUUGUCCUCGUGACAGGGAAAGCAUAGCUCAAGCUUGGGGGAGGCUUAAAUCAAUGCUAUAUUCAUGCCCCAAUCAUGAGCUCUCGAGAUAAAUCAUCACUCAAAACUUUUAUGCUCGGCUUUCUCAUGAAGAUCGUACCAUGCUUGACACUUCUUGUGCCGGUUCUCUUAUGAAGAAGGAUAUUGAUCACAAGUGGAAUUUAUUGUUGAGAAUCAAAUGCAACUCUGAAGAUUGGGAGCUGGAGGAAGUUAAGGACUCAGGUACGAAUUUCCAGUUUGAUUGCGUUAAAUCUUUUGUUGAGACAAACACUUCUAGAGAUUUUAGCGCUAAGUAUGGAUUUGACUCUGAGAUAGUAGCUUCUCUAUGUGAAUCUUUUGCUGCUCAUGUUGAACUUCCCAAAGAGAAGUGGUUUAAAUAUCAUCCUCUAGUAGAAAGCAACAUAGCCAAAACCAACCUAGUUGAGGAGAAAGUCAUAGCUUUUAGUGAUCCUGUUGUUCCUUGUGCUUACACUGAGAAACCACCAUACCCUGCUAGAAUGAAGGAUUAUUCUAAAGCUCCAACUGUGAUACAUAGGGGUUACAUUAGACCACUUGCACCCCCUGAGGAGACUAGAGUUGAACCUAGUGUUGCUAUUAUCGAAGAUCUCUUAGACAAAGACAUAGACGGGCAUGUUAUUAAAUUCUGUGAGGACUCUGCUAGAAUUGCUAAACCUCACGCGAAAGACAAGCACGGACCUGUAGUUGGCCUGCCCGUUGUUUCUGUUAAGAUAGGAGAUCACUGCUACCAUGGUUUAUGUGAUGUGGGAGCUAGUGUUAGUGCAAUACCCCGUUCUCUCUAUGAUGAAAUCAAAGAUGAGAUUGCACCUGCUGAGAUAGAACCCAUUGAUGUAACUAUCACGCUAGCUAAUAGAGACACUAUCUGCCCUUUGGGAAUUGUGAGAGACGUAGAAGUCAUGUGUGGUAAGACGAAGUAUCCUACUGAUUUCCUCGUCCUUGGUACUGCACAAGAUAGCUUUUGUCCCAUCAUAUUUGGUAGACCCUUUCUCAACACUUUCAAUGCUCACAUUGAUUGCAUUAAGCAGACUGUCACAGUAAGUUUCGAGGGUGUGUAUCAUGAAUUUAACUUCUCCAAGUUUGGAAGACAAUCCCAUGAAAGAGAGUUGUGUGGUAGAGAUGAAAUCAUUGCUCUUGCCUCUAUUGUCGUACCUCCUACGGAUCCUUUAGAGCAAUAUCUGCUUGAGCAUGAAAAUGAUAUGCAUAUGGAGGAGAGAGAUGAGUUAGAUAGAAUUGUCUUAGAACAACAUCCUAUUCUCAAGAAUAAUUUGCCUAUUGAACUGCUUGGGGAUCCUCCCCCACCAAAGGGUGAUCAUGUGUUCGAGCUUAAACAGUUGCCUGAUACUCUUAAGUAUGCCUAUCUUGAUGAGAAGGAGAUAUAUCAUGUCAUUAUUAGUGCUCUCCUCUCAGAGCACGAAGAGAAGAAGUUACUAAAAACUAAGAGGAAGCACCGCGCGGCUAUUGGAUAUACUCUUGAUGAUCUUAAGGGUAUUAGUCCUACUCUAUGUCAACACAAGAUUAAAACCGAUCCUGAAUUUAAACCAGUUACUCAUCAUCAAAGGAGAUUAAAUCCUAAGAUGAAAGAGGUCGUUAGAAAAGAAAUAUUAAAGCUUCUGGAAGCAGGAAUCAUCAUGUUGCUCAUAGUGAUUGGGUAAGUCCAGUAAAUUGCGUACCUAAGAAGGGAGGUAUCACCGUCGUUCCUAAUGAUAAGGAUGAACUAAUCCCACAAAGGAUUAUUACCGGCUAUAGAAUGGUGAUAGACUUCCGGAAACUGAACAAGGCAACCAGGAAAGAUCAUUAUCCUUUGUCGUUCAUCGACCAAAUGCUAGAAAGGCUAUCAAAGCACACACACUUCUGCUUUCUAGACGGUUAUUCAGGUUUCUCGCAAAUACCUGUUGCACAAUCUGAUCAAGAGAAAACCACUUUCACCUGCCCUUUCGGUACCUUUACCUAUAGACGUAUGCCUUUUGGCUUAUGUAAUGCACCUGCCACCUUCCAAAGAUGUAUGAUGGCUAUAUUCUUUGACUUUUGUGAAAAGAUUGUCGAGGUUUUCAUGGAUGACUUCUCCGUUUACGGGUCUUCCUUUCAUGAUUGCCUCAGCAACCUUGAUCAAGUCUUAGAGAGAUGCGAAAAAACCAACCUCGUCUUGAAUUGGGAGAAGUGCCACUUUAUGGUUAAUGAAGGUAUCAUCUUAGGACACAAAAUUUCUGAGAGAGGCAUUGAAGUUGAUAAGGCUAAGGUUGAUUCAAUUGAGAAAAUGUCGUGCCCCACAGAUAUCAGAGGUAUACGAAGUUUCCUAGGUCAUGCUGGUUUCUAUAGAAGGUUCGCUAAAGACUUCUCUAAGAUUUCUAGGCCUCUUACCAACCUCUUGCAGAAGGAUGUUCCUUUUGUUUUUGAUGAGGAUUGUGAGGAAGCUUUCGAAAUACUUAAGAAGGCUUUGAUAACCGCACCUAUUGUUCAACCACCUGACUGGAACUUGCCCUUUGAAAUCAUGUGCGAUGCUAGUGAUUAUGCUGUUGGUGCUGUUCUAGGACAAAGAGUUGAGAAGAAGUUGAAUGUCAUUCACUACGCUAGUAAAACUCUAGACAGUGCCCAAAGAAACUAUGCCACUAUGGAGAAGGAAUUUUUAGCUGUCGUGUUUGCAUGCGAAAAGUUCAGAUCUUACAUAGUUGACUCUAAAGUCACUAUUCUCUCUGAUCAUGCUGCUAUUAAGUACCUCAUGGAGAAGAAGGACGCUAAGCCUAGGCUGAUCAAAUGGGUUCUCCUGCUACAGGAAUUUGAUUUGCACGUCAUUGACCGAAAGGAUGCUGAUAACCCUGUAGCAGAUAACUUGUCCAGGCUAGAGAAUGUCCUUGAUGACCCACUACCUAUUGAUGACAGCUUUCCUGAUGAGCAAUUAAAUGUCAUGCGCACUUCACUUAGUGCGCCGUGGUAUGCCGAUUAUGCAAACUAUAUCGUAGCCAAAUACAUACCACCCAGUUUCACCUAUCAACAAAAGAAGAAAUUAUUCUUUGAUUUGAGACACUACUUUUGGGAUGAUCCUCACCUUUAUAAGGAAGGAGUAGAUGGUGUUAUUAGACGUUGUGUGCCUGAACAUGAACAGGGACAGAUCCUGCAGAAGUGUCAUUCCGAAGCCUACGGAGGACACCAUGCUGGAGAUAGAACAACCCAUAAGGUAUUGCAAUCCGGUUUCUAUUGGCCCACUCUCUUCAAGGAUGCCCGUAAGUUUGUCUUGUCUUGUGACGAAUGCCAAAGGAUAGGGAACAUCAGUAAGUGUCAAGAGAUGCCUAUGAACUAUUCACUUGUCCUUGAACCAUUUGAUGUCUGGGGCUUUGAUUAUAUGGGACCCUUCCCGAGUUCCAAUGGGUACACUCACAUCUUAGUUGUUGUGGAUUACGUUACUAAGUGGGUAGAAGCUAUCCCCACUAAAAAUGUUGAUCACCACACCUCUAUUAAGAUGCUUAAAGAAGUUAUAUUCCCAAGAUUUGGAGUCCCUAGAUACUUGAUGAAUGAUGGCGGUUCACACUUCAUUCAUGGUGUUUUCCGCAAGAUGCUAGCUAAGUAUGAUGUCAACCAUAGAGUUGCAUCUCCUUAUCAUCCUCAGUCUAGUGGUCAAGUGGAGUUGAGUAAUAGGGAGAUCAAGUUGAUCCUACAAAAGACCGUCAAUAGAUCUCGAAAGAACUGGUCUAGCAAACUUGACGAUGCACUAUGGGCUUAUAGGACUGCUUUUAAGAAUCCCAUGGGCAUUUCACCGUAUAAAAUGGUUUACGGUAAGGCCUGUCAUUUACCUCUUGAGCUGGAACACAAAGCUUAUUGGGCAAUCAAAGAGCUCAACUUUGAUUUCAAACUUGCCGGUGAGAAGCGCUUGUUUGAUAUCAGCUCGUUGGAUGAAUGGAGAGCCCAGGCGUAUGAGAAUGCCAGCUUGUUCAAGGAAAAGGUUAAGAGAUGGCACGACUAACAGAUACAGAAACGAGAGUUCAAUGUAGGUGAUUAUGUCUUGCUAUACAAUUCUCGUUUGAAAUUCUUUGCAGGCAAGCUUCUCUCUAAAUGGGAAGGUCCCUAUGUUGUCGAGGAAGUAUAUCGCUCCGGUGCCAUCAAAAUCAAUAACACGGAAGGAAAUUUUCCUAGAGUGGUAAAUGGGCAAAGAAUCAAGAAUUACAUCUCUCGUACUCCCAUAAAUGUUGAGACCAAUAUCAUCAAUGUCAUAACUCCAGAGGAGUACAUAAGGGAUGUUUAUCAGCCUAUUUCAGACCUUGAAACAAAGAUGUAUCUAUUUCGGCAAGAAAUUGGACUGCGAUGCUUUUCCAAUAGGAAAUUUCCUCAGUUUUGGAAUUUUUGGAAAAUUAGAAAAAUAAAAAGCAGUUCAGAGAGCAAACGAGGCAGCCACAAGGGCCCACACCGCCACCACCCCCCUGGUGGCUGUGGGCAAGCUUGUGGGCACCUCGUGGGCCUCCCGGACUCCGUUUUCUUGCGGAGCACUCCUUCUGGCCAAGAAAAAAAUCAAUAUAUAGUCGCCCGAAGGUUUUGAUCUCCGUAUCGCGUAGUUUUCCUCUGUUUUCGUUUCGAGCUUGUUGUCUGCCGCUGAUUUAGAGCAAAGAUGUCUCAGGAAUCUGUUGGGGAGAAUGAUCAUCACCAAGUUCAUGAGGAAGAAGAUGCUGAUCUGAAAAGAGUUGAAGUUACGGAAGCCAGGGACCAAGCUAAGGAGAAAACCCAAGAUAAGGAGGAAGUUCAACCUAUGUUCAACGUUGAAGACGUUGAAGGAAUGGACUUUCUCCAACCCUUCCUCCACAUGUUGUCUCCAUCCUUGAUUGAAGUCUUGAGGUUUUUCAAAACAACUCAUGCUCGCAAUAUUUCUCUUUCUCGUCAAGUUGUUUUGGUGGAAAACCAUGUCACAGAUCUCAGAGGUAUAAAUCAAAGGUUGAUAGCUCUCUUGGAAUCAAAGGCCACAACAACACCAUCACCACCAAAGGAAGAUAAGUAAGCAUUGGUAUGCGCAAUUCCCUUGGCUUCUCCCAAGCUUGGGGGAGUUGCCCUGGUAUCGUAUCACCUUUAUAUCUUUUGCUUUCACCUUUGUUUUAGUUCUUUCCUUUUUAGUUUUUAUUUCUUCUUUUAGAGGAAUAAGUCUUUAGUUUUUAGUUUGAGUCUUUUUCUUUUGUCUCUCCCCCGAUGUAUUCGAGCUUACGAGCUAUAUAAUAAAGAGUGUCUUAGUCAAGGGCUUUGCUUUGUGCCAUGAUCAAAAGUAUGAAAAGAAUGAUAGCAUGAAAGAUCAUGAGACGAUCUUAUGGAAAGUGAUAACUUCACUUAUGACAAGUAUGAUGAUUGAAACUUGUUGAGAAUAAAUCAACAUAGACCUUAGUCAUUGUUGCAAUUAAUAAGAAGUAAUAAGGAAAGAGAGGUUCACAUAUAAAUAUAUCAUCUUAGAAACUUUUUUGCAAUUGUGAGCACUCACCAAACUAUUACAUGCCUAGGAGUAGAUGUUGGACAAGGAAGACGACAUAAUGAAUUGUGUUUGCUUGGUUCCAAACAACAUUAUAUGAUUAGAGAUCCCUUAGCAUGUGACGAUUGCUUCCACCUCAUAUUAGCCAAAACUCCUGCACCAAGUAGAGAUACUACUUGUGCAUCCAUAAACCCUCAAACCAGUUUUGCCAUGAGAGUCCACCAUACCUACCUAUGGAUUGAAUAAGAUCCUUCAAGUAAGUUGUCAUCGGUGCAAGCAAUAAAAAUUGUUCUCUAAUAUGUAUGAUCUAUUAGUGUGUGGAAAAUAAGCUUUGUGCGAACCUGUGAUGAGAGACAUAAAAGCGACAAACUGCAUAAUAAAGUUCUUUAUCAUAGGAGGCAAUAUAAAGUGACGCUCCUCCGCACUAAGAGGACACACAUUCAAACCUCAAAAGCGCAUGACGACCUCUGCUUCCCUCUGCGAAGGGCAUAUCUUGUACCUUUACUUUUUACCCUUGUAAGAGUCAUGGUGAUCAUCACCAAUUCCUCUUUUGCCUUCGUCUUGGCUACCGUCACAUGCUUGGGAAAGAUAUAUAUUGAUAUAUCAACUUGGAGUUGAGUACUCAUGAUUUAUUAUUGUUGACUUUACCCUUGAGGUAAACCGAUGGGAGGCAAAACUAUAAGCCCCUAUCUUCCUCUGUGUCCAGCCGAAACUUUGACACCAUGAGUACCACGUGAGUUGUAACAAUUGUGGAAAACAAAAGAGAUGAUUGAGUACGUGGGUUUGUCGUACAAGCUCUUAUUUGACUCUUUCUGAUGUUGUGAUAAAUUACAAUUGCUUCAAUGACUAUGGACUAUUGUUGGUUACUUCUCGGUAAGGUUUUUGCUUCAUGCUUUACUUUGUGAAGGAAUUGUUACUUUCCCAUAAUAAUAUUUAUGAUAUAUUGUUGUUCUAUGUGUGAUCAUGAUGCCCUCAUGUCCGUAUUAUGUUUUAUCGACACCUUCGUCCCCAAACAUGUGGACAUGUUUAUGGAACUUGGUUUUCGCUUGAGGACAAUCGAGGUCUAAGCUUGGGGGAGUUGAUACGUCCAUUUUGCAUCAUGCUUUCAUGUUGAUAUUUAUUGCUUUUUGGGCUCUUAUAUUACUUGUGGUACCAUAUUUAUGCCUUUUCACUCUUAUUUUGCAAGGAUUAUUUGAAGAGGGAGAAUUCAGACAGCUGGAAUUCUGGACUGGAAAAGGAGCAAAUCCUAGUCCACUAUUCUACACAUCUCCAACUGCCCAGAAAAUUUACGUGGAUUUUUUCUGGAAUAUAUUAAAAAUACUGGGCGAAUGAACUACCGGAGGGGGGCCACCAGGGCCCCACAAGCCCCCACUCCGCCACCACCCCCUGGUGGCGGUGGGCAAGCUUGUGGGUUGCCUCAACGCCCACUAGCACCCCUCUUUUGCUAUAUGAUGCGUCGUGACCUGGAAAAAAUCAUACGGGAGCUUUUUCGUGGUUUCACCGCCGCCACGGGGCGGAACUUGAGCAGAUCCAAUCUAGAGCUCCGGUAGGACGAUCCUGCCGGGGAAAUUUCCCUCACGGAGGGGGAAAUCGUCGCCAUCGUCAUCACCAACACUCCUCUCGUCGGAGGGGAGGCAUCUUCAUCAACAUCUUCAUCAGCACCAUCUCGUCUCCAAUCCUAUUUCAUCUCUUGUAACCAAUCUUCGUCUCGCAACUCCGAUUGGUACUUGUAAGGUUGCUAGUAGUGUUGAUUACUCUUUGUAGUUGAUGCUUGUUGGAUUAUUUGGUGGAAGAGUUUAUGUUCAGAUCCUUGAUGCUAAUCAUUACACCUCUGGUCAUGAUUAUGAUUAUGUCUUGUGAGUAGUUACUUUUGUUCCUGAGGACAUGGGAUAAGUCAUGUUGAUAAUAGUCAUGUGAAUUUGAUAAUCGUUCGGUAUUUUGAUAUGAUGUAUGUUGUUUUUCCUCUAGUGUUGUUUUGUGAACGUCGACUACAUAACACUUCACCAUAUUUGGGCCUAGAGGAAGGCAUUGGGAAGUAGUAAGUAGAUGAUGGGCUGUUGGAGUGAUAGAAACUUAAACCCCAGUUUAUGCGCUGCUUCGUGAGUGGCUGAUUUGGAUCCACUAGUUUAAUGCUAUGGUUAGACUUUGUCAUAAUUCUUCUUUUGUAGUUGCGGAUGCUUGCGAGAGAGCUUAAUCAUAAGUGGGAUGCUUGUCCAAGUAAGGGCAGUACCCAAGCGCCGGUCCACCCACAUAUCAAACUAUCAAAGUAACGAACGCGAAUCAUAUGAACAUGAUGAAACUAGCAUGACAGAAAUUCCUGUGUGUCCUCGGGAGCGUUUUUCCUCCUAUAAGACUUUGUUCCAACUUGUCCCUUGCUACAAAAGGGAUUGAGCCACUUGCUGCACCAUUGCUACUACUUGUUACUUGUUACUCUUUGCUUGCUACGUUUCACCUCGCUACACAAUCACUUGUUACCGCUACUUUCAGUGCUUGCAGUUAUUACCUUGCUGAAAUCCAUCUAUCAGAGCCUUCUGCUCCUCGUUGGGUUCGACACUCUUACUUAUCGAAAGGACUACGAUUGAUCCCCUAUACUUGUGGGUCAUCACACGUUCACAUGCAAUAUGGCAACAAGUGCACUUUUGGAGGGAAAAAAUAGGUGCACCAAAGUUGUCAAAAUCGUGACUCAAGUCUUAAAAUCUUACGACUUUACGAUCCAAACUAGCACCUACGACUUGGGGAGAAAUUCUUCAUACGUCCAUUUUGCAUCAUGUUUUCACGUUGAUAUUUAUCGCUUCUUUUGCUGUUAUUUCACUUCACGGUACUAUUCUUAUGCCUUUUCUUUCUUAUUUUGCAAGGUUUACAUGAAGAGGGAGAAUACCGGCAACUGGAAUUAUGGCCUGAAAGUGGAGCAAAGUUGAGAUACCUAUUCUGCGCAACUCCAAACGCCGUGAAAAUCAACGGAGAUUUUUUCCCAAUAUAUAAAAAAUACUGGACCGAAGAAGUACCGGAGGAGGGCCAGGGGGUGGCCACAAGCCUGCAUGGCGCGGCCACCCCCCCCCCCCCAGGCCGCGCCAUGGGGGCUUGUGGGCACCCUGCUGGCCCACUUGCCCCCCUCUUUUGCUAUAUGGAGGGUUUCGUCCAGAAAAAAAAUCAGAAUGGAGCUUUUUCGUGGUUUCGCCGCCACCACGAGGCGGAACUUGAGCAGAACCAAUCUAGAGCUCCGGCAAGACGAUCCUGCCGGGGAAACUUCCCUCCCAGAGGGGGAAAUCGUCGCCAUCGUCAUCACCAAAACUCCUCGCGACUCCGAUUGGUACUUGUAAGGUUGCUAGUAGUGUUGAUUACUCUUUGUAGUUGAUGCUAGUUGGAUUACUUGGUGGAAGAGUUUAUGUUCAGAUCCUUGAUGCUACUAAUUACACAUCUGAUCAUGAUUAUGAUUAUGCUUUGUGAGUAGUUACUUUUGUUCCUGACGACAUGGGAUAAUUCAUGCUAAUAAUAGUCAUGUGAAUUUGGUAUUCGUUCGGUAUUUUGAUAUGUUGUAUGUUGUUUUUCCUCUAGUGGUGUUAUGUGAAUGUCAACUACAUAACACUUCACCAUUCUUUCAGCCUAGAGGAAGGCAUUGGGAAGUAGUAAGUCGAUGAUGGGUUGCUAGAGUGAUAGAAGCUCAAACCCUAGUUUAUGCGUUACUUCGUAAGGGGCUGAUUUGGAUCCACUAGUUUAAUGCUAUGGUUAGACUUUAUCUUAAUUCUUCUUUCGUAGUUGCAGAUGCUUACGAGAGGGGUUAAUCAUAAGUGGGAUGCUUCUCCAAGUAAGGUCAGUACCCAAGCGCCGGUCUAUCCACAUAUCAAACUAUCGAAGUAACGAACGCGAAUCAUAUGAACAUGAUGAAACUAGCAUGACAGAAAUCCCCGUGUGUCCUCGGGAGCGUUUUUCCUCCUAUCAGACUUGCCCAGGCUUGUCCCUUGCUACAAAAGGGAUUGGGCCACUUUGCUGCACCGUUGCUACUUUUGCUACUUGUUUCUUUCUACGAAUGAUCUCACCACACAAUCACUUGUUACCGAAAAUUUCAGUGCUUGCAGAUUUUUCCUUGCUGAAAACCACUUGUCAGAUCCUUCUGCUCCUCGUUGGGUUCGACACUCUUACUUAUCGAAAGGACUACGAUUGAUCCCCUAUACUUGUGGGUCAUCAAGACUCUUUUCUGGCGCCUUUGGUAAGUGGAACUUGGUAAGGAAACAUUCAUAUAGUGUGCUGAAAUUUAUUAUCACUUGUCACUAUGGAUACUAAUGCUUUGAGGGGCUUGUUCGGGGUAUCUUCACCUCGAACGGAAGAACAAAGAGUUGCUCCUCAAGUUGCUGCACCUACUGAAAAUAUUUGCUUUGAAUUUCCUUCGGGUAUUGUCGUGGUAACGAUUCUGACAAUAGAAAGAGGGUAGGAUAACGGAGCAUGAUCUAUCAAGAUGCACAUGGGUGACACUGUGGUUUUAGCGAGUUCAUGCCUCUCAUAGUGGAGAUAACAACCCUACGUCUCGUGCUCCCGAGAGGCUUUGUUUUAUCUGUCAUGGACAUGAGUUACAUGGUAUAGAGAGAGCCAGAGCUCCAGGGAAGGAAUGAGCCCAAAGGAGGAGAAGAAGAUCCCCUUUAGCUAUGUGGAGGGGGUGGCUUAUAUAGAGUGCGCCACCUCCUCAGCUCUUAUGUUACAAGAUGGGGCAUUGAUGCCAUAAUGUCAACCCACUACAGAUGUCUUGUCGACUGUUGGUAUUUGCAUGACCGAGUGAGUCAUACGGUCGAGUCGAUGACUGUCAUCCGAGUGGAUUAGAUGUUGUCACGAUCUAGUAGGAAUUUCCCUUGUAGUCCUUUAAACUAAUAAUGAGGUUUCCUUGGGUAGGACGUAUUGGUCUGACCUAUGACCCUACCCUAGGGCUAUAUCCCCGUCAUUAGCCCCCGAAUGGAUCAGAGUCCGAGUGGUGAAGGUGUCGAUGUAAAUCUUGUAGCAGCAGACCGAACUUGAAGGUGCUUCAGGGCCUUGCAAAAUUAUGCGUUGAUUGAAGUCUUCAUCAUUCGCCCUGAUCGAUUCCUCUGAGUAGUACGUCGGAGUGAACUUAAGAAUUGAAGUAGAUCCGAGUGCCCAACAGGAUCUUGAGACUCUGACUGACUGCUGGUAGUCGGUUGGAAUCUGUUGAAUCUGUUGAACUUGGAUGUUGUUGGUGGACCUGACCAAGCAGAAUGUUUAUUUUUUGUAUUUCUCUUCUAGUGGGGGCACACUAAGUGCACCCACUGGGUGUAGUCCCCGAGCCUCUGUCGGACUAGAUGAGUCUGGCAGAGGGUUUAGGACUUCGAGUGCUCGUUAUGUUGAAUGUUUGUAGAAUCUGCAUCAUAUGAUUUUUGGAUCAAAGUCAAGUCUCCGAGUGUAUUUUUAACUUAGGCGAUUCGGGGUCGCAGCUAAGUUCCCGAGUGUGGAGCAUGUCUGUACUCGGAGUAGUUUUUAACUUAGGCGAUACGGACUCACAACAAAGUUCUCGAGUAUGGAGCGUGUCCGUACUUGGAGUUGUUUUUAACUUAGGUCGUAUACGGAGUCGCAGCUAAGUCCCCGAGUGUGGAGCAUGUCCGCACUCGGAGUUGUUUUUAACUUAGGCGAUACGGAGUCGCAGCUAAGUCCCCGAGUGUGGAGCAUGUCCACACUCGGAGUUGUUUUUAACUUAGGCGAUACGGAGUCGCAGCUAAGUCCCCGAGUGUGGAGCAUGUCCGCACUCGGAGUUGUUUUUAACUUAGGUGAUACGGAGUCGCAGCUAAGCCCCCGAGUGUGGAGCAUGUCUGCACUCGGAGUUGUUUUUAACUUAGGCAAUACAGAGUCGCACCUAAGUUCCCGAGUGCGGAGCAUGUCCGCACUCAGAGUUGUUUUAACUUAGGAGAUACAGAAUCACAGCUAAGCUGAGCGGUGGCGCGCGGGGCAGCCGAAUGAUGAAGACGUGCCACACGGAGUGGCGAUGCGCAUGGCAUCCGAGUGAGGUAGACGAUUCUGGCUGAGUGGCAACACGCGGGGCGGCCAAGUGAUGUAUGUCGAGGAGGCGUCCGACCCACUGACGGCCCGCGGGGCGGCCGUGUCCACUACGUCAUUGAAGGGGCUUCUGAACACGUGAAAACGCAUGAAUGAUCGUUGCGGCGACUGAGCCUGAGCAGCGACGAGGAUGGCGCACGAAUGCGCCGAGUAACCUGUGUAUGAAAAAUAGCACAAGCCAGCAUAAAAAAUUAUCAAAGUAAUAUGAUCUUUUCUGAAAUAGUUCGUGUAAAUUGCACCCAUAGACACCCGCUGGGUGUGCCACGUGAUUGCUGGUUCGGAACUAGCAAGAGUCUAAAAGAGUGAAGGAUCCGGCUGAACUCGUUUGAGUACUGGACCCAAACGAAGCGGAAGUGAAGUGUUCCCACAUAAAAAUAAACAACCGAGUGCAGAGGUACACUCAGUGGUGUGUCCUCCGAGUGAACGUCACGUGCGACUUCCUCGACACUCGGUAAUGAUUAUUUAAUAGAAUGCAGUCUGUGAAAAAAUGACUUAGCUGCCUGACGACGCGCGGGGCGGUCGAGUGAAGUAGACACGUCCGGCUGAGUGGCGACGUGUUGGGCGGUCAAGCGAUGAAGACGCGUCUAGCUGAGUGGCGACACGCGGGGUGGCCGAGUGACGACGCGCAGAGCAACCAGGUGAUGAAGGAGCCUCCAGCCGAGUGACGACACGCGAAGCUGCCGAGUGACGAAAGAGCGUCCAAUCGAGUGGCGGCACGCGGAGCUGCCGAGUGACGAAAGAGCGUCCAAUCGAGUGGCGGCACGCGGAGCUGCCGAGUGACGAAGGAGUCUCCAGCCGAGUGAGGAUGGCUUGUCUUGCUGACUGGCGAUGCGCGAAGCUACCGAGUGCUGAUGACGGAUCCGAGUGAGGGACGGCGCGCAGGGCGGCUGAGCGCUGACGACGCGUCCGACUGAGUGACAGCAUGCAGGGCGGCCGAGUGAUGACGAGACAUCCGACUAAGGGGCGGCGCGCGGGGCGACCGAGUGCUCACGACACGUCCGACUGCGUAACGGCAUGCAGGGCGGCCGAGUGAUGAUGACACGUCCGACGGAGUGACGACGCGUGGGGCGGCCGAGUGCGGACGAUGCGUGUACGACUGAGCGACAGUGCGCAGAGCGGCCAAGUGAUGACGACGCGUCUGACCGAGCGACAUCAUGUAGGGCGACCGAGUCACUGCAUGUUGGUCAUCUGUAUGCAGAAUUCAUCUGAAAUAAUUUCUUGCAUGGUUUAGAGGAAAAAAUGGCCAUGUCCAGCAGCCAUCGACUGGGAAAGAAACCGUUGCCCGCGUGGAGGCGUGGCCCUUCCUGGCUUUUGCACUCACUCCUGCAUGCACGUAAUCAAGUAGUGGCUCCCACGUCUAGGGUAUUGAAGGAGUUGCCUCACGUCUUGAACUGCAUGCAAGAGGCGUUAGUGGAAACGGCCGGUCUAGCCAUGCAUGUAAUUUGAAAUUAAAACAUGGAGUAGACACGUCUUGAACUGCAUGCAAGAGGCGUUAGUGGAAACGGCCGGUCUGGCCAUGCAUGUAAUUCGAAAUUAAAACAUGGAAGUUACUGAAUGCAUGCGAAGGGAGUUGAAGAAAAAGGUUGGAGUCCUGAGAGCUCUGUCGCACAAGAGACGACUGGUCUGACCGGAAUCAGUCGGUAGCUGAGUGGUGCCGACGAGGUGGACGAGCGGCUGGCCGUAGCCCAAACGCAGGAUGGCGCAGCCAAUGGCGAGGCCAACGCGAGCACUGGUAGCCGCGUUUCACUGCUCGGUGAGAUGGAGCUGCCCGCCGGUCGGAGCGGCGCUUCGACGCCCGCAAAGCCAGGCCGAGCGCAGACGGCCAGUCGUCAUGCACUGUCUCCUGAGGGACCUGGACGAGCUUUGGCACCCGUACGUAUGUGAGCCCUUGGCGUAGGCUUUGCAGAUGAAGCCGAAGGUGACAACAAUGAAGCGGACGACGCCGGCGGUCGCGUGUGAUGACGAUGAGGCGGAGGACGCUGGUGGCCGCACGUGACGACCAUGAUCGGCACGAUGUCGGUGGCCGCACACGAUGACCGAGGCAAAGGACGCCGGUGGCCGCGCAUGACAACGAUGAGGCAGCGGACGUCGGUGGCUGCGCACGACGACCAUAAGGUGAAUGACGCCGGUGGCUGCGCAUGACAACCAUGAGGCGGACGACGCCGAUGGUUGAAGGAAUAACCAUAUGCAUAAUGGCUCGAUAGAUGCCAUGCCCCACGGUGGGCGCCAAAUGUCAUGGUAACGAUUCGAACAAUAGAAAGAGGGUAGGAUAAUGGAGCAUGAUCUAUCAAGAUGCACAUGGGUGACACGGUGGUUUUAGCGAGUUCAGGCCUCUCACAGUGGAGAUAACAACCCUACGUCUCGUGCUCCGGAGAGGCUUUGUUUUAUCUAUCAUGGACAUGAGUUACAUGGUAUAGAGAGAGCUAGAUCUCCAGGGAAGGAAUGAGCUCGAAGGAGGAGAAGAAGAUCCCCUUUAGCUAUGUGGAGGGGGGUGGCUUAUAUAGAGUGCGCCACCUCCUCACCUCUUAUGUUACAAAAUGGGGCAUUGAUGCCAUAAUGUCAACCCACUACAGAUGUCUUGCCGACUGUUGGUAUUUGCAUGACCGAGUGAGUCAUACGGCCGAGUGGAUGACUGUCAUCCGAGUGGAUGGAAUGUACUUGUCUGAGUGGAUCCGUACCGAGUGGAUUAGAUGUUGUCACGAUCUAGUACGAAUUUCCCUUGUAGUCCUUUAAACUAAUAAUGAGGUGUCCUUGGGUAGGAAGUAUUGGUGAGACCUAUGACCCUACCCUAGGGCUAUAUCCCCGUCAGGUAUGCUUGAGAAACUGUUGGCUAAUCCUUUUACACGAGAUGGAACAUCACAUCCAGACUUACAUCUAAUCUAUGUAGAUGAGGUUUGUGGUUUAUUUAAGCUUGCAGGUGUGCCCGAGGAUGAGGUCAAGAAGAAGGUCUUUCCUUUUUCUUUGAAGGAUAAGGCGUUUACAUGGUAUAGGCUAUGUGAUGAUACUGGAUCAUGGGGCUACAAUCGGUUGAAAUUGGAAUUUCAUCAAAAAAUUUAUCCUAUGCAUUUGGUACAUCGUGAUCAGAAUUAUAUUUACAAUUUUUGGGCUCGUGAUAGAGAAAGCAUCGUUCAAGCUUGGGGGAGGCUUAAAUCAAUUCUAUAUUCAUGCCCCAAUCAUGAGCUCUUGAGAUAAAUUAUCAUUCAGAACUUCUAUGCUCGGCUUUCUCAUGAUGAUCGCACCAUGCUUGACACUUCUUAUACCGGUUCUUUUAUGAAGAGAGAUAUUGACUUCAAGUGGAAUUUAUUGGAGAGAAUUAAAUGCAACUCUGAAGAUUGGGAGCUUGAAGAAGGUAAGGAUUCAUGUAUGAAUUUCACUUUUGAUUGCGUUAAAUCCUUUGUUGAGACAAAUACUUUUUGUGACUUUAGCGCUAAGUAUGGCCUUGACUCUGAGAUAGUAGCUUCAUUGUGUGAAUCUUUUGCUGCUCAUAUCGAUCUCCCCAAAGAGAAGUGGUUUAAAUAUCAUCCUCAUUUAGAAGUCAACGUAGUUAAACCCACUCAAGUUGAAGAGAAAGUCAUUGCCUAUAAUGAUCCUGUGGUACCCAGUGCUUACAUUGAGAAACCACCUUUCCGUGUUUGGAUAAAGGAUCACUCUAAAGCUUCAACUGUGAUACGUAGAGGCUAUAUUAGAACACCUACACCCCCCCCUGAGCAAAUUAGAGUUGAACCUAGCAUUGCUAUUAUCAAAGAUCUUCUGUCUGAAGAAGUUGAGGGACACAAUAUUCACUUCUGUGAAGAUGCUGCUAGAAUUGCUAAACCUCAUUUUAGAGAUAAACAUAGGCCUGUUGUUGGCAUGCCUGUGGUUUCUUUUAAGAUAGGAGAUCAUUGCUAUCAUGGUUUAUGUGACUUGGGUGGUAGUGUUAGUUCAAUACCUCAAUCCUUAUACGAUGAAGUCAAAGCUGAGAUUGCACCUGUUGAGAUAGAACCUAUAGAUGUCACUAUUCAGCUUGCCAAUAGAGAUACUAUCUGCCCUGUGGGAAUUGUUAGGGAUGUUGAAGCCUUGUGUGGUAAAACGAAGUAUCCUGCUGAUUUCCUCGUUCUUGCUACCGCACAAGAUAGCUUUUGUCCCAUAAUAUUUGGCAGACCCUUUCUCAAUACUGUCAAUGCUCAUAUUGAUUGUGAGAAGCAAACUGACACUGUUGGCUUUGAAGGUGUGUCACACGAGUUCAAUUUCUCUAAGUUUGGUAGACAACCUCAUGAAAAGGAGUCGCCUAGUAGGGAUGAAACUAUUGCCUUAGCUUCUAUUGUCAUGCCUCCUACUGAUCCCUUAGAGCAAUACUUGCUUGAGCAUGAAAAUGAUAUGCAUAUGGAUGAAAGGGAUGAAAUAGAUAGAGUUGUUUUAGAACAAUAUCCUAUUCUUAAGAAUAACUUUCCUGUUGAACUGCUUGGGGAUCCACCCCCACCAAAGGGUGAUCCUAUGUUCGAGCUUAAACAGUUGCCUGAUACUCUUAAGUAUGCCUAUCUUGAUGAAAAGGAGAUAUAUCCUGUUAUUAUUAGUGCUAGCCUCUUAGAGGAGGAAGAAAAGAAGUUACUAAAAACUCUAAGGAAGCACCGUGCUGCUAUUGGAUAUACUCUUGAUGAUUUUAAGGGCAUUAGUCCCACUCUAUGCCAGCACAAGAUCAAAACUGAUCCUGAAUUCAAACCAGUUGUUGAUCAUCAAAGGAGAUUGAAUCCUAAGAUGAAAGAAGUAGUGAGAAAAGAAAUACUAAAGCUCCUGGAAGCGGGUAUUAUCUAUCUUGUUGCUCAUAGCGAUUGGGUGAGUUCGGUGCAUUGCUUUCCUAAGAAGGGAGGCAUCACCGUUGUCCCUAAUGAUAAGGAUGAGUUGAUCCCACACAGGAUUAUUAUUGGCUAUAGGAUGGUGAUUGAUUUUAGGAAGUUGAAUAGGGCCACUAGGAAAUUUCAUUACCCUGUGCCUUUUAUCGACCAAAUGCUAGAAAGGUUGUCCAAGCACACACACUUCUGCUUUCUAGACGGUUAUUCUGGUUUCUCCCAAAUACCAGUUGCACAAUCUGAUCAGGAGAAAACCACUUUCACCUGCCCUUUCGGUACCUUUGCUUAUAGACGUAUGCCUUUUGGCUUAUGUAAUGCACCUGCCACCUUUCAAAGAUGUAUGAUGGCUAUAUUCUCUGACUUUUGUGAGAAGAUUGUCGAGGUUUUCAUGGAUGACUUUUCUGUUUAUAGGUCUUCCUUUGAUGAUUGCCUCAUCAACUUUGAUCGAGUCUUGCACAGAUGUAAAGAUACCAAUCUUGUCUUGAAUUGGGAGAAGUGCCACUUUAUGGUUAAUGAAGGCAUCGUCUUAGGACAUAAAAUUUUUGAAAGAGGUAUUGAAGUCGAUAAGGCUAAGGUUGAUGCAAUCGAGAAAAUGCCAUACCCCACAGAUAUCAGAGGUAUAAGAAGUUUCCUUGGUCACGCUGGUUUCUAUAGAAGGUUCAUUAAAGAUCUCUCUAAGAUUUCUAGGCCUCUUACCAAUCUCUUGCAAAAGGAUAUUCCUUUUGUCUUUGACGAUGAUUGUGAGGAAGCCUUCGAAAUACUUAAGAGGGCUUUGAUAACUUCACCUAUUGUUCAACCACCUGAUUGGAACUUUCCUUUUGAGAUUAUGUGUGAUGCUAGCGAUUAUGGUGUUGGUGAUGUUCUAGGGCAAAGAGUCGAUAAGAAGUUGAAUGUUAUUCACUACGCUAGUAAAACUCUAGACAGUGCCCACAGAAACUAUGCCACUAUGGAGAAGGAAUUUUUAGCAGUCGUGUUUGCGUGUGAAAAGUUUAGGUCUUACAUAGUUGAUUCCAAAGUCAUUAUUCACACUGAUCACACUGCCAUUAAGUACCUCAUGGAGAAGAAGGACGCUAAACCUAGACUUAUCAGAUGGGUUCUCUUGCUAAAAGAAUUUGAUUUGCACGUUGUUGACAGGAAGGGUGGUGAUAACCUAGUAGCAGAUAACUUGUCUAGGUUGGAGAACGUUCUUGAUGACCCACAACCUAUUGAUGAUAGCUUUCCCGGUGAGCAACUGAAUGUCAUCAAUGCUUCACGUAGUGCACCGUGGUAUGCUGAUUAUGCAAACUAUAUCGUUGCCAAAUACAUACCACCUAGUUUCACGUACCAGCAAAAGAAGAAAUUCUUCUUUGACUUGAGACAUUACUUUUGGGAUGAUCCUCACCUUUAUAAGGAAGGAGUAGAUGGUGUUAUUAGAUGUUGUGUACCUGAACAUGAACAGGGACAGAUCCUACAGAAGUGUCGCUCCGAAGCCUACGGAGGACACCAUGCGGGAGAUAGAACUGCACACAAGGUAUUGCAAUCAGGUUUCUAUUGGCCCACUCUCUUCAAGGAUGCCCGUAAGUUUGUCUUGUCCUGUGACGAAUGUCAAAGAAUAGGUAAUAUUAGCAAACGUCAGGAAAUGCCUAUGAACUAUUCACUUGUCAUUGAACCAUUUGAUGUCUGAGGCUUUGAUUAUAUGGGACCUUUUCCCAAAUCCAAUGGGUAUACUCACAUCUUAGUUGCUGUUGAUUACGUCACUAAGUGGGUAGAAGCUAUCCCCACUUGUAGUGCUGAUCACAACACCUCUAUCAAGAUGCUGAAAGAAGUUAUCUUCCCUAGAUUUGGAGUCCCUAGAUAUCUAAUGACCGACGGUGGUUCACACUUCAUUCAUGGCGCUUUUCGUAAAACGCUUGCUACGUACGAUGUCAACCAUAGAAUUGCGGCUCCCUACCACCCUCAGUCCAGUGGUCAAGUAGAGCUAAGCAAUAGAGAGAUUAAACUAAUUCUGCAAAGGACUGUCAACAGGUCUAGAAAGAAUUGGUCUAAUGAGCUUGAUGAUGCACUGUGGGCUUAUAGAACUGCCUAUAAGAAUCCCAUGGGCAUGUCUCCAUACAAAAUGGUGUAUGGUAAAGCAUGUCACUUACCUCUUGAGCUAGAGCAUAAAGCUUACUGGGCAAUCAAAGAGCUCAACUUUGAUUUCAAACUUGCCGGUGAGAAGGGGUUAUUUGACAUUAGCUCGCUUGAUGAGUGGAGAACUCAAGCAUAUGAGAAUGCCAAGCUCUUCAAAGAGAAGGUUAAGGGGUGGCAUGAUAAGAGGAUACAAAAGCGUGAGUUCAAUGUAGGUGAUUAUGCCUUGCUAUAUAACUUUCGUUUAAGAUUCUUUGCAGGCAAGCUUCUCUCUAAAUGGGAAGGUCCCUAUGUUGUUGAGGAAGUAUAUCGUUCCCGUGCUAUCAAGAUCAACAACACGGAAGGUAAUUGUCCGAGAGUGGUAAAUGGGCAGAGAAUCAAGCAUUAUAUCUCAGCUACUCCCAUAAAUAUUGAAAGCAAUAUCAUCAAUACCAUAACUCCGGAAGAAUACCUAAGGGACAUUUAUCAGCCUGUUUCAGACUCCGAAAACGAAGGGGUAUGAGAUUCGGUAAGAAAACAGAGUCCAAAACGUUCCCCAUAGGAAAUUUUCUCCGUUUUGGAAUAUUUGAAAAAAUACAAAAAUUGGAAGUAGUCCGGAAAGUGCGCGUGGAGGCGACAAGCCUGCACGGCGCGGGCUCACCCCCUGGUAGCGCCAUGAGGGCUUGUGGCCACCUCGUGCGCCUCCCGUACUCCGUUUUUGGGCGGGGGACUCCUUCUGGUCUGAAAAAAUCAUUGUAUAUACUUCCGUUUGGUCUGACCCCUGCAUCACGUAGAUUUCCUCUGUUUUUCAUUUCGAGCCUGUUUCUGUUGCAGAUCUAGAUCGCCAUGACUUCCCCAAAAGCUCUGAAGGACAAGAUCUUCGAGAAGGUCAUCAAUUCCUACCUCAUGAGAGUGCUGCAACACCCUCAAUCUAUCGAGAUGCGUGACGGGAUGUUUCACAUCCGUGAUGUUGAGGGGCCUAAGAAGACCGGAAGCAUGGAGACGAGGCUCGAAGGAAUGGAGCAACAAGUCUUCAAGUGCCAAGGGAUGGUGGAGCGUGGACUCAACGCCAACCAUAUGAUUAUCACGGAGUUCACCAACAAGCACAUGACUGAUGCCAAUGACAUUGGGAAGCAUCUCUCCAGGCUCUAUGACAGGGUUGAUCAACUCCAGGGCCAGAUCUAUGACCUGCAGAACCAAAACUGUGAGUAUGAGUAUAGAUUUAAAUCAAUAUGGUUGGGUGCAGAUUUGAGGAAUCCGGCGACUCGUUCAUCCUUCCACGAUGGAGCACCUAUGCCUUGGAAUAUGGAUGAUCAAACUCAUGUUGCAACAACUCCACCAUCACCACCAAAGGAAGACAACUGAGCAUUGGUAUGGGCAAUCCCCUUGGCUUUUGCCAAGCUUGGGGGAGUUGCACCCCGACAUCGUAUCACCAUCACAUCUUUUGCCUUUACCUUUGUUUUAGUUUUCCUUUUUAGUUUUCUUUUUCUCUAGUAGUUUAAAAGUCUUAGUGUUUUAGUUUUGAGUUUUGCUUUGUGUCACCCCCGAUGUAUUCUUGCUCGUGACCCUUAUAAUAAAGAGUGUCUUAGUUGAAGGGCUUUGCCUCUGGCCAUGAUCAAAAGAGUGAGAAUAGAAAAAAAGCAUGAAAGAUCAUGUAAUGAUCUUAUGGGAAGUGAUGGCUUCACAUAUAAAAAGAAUGAGGAUUGAAACUUGUUGAGGGUAGGCAAACAUAGACCUUGGUCAUUGUUGCAAUUAAUAGGAAGUGAUAAAGAAGGAGAGGUUCAGAUACAAAUAUAUCAUCUUUGACACCACCUAUGAUUGUGAACACUCACUAAACUAUUGCAUGCCUAGAAGUAGAUGUUGGACAAGGAAGGUGUUUCCUUGGCUCUGAACAAUGUUAUAUGAUUAGAGAUCCCUUAGCAUGUGACGAUUGCUUCCACCUCAUAUCAGCCAAAACUUUUGCACUAAGUAGAGAUAUGAGUUGUGCAUCCAUAAACCUUCAACCCAGUUUUGCCAUGAGAGUCCACCAUAUCUACCUAUGGAUGGAAUAAGAUCCCUCAAGUAAGUUGUCAUCGGUGCAAGCAAUAAAAAUUGCUCUCUAAUAUGUAUGAUCUAUUAGUGUGUGGAAAAUAAGCUUUGUACUAACCUGUGAUGAGGAAGACAUAAAAGCGACAGACUCCAUAAUAAAGUUCUUUAUCACAGGGGGAAAUAUAAAGUGACAUUCCUCCGCACUAAGAGGACACGCAUCCAAACCUCAAAAGCGCAUGACAACCUCUGCUUCCCUCUGCGAAGGGCCUAUCUUGUACCUUCACUUUUUGCCCUGAAAGAGUCAUGGUGAUCUUCACCAAUUCCCUAUUUUUCCUUUGUCUUGGCUACCGUCACAUGCUUGGGAAAGAUCUAUAUUCAUAUGUCAACUUGGAGGUAAGUACUUAUGAAUUAUUAUUGUUGACAUUACCCUUGAGGUAAGCAGUUGGGAGGCAACUAUAAGCCCCUAUCUUUCUCUGUGUCCAGCUGAAACUUUGAUCUCAUGAGUACCACGUGAGUUGUAGCAAUUGUAGAGAACGAAAGAAUGAUUGAGUAUGUGGAUUUGCUUUACAAGCUCUUAAUUGACUCUUUCUGAUGUUGUGAUAAAUUGCAAUUGCUUCAAUGACUAAAGGCUAGCGGUUGUUACUUCUCGGUAAGGUUCUUGAUCCAUGCUUUACUUUGUGAAGGAAUUAUCACUUUGGCAUGAGAGAUUGUAUGUUGGUAUGUUGUUCUGAUCAUGAUCAUGAUGCAUGCAUGUUCGUAUCUUGUUUUGUCGACACCUCUCUCCCUAAACAUGUGGACAUAUUUAGUGAUCUAGGCUUUCGCUUGAGGACAAGCGAGGUCUAAGCUUGGGGGAGUUGAUACGUCCAUUUUGCAUCAUGUUUUCACGUUGAUAUUUAUCGCUUCUUUUGCUGUCAUUUCACUUCACGAUACUAUUCUUAUGCCUUUUCUCUCUUAUUUUGCAAGGUUUGCAUGAAGAGGGAGAAUACCGGCAACUGGAAUUCUGGCCUGAAAGUGGAGCAAAGUUGAGAUACCUAUUCUGCGCAACUCCAAACACCGUGAAAAUUAACGGAGAUUUUUUUUCUCAAUAUAUAAAAAAUACUGGGCCGAAGAAGUACCGGAGGAGGUCCAGGGGGUGGCCACAAGCCUGCACGGUGCCCCCCCCGAGACGCACCAUGGGGGCUUGUGGGCACCCUGCUGGCCGACUUGCCUCAGAAGGGAGCUUUUUCGUGGUUUUGCCGCCGCCACGAGGCAGAACUUCAGCAGAACCAAUCUAGAGCUCCGGCAGGACGAUCCUGUCGGGGAAACUUCCCUCCCGAAGGGGGAAAUCGUCGCCAUCGUCAUCACCAACACUCCUCUCAUCGGAGGGGACUCGUCACCAUCAACAUCUUCAUCAGCACCAUCUCAUCUCCAUACCCUAGUUCAUCACUUGUAACCAAUCUCCGUCUCGCGACUCCGAUUGGUACUUGUAAGGUUGCUAGUAGUGUUGAUUACUCUUUGUAGUUGAUGCUAGUUGGAUUACUUGGUGGAAGAGUUUAUGUUCAGAUCCUUGAUGCUACUCAUUACACCUCUGAUCAUGAUUAUGAUUACUCUUUGUGAGUAGUUACUUUUGUUCCUGAGGACAUGGGAUAAGUCAUGCUAAUAAUAGUCAUGUGAAUUUGGUAUUCGUUCGGUAUUUUGAUAUGUUUUAUGUUGUUUUCCCUCUAGUGGUGUUAUGUGAACGUCGACUACAUAACACUUCACCAUUAUUUGGGCCUAGAGGAAGGCAUUGGGAAGAAGUAAGUAGAUGAUGGGUUGCUAGAGUGACAGAAGCUUAAACCCUAGUUUAUGUGUUACUUCGUAAGGGGCUGAUUUGGAUCCACUAGUUUAAUGCUAUGGUUAGACUUUGUCUUAAUUCUUCUUUCGUAGUUGCAGAUGCUUGUGAGAGGGGUUAAUCAGAAGUGGAAUGCUUGUCCAAGUAAGGUCAGUACCCAAGCGCCGGUCCACCCACAUAUCAAACUAUCAAAGUAACGAACGCGAAUCAUAUGAACAUGAUGAAACUAGCAUGAGAGAAAUUCCCGUGUGUCCUCGGGAGCGUUUUUUCUCAUGUAAGACUUUGUCCAGGCUUGUCCCUUGCUACAAAAGGGAUUGGGCCACUUUGUUGCACCGUUUCUACUCUUGUUACUUGUUGCUUGCUACAAAUCAUCUCACCACACAAUCACUUGUUACUGAAAAUUUCAGUGCUUGCAGAUUUUUCCUUGUUGAAAACCACUUGUCAUAUCCAUCUGCUCCUCGUUGGGUUCGACACUCUUAUUUAUCGAAAGGACUACGAUUGAUCCCCUAUACUUGUGGGUCGUCAAUUCUCAACUAACCAUAUUUAGAUACUAGGUAGAGGUUACCCCCCGUGGGGAGAUUCGAUCUACCUCUCCUUGAUUUUAGGGUGAGUGCAACGUGAACGUGAUAGUGGGAGUCUCAAUGAGGAUCUUUGUGUGUGUACAACACCUUUCUUUUAGGAAAAAAUAAGCACCUUAUAAUGUGAAAUUAUAAAAUCCUAAUUAAAAUAUGCUAAAAAUCAUUACUUAAAAAAACUUGUUUGUCUUGCCACAUAAAACAAACAUAAAUUAUGGGGGUAGUUUAUUGCGUGGCCUUUCUCGCCCCCCGUCCCUCCCAUAUUCGGGACAUCUACCGGAUUUCUAGGGUUGUAACCUCGAAAGUUCAAGAUCUACGGCGGCCACAUGAAACCAUAGCAAGGAUUGGGAUGAAAGCCCCAUGUUAAGCUCUUUGGUCCAUAUAUGCACCAUAUGCUACCAAAGGGAGGGGUGGCCUCGAUGUCGUUCUCUAGGCUAUGAUGCUUGUAAGGUGCCGUUAUAAUCCAUGCAAAUUCGUGACGGGCCGAAAAUUCACGGGACCUGGCGCAGUGUAAUCAUACCACCCCUAGAGGAUGUGGUAAAACAUCGUGGGCGGCAUGCAUAGGCCCUCACGUAGGUUGUGGGCAACCGGGCCCAUAUCCCAUGCUCGAUCAAGCCAUACAGUGGGAAUGCAUCCGUCCUUUGAAUGGAGUGUGGGGCCCGUUCCUUCAUUUCCCUAAAAUCUCGUUGUCGCGUGAUGUAAGACCUAGUAACCAAGGACCGUCCCGUGCAUAGUACUCAGUUGGAUCCACAACAUGCAUGCACACAUGGCCACGUAUGAAUCUACACGGCGGGGAUGCAUGGUUCGGGGGCUGGCACAAGUGUCGCGGGUCAUCUGUCUAGGUGCUACUCCACUUGGGUCUAGACGGCGGGGGUGCAUGGUUUAGAUCUAGCUAUCGAGAGGUAACACGUCCGGUUUGUGCCUAGGCCGUGCAUCACGGGGCCUGGCGCGGUCUCAUCGUAUGACCCAUGAAGGGUAUGGUCAAACACCAAGAACAGCAUGCAUAAACCCUCACGCGGGCUAAGUGUAAACGAGACCAUAUCGCAUGUUGGAUCUAGCCAAUGGGAGGGAAGAAGUUCGGCAUGUGGACGGUGUGCGGGGCUCGUUCCUUCACUUUCUUCAAAAUUCGGUGCCGCUUGAUGUGGGUCCUAACCACAAAGGCCCAUCCCGUGCAUCACACUCACCUGGACCCACACGUUGCAAGCACACUUGGCCACGUAGACACACACUUAUAAACCUUGACGAUAGCUAGGCUUUAAUAAUUAUCCAUUCAUUUUGCCUAAUCAGUACAACAUAGCUAGCAUUGAACAAAAAAAGCCAGAUGCCAUGUGAAAUUAAAUGUGCCAACUGUCCCUUCUAGUAUUUUUUUGGUAGUUCUCCCUUCUAGUAUUUAGUAGUACUGCGCAAAACAAAAAAAUGUCCCUUCUAUUUUGGUGUUCUUUUUUUGAACACCAUAUUUUGUUGUUCGGUUUAUGUUGCCACAUUUGUGGACCGACAUUGUGCACUUUUUCUUUUGCCUGGUUGGUUGAUUGGUUGGUUUGGGCAAAUCUCUGGGUGUGCACGAUGCCCUAUAGGUGCAAGUUUCUACCUAAAUUUCAGAAGUGACGAAUUGUGUGCGGCCUUGACCUCUCUCCCAAAAAAAAUGAAUUUUCACUCCCCAAAUCUCACUCCCGCCUCGAGAGUUUGAUCGCCUCUGCCUAUCCACCCACGUCUUCGUCGUCGCCCACUACUUGCCGCCGCCAAAAAGCCCACAUUCUUGCCGGCGAGGAUGAUCCUACCUUGUGGAGGAGGGGGCGUGGCUGGUGCGCUCUGUGCGGCAAAUGUGGACCCCAUGAAGGAACUGGUCGACAAGGACGUCGUAGCCGCUGAUUCGCAGCCGCAGCUGGUCCAACACAGCACCAACGACGACGAAUUGGUUAGUGUCUACAGAGAUUAACCCUAGAAUUUACAUUCUCGAGGUUAACCCUAGAAAUUGCUCUCUUGUUAUUCCUCGCCAUUCGUACACACAAUCGUACUCUUCACUUUUUUGUAUUAAUCAUACAGUUAUCAAUCCUAGGGUUUGCAAAUUUAGAUGAAUGGAUCAUUUUUAUUCCAUUUUAUGCCUGUCUUUCAUAUAACCAAAGUUUUAGAGAACCUAUACAAAGAAAAAACAAUCCAUUUAUGCCUACCUUUGAUAUAAUGUACAAUUCGCUGGCAUGAGAUUUUUUUUCUUCUAGUACCAGAUUGCAGAUUUGGAAGAAUGGGAGAAGUACCUACAACUGAGGGAAGCUUCGAGAAAGAAAAUCUUCAAGUGGCUCAUGGCUGCAAAGAUUGUGUACCGGUGUAACGGUCGCAAUAAAUGCCCAUUCUGCACGAAAGAGAACCAACAUUCUAAAACCACAGCAAUUGCAGCUUACAGAAAGAGGUGGCAUCUUAAGGCAAAACCUGUUGAGUUGGCUAACAAAUUGGGGAGGGUGAAGACUUAAAAGCAUAUAGUCAUGUUUUUUUGUGUUCUGUCGACACCUAAUGUACAAAAUAUAUUGGCCCACUUGAACAAGUAUCAAUCUUUAUCUCAUUUGACGGUCAUUGCCGCAUUGGACAACAUGAAAAAGUGUUGAUCUCAUUGGACUUACAUCCUGGCAAAAUUUGGUGUUAUUCUGAACCUGCUUCACGGGAGGCCUUUCGGGUAGGACUGAAGGGUCCGUCUCGAAGCAUGUUUUUGUCGGCAUCCUUGAAGUGGACCAAGAGCCUUCUACCAACAUGACUAGCAUCCUUGCCAAGUUUUUUAGCUUUUUGACGUUGUAAGGAUUUUCCACGGCUUUCGCGUCGAUAAAUCAUAAAAUAGUUAUGUUUUUUCUGUGCUUUUUUUUUCUGCGCUCGAGGGAGGGCUGCCAUGCAAGCGCGCCAUUGGGUUGUGUAAAGAAGCCCACCCGUUGGACCAAGCGAUGUCCGCCGCCGUUGCAUGCGCCCGAGAGAGCCUACGUUGCAUGCAUGCGCCUGCUUUAGCCUAUGUUGCAUGUGUGCGCAUACGCGAAGGAGCAUGCGCCGCAGAGCCGUCCCCGCUUGACCCGACCGACGGCACAUAGGGAAACAAUUAAACGCCGCAUUUUGAUUUACACUAUAGUUUCCCACGCGUGUACACUCCCAAUGUCGUGGUGGGUGGAAAAACUUGUACACAUUUGACCCCAUUACUGCCACGGUGGCUAUUUAAGCCACCUAUCAUGUUCCUCUUCCUCUCACACCCUUCAUCCAUCUCCCAUACUCUCCCACCUGCAUUUUGCGUCUGCCCUUCUUCUUCUUCACCACAAACAGCCCCAAGAACCAACCCGCCACAGCCAUGCAGUACACUGGGCCAACCUACCGCUUCCCCUCACCGUGCCCGAGAUGCUCUACCCUGCUGGGGUGUACGUCGAGAGCACCCUCUGUGUGUGGGUGAUGUCAAGGUGGGUGGGCGCAAGGGAGUUCAUUGACUUCCUCCUUGGGGCCGGCUACGGGCACCUUCCCCGGGGAUCUCCAAGGAUGUACCGAGUCGAGGAGGUCAUCCACAACGGGGUUGUGGUUGUUAUCCUUGCCCACUUCACUAACCCCUUCGACGCGUUCUACCUCCUCGGCCGCGUGUUCUGGUGUGGCUGGGAGUUCAUAGCUUUCACCACCCAUAACAUCUUCACGGACUACGACAACAUCUUCCCCACCGCGGAGCGCAUGCACACUCUAUCGUACCCCAUCAACAACACUGCAAAGAAGCAGUGAAGGGCGUCCAAAGGAGGAGCGAGGAGGAGCCUGGUGGAGAAGCGACGGCCAUCUAUCUAUCUAUCUAUUUUUUAGCUAAAUCUAUCUAUCAAUAUUUGUCUUGGUGUUAUUUAAGUUGUAAGUGUACUAUAUCUCAUGUUGUUGGCUUUGGUUGGCCCGAAUUAUCUAUAUUUAUUAUACAAAGUUUCACAGUGGUUGGGAUUUUUUGGAACCGUUUUAAUCUAUGGCAUUUUAGUCAUAGGAAAAAAUUGUCUAAAAAAAGUCAUAGGAAAAAAACAAUCAUGCGCUGCCCCUCUCAUCCAAUGCAGAACUGCUGCCCCAGGGUCCUCUCCUUUUCCAUCACCAUUACACAACCGCAGGCAUCUCCUCCCUCUCCUGCAUUCCAAAUCCACGGCAGCCAUCUCCUCCUUCUCGCCACCGCAACUUUGCUCGUCUCCUCUUCCACAUCCACAUCCACACCCCCCUCUCGACGGAGUAGAAGAUCGUCGGCGGCGACCAGCGCAAGCUGCCCAUGUUGACCGAGAUCCUUUCUUGGUUUGACAACACACGGCAAAUGUUCUGGACGGCGAUGGCCACUAUGAAGGUAAUGACGAAGAAAGAAAAGAACAAGGUUUUCCCCCCGUCCGCACAAUCGAUCAACAAGAUCGAGAUCCUCCUGUGGACGAUGGAGUAGGCCGAUUCGCCCAACCCAUGGGUUAGGCGUAGGUGGUGCACGUUCAGAUCCAGGGUAGAGCAUACACUCGAUCAGGAAGGCACCAUGCACGAGGUGUCGUUGCAGAUUAUGCAACCUCCAACGGAGUCACCAGAGACUUCGAAACGCAAGAGGAGGAGGACAGUGGUCGCAACCUCUCUUCCUAGCCGUGCUCCACGCUUCCCUCGCCGAUCCCUUCGUCUGAACAGCGGUGGUACCGUUGUUUAUAGUAAGCUUCCCCACUCCUAAUCUUCCUACUCCUCGGGCUUACAGUUGCGGUCGUAGUGAUGGUAAUAGUUUAGAGAGGGAAUGAAGAUUUGAGUACAUCCUUUUGGGGGCUAGAUUAUGAUGUAUAAGAACCCUAGGCUAAAUUUGUACUGUUGUAGUGGUAGAAUUUGAUGUUCACAUGCGCUUCUACUCCAAAAAAUUGUUAUGUGUCUUUCUAUUAUAAAGUGCUUGAUACUAUAUUUGAAUCUUCUUUUGAGUUGUUGAUUGCUUCUUGGUAGAGCUACCAACUCUUAUGGAGAUGCUCAUGUUGUAUGUCUUGUUCUCCAUGAUUUUUACUAGCAUUCUAUGCAAUUAGAUGCCAUGACAAGCCAUGUAUCGUAUUUAUUCAUUGCCUCCAACAUGCCAUCAUUUUACUCUAUGCAUCUCACCAAGUAUAAAUAUGUCAGCUAUAAAACUUUGUGAAUUUGCUUGAUGGUUCCCACUACUUUCCAGCACAUUGGGAUCCUAAGCUUNNNNNNNNNNNNNNNNNNNNNNNNNNNNNNNNNNNNNNNNNNNNNNNNNNNNNNNNNNNNNNNNNNNNNNNNNNNNNNNNNNNNNNNNNNNNNNNNNNNNACAGGCAUGCCCUGUGAUGGGAAUAAUCAUGUCCCUUCAAAUCUUUAUGAUAAUAUGGAUUUGUGGAAGAAACAGAAAGACAGUAAUGAACACCAAAAUAACUUUCAAAGGAUUAGCUAGCCAAGAUGAAAGGCCACAACACAGCAAAUUUUGUCAGGCCAUUUGUCUUAUACACCAUAGGAAAAUAUGUAUGCCGAACAAAAGAGGAAUAUGUGGAUAACAAAUAUAUUGGGAUUGAUAGAAACAUUGAGACGAUAAAGGGUACAAAUAUUGGACAGCUAACACUUGACUAUCUUAUGGAUAGUGUGAAGAAUCUUGUAAAUGGUGAGGCAAUUCUAGAGUGGAAUCUACCACUUCUGCAGGUAAUUCGCAGUAGUACAAUUAUUAGUUACCUCACAUACAUUACACAAUGUACGAGAAUGUUUGUAAACUGCUUUUGUUGUCAUGCAGACAUGGUACUACGAGAAGUUCAGAGUGCUCCAAUUGGACUCUAGUAUCUCGUAUGAAUCAAGGUUAAGGUCGCUAAUCCAAAACUGGAGCGAGGAGAAGGCCAGAAAGGUUGAAAAUAUAAUCCAGAAUAAUUAUUUGGGAGUUGGAGAGGUAAAAUGUCAGCACGUUGCCUGGAUUAUGUAACAUGUAUAUUUUCUAAAUCAUACUAACGACACUAAACUGCAGUAUGUAGAGGACCUGAUGAUGCCUUUCAUUCCAGCACGAGAUGGUACGGUGGCCAAACCGAAGACUGGCGCUCAGGUAAAUGAGUUACAUCUGGCACAAAUAUAUAUUGUAACAUUCCAACUAGUAUGAAGUUAUAUGAUUCUAACUGUUUCAAAGUCUCAGAUUAAGGUACUUGUCGAACGUGUAUUGACUGAUUUGCAAGAAGUUGCCUCCCUUGUGCGGGAGGCAGGUGCAGAACAAGUCGAUAGGAUGCGCACCCUUGAAAAGAAAAUGGAUGAAUGCCUUGGACGUACCCAUACAAAUGGCAAGCUCACGGAGGACCUCAUCAAAGAAUUGAACGUAAGCAUAGAAUUAUGAGAUUAGUAUAUAUAAUUGGAAAUUUACGCGUACAAGGUUUUUCUAAAUUAGUUWWUAUGAAAACACCCGGACUAACAUGUAUUUCUUUAAGAAAAACGUGAUGGAAUAUUUCCAGGUAGUGAGGACAUACAUCUUUCUAACCUCGGGGUCACCCGUCACACCCAAGUSGAGGCCUCUUUGAGUAAUGUUGAGCAGGUCUCUGACCUAGGGGAAACAAAAGGAUGUCAGUGACGUCGCUGCUAAGCACAAUUGUAAAGCAGAGAAUAAAAAANNNNNNNNNNNNNNNNNNNNNNNNNNNNNNNNNNNNNNNNNNNNNNNNNNNNNNNNNNNNNNNNNNNNNNNNNNNNNNNNNNNNNNNNNNNNNNNNNNNNAAUCACACAAAGCAUUGCACUCAUAGUUUUUGAUUUUGAUUUUGAUGGUACGUUCCCACUCAUCAUGAAGCUUUCUAGGGAUAGAGACUUCCAAUUCAAGUUUCUCUUCAAGGGAUUUUAUCAUAGCUUCGACGAUAUGAUCGGUAAAGGCCUUGUUUUGGCUAUAAGCGUGUGGAGAGUUUAACAUGGAUUGCAUCAAAGAAAUGCAUUCAAUCAUGGAGCAACUAUCAUAAUUGAAUUCCUUGAAAACCACGGUAGUAAUUUCAUUACUACUCAUAGUUUUAACAUCCUCUACUCCACUUUCAAUGCUUUUAGCACCAAGAUAGAUGGACUCUGAAUCACGGGGGCACUUUUCAACCAAAGUGAAUUCAUAUCCAGCCCCAUAAUCAUUAGGUUUGACACAAGAAAACAAAGAUUCAAUGGGAGUCGCACCAAGCACUUUAAGAUCUUCGUGAUUCUCAUCACGAGAACACGCCUUUUUAAGCCAUUCAUGUCUAGCACGAAUUUUGGCGGUUCUUUCUUGGCUCUCAAUCAUGGAAACACGCUAAGCUUUCAAAGCAUCAACAUCACUAGACAUUCUAUCAACGCUCUUAGCCAAAUCGUCAAUUUUGAGUAGCUUUUCCUCUAUGGACGCAUUGAAAAUAUUUUGAGAGUUGAUGAACUCUUUGAUAUUACUCUCUAGAUCAGAGGGUAAUCUAUUGUAAUUUCCAUGAGUGUUGUUGUAGGAGUUGCCAAAAUUAUUAGAGGAGUUACUAGGAAAAGGCCUAGGAACAUAGUUUCCUCUAAAAGCAUUGUUGUUGCGAAAGUUAUUCCUACCAACAAAAUUAACGUCCAAGCUAGCGUUGCUACUCUCAAUCAAAGAAGACAAGGGCAUAUCAUUAGGAUCCAAAGGAGCACUUCUACUAUCAACCAAAUUCAUUAACUCGUCCAUCUUAGCACUCAACGAGUUAAUUUCCUCUAUAGCGUGUACCUUCUUACUAGUAGGUGACCUUUCAGUGUGCCAUUGAGAGUAGUUCGUCAUGAUGUUGUCUAAGAGCUUUGUGGCUUCUCCUAAUGUGAUUUCCAUGAACGUUCCACCUGAGCCGGAGUCCAAGAUAUUUCUAGAAGAUAAAUUCAAGCCAGCAUAAAAGAUUUGAAUAAUCAUCCAAAGACUCAAGCCAUGAGCGGGACAAUUUCUAAUCAUCAAUUUCAUUCUCUCCCAAGAUUGUGCAACAUGUUCAUGACCAAGUUGCUUGAAAUUCAUGAUAUCAUUACGGAGAGAGAUGAUCUUAGCCGGCGGGAAAUACUUGGAUAUAUAAGCAUCUUUGCACUUUUCCCAAGAAUCGAUACACGAUACUAUUUUUGGGCAAAGAAGAAAACCAAGUUUUUGCGCAAUCUCGCAACGAGAAAGGAAAAAGCUUCAAUUUAAUCACGUCAUUAUCCACAUCUCUCUUCUUUUGCAUAUCGCAAAGCUCAAUGAAGGUAUUGAGAUGGGAUGCGGCAUCUUCACUAGGAAGGCCAGAGAAUUGCUCUUUCAUAACAAGAUUCACCAAAGCGGCAUUGAUUUCAUAUGACUCCGCACUAGUGGCAGGAGCAAUCGGAGUACUAAUAAAAUCAUUAUUAUUAGUAUUCGAGAAGUCACAAAGUUUGGUGUUUUCAUUCAUGGUGACUUCAGCAAGCGAGCAAGCACACAAGCAAACAAAGAGCACGCGAGAAAAAGGCUGAACGAAAAGGCGAACGAAAAAGGCAAACGAAAAAGGCAAAUUGGUGAAGUGGGGGAGAGGAAAGCGAGAGGCAACUGGCAAACAAAUUAAAUGCAAGAGAUGAGUUUGCCACACCUAAUUGGAUGAGUUCUUGACUUAAUCUUCCUCCCCGGCAAUGGCGCCAGAAAUCCUUCUGCUACUUCUCAAACAACAACGCCAGAAAUUGACACGUUGAUGGAGAUUGGGCUUGCGUUGGUUUUUCCCUUGAAGAGGAAAGGGUGAUGUAGCACAGGAGCAGUAAGUAUUUCCCUCAGUUUGAGAACCAAGGCAUCGAUCCAGAAGGAGGGUCUCGUCAAGUCCAGAGUACCUGCGCAAACACAAACAAGCUUGCACCCAACGCUUCAAAGGGGUUGUCAAUCCCUUCAAGAUUGUUUGCAAAGUGAGAUCUGAAAGCGGAAAGUGCAACGAAGUAAAAAGUGUAAGGCUGAAAAAAUGGUGUGGAGUAGACCCUCGGGGCCAUAGUGUUCACUAGAUGCUUCUCUCAAAACAGCAAGUAAUAAGGUGGGUGAACAAGUUACUGUCGAGCAAUUGAUAGAACCGCACAAAGUCAUGACGAUAUCUAAGGCAAUGAUCAUACAUAUAGGCAUCACGUCCGAGACAAGUAGACCGAUACUUUCUACAUCUACUACUAUUACUCCACACAUCGACCGCUAUCCAACAUGCAUCUAGUGUAUUGAAUUCAUGACGAACAGAGUAANNNNNNNNNNNNNNNNNNNNNNNNNNNNNNNNNNNNNNNNNNNNNNNNNNNNNNNNNNNNNNNNNNNNNNNNNNNNNNNNNNNNNNNNNNNNNNNNNNNNNNNNNNNNNNNNNNNNNNNNNNNNNNNNNNNNNNNNNNNNNNNNNNNNNNNNNNNNNNNNNNNNNNNNNNNNNNNNNNNNNNNNNNNNNNNNNNNNNNNNNNNNNNNNNNNNNNNNNNNNNNNNNNNNNNNNGAACAGAGUAACGCCUUAAGCAAGAUGACAUGAUGUAGAGGGAUAAUCUCAAACCAAUGAUGAAAACCCCAUCUUUUUCCCUUGAUGGCAACAACACGAUGCAUGCCUCGCUACCCCUUCUAUCACUGGUUGAGGUCACCGCACGGUAUGAACCCAAAACCAAGCACUUCUCCCAUUACAAGAAUCAUAGAUCUAGUUAGCCAAACAAAACCCACAACUCGAAGAGAAUUACAAGGAUAUGAAAUCAUGCAUAAGAGAGAUCAGAAGAAACUCAAAUAAGAUUCAUAGAUAAUCUGAUCAUAAAUCCACAAUUCAUCGGAUCUCGACAAAGACACCGCAAAACAAGAUUACAUCGGAUAGAUCUCCAUGAAGAUCAUGGAGAACUUUGUAUUGAAGAUCCAAGCGAGAGAAGAAGCCAUCUAGUUACUAGCUAUGGACCCGUAUGUCUAUGGUGAACUACUCACGCAUCAUCGGGGAGGUCAUGGUGUUGAUGAAAAAGCCCUCCGUGUCCGAAUCCCCCCUCCGAUAGGGCACCAGAACGUGCCCCGGAUGGGAUCUUGCGGAUACAGAAGCUUGCGGCGGCGGAAAAGUGAUUUCGACGAUCUCCUGAUUUUUUGGGGAUUUUUAGGGAAUAUAUAGGUGCAACCCCUAGGGCAGAGGACGCCCAGGGGGGCCACAAGCCUGUGAGCCGCAGUCUCCCCCCUGGCCGCGGAGUGGGGGAUUGUGGGGCCCUUGAGGCUCCCCUGCCUUGGCUCUCAAGCUUCCCGAUCUUCCGUUACGGAAAAAAUCUUUUCGGGGAUUUUCUUCCGUUUGGACUCCGUUUCAAAAUCUCCUGUGAAAGGGGUCAAAACAUGGAAAAAACAGGAAUUGGCACUUGGCACUGAGUUAAUAAGUUAGUCCCAAAAAAUAUAUAAAAGGGAUGCAAAACAUCCAAAGUUUGACAAGAUAAUAGCAUGAAACCAUCAGAAAUUAUAGAUACGUUGGAGACGUAUCAAGGGUCGUCUCCUCAUUGUAUAGGUUAUGUUGUUUUUAAGAUCUACCAACCACUCUGAUCCCAUGGCUCUCGUGCAUCCAAAAUGUGUUGAUGCCAAAUUUUGAUAGCAGCAGCAGCGGUACAGUAGUGCACCCGAAUGUUUUUGGACGAAAUUUCUUAUAUAUAGUUAUUUUAUUGGUAAAUGUACUAAAAGUGGUCUAGUCUGUGAACUAAACUUCAUGUCAAUUUGUAUAAAACGAGCCUCUAACGCUUAAUCUAGCAGACACACUUUUUUUCGUUCAAUUUGCUCAACACCGAUUGCUUGAUUCCUUGAGUCCAAUUACCAUAUGGUGUAAAAUUUUCGACUUGUUAUCAUCCCUACUUGAAAUAUAUUAUUUGGUUGCUUAUUUUUAGCAUAAUAUUUUCUGAAAGUAAAGGAUAAAAACACUAUGCCUUUUUUAUGAAAAUGUCAUACUGUAUGGUCAUGUAGUAAAUAAUCUUUAUUUUCUGUCAUUCAUGUCAGUAUUGUCAGUACGAUGGAAAAAUAAUAUUUUCACAUGAACAUUUUAGAUAUUACUCCUAACUCUUUCAUUUCUUGAGUAAUAGAAGCAGAGACAGAAGAAUGCCUUGUGGAGACAAAAGAAACUUGAUGUGAGCCGUUUGAAAAAUAUUUUUGUGGUUUUAGUUUGCAAUAUAAAUUUUUGAACACCCAACAGCGAAAUCCUGGAUCCGAAAGCUGUGUUGCUAGGUUACAUUAGUUGAGGUGUGUAUAUGACAUUUUUCAGGAAAAUAAGAACAUUGUUUGGAUCAAUUGGGCCCCACACUUUAUUGUAGUGAGAUAGAGGGAGAGCUCGCAUGUUGGUCCAUAGGUAUUUAUGCCAUUAUAACAUGUCAAAAGAGAUUUGAGAUCGUAAUAACGAUGUGCAUUGGCAUUUUUUAGCAUGUGUGUAACGAAGCGAUGUCAUUUUUUAGCAGUUGAAAUUCCUAGUGGAGAUACUAAGUUGUGGGACACAACUGGUGGCAUAAAUGAUAAAAAACUUCUUUUUGUAAGUACAACAUUUGGGAUCACUUAUUGUCAGAAUUCAUAAUAACUACUUUACCUAGAACGUUGAAUAGUUGAGGAACAUUGAUGGGUGGGGUAUCGAUCAACACGGGAAACUUCCACGACGAUAACAUGUGGACUUUCAAUAUCCAUCAUCAUAAGCACACAAAAUUCUAACCCUAAAUAGAUACAGCUCACUAGCUAUUUUAUCUAGUCAUGCACCACUGGCACAUCAUUAAGGCAUGCAUGUAAGUUAUAAGUCAUAUUUUUUUGCAUUAGUACAUUUGUAUGCUGCUCUGUCAUGUUACAUCAUCAGUUGAUGCAUAUUUACGUAAUAAGUGAAUUUUGUUGCACUAAAAGGCUGUUUGGUUUGUGACUAACUCUGCCAAUACCACACCUAAGGUUAGGCAAGUUUGACCAACUUAAGUGAGUGUUUGGUUCCAGCCACACCUUAGGCAAGCCACACUUGGGCCCCACAUGGCAUACACACAAAAAGUGUGGGAAGAUUCCCUUAGCCUUGCCAACUUGUGGCUCUCGUUUUGGUGAACUAACCUUAGGCAAGCUUGGGAAAAAUGUGCGGCAAAAUGUGGCAAUGCUAGUGCUCUCUUCGACAAGUAUGGUUGAUCCUACAUUUUUUACUAUAUGGUGAUAUCCCAUUUAGUUGCUUAUGUAGCAACUAAUAAGUUAUGCACUUAUUUUUUCAAGAUCAUUUGAACAUUGUCAUUUAUUAUAUUAUGCUUCAUAGACUCUAUGCCUGCUGAAUUCUCAUAUUAAAUAUACUUAUGCAACAUUUUGUACUACAUGUAGGUACUAACUGACAACGUCGACAGCGACCCAGAAACCCAGAGGAUCUACAGGAGGCGCAAGGGGAGGGAGAUGGACAACGGGUUGCAUAAUAAACGUGUCAGACCUAGAAUCGGAAGGGGGGGCUACGGAUGCCCUUUCUGCAACAAGUUGACGAAAGGCAGCCUAACGAGUGCUAUUUAGCAUGCAGUCGGAACAUCUCGUGGCUCCCUCAAGAAUGGAUAUGCCUUCAGGGCGGCGCACGCCGCGUACAUCGAGUACUUGAUGAGGCUUUAGGGCAGCCCGCACCAUCGCAGCUAGAACUGAUGCUCUUUUUGUUUUAACUAUGCUAUUCUAUGUGUCACAUCCCUGACACUUUAAGCAAGUUAGCUUUGUUCUCAUGUUUUCUUUGCAUUGCAUCUAGGAAAUUUCAACAAGAAUAAAGUAAGUGGUGAAGGAAAACUCAAAACCCUAGCCACUUCUUUAAAUAAAGGAAAUCUCAAACUAGUUAAAAUCAAUGAACCCAAAAUGGCCUCAAGAAAAGUUCAAACUUUCUGAUAAAUCAUGAAAGUAUAUAAGCAAUGAAGAAAACUUUUUUCUUGACACUUUAAGCAUUUUAAAUAAAUGCAAAAAGCUACUGGUUUCAAGUUUUAAAUUUGAAAUCAGAAACUUUAAACUUUCAAAAAUGUUGAAAACUUUAGGAAUGAUUGGAAAUAUUCCAACAAAUAUUCUAAGGUGCUCAACAUAGUUUUUACAAACUAUUUGGGAGCUGAAAUAAAUAGCAAAUCAAUUUCAGUAUUUAAAACAGAAGCAAAACAGAAAGAAAAUGAGAAAACCUUACUUGACGCUCACCUGGCCCGGCCCAUCUUCUUCUGUCGUCUUCCUCCCUCGCCAGUGGACAGCAGGAGGUGGCCGUCGCGUACUCCGGCGCGGCCACGCACCUGUGCGCCUGCCUGGUCGCCGCUUCGCGCUGGCAAGCACGGGGAUAAGCUCCCCGAGCUCGUAGCUAUCCAUUCCCCAGCUCAUUCCUCCCCCUCUCCUCUCGGUUCCCUCGAUCCCCUCUGCCUCCAUUGACAGGAGCUCGAGCUCGAGCUGCCCGUGCCCCUAGCCAUAGGAUCCUCAUUCUGAGUGUGCCGUUAGCUCCGCCUCGUCGAUUUGGUCCUCCCUGCAGAAGCCGAAGCCUUCCCGAGCCCUGCAACGCCCUCGGCACCGUCGUCUUCAACCUUCGGCCGCCGGCGAGCUUUGCUCGAUUCGUCGCCCUCGAUGCUUCCCCGAGCUGUCUAAGCCCUUCUCUGCACUCCUCGUGAGCUUGCGCAUCUUUUCCCUAAGCUCUCCCCGUUGAUCCCCUCCUCUAGGCUUAGUUCCAUCGGAGCUCGACGAGGACCGCCGAUGCAGCUCGUUGCCGGUAGCCCUCCGGUGAAGGGUUGGUACCUCUGAGGCCACCAGCAGCCUCAGGACAUCACGUAGAUGCUUUAGGUGCCCAGCCCUGUGCGGUUUGACCCUGUAUUCGAUGGCUUCGACGAUGGCCGAACUUGGUCGCCGCCAAGCUCGUCGCCGGCGUUGAUUCCGGCCACCCCAACCCCUGGGGCUUGUUCCAUCAUGUGCGCCGUCGAGUGGCCGUUCUCCCCGUGGUCUCUGUCGUGAGUUUGGCCGUCGGAGGCGAGUUUCCGAUGCCCUCCACCGUACUGGUGGUCGCCGGAGGCUCCCCGUCGGCGAGGACGACCUCGCCGCCGGUGGAUCUCAGCUGGCCUGAGCCACUGACGUGUGGGGCCAGCCUGUGGGAGAUUAAGAAUAAUAAAAAUAAAAUCAAAUAAGUUUAUAAGACACUGACAUGUGGGUCCAGUAAGAUUAAUCAGCAAAUUAAGUUUAAUUUUAAUCUAAAACUGACCAAAGACACUGACCAGUGGGUCCCACUGGUCAGGUUUGACUUUCAAUGGCCAGUUGGACCUGCUGAUGUCAUGCUGAUGCAGUAAAGGGAUUUUCCAGUAUAAAAAUAAUUCCAGAAAUGUUUAAAACUUCAAAAAUUCAUUGAAAUUAAUCUGUAACUCCAAUGAAAAUAAUGUAUAUAUGAAGAAGUAUCAGAAAUACAUGUUAGUUAUAUUUGAAUGUGAUUCAAAUCAACUUCAAACCUAAUACAUGUUAGUUAUAAUAGUAUAUCACCUUGCAUUCUCAUGCCAUGCUCAUGCAUCAUCUAGAUUGCAUAUGCUUGAUUGAUUGUUGUCAAUCCUUCCAGUAGGCUCCGCUCCCCCGGAUUCCACCGAAUAUCCGUCUGAUGGAUAUUGUCACUCCUCUGAGCAACAAGGCAAGCAACCAUUUUGAUCAUCCCGAUAAAUCCCAUGUUCUUGCUCCUGCACUUACUUAUUGCAUUAGGAUCAAAUGCUUCAACUGCUUUUGCCACGUUAGUUGAACCCACUUCCUUUGCAUGACCUAUCCUUGUCACAGUAAAUAGCCGAACCUUGCAACCUAGCAUACCUAGUAGUUGCUUGAGCCAUGAUGUGCCUUAUCCUGCUAUGCAUGCUAUGCUUAGAGUUGUGUAUGGUCUUUCAUCUGGGAGAUGAACAGAAUUGUGAGAAUGUGUUCGGAAAGCAAAGGUUGUGUGUCGAACCUGAUUUGGUAAAGAUACCGGUGAAAGGUUGUGUAGGAGUACAUGGCGGGUUGUUUCAUUGGAACCGUCCUUAGGAACUGAGUUCCGUGUAUGUAAUCCAAGACUAGAUACUACCACACGUUGGGAUACUUAAUUGACCCUCUCGACUUAUUAAUCGCUUAGUGCUCGGUCCAGGAGUUGCAAGUAGUUUCUGGUGUUUAUAGUCAUGCUGGAGGCCGUGCAUAGCGCUGACCUGAGAGGUGGGCUGUGAUGCGGUAGGAAGUGGCAUGGUGUACCAAGUGGCACCCGGAUGGUGGGCUUGGGAACCCUGCGCACAUCGUUUGGGGCCGUGGCGGAAACCUCGGCCGGACUUCCGUGCGGGUUACCCUCAGAUAGGCGACAAACCUGGACUAGGUACCAGUGUGGUUAACGGUCGUGGCCGACUCCCUCGCUAGGCUUCCGCUUGAAGGUUGCCGAGGUGCAUGACGUGCAAAUGGCGAUAAGUGGCGAGAGCGUGUGUGAUGAAGUACCCCCCCCUGCAGGGUUAUGAUCUAUUCUAAUAGCCGCGUCCGUGGAUAUGGACUACUUGGAGACAUAUGUUGUUCAUAGAUAACUUCAAUGGCUACUCAUUAAAUUGUCAAGAUAAGCGUGAGUGUCGUGGACGGCAUUUCCGUAUGGAGACGGAAUGAUUCCACGAUGGUGUAUUGUUGCGGUGUUAGUGGACUCGUGUGCGAGAAAUCAAGUUGUCAAAAUUAUUUAAAAAUGCAAGUCAUCUAACCACGAGUCAAAUGCUGGCUUUCCGCAUGAAACCCCACAAUACCUUAUUGAUACUUUGCAUGAGUAGUUAGUUAUCCUAAAGUCUUGCUGAGUACCUUCAUACUCAUGUUUGUUUAAUAAAUGUUGCAGAGGUUGCUAAUGACCCUAAUGGAGGGUUCUUCGUAGACAUCGACGACGACGAGUAGCUGGUGUCCCAGCUACAAUCUGGCCCUAGGUUGGGUCUGUAGUAUAGUCAGGCCAUGUGCCUUUUAGUAGCACCUGUCUGUACUCAGACAGUUUUAAACUCUUCCGCUGGCUUGUAACUGAAUGACUGUUAUUAUGGGUCGUGAGACCCUCACUGUGUAAUAUUAUAUGUGUGGCUCUUCUGAGCCUCUUAAAUAAAGCUUGUAUGUUAUGGUUAUGUUGUGAUGCCAUCGAUGUAUCUAUACAUAUCGGUAUGCCAUGCGUACGUGUGUCGUACUUGACAUGUAUGGGGUUCGAUUACCUAGUCGUGAAUUUUAGUAGCACUCCUUACAGGGAAAUGCCCCUUUGUGAUCCAACGAGCCAUGGUAGCUCGCUACUACUCCGGACACAUUGGUUGACCGGCAUGUGUCCUUCUUAGCUGUUGUGUUUGUCCCCUUUGGGGAAAUGUCACGCGAUGUAAUGGAGUCCUGGUAGCUUGCUACGACUCGUCUACACUCGCUGGUGACCGACACCUGCUUUGUUGGGUCAUGUAUGCAUGUCCUUGUGCGGUGCUGCCACUUUGGUUUAUGACUAGACUUGUCGAUCCGGGUUCUUUGACAUUGGAAUGCUAGCGACACUAUUGCAUACGUGAGUCAAAAGACGCAAACGGUCCCGGCUAAGGUAAGGUUGCAGCCAUGGAGUUAACCGUGUGUGAGACCGCAAAGGGAUGCGAUGUGUUAUAGGCUGGAUUCAUAUGGCUUAGGAUCGGGGUCCCGACACUAUGUUGGUGAACGUUUAUGGUUGAACUAUGUGCACCAGUAGUGCUAAGUGGUGUUUGGUUUUGUAUAUAUGGAAGCAUUGAAUUAAGGUUAGAAUGGAAGCUCUUUUGGUCUGAACUAGGUUAAGUACUACCUUAGUUUGUGUCAUGUUGACGAGACUUUAUGGAUGAACUAUGUUAAGAAGUACCCUAUGCUUACUGUUGUACUAUGGUACAACUAUGCAUGUUAAGUAGUGUGCCGACUACAUCUAACGUACCAGUGCAAUGCAAUUGCAGCCUUGAGCUGCAAUCAGCUUGGUAGAUGGAAAUCCAAGCUUCUCUUAUAGCAACCUAGGAUUGAAAUAUUGAUGCUUUAGUACUCUCUCCGCCCCAAAAUUCUUGUGUCAAAAUUUUGGAACAUAGUGUUUUUUGUUGUUUUUCCAAAUUAUUGUCACACGCUUGUUAGUUUAUGGCAUCACGUGAUCACAUUGCUAGCAUCACAAAUGCAUGCACGACGUGAUGACUAUCGAUGCAUGGCUUGAGGGUCUAGGCGGCUAACGGUGCAUGGUGUGAUGUCUAUAUGGCCAGGGGGGCAUCGUAUUGGUUGUGGCGUGGCUACAUGAUGAUCACAAAGUCUCGAUCCAAGUAAUACUAGAAUGGCCUAUGCAUACACUUCUUUAUCAGUUUGAAAUUUUUAGAUCACUUGAUGACAAUGUGAUCUCAUGUUUCACAAGUCUUGAGCACUAGGGUUUAUGUACAAAAUUUUCAAUCCCCAACUCACCCACCCCGGACACAUCUUUGGAUUGCAUCACGUAGAUGUAAACGACGGUAUGCAAAGAAUCCUAUUAACUUUUGUUUUAUUAUAUAAUAUAAUAAUUCAAUAUAACGAAACCUUAUGUAAGGGCAACUUCAACGCCGACCAAUCAAUUUUUUUACAAGUCAUGCCUUUUUGGUUAGUCAAUAUUUCUGCUAUAGUAGGUAACUACCAAUUACUCUCCACGUCUCUCCUCCUAGGGUACACUCUAAAACCAUCGCCGCCGCUCACACGCCAGCCUCCCUGCCACCGGAUAUGAAAUCCACUCGUGGAGGUCGAUUGGCCAUCGUGACAGAUCGUGGGCAUGGACGUGGGGGGCCUCUCAUGGACGUCUUCAUGAGAGAUCGUGGACUUGCGGGGCCAACCACCGACGUCGUCGUCCAUCAGAUGGAUCAAGAUCUCCACGAGAAUGCUUUGUACUACUCGGUGUCUGACCCAGAGAAGCAUCGUGUCCACGAGUAGGUGCACUACUCCGUCGUCGAUCACAAGCAGCAGCACAUCCACGACAUGAAUUGGAAUUCUGUUACGGUAAAAAAAAUUAACCCUAAUCUGUCUUCAAGUUUAAGGUUAGGUUAAUCAUUAAACCAUCAAUAUGUUGUUGAAUUGUCAUAAUGAAAUCUAGCUCUAAAUAUAUUGUUGAUCAUCAGUACGUAAUGAUCAUUAUUUAUCCAGUCAAUCUUUGAGAAAUUAAUGGUUCAUCCACUCCACAAUUUAGUGUGUUUUGGUUUUAUGCUAAAAGUCACACGUCAUAAAGGUUGUCCAUGUUUACUGACAAUUUUUAUAAAAAGUACAUCAUAUGAUUUAUGCUUUCAUAUGGAUUUGAUAUUUCUUUUUUCUCCUUAAAUUUUCAAAGUUAAUUAAUAUUUAUUUAAAAAAUAAUUUAUGGGCACUACACUAUGGAACUUAGGGAAUAUUAGGUACUGUAAACAAUGGUGUAGCUUAUAUCAUAUAUAAUUUAAACUUGCAGCCUUAUUCUGAUGAUUAUGCGGACAUUUCCAAAGAAGAGAUGGAUGCACACACUCAGAAAAGCCUUGAAGAAUUGCAGAAUGGACAGUGCAACAUGCUUAAGUGUAUGGCGUAUCGUUGCGCGUUCUGUGGCUAAUAUAUGGACCCGACAUUCAUUGGCAUUCUUGAGCACGCCGAAGGCGUUGCCAAAGGCUACCACAUGAAGCAUGGUGUGAGGGAAAAACACAAGGCACUAGCCCAAUAUCUAAGGAAUUUGUCGGACAAAGAGAAGGUCCGAAGAAGGCGUUAUGAGAACCAGCAUGCUAAAGAAUAGACGAAUAAUCGAAACCCUGAAGAAGUUCUCGUUGGCAUAAGUAGUCAUUUGCGGUUGUUGUUUUUUGGUGAAAAUACCAAUGAAUAUUUUAAUUAUCAUAGUUUUUUCAUAAAUGUUACAUUUAUAAAACUUAAUCAUAAAAAUGCAUACUAUUCAAUUAUUGAUUUUUUUCAAACAUUUUUAACCUUGCAUCUAAUAGUUUACCAUUUUAUCGGUUAACCAUUAUUUUCAUAUAUAUACUCUGGUGUGCUUAAAAUUGUUCAAGAUCAACUUGUGUACUGAAAGACUCGUGCACAUGCAAUAUGAACAACACUGUACUUUUAGGGUUUCUUCAAAAGACACGUGUGGUGGUCCUGCUCGCCUGGUCAUGCUGAUCUUUUCUGUUUGGCCAGAAAUGAUAAGUUGCCAAAUCUGCAUCUGAUCCGGCCCACCACUUUGUUCCUUUUGUGGGCAUGUACAAGUGGGAGGCAGAGAGAAAAACGAACGAUGGCCCCAACCCCAACCCCACCCCAUUCCCAAUCCAACCACACUUCGCUCUUUGCAGAGACAGAGAGGCGACGCGGAGGGUGACGACUAGGGUUUGCCAAGCCAUCACCUUGGCCGUCCCCAUCGUCGUCAAAUCGGUCAGAUCCGCGAGGCCACCACUCCCCCUACUCCAUCCACGAUUCUCCACUGCUUCAUCCACAACAAGGUCCGACAAUGGCACCUCUUCUCCCCAAUCCCUGGCUGCGCCGCCCGAAGCUCCGGUGGUGCCAGCUUCGAACAAUUCUACUCUAACCCUAUAUCGUACCACUUCGCAGGUAAGAUUGAUCUUCCCUGCCCUUCGCAUGUCGAUCUGACUUUAAUUUUACGAUCUAGCAACACCGCCCAAGUUAAAAUCUGACACUUGAUUGUGAGCAUGUUUCGGGUAUACGCAGAUUUACUGUCAACUAUUAGGUCAUAUUGCAACAAGAUAAUCUGACAAUGUACUGCAUAAUCAUGGUUUUACUUGUUCGUAUGGGUAGUAAUGGGUAAACACUUUCCUCGCAAGUAAGAGAAAAGGGUGGGUGUUGGCCAGCAUACCUUGCUCGUCCACAUAGCCUUCACUAUGCUAUCAUCUUGCUUAACACAUGCUAUCAAGUACUUUUUCUCCCUAGAAAAUGAUCCCCCACUGCUAGAUAUAGAAAAAUUAUAUUUACACGAGAAUACACAUGUUUUUGUUUGUGGGUAUAGUUUGAAGACUAUGCAUAUGUAUUUGCUGAUGCUUAAUUAAAAACUAAAACGCGAGCACAUAAGCAGUCCAUGAGGAAAUUUGUAAUGAUGGAAUGAGGAUCAGUUAUAGUUUCAUGUAUUACUCGAUGGUAGUAUGAUGAUUAGUGCAUAUUUUGAAGGAUUUGUGAAGUACAGACGGCUACUGAUUGGUGCAUGUUUUUGAUGAUAUGUGCACACAUGUAACAUUUAUGGCUGGUGCAUAUUUUUGAUGAUUGUUGUUACUGCUUACUUGAAUUAUGUCAACCUAUAUCCAUGAUAUGGUAUGGGCUUGUUGGUGUCAAUGAAGAUUUGUUGUGAGAUAGUAGUUCAUAUUGCAACAAAUUACUCAUUGUUACAUUUUCUGCCAUUAUACUUCAUAAUCAUGAUUUUACUUGUUGGUAUGGGUAGUAAUGAGUAAAUACAUAGAAAGGUAUACAAAAGGGUGAUUGUUGGUCAGCAUACGUUGCUCCUUCUCAUAGCCUUCACUAUAUUGUCAUCUUGCUUAAGUGAUGCUAUCAUGUCCUUAUUCUCACUGGAAAAUUAACCUCCACAACUACCUCCAAAAAUGUUAUGUACAGGAGCAAAUGCAUUAUUUGUUUUGUUGGGACAAUUUAAAGACUUUAUAUUUAUAAGCUGAUAGCACCACAUAACAGCCCAUCAGGAAAUUUGCAGUGAUCGAAGGUAGAUCAGUUAUAGUUUCAUGUAUUACUUGAUGAGAGUAGUCAAUCAUGGUUCAUUUUUUGAAUAAUUUGUUAAGUAUGCAAGGCUACUAAUUUGUGCAUACCUUUGAUGAAAUGAUUUGUUAAGUGAUUGGUUGGCUACCAAUCAUGGUGUAACAAUUAUGGUUGGUUUAUAUUUUUUAUUAUUCUUUUUACUACUUGUUCGAAUUAUGAGCGAAAUUGGUUUGAUGCCAAAAAUGCAUGGCUACUAAUUGGUGGGUUACCAAGUUUUCUUGUCCAUAUCGCAUAAAGUUGCCAAUAUUUGGCAAUGCCAACAUUGCUAGCAAGACAAUCAUGAUCUAUCAGCAUGAAUGGUUUGAUGCCAAAAUUUGGCAUGCCAAUAUCUUUUGCCAAUGUCACAAAAAUAUGUCAAAAAUUUUGUAACUUUGAAAUACCCCAAUUGGUUGUCUGCCCAAUGAUUAUGAGUCUAACCACUAGUCUUGACUAGUCGUGCGAAUAGUCUAGUAGUAUCAAUCUGGUUGUCGACUAGCUUUUUCGUGUAGAUCUUUGUACAUGAACUACAUACUUAGCAAGAAGUAUGCAAAAAGAUUAUUCACAUUGUAUAUGGUGCUAACAAGUCCUAAUGUAAUACUGAUUUCAUAUAUCAAUAACUACCAUUUCUUCAUUGCAAUGCAUGCAACAGGUUUGAAUAGCGAGGGAAAUCAUCCUCAUCAGCAGUGAAGAGAGUGAUCAUCGGGCCACCUCAGAUGAUGCUUCAGAUGGCACUUCACAUGGGAGUGACGGCUAUAGCGGUGAUGAUGACACCUCUAGCGACUAUGACACUGAUGAUAGUUCUGAUGGAGAUGGAUAUUUCAACCACGAUCCCAUCUUGGCACACAGGGGUAAAGUUCUAUAUGGCUGGUCAGAUAUUAAAUGAACCCUGAACUAUCUAAAGUUGAGGUUUGAGUAACACUUAAUUACCACUCAAUACUCUGUUUGGGUUCUAGAUGACCUUCCAAAUCAACAUUGACUGAACUAGAGCUUAAAUAGAGCAGUGUUUAGUUGUUAGUUUAAAUAAAUCAAAUAUUCAAUUUGCCCAUGUUUCUACGAGAUAUUGAUAGGUGGAUGUGAUUGGGUUAUCUAUGUCCUUCAUUUCUUGAUCAUUGAAGUAGGCAUUGAUCAUCAACCCACUGCUAAUGUUCUAGAUCUUAUGUAUGAAAUUAUUUACUACCCUGUCAUCUUAAUUUUUUUGAUACAGGUCCGAGAUCCAUUGUGAGAAGAGGAGGUUUCGAGAUCACAUCUUCUAUGACAACCAUGUAUCGCUAGACCGGAUUAGGUGCGAAUGUCUCAAAUCCAUAGUAAACCAUUGCAAACCUCCCAUACCAUACUAUGUUUGCACCGUCACUCACUCGGCAGUCAUCAGAGGUAAGAGCAAGAUGGUAAACACUUGGACUUUUUUGUGUGCAAAUCAUACUUCACAAGUGAAAAUUCCAUCAUGUAACACUAUUUAUUUCCUUGUGCAAUCAGUGCUUAUCAAAGGAUUACAGUGAGGCCUACCUCAAAGAUUAUCUGCGACAGUCCAUGGUUGUGCGUGUCACCAACGAACGUUUUGAAGGUUCUAAAAUGGUAUUGUUCAAGAUGGUCAAGAAGGACGGAGCUGCGAUCAUGACGAAGAACUGGAGAGAAGUCAUUGAGGGCCCCAAAAUGAAAUAAGAUCAUAUGGCUAUCUUCAGGUUCAUGGAAUGGAGGGGAGGUGGGCUUAAGGUGAAAAUGGCUAGUGGCAUGAAGAUUCGUUGACCCAUGUGAAGAACCAUGACUGAAUGGCCUAGUUUGACGCUAGUUGUUAUAAUAUGUAUGUACUAACCAGUAACUGGAAGUUGGUAGUAUCAACUUUUGGGUCCAGUAAGUAGAACUUACUAGUAAUUGAUACUUGCUGGUAACUGGUACUUUGGUUGUAUAACUUUUGGGUCCAACUCGAUAUGAAGAUCAACCAGUAAGUGGAACUUGGCAGUAACUGGUUGGUGGCAGUAUGAACUUAUGUGGCGUAAUGUACUUGGUAUGCAAGUCUAUAUAUAUAACGCAUCUUGGUACCCUCCUUGCUAUCAUUACCUUUAUGGACUGAAAUGAUAUUUCCUUUGUCGCCAUAGUUUUUAAAGUGAUGCUAGUAUUUUUAAAAUCAAAUUUAACCGGGUUUCAUAUGGAUUAGAUGCUACUUUCAUAUUUAGAAUGACGUUUAUGUGUUGGCUAGUACUAGUUAUUUUGAAAAUGGAGUUUGUAUGUGUUGCACACACAAAAUGCAAUGCAAAAACAAAAACUUGCCGGUCGAAGCUUUCAUAUUUAAAAAAUUAUGUUUGUGUUAUUUUCGAAAUGGCAUGCUAUUUCAAAAAUAGAGCAAACGAGCAUGUUAUUUUUAAAAAAAAUAAACAGUAUACUAAAAAAUGCUAUUUUUCAAACAACGUAAUAAAAAAGGUAUUUUCAAAAUCAGCAUGCUACAUUCAAAACAACAUAUUUAAAAAAGCAUGCAAUUUUUUAAAUCAACAUGUUAAUUUAAAAACAGCAUAUUGAAAACAUCAUUAUAUUUUUUAAAUCAAGAUGGUAUUUUGAAAUCAUCAUGCUAUUUUGAAAUCAAUAUGCUAUUUUUAAAAACAACAUAUUCAAAAUCAGCAUGCUUUUUUUGAAAUCAGCAUGCUAUUUUCGAAAUCAGCAUGCUAUUUUAAAAAUAGCAUAUUAAAAAGAGCAUUAUAUUUUUGAAAGAGCAAUGCUAUUUUUAAAAUUAUCAUGCUUAUUCAAAAAACAGCAUAUUGAAAACAACAUGCUAUUUUAAAAAUAGCAUGGUAUUUUAAAAACAUCAUAUUGAAAGUAGCAUUAUAUUUUGAAAAUCAGUAUGGUAUUUUAAAAACAACACAUUCAAAGCAGCAAGCUAUUUAUAAAUCCGCAUAUUCAUGUUAUUUUCAAUUGAACAUUCUUUUUUAAUUGAGCAUGCUAUUUUUAAAAUAUCAGUAUGCUUAUUUUUUAUUUCAAAAUAAACAUUUUUCAAGGUUAUUUGAAAACGAGGUUUCUAUUUUGAUACAAAUCUGAAAUUUUGUGCUCAUAAUAAUAGGUUCCUGAGGAAAUCCAACGUUCUAUUUUCGUAUAUAUAUGAUUUUUUGGUUUCUAUUUUAUAUUUCAAAUAUGAAAUUUGACUACACUUUGAACAAAUUUCAGCAAUAUUUUAUGUAAAAAAUGAAAAUAAUACAUAAACCAACUUCAUUAAAAAUGCAUUGUUUGAUCGAUGUUGAUAAAUCAUAAAUAGACUACCAUCUCGACCUGGCCAUAAUCAAAUGAGGGUACCAGUAAAACAAGGAAUUUAGAAAAAUAGUGGUAGUCCAUCAAAUAUGUCAAAUAGAUUUGAAACAAGGUGGAUCACGGCAUGGAAAACUAUCUAAAUCAGCUUGUUCUCAAUUUUUCGACCCGAGAAAUCCUUCUGUUUUCUCUGCCUGACCUUGUGCAUCUAAACAUCCUGUCUCGACUUCACUUUAGCUUUGCUGCAUGAAACAACGUUUAUUAAUAGGAUAGCAAAGAAGAUUUGAGCAUGUGCAUUACACGUGAACACAAAAAACACUAACUUCACUAAUUUUCUCUUCAUAGCUGCAAAAGUUAACUUCACAGCUCUUAUUCCCACAGCCUUUGGUACAUUUCUAGCAGGCCUUUUUGUCUUUAUCACCCCUUUGGCCUAUUAUUUACCACCCUUCCUAGAGUCUUUCCUGGAAAAGUUAAGAAACAUCAACACAGUACUAGCAAAGACCUGACUUGUAGAGUGGACAUGUAAGUACAUACACUAACUUCAGUGGUUUUCUUCACGCACCCUUUGCUGCAACAUUCCUAGCAGGCACUUCUUUGUCAUCUUACUUUUUCUUCCUCCUAGCUUUCACAUUUGGAGCGCACUUACGUUUCCUGCAAAAAAAUGAAAUAGAUGAAUAUGCAGCCAACAUUCGAGAACAUGUUUAAGUACGCACAAUUGUGGUAGUGCCCACUUAUUUGGUUUUGCAUAAUCCUCUUCUACAACCUCCAAUGGUCUCUUCCUAGUCCUCCUCGGCCCACCAUCUUCUGCAUCUCAAUCUUCCUCUUCUUCUGCAUCUGAAUCUUCCUCUACUUCUCCAUCUAAAUCUUCCUCUUCUUCUCUACCUGAAUAUUCCUCUUAUUUUGUAUCUUCCCUUGUCUCUUCUUUUGUAUCUGCCUCUAUCUUUUGUUUUGUCUUUGGGUCUUUCUAUUUUUGCUUCUUCCUCCGUGUGACCUUUGAUUUCCCCGAUUUUUUUCCUGCGUAAAUUGAAGAAAAACAUGUGAACAAUCUCCGGGAGAACUUAUUAACACUGUAAGCAUGUAUGGAAAUGAACAAUGAGAUAAACAUGUCCACUAAUUGUGUUGCUUUUUUUGAAUCUUCCUCUUCUUCUGUAUCUAAAUCUGUAUCUUCUUCUAUCUCCGUGUCUUUCUCUUUUCGCUUCUUCCUCCUUGUGACCUUUGAAUUCCUCAUUUUUUUCCUGCGUAAAUUAAAGAACAACAUGUGAAGACUCUCCCGGAGAACAUAUUGGCACUGUGAGCAUGUAUGGAAAUGAACAAUGAGAUAAACAUGUGCACUAACUUCGUUACUUUUUUCCCUCUCAUCCUCUCGCGCCUGGAUUUAGUCCUCUUGUUCGACUCUUCGGUAGUUGGUCUCCCUUUUGAAACUAUUUUGAUUGGAUUUUCCACGUCAACAGUGCAGCAUUCGCGAGCAGUAGAGAAGUAUGCCGACAAAGGAACAAACGAUUUCUGGCCUUCAUCCAAAUCAGUUUUUUCUCCAUCAACCAAUAUACUCCGGAGGAGCUCCAUCACCUGUUCUGACUGUGAAUCGCUAGCUUCGGCUGUAAAUAAAGCGUCACUAGCCAUGUUGCAUAGUUGAUGAUACUUAUUCAUGUGAUCAGACCAAACAUGAGUAUUCAAAGUCCUCGAAGAAGGGAACGCUGGCUUGCCAUGCAUUGUCCAUAUUUUCUCCAAAUUUUUUUGGAAAUGUGCGUACACCAAGAUGAUCCAGAACGCAAAAUAUAUUUGUGCAUGGGUAAUCCUCACUUUCCAACUUUUUACAUUUACAUGUCGCAGCAUCCAGUGUUGCUCCUGUAAACAAACAAGUCACGUGAUAUCAAACAUCCAUAGAGUUAGCAUCCACGCCUUGUGCAUCCAACUUUUUUACAUCCAACUCCUCAUUGUCCUUGCCUUCCAAGUCAUUGGGAUACUUAGCAUCCAGGUUUUUCGCAUCCAAGUCCACACCAUCCUUGCCUUCCAAGUUAUUGGGAUCCUCAGCAUCCAUGUUUUUUGCAUGCAAGUCCUCACCACCUUAGCAUCCGAGUCCUUACCAUCCUUAGCUUGCAAUUCUCUAGCAUCCCUGCCAUAUGGGACUUUGCGCAAAACUCCAAACACGACAAAAGCAUCACACGCUACCCGGUCUGCGACCUUCCAAUUUGUUCCUUCGACAAUCUGAUGCUUUACGCGUGGAAACAUCACCGUUGUAUAAAUAUAAGAGGCAGCAAUCUCCAGAGGGUGUGCAUUCAGCUUAGUGAAGGGUAUCGUAUGUGUCGCUACUGCGUCUAAUGCUGCUUCAUUCUUACGCAUUAUGGAUACACAGUGCUCAACAUGCUGCAACAAAUCAACAAGUUGCAUCUUCCUGUUCAGGCGCACAUGAAGCCUUGAGUUGAGAGACUCAUUCAUCUGAUUAAUCAUCAUGCCUAGGAAAUAUCUACCCUUUGUGUACACAGCAGCCCAUUUGUGUUGCAGCUCGUACAUCCUGUUAACCCCUGACGACCUCUUCCGCGUUGGUUUUCUUUUGAACCGAACCUAAUAAGCCUCCCAUCUUUUAUCAAACUCAUCAACAUCCCAACGACGGUAAAUGAAUUCCCUACAUCCCUCAAGUUUUUUCUUGCGGAGGUGCAUCACCAUAUUCUCCUCGAUAUGCCACUUGCACAAACGAUGAUCUGUUCCGGUCCACAUAGUAGCUAUUGCUUUAGCCAUUGCACCAUCCAUAUCGGUGAUUGCUGAAAUGGGUGGCUUCUGGGACAUUGCCUCCAAAAAUACAUGAGGAAGCCACUGGUAUGAUGCAAUUGUCUCGUCUGACACUAGACCGACCCCAAACAAAACGGUGUUGCGGUGAUGGUUCAGACCAGCAAAUGGAACAAACGGAAGCGUGUACUUGUUAGACCGAUAUGUACUGUUGAACACCACGACACCACCAAAGGCAACAUAGUCAAUCCGGGAUUGUGAAUCAGCCCAGAAUAUGUUCCUCAAAUGGACUUCACUGUCUUUUGUGUUUUUGAAAAAGAAUUCUGGGUCUGCUUUUUCCUGUGCAAUCAUAUAGGUGAGCAAAUAUCUAGCGUCACUGCUUUCUAUCUUGCGCUUCUUAUGGAUUUAAAAAUGGUUGUAUAGGUCUCGAUCUAUAAAUCCAAGCUUGUCGGGACCUCGGGCAUUCUUCUCCAUUACAUUCAUAAUCUGAUGUGUUCGAAAUCCACCGAUGGCAUACUUGAUGACAUCGGCCUUUUGUGCGUCAGUCAUUCUACGAUGAGGCGAUAAGUAGGGAGUCAUGUUAGCAGGGACAAACAGAUGGUUAUGCUUGUCCACAAAAUUCUUGACGAACCAGAGGCCACUGCUAUCUUGUAGCUCAACCUAAAAAAGAGCGGGACACCCACACCGAGAAAGAACCCUCGGUGUUUUUUUUCUUUCAGCUCUGUUAAAGUGCUUAAGGGCCCGCCAUCCUUCUUUGCAGCACUUGUAUGUCCUUCUGUAUGCAUUUUGUUUCAGACUCGGACCCCUGUACUUCAGAUCAUCCUUUCUAACACCAAACCCUUUUUUCACGCAUAGCCUACGUAGAACAUGUAGGCUUCUUCCUCAGUCCUGAAAGUCUUCUUCACAAUCUCUAAGUAUUCCAUAUACUCAUUCAGUUCUGAACCAGCAUUGCCUUUAUUAUCAAUUCUUUUACCUUGCAUGUGUACAUCAUCCAUGUCUAUGCCAUCCUUGCAUGCAUCCUCAUCAUUAUCAUCCGUGCACAUACUGUCCAUUCCUUUGGGGUCCAUGGCUACGAAAUCAUUAUCCUUAUCAUCCAUGUCUUUUUCUUUGUUUCCUCUAUCACCCAUGUCCUUGUCAUCCUUGCCUAUACCACCCAAGUUUUCGCCAUCGUUGCCUUUAUCAUCCAUGUCCUUAUGUUGCCAACGAAAACAGAUAGUCAAUGUAACGGAUGGAUAGCAUACGUAAUAAUUAUGCACUACUCUGCUUAAAUAAUUGAUUUAAGUUUUCAUAUCAAAUUCAUGUACCUAACUCAGUCCUUCAAAAUCUGUAAGUAAGUAUAAAAUAUGCCCUCACUAAAUCAAGAAAUAUUUAAUUGAUUGUACUUGUUGUAACUGAUGAUCUCCUAACUAAAUCCAAAGUCCACGAAUCCUUCAAGUCCCUUGAUAGAUCCACCCUGAUAGAUCAAUUAUCUCCAAACUCCAUUCAAAAUUGUCUCCUAACUAAAUCCAAAAUUAUGACCUAACUAAAUCCAAAUUAUCUCCUAACUAAAUCCAAAAUAACUCCAAACUCCAUACAAAAAUAAUUAUCUCCUAACUAAAUCCAAAAUAUCUCGAAACUCAAUUCAAAAGUAUCUCCUAACUAAAUCCAAAAUAACUUUCUUUGAAUCCAAAUCUGCUGACAACUUUCUCAUGCCACAUAACACUAACUAAGUACUUCAAUAUGUCCUAGCUAAAUCCGACUUACACUUCCUUUCAAUCGAAAUCUCGUCACGACUUUCUGAAACCAUAAACCCUAACUAACUCCAUCCAUAUGUCCUAGCUAAACCCGACUUACACUUCCUUUCAAUCGAAAUCUGGUCACAACUUUCUGAAACCAUAAAUCCUAACUAACUCCAUCGAUAUGUCCUAGCUAAAUCCGACUUACACUUCCUUUCAAUUGAAAUCUCAUCACAACUUUUUGAAACCAUAAACCCUAAACCUCACAUGACAUAUCCUAAACCCUAAUCAAAUCCGACCCCUAUUGGUACUAUAUGCAGAAGGGAACAGAAAAGAUUUGAGAUGGCUAGGCGCUUAUAGCGAAGAUCCGGCGUGAAAAAGUUGAUGCACGUCGAUGAGGAUGAUGUGACCUCUCGGGUCGGGGAAGGUGGGGAUUAGCGGCUCGUCAGAAGAUCUGGCGCCCUGACCCGAGGGGGUGACUUGCGAUGGAGAGGGAGGGGGACUAGGAGCAGGAGGAAGGAGUGACACGGCAAGUGCGAUCGGCGGCGAUCGAGGGCGUCCGAGGUUAGGGCUCGAGAGGAGGAGAGAGGACGAACCACUCAAACAGAAAUUCAUAAUGAUUGGUGCUAUGAUGAAGUAAUUUGUUAAUGCAUUUAAUUUAAUUGAAAAUUUUAGGACGGGAAUACCCUUGGACCUAAUUGGGCCAAAUAAAGGUAUAAAAAUUUUAGGUCGAAAAUACCCUUGGGCUCAAAAAGGUCCAGUUAAUCUCAUCUGUUAGAUCGCCUACAUAAUACAUGUGCUCUGGUGUAUUAUAAUGUAGGGGGCUGAUCUGCGCCGGCACGCCGGCCUAAACUUUUGGCCGGUCGCGCGCGAGCCGCAGGAUCCACCAACCCUGCGUCGUCCGUACCGUUGGAUCCGCGUGCAACCUUUUUUCCCCUAUGCAGCAAAAUUUCGAUGCGAUGCAACAAUUUUUUCAAUGCUUGCAACAAAAAAUAAAAUUUAUAGCAAAAUAAAUAUCUACGUGAUCGUAGCAAAAAAACGAAGCUGAUGGUACGUGGUAGCAAAAGUCAAACGCCGAUUGUAACAAAUAUUUACGUGACGUGUAUGCAACUUUUUUAGUGAACGGUUGCAGGAAAACAUGAUGCCGGUUGUAGCAGAAAUUAACACGGUUGUAGCAAAAAGUAAAAAACAUCCAUUGUAACGAAAAAUCCGACAAACUAGAGUUGCAACCAAACUAAUAUGCAGUUUUUUUACUGGAACAAAAAUGUAGUAAGAAAAUGCUUGCAGCAAAUAUGACGCUGGUUGCAACAAAUUUAAACAAAAAAUGUUGCAUCCAUUGACCAACGAAGCGCGCGGGUGGGAAAAAUGUUACAAGGGCCCGCGCGCACGAGGGACGUCUGACGCGUCGGUUCGGCCUGCGCGCGGGCGGGAAACGAUUCCCUAUAAUGUAUCGUAAAAUCUCUCUAGAAAAAUGUUAGAUCCGGAAAAAAACACAACCAUUGUCAGAUGGGGCUAAAUUAUGUUAAAAGGAUCGAAACAGUGAAAUCGUCCGCUGCUGGCGUGGCUGGCUGUCGUCUAGGGUUAGUAGCAGCCGUCAGAACAUUGAUUGAUUUGAAGUAGUAAGCCUGCGAUUGCAAUUAGUGGACACGUUGGCGUGUAAGCACGACAUGCCAUGCCAUGCAGUCAGAGGCAAGGAACUAGCUAGCUGCUACGGAGGUGCUGUAGGUGUACUGGUGUAGAGUGUGUAUAUUAAGUUCGUGCAUAUCCACUCUCAAGUCUGAAUGUUAAGGGCGCAAGGGAGAACGAGCACCCUUUGUGCUAAUCAUAGUCUGUAUGCAUGUUUUCCUUCCGUAGAGCUGUGGGCUACAGGUCCCCUUCUUCCGCGGCCACGACACCACGCAUCCGAACGAACCGAAUGAGCAGCGCACACACACACACACACAAGCGUUGUAGUAAUAACCGGCUGACAUGAAACGAGAUGACCGUGUCUCAGGCUCAGCGCCAACAAGCCAACUCACGCGGAAGCUUCAGCUCCCAUCUCCCUGGCGAUCCAUGCGGUUCGGCCUUGAACCUUGGAGGGCGCGCGACCGUUUCCGUUUCGCCCUCCGCUCAGCCCAGCCGCACUUGUUUCGCCUCCCGUUCCGCUGAUGCGGGAAGACGGUAGCAAUGGAUCUGGAGAUGCCAUCUGGUUUUGCUGGUAUACGAAAGAAAGAACCAGCUAGUACAGGGGUGCAGGGCUGGGCCAGCUUGUCAGUAAGCAUUUUGCACGGCAAACGGCCCAAACGUUUCGCCACCUCUCUAGUCUCUAGUCUCUACACUACUCCGAGGAUUCAGGCCAAAGCUGGUUUGGGCAUUAUUACACACGGCCGAGCGACAUGCAUGCAUGGGCAGUUGGCGGUAAAUGUGACCAUAAUUCCUUUUUUUUUUCCCUGUUGUUGGGGGUAUUUCAAAGCUUGCCAGGUUGUUUCAAAAUACUACCUACGUUAAGCUCUGAAUGUUUUUUCAGUUCAGUACUACCCCCUCCGUCCCAAAAUGUCAAAAUAAGUGAAUCAAAAAUAAUAUCGUUUUAUACUAACUUUAAUACAAAGUUGAUUCCCUUUUAAAGCACUUAUUUUGGGACGAAGGAAGUACAUCAUUUCUUUCGUUGUAACGGAGGAUUUUAUUUUUGGCUCACCCAUUAGUUAAGGAGAAAAGGGUUGUCUGAUUAAUUAUGAAAAACCGAACAAAAACCGUGUACUAGUUCAUUUCCACGCCAUCUAAUCGAGCUGGGAACAAAUGCCACAAACAUGACUCUAACCAACCGACGUCCAUUGUCUUCAUGCCACCGGUGAAAAAUAUGAUGUGUAUAUAUAGGGUUUGGUUUAGGUAUCGGUUGCCCGACAUGAAUUUGAAAAUCUUUAUUUUCUUUAUCAAAACUAUUGGAUUGAAAUCCAAUGGCCGACAUGCCUUCAUCCUCCUUCAGUGCGAUCAACCGUACACCCACGACUUCUUCAUGUCCCCACAACCUCUUUUUAGACGACGAUGACGUCGACAACGCGAUGAACUUCUUGUCAUGCCUCCGGCAAGGUCCUGACAAGCCCUUGUUGGCCGCCACGUCCCCAUCUCGAGCUCCAGCUCUAUACGAAUCAUAGCGAGAUUAAAAAUUUGAAGCUUAUGGUCUAAACAGUCACUCAGUGGAAAAGGUUAUCCACACCAGUUUGUUUUGGCCUAAGUUUAGAACCGUCUUCAACGGUUUGCCCAUCUGCCCUCCACCGAACCUGUCAACCCUCGAUGAUGCCGCAGUCGCGGAGCCCCUAUCCCUGUUGCAAGUCAUGGCAAGGCCUCAUCGGGGAGGAAACUCUCCACCACACGUUAAAAUCGAUCGAUCUGAAAAUUAGUUGUAUGUUAACUAAAAAUGUGGAAUAUAUAAGGUAGAAAAGCUCUACCUUCAAGUUGAACAAAAUGAUGUGUCAUUGAUCUAGUUUGCAUUAACAAGGGCAAGGACAUAUAUUCGAAUUUGUGUUGAGAAUAAUAACAAAUCCAAUCCAAACAAAUUAACAAACAUCCGGUCUGCCGGUGCCUAUUUAUUCGGCUUCCAUUAUUUUACUCUCCCACACGAAAAGGUUUGUAAAUCUCCUCUCCACUCUUAGAAAAAGAGAGCGUGAUCUCGCUUAAAUACUCCCCCACCUCCACCCCUUUCCCUCCUCACCCCAACCCAGCGCCAAGUCAAGUCCAUCUCACUCGCUCGCUCGCCAAUGUCCAUCACCACGUCCUCUUCCCCGCCCGCGAUCCUUGACAUGCCGGCCUCCGACGUUGCCAGCAAUGGCGAGCGCGCGGCGAGGCGGAGGCGUCUGC